AACAAAGUGAAUGUAGUAGUAAUAACCACUGGAGGAUUGAAGUAGAGAGGGGCCUCAUAAAUCAAAGUGUAUAAGUUGUAGGGGUUGAGUGUAAAUAGUUUCAGAAGAAGAAAAAUGAAGUUUGUGAAUCUCGCCAUAACAAUAAGCUGAGCAAAAAGAAAACUGCAUUUUAUUAGGAACAGAAAUAUUGUAGUUAGACAUAACAGACUUUACAAUUUUAAGAGAUGAAUGUCCAAGUCUGUGGUCUAUGAUGCCAUAGAUCUAAAGUAUUCAAAGAACCAAUAGAAUCCUUAGUUGCAAUACAAGAUUUAGGAUUAUAUUGAAACGGGCUAGAAACAUGAUUCUGAAAUGAAGAGGUAAAGGACUCACAAGAGGCUAUAGAAGAUGGAACUGACAGUGGCUUUGCUGAAGGCAGAAACUCACAAGAGGAUGUAGAAUAUGGAACUGACAAUGGCUUUACUGAAUGUAGAAGUGUGAAAUCAUCAAAUACAUAAAGUCCAUUCUUAACUCUCCCUUCCAUAAGAAUUUCCUUGGAAACCUGAUCUUUAACAUAACAGAAGUUAGGAAAGAACUCAAAAUACACAACAUUAUCUUUGGCAAAUUUAGAGACAUUGGGCAAAUUUUUGGUAAUAGAAGGAAUAUGAAGAAGAUGAUUUAAAGAGAGCGAUUUUGAAGAAAAUUGAGACUGAAAAGAUGAUUGUCCAAUAUGUUUAAUGUUCAAACCUGUUCCAUUGCCCAUCAUGAUCUUAUCUUUCCCAGCAAAUUCAACUUUAUUCAUCAAAUUAUGAAUGUCUGGUGUGAUAUGAUUUGUAGCUCCAGAAUUUGGGUACUAGCUAGGUCGUAGGCAAAUUCAGGAGUAGUAGCAACCAUGGCAGUCAUUUGUGAUGAAUCUUGAGAAUAAGGAAAUCCAUUAUGAAAUGAAGAUGGGCCUUGAAAUGAUGGAUCAAAUCUGUAGUACCAUUGUUGCACCAAAUGACCAACACGACCACACAAUUGGCAUUGAGGCUUAUUGAAAUUCUAAUAAUUUCGACCACCAUUGAAGCCUCCAUGACCUCUUCUACUAGAACCUCUAAAUUUAUUGAAUCCACGACUACCAGAACCUUCUCUACUAGGAAAAUUAUUGAAACCACGAAAAUUGCCUUGAUCAAAAGUAGAAAAAGGCAUUUUCGAAAGAAUUAUCAGAUCUUUUCUUGUCUUUGUUAUUCUGGCUCUGAGUUGCUAAGUUAGCACUCAAAUUAGAAUCUAAAAAUUUUGUAGCCUUCUCAAUGUGCCUUUCUUGAGCCAAAAAAUAGACUCUAUUUCAUCAAUAGUAUAUGAAUCUAUGCAUGUGGUAACAACAGUAAUCAAAGUGUUAAACUCUGAGGGUAAUCCUUCAAAAAUUGUGUCAAUACGAUCUGAAGUAGAGAUAGAAUAGCCAACUAAUAGGCUAUCAACAAUGCUUUUGAUUCGUAAGAGAUAAUCAUUCAUGGAUGAUGAACCUUUCUAAGAGCUCUUGAGUUGCGUAUUCCCUCACCCCCACCUUUUCGUUCUCAUCCCAAUUUGUUCUGAUUUCCUUCAAUCACUUAAUCUCCAUAAAACUUGAUCAGAAUAAUUUUUUGAUUUGGCGUCAACAAGUUGAAGCUGCAAUCAAAGGUUACAAGCUUUCAAAGUUCAUCAAUGGAAUCGAUACUGCUCUUCCAAAAUUUAUUUCUUCCAUGGAUGAAACAAGUGGUAAAAUCAAUCAAGAUUUCUCUUAUUGGGAAAAAUAGGACCAAUUACUAGUCUCUUAGCUCCUUUCAUUGAUGUUCGAAGGGCUUUUAAUGAGAAUGGUUGGAUGUGUAACUUCUUUUGAGAUUUGGAAGAAAUUAGAGGUUUUCUUUGCUGCUCAAACUUGUGCCAAGAUUGAUCAGUUCAAGAUGCAACUCAAGAGCUCUGAUACCAUGUAAAGAAAGUAAAUAGAGAUGAGAAAGGAAGGUAACAGAACAGAGAAUGGUAAAGUGAUUUUCUGUUUUUUAUUUUUCUCUCUAUAUUCUAUUGUUUACAGGGUAAUAUAUAUAGUAGACCUAACUAACAAAUUCUCUAACAAUAAUAGAAUAAAACCAAUGAGCAUAUGACACAUGUACAUCUUGUAACCAUAUGAAACUAUCUCUUAACAAUCUACACAUGAGGGAGGACCUCCAAAUGUGUGUUUAUUUAUUCCUGUAAUCACAAGGGACAUUUGUAAUAUCUUAGUCAAUUCCUAGAACCAUAUUAAAGGGAGCGAUAUUCACAUAGAGGGAUUUAUAAUAUCCCACUUAGGUUGUAACAUUAUAUUAAAACAAAUAAUAUCAAUAUAAAAGGGAUUUGUGAUAUCCUUUAUCAAUUCUUAGCAUUAUAUUAAAGCAGACAAUAUCCAUAUAGGGGCAAUGUUAUAUUUAAAGCAAACAAUCUCCAUAUGGGAGAGUCAAAUCAUUAUAUAAUACCCUACAUCCAUGCAUGAAAGAGAACUAAAAGGAAUGGGAGAACUAAAGAAAAAAAAAAUAUAUAUUGGAACUAAAAAUGGUAAAAGAGUAAUAACUUGCUUGGUUGAGAAGACCUAAACUCGACACUUUAAUGCCUCUUUCCUCUGCAUCCAAUAUGGCUUCUUCAAUCAAGAUAUUGAUGCGUUCAUUUUGCCAUUUCAAGGAGUACUACACAACUCAAAAAUUGAUUCAAUAAAUAAUAACGAACUAAUAAUAAGUCAUUCUUAAAUAAUAAAAAACAAGGGUUAGAGUUAGUGGGUGUUUGGUAAACUGACUUAUUAAUUAAAAGUGACUUAAUAAUUUAAUUUAAGUCAUUAAAUAAAUUAAGUAUGUUUGAAAAAACAAUUUAAUGGUAUGAUUUAAAGUAAAAAAAAACAUUAAAUAAUAAAUAAAAAUAAUUGAUUUAUUUUUAAAUCCACAUCUUUAUUUUACUUUUUUACCAUCAUUUGCUCUAGUUACCUCUACAAUCUCUUUUGCUAUUCCAUGACCUCCAUUGUUACUUUGACCCCCUUUACCCUAAUUAUAAUUUAUAAGAACAAAUAUGUCAAUUUGAUGAUUAAAAAUAAAUUUUAAAUUCAUUUUAUUAAACAACAUUAAUAUUUAAAGUAAAAAUUAAGGAAUGAGUUUUAAAUUAAUAACUUAUGUAUAAUUUAAUUUAAAGUCAACUUAAGUCAUUAUGUAAUAAGUAUUAAAUUUUACCAAACGCCCCCUAACUAUUAGUUUGGAUAUAAUAAUAAAUUUUUAUUUUUUUAUGUAUAAAAUGGGAACUCCUUGUAUAAAAAAAUAUAGAUUUAUCUUAUAUUUUUUAAAAAUUACUUUAAAAAACUUUUAAAUUUUUAAAUGAUUUUUAAAACAAUUUUUUUUUUUUAGUGUAAGUCCCUAAGAGUUUUGAAUCUUACAAAACUUAUUAUUUUUAUUUUAAGAAUAGAAAACAAGAACAUGAAAUAUAUCCAAAUGGAAAACAAACUAAUAGGAAAAGAUAAUUCUUACUUGAAUCUUAUAUUUUGGAAUGACCCAUGUUUGUAACUUGAGUUUGUUGAAAUAGUUCCUUUCGAGAACAAAUAUGCAAGAACAAAUCCAAAUCAACAUCAUAUACAAUAUACUAGAGGCCACAUUAGUCUCAAGUACCAUUUGGAGAUGUAUGGCUGGGAGGCCAAAGAUGCAAAACCUAGCCUUAGAUGAUAAAUAGAGUCUGGCGUUGUGAGAUGGGUGAGAUGCACUACAUCAAGCAAUUUUUCAGCCCUUGUAAGUGAUUUUUCAUAUAAUACAUUUGAAUAUUUGUCCAUAGUAUCAUACAUGUAGUCAUAGAAUGGCAUGAAGAGUGAGUAAUUGGUUUGGAGUUGGGUAUGGUGCAGAGACUGAAACCUGAAACUUGAAGGAGCUAAAAUCAUUUAUCAUCAUAAAUGAAUAUAUAAUUUUUCAAACAUGAAAAAUAUAACAAACUAAUAUUAGUACUCUUUUUUAUUGGUUCUUUCUUUUAUAAAACACACCUCCUAAUUAAUUUUUAUUUUAUAGACAUUAUACCUCUACAACUUUGUUAUUCAAAUACUAAUUUGAGCACUUAUAUUUUGGUGAUCAAUUUGUCAAAUUUUCAAUUCUAAUUUUUUUUCUUCUUUUUCUUUUAAAUAAAAGUAGUAAAUAUUGGUUAAUUUGGUUCUUGCGUUUAUUUUAUAGCUUCUACAUCAAUUUGAUGCAUCAAAUCUUAUUUUAUUUUAAAAUCAUAAGUAAAAUGCUCAACAAUUGUUCUACAAUCCAAUUUUGAAGAUAUAGUUGGUCCCCAUGAUAUGGAUUUUGGUAUAAUUUAGUAUUUAACCUUUUUAUAAAAGCAAGAAAGCAAAAAUGUCCCUUUUGUCGCAUACAAACAUGUGCAUCUUUGUGUACAUUGAGUGCGUUUGAUAGUGAUUCUAUGAAGUGUUUCUAGCAUUUUUAAUACUUGAAAAUUUUUAUCUUUCAAGUACUAGAAAGGUUAAAAACACUUCUUAAAAUCAUUGUCAAAUACACUCUUCAUCAUGGUUAUAGGAAAUUUUAGUUUUAAUAUUAUUGAAUCUAUCUAUAUUUAAUAAUCUUUAUCAGAUCUUCCCAUAUCAAGCAAUCUAAAUAGUAAGGGACUAGAGAUGUGCAAAAAAAUAAAUUUAUAAUUGAAAAAAAAAACAUAUAAGUGAUCGUAUAACAAAGAAAGAGAAAAAUUAAUAAAAUAAUCUUGCUAAUUAAAAACUUUUUGUUGUAAAUGUUUCUUAAUUUCCUCAUGAACAACCAUUUAUAACUACAAAAAGAAUCUUAUUCUUAAUAAUUAAAAGGAAUCAUAGGAUAGAUUUUUCUUCCAAAAUAGUUAUCAUACCAAUUAAUGUUACAUUAAAUAUGCUGUCACCUACGAGUGCCAAACAUGUGGUAGUGGUACCAAUUUAUAUUUCUUCCUUGUAUGUAGAUAAUACUAUGUUUUCAAAUGUUUUAUGCAACUCUAAUGUGAGACAUUUGAACAAGGUAAAUUAAUUUUGAAUAUAAGGUAGUGUCACUACUUUUGAUUUUUUUUUUAAUUUUCUUAUAUAUAACUUUAACAUAGGUAUUUUUAUUCAUUUCAUCAUUUUUAAAAGUUUUUUUCAAAUUUUUUUUAUAAAUUUUGAACAAUUUUUAUCUCAUCGAUAUUUUUGUCAAAAUAUUCAUUAAUAUUUUAUAAAUAUUUCUUAUAUAUCUAUAAAAUCUAAGUAUCGAUAUAUCGUUAUUUAUCAAAAAAAUUAUCUUUUUAAUAAGCAUGUGACUUCAAAUUACCCUUUUUUUCUUUUUUAAUUGAUUGUCUCCAAACACAUGAGACUAAUUUAAUACUACUAGUUUCUAUAUUACAUUGUAAAACAAGAGAUAUUAAAUUAAAGAGAAGCAUUGAGUGAUGGUAGGUAGGACUUACGUAUACAUAAGAUACUUGAGGAAAGGAUAUUUAUUUUCCAUUUUUUUAAAACUCUGCAUAAAAUUUAACAUAAUUUUGCCUUCUAAAAAUGGAAGAAAUAUAUAAUUUUUUUUAGUAAAAUAAAAAAUUGAAUGCACUAGGAGUAAUAUUUAAAGCCAAUUUAUAACUUUCAAAUUUCCAAGAGAUCAAAGAAAGGCAAUUGGAGAAAACUCUGAGACAAUAGAUGAAUGGUGAUGAGAAUGGUAACGUGAGUAGAGAUAAUGAUGGUGUAGAGCCCUAUUGUAGGGACCACCCCUAAACGCACACGUGGCAACCUUGCAGAGCACUCUUCCAUUAGGCACGUGGCACAUCUAACUUUCUAUCCGGAUUCCCUCAAGGGGGCACACGACACUCUCAAACUCUUCACCCGGAUGACCCCCACUCUCUUGUCCCGACGUCUUGUCCAGACCCAAUGCUAGCGUCUUAGAAAAAAGUCUUGGCCGUGUUUCACGGGCCAUCAUUAUUUAUAAAAAGCAUGCUUGAUGGGACCCUCUUGAGUCACUUCAGGCAACCUGUUACGACCUGCACCCCGCCGCCUAUAGAGCGAAAAGACAGAGAUGACGGCAAGUCAUCCCUCCCAUAAUUUCUAACAGCCGCCUAUAGGACAAUGAUGGCUCUGCCACCAUCUUAGCACCAUCAUGACAAGCUAAAAAGUCUUCCCACCAUUAAAGGGGACAAAGCUCCUGACACUAUAAAAGAUCCUCACACAGUAAAAAAAGGUAAGUGUUCUUGCCCAAAAAUGGAGGACCCAAGAGAGAAUAGAGAAAUGUUAGAGAUAAAGGCUAACAAAACCAUCGGAGGGUGUGUCCGGACCCCCUGUCCGGACAUCUUUUGUAGGUUGAAUGAAGCGGGUACCAUCUUCAGUUGAGGAGACGUGUCCAUCUAGCAUCUGUAGUGGCCCUGGUGAUGCGAGGCCUCAACAUUGGCGCCAUCUGUGGGAAUCGUAGCAUCGACAAAGAUGUCCACACCUUCUAGGAGUCGUUCAUCAGCCAGAGGAGAUGAAGGCUAUUUUGAAUGGCGUGAAACCAUGGAAAGGCGACAGUUGGAGAGCGAGUGACAAAUGCAAGCCCUGCUCAAACUAUCAACACCCUGCAAAACAUAAAAAUGCAAGAGAAUGAGUCAUUGAGGGAAUUCGUAAAACGAUUUGGUUAGGUUAUAUUGCAAGUAGAGGCCUGCAACAUGGACGUUGUCCUCCAAUCUUCAAACGAAGCAUAUGCCCGGGUAAGCCAUUCUUUGAAUCACUAGCUAAAAAGCCCCCCACAAUUAUGGAUGACCUGUUCCAGCGCACAAGCAAAUACUCAAUGCUGGAAGAUGAUGUGCACGCAACCACCCAGCAAAUUCUGGUUACCAGACCAUCAGCCAGAAAUGAUGUGAAAAAAAGUUCCAAACCUCCAAACCAGCAAAGGUUGUCUAGCGGCAAACAAGGAGAGCAAAGUCACUCAGAGCUGUCACCACUCACACCCCUUACCGUGUUAUAUGAGAAGCUUCUUCCCAUGAUCCGUGAGCUAUCCGACUUUAGGUGGCCCGGACCCAUCAGAGCUGACCCAACUAAGAGGGAUCAUAGCAAGAAGUGUGCUUAUCAUAAAGAACAUAGGCAUACUACGGAGCAAUGUAGGAGUCUCCAUUACUUGGUAGAAAGGCUCAUAAAAGAGGGGCACCUGAAGCAGUACAUCCCCUCAGAAGUCGGAGUUGGGAAUACUUCCCGGAGUCAAAACUCCGAGACCCCCAAGGCCCCAAUCGCCUCUAGAGCCGUAAUCAACUACAUCCACGAGGGACUCCUGGAUGAGGAGUACGACUCCAAAUGAAAGAGGCAAAGGCUGCUGCGAGCAGCAUCGAUAUGUGAACGUGUCAAUUCCAUCCAGCCCGGAUUAACUGGCGGGAGCGCCCAUCCAAUAGAUGGGACAAUCAUUUUCCCCCCAGUGGAUCCCACACGAAUAUUACAACCACACCGUGAUGCUCUCAUCCUAUUUCUUAGGAUUGGAGACUUCGACGUGAGAUGGAUCCUAAUUGACCCGGGCAGCUCGGCCGACCUCUUACAGGCAUCACUAAUCAAACAAAUGGGACUCAAGAUCUCUGGCUUAGAAAACCCUAGGCGGAUUUUGUCAGGAUUCAAUGGAGCGGCAACUACCUCCCUUGGAGACGUUGUGUUACCAGUCCAAGCAGGCUUGGUCAUCUGUAACGUAAAAUUUUCAGUAGUAGAAGAUUUGUCCCCCUUUAAUGCCAUCUUAGGACGUACCUGGUUGUAUUACAUGAAAGUCAUCCCUUCCACGUACCAUCAGAUGGUAAGCUUCCUCAACGAAGACGGACAAAUCGAUCUAUACGGUAGCCAACUAGCCUCCCGCUAAUGCUAUCAGAUAGCACGAGAAGCUGAACCUAGCAAAGAUAGUGAGCUACUCCCCGAACCCGCCAACGCACCUGGCUAAUAGCAAUUACUGACCCAGCGGAUAAGGAUCCCCCGGUGGCAGACCCCUUGCGGACAAUCCAAAUCUUGGAGGGAAGCACUCAUCUCACCCAUAUUAGUUCCUUCUUGACACUCGAAGAGGGUCGAAGUAUCGAGGAUGUGCUCCGACAGAACCAUGAUGUUUUUGCGUGGGCGCAUUCCGACAUGACAGGAAUCCAUCAUUCAGUUGCCUUCCACUGGCUUAACACCUUGCCUUCAUCAAGACCUGUCCGACAAUAGAUUAGACGAUUUCACCCGGACAUGCAAAAGAUUAUUCGGGACGAGGUUGACAAAUUGUUGGAAGCCGGAUUUAUCAGAGAAGUUGAGUAUCCAGAUUGGAUGGCAAAUGUGGUGGUGGUCCCCAAAAAGGAAGGGAAGUGGCGAGUGUGCGUCGAUUACACCAAUUUCAACAAUGCAUGCCCAAAAGACGGCUUCCCUCUGCCACAGAUAGAUCAAAUUGUGGACUCAACUGUCGGGCAUGGAAUGCUCUCCUUCAUAAAUGCCUUCUCCGGAUACCACCAGAUCCCCAUGGCCCCCGCGGAUGAAGAAAAAACAGCCUUUAUAACGCCGCAUGGGCUUUAUUGUUACAAAGUCAUGCCAUUCAGACUCAAAAAUGCCAGCGGCACCUAUCAAAGACUGAUGACAAAGAUCUUUAGACCCCUGGUUGGCUGCACAGUGGAAGUAUACAUUGAUGAUAUAGUGGUCAAAAGUAAAACCAGAGAAGAUCAUGCACACCACUUGAAAUAAGUUUUCCACCUACUAAGGAGGUACGACAUGAAGCUGAAUCCAUCCAAAUGCGCCUUUGGUGUAAGUGCAAGGAAAUUCUUAGGGUUCAUGUCACCCAAAGAGGGAUAGAAGUCAGCCCUAACCAAAUUAAGGCAGUCAUGGAGGUACCUGCCCCCAGGAACAAAAAGGAGUUGCAGCGCCUCACGGGUAAACUCGUCGCACUGGGACGGUUCAUAGCCCGAUUCACUGACAAAUUACGACCCUUCUUCCUGGUGCUACGAAAAGCUGGCACGAUUGGAUGGACGGAUAAUUGUCAAAGCGCCUUCGAGAAGAUUAAGCAUUACCUCACACAAGCACCCAUCCUGAGCAGCCCCCAGCCCGAAGAGAAGUUGUACAUGUAUUUGGUUGUGUUAGAUUGGGCAGUUAGCGCUGUUUUGUUUUGUUGCCCAACAUGUAAGGAGCAGAAACCUAUUUAUUAUGUCAGCAUAACAAUGGAUGAUGCAGAAACGAGGUAUUCAAAGAUAGAGCAAACUGUCUUAGCCUUAUGAAGUGCCACCCAUAAACUUCGUUCAUACUUCCAAGCUCACCCGGUAGUCAUACUUACCGACCGGCCCCUUCGCAACAUCCUACACAAGCCAAAUAUGUCCGGAAGAAUGCUCCAAUGGGCCAUAGAAUUAAGUGAGUAUGGGAUCGAAUACCGACUAAGAUUGUCCAUGAAAGGGCAGGUAAUGGCUAACUUUGUGGUAAAAUCUCUCCAACGACCUGCUCGAGACGGGGAACCGCACAAGGAGAAGUGGUGGACUUUACGAGUUGACGGAGCCUCUCGAUUGUCAAGAUCCGAAGUGGGACUUCUACUGCAAUCCCCAAGUAGUGAACAACUGGAAUAAGCCAUCCGGUUGGGGUUCCUCGCAUCAAACAAUGAAGCUGAGUACGGAGCCAUUCUGUCCGGAUUGGACCUCACACUCGCACUAUCCGUCUCUAAGCUCUGAAUCUACAGUGAUUCUCAACUCGUUGUGAGAUACAUACAGGAGGAAUACGAAGCCAAGGACGAGCUCAUGACACGAUAUCUAACAAAAGUGAUAGACACCCUACAACGGUUGGGUGAGUGGACUAUCAAAAAAAUCCCCCAGGCUGACAACGUACGUGUCGACACCCUAACAGGAAUAACUGCCUCGCUUCCCAUAAAAAUGCCAUACUAUUGCCCAUAUAUGUGCAGACUAGUCCCUCCAUCAUAGAAACGUUCACUUGCAAUACUAUUGAAGGGAGCCAAGAAGAGGGCCAAGAGUGGACAAAAGUCAUAAUAGAGUACCUCCGGACAGGCGCUCUACCUGAUGAACCGAAGUAGGCGCAUAAGAUCCGAGUGUAGGCUGCCCAUUUCGCCUUGAUCGGAGAAUGCCUUUACAAGCGAUCUUUCACAGGCCCCUACCUUAGGUGCCUAUACUGCUCAAAAGCCCAAUACGUAUUAGCAGAGUUACACGAGGGUGUAUGUGGAAAUCAUUCCAAAGGACGAUCUUUGGCACAUCGGGCACACUCACAAGGGUACUAUUGGCCCACUAUGAAGAAUGACGCGAUGGCUUAUGUCAAGAAGUGUGACAAAUGCCAAAGGCGUGCACCUAUACCACACGUGCCAUCUGAAACAUUGAAGCCGAUAUCCAGCCCUUGGCCAUUUGCACAGUGGGGAAUGGACACAGUGGGACCCUUACCCAUUGCAACUGCCUAGAAGAAAUUCCUGCUCGUUGCCACAGAUUACUUCAGUAAAUGGGUAAAAGUAGAAGCGUAUGCUAACAUCAAGGAAAAAGAUGUCACAAAAUUCAUUUAGAAGAACAUCAUUUGUCGGUUUGGAAUCUCUCAAGCAAUCAUAACCGACAAUGGUCCGCAGUUUGACAGUAUUGCCUUAUGGAAUUUCUACUCGAAACUCAAAAUCCAAAAUUUGUACUCCACACCACCCUAUCCCCAAAGCAAUGGGCAGGCAUAAGCGACAAACAAAACCUUACUGACUGCCUUAAAGAAGAGGUUGGAGUGAGCCAAAGGAAAGUGGGUAGAGGAACUGCCCAGCAUUUUAUGGGCCUAUCAGACCACGCUUGGGCAACCCACAUGAAACACUCCCUUCGUCCUUGCAUACGGCAUGGACGCAGUCAUCCCCAUGGAAAUAGGCUUGCCCACGAUUCGGACUGUCGUACGAGGACAAAAUGAUGAAAAUAUGAAACUAGGAAAAAACCUAGACUGGGUGGAUGAAAUAAGAGAAAAUGCAUCCAUCCGGAUGGCCGACUACCAACAAAGAGCGGCUGCUCAUUACAAUCGCAAGGCACGACCCCGAGUCUUCAAGAUUGGAACACUUGUCCUCAGGAAAGUUUUUUAAAACACCGCCAAAAAAGGAGCCAGGAAGUUCCAAGCAAAUUGGGAGGGCCCUUAUAUCAUCUUUAAAGUAGGUGAAAGCGGGGCUUAUCAUCUACAAAAGUUAGACGGAACCCCGUUACUCCGUUCAUGGAAUGUAUCUAACCUUAAGCAAUAUUAUCAGUAAAGAGAAAAAUGGAUGAAGAAAAAUAGAGGAGUGUAAAUAUUUAUAAAUGACUGUAAAAAUUGUCUUUACAAAAUUGGUCGUACCGCAUACGACAAAAAGAGAAAAGCUAUAAGGAGGGCUAAAUGCAAAGAAAUCUCAUCGCGGAGGGCCUUCGAGUAUCGCAUCCUCAUCAUCAGAAGGGAGAGAAGGAGUAUCAUGCAUGAUGCCAUUCUUCUUCAUACAGCAACGGUAGCUGAAGAAGUACAUCUCGUCUACCUGCCUCUGAUAUUCCGUUUCCAACUCCUUCUUCUGAGCGGCAAAUCCGACCUCCAUCUCCUUCCUUUGAGCAACUAAGCCCACUUGUAGCCCCUCCGUCUCCUUCUUCUGAGCCCCGAGACUAGCCCGGAGUUCAUCCAUCUCCUUUUUUAGUUGAGAAUUCUCCUGCUCCACCCCAUUGACUUGACCCUCUAAGGCUUCCUUUUCCCCCUUCAGCUGGUCCGCUUCAACCCGAAUAGCCCCCUUCUCCUCCUCAGCAAGCUUUAUCAUCUCUGCCCCAUCCGCUACAGCCUUCUGAGCAGUGGCCAAGUCAGCCUCCACCCUCUCUAAUCGCGAGCGCAUUUCCUCAAUGCCGCCCGGGGUGGUAGGAGAUGAAGGCCCGCAUAGCCUCUGCUACUUCCAGCCACUUGAAAAGUUGUUCGCGUGUAUGCAUCAUAUAGCAUAUGCCGGCCACAACCUAGACAAUGCAACAACAAUCGAAGAUAAUACCAGGCGAUGGAGAAAGCAUUGCUAAAGAAGAAGGAAAAGGCAGCACAAAAGGGAUUACCACUUCUGCAAUCUCUGGAAUCGUCCAUUCCUGCAGAUGCUGAAUGCAAGAUACGGUAGACUCAGGGGUGCUAAAAUGAAGCCGAGCCUUAACAAAGGUAGAAGGAUUACCACCCAUGUUUACAAAAACCCAUUUGGUGAGCAGGAAGAAGUCGGACAUCUUUGUGGAGGGAGCCUCCGCAUCCGUGAAGCACGACACUCCCUUCAGCAUCUCCAUCAUUUCCUCCCAACUUGGAGGAACCAUAGGAGCUGGACUACUCUUCUCGUCCUAGGCCUCCUCGAUGACCAGGGCAUCCAGACCCCCCUCCGUCCCACGAACCUCUUCUACAAUCGGGGCGUUGCUGGGGGCAACUAUGUCCGGCUGAACCAUGGCCGCUGCACUAGGCCCCGCAACGUCUGGCUGAGUCGCUGUCACUACGCUAGGACCCACCUCGUCCGGUUGGGGCAUAGUUGAUGGAGGGGCCUCCAUCACCAGAUCCUCCUCAACCCUCUCCGGGCAAACCUUCUUGGCUGGAGGAGGAACAAUGUCAAUAGCCUCAUGUAGUCUCUUACGAUGCCUCUUUAGGAACCCGGUUCUGAGAUCGUUCAUAUCUCUUUCUUCCUCCGGCUCAUUCACGACUCUUAAGCCAACAAAAUCUUAUUGAGACUGGGAAGGGCCAGUCCCCGAAUGGAAAGCGUCAAGUUGCAGGGAGCUAGAAGUGUCCUCAGGCACCUGUGCAGGGCUGUCUGGUCGACUGGAUGUGGAGUUUGAGGAUGAAGACGAAAGAUCAGGAGUCGGGGACACGAUCUUGAGAGCUUGUGUAAUUGUUUUCUUUUUCUUCUUUACAGCCAGAGGAUGGACUGCACGAGAAGAACCGUGCCCUUUCUCGCCAACCCUUUUUCACCAGGCGCUUUCCUUAACGUCCCCUCUUGCCUCUUCUCCUCCCGCUGGUCAAGACGCUCCUGGUCUGCCUUUGUGUCAGUCUAGUGGGCUCUUUCGUAAAAGGGGAGGUCCUUCAACACAAAAUGUUCCCCGGAACAACAACCUUAGGUAGCCGCCUGGGAAGGAUGUUGAGAACGUAUGGCUGAGGUUCCCAAACGACCGCCAAGAGGUUCCGGGCUAUAAGGAGCAUCUGGUAGUGUCUCUCGACGACAAUAAUCUCAAGCAACUUGUUUAAGCGGUCGAAGGAAGCCUUCUCCACCCACUCGACCAAGCGACCCCUCUUAUGUGUACCUGCAUUAGCCAGAACAAAAGAGCUUAGUCAUCUGAUAAAAUUAACUCAAGAGUCAAUAACCAACACGAGAUAAACACUAAGAGCUACCCCUACCCGGAAGCUUCAGCGAAUAGUUGGGGGAAAAGUCCCUCUCCGGAUGCUCCGACAAACCGGCCCAUGGUCCCCUGACCAAUGCGUGCCCUUUGGCUCCCCCUUUGUUUGAAUCCGAAAGGUUGGUCACCAAUUGAAGAGACGGGAUCUGGGCAAACAUGCUAAAGAUGUCUUUUUUCCCCUUCUUGAUGGUGUAAGAAAAAAGGACCUCUAACAGGGAGAGAUCCAAGUUGAACUGCAUAUUUAGGAUGCUGCACCCCAUCAACACCCGAACGAUAUUGGGAUGGAUGUAAGCUGGAGGAAUUCUUUGAAAAGAGACGGAAGAGGAAAACGGAGCCCCGCAUUGAAAUGCUCCUUGGAGAAGUAAAUAGUGUUGUGCGCGACUUUCUCUGUGUUCAUAGCAUCCCCGUCCACUAGCCGAACUGAGAUGCCGUUCAGGAAGUAGAAGCGCUCACGGAACUCCCUCUCGUUCAACUUGUCAAUAGGCUUCCCUGAGUAGGAUUGUCCGAAUGCACUUUUCACGUUUGGCCCAGCCGCGUUGGACGAAGCUACAUAUUUUUUUGCAAGCAUGGUGGAGCGUGGGGCUAAGACAAAACCUGCAUGGCGAAAUGCCAAUAGUCAAAACAGAGUUACCUAGCCCCACAGCGCUGAGAACAACAUCCCAGAAGGCCUAAAAUAACCAAACUCCCCAAGCCCAACCCCUAACUCUACCCAAAAGAUGAUUCAGCCACUCACAAAGGCAACAAGGGGGCAACAGAAGCUAUAGUGGGCUCAAAACAAAGCAAAUCCCCUAACCCCCCGAAAACCCCCAAACAUCACCCCUAACCCUCAAUCGCAAGCAAACACCCAACAAGCCAAAGAAAAUCAAAGAAAUAGGAAGCUGUAGAUGAAAGGAUAGAAACAGAAAACAUACCUGGCACAAGCUUGCAAUUGAAACGAAAGUCGAGACGAAAUUGCCCAAAUGCACCUAUUGAGAAGUCGCGAGAGGAACAUCGCUAACGGAAACCCUAGGAAGCAAUGCUCAGUCACUGACCAGAUGAACAAGAAGUAGAAGGAAAAAUGCAGUCGCGGGGGUUGGAUUCCCUAUUUAUGGGAUAAGACUCCUCGGAACUCCAAACGACCAGGUGUCUAACCGCACUGCUAUCAAAACAACAUGCAGCAUGGUAACCAUCCCAAGGACGGCGGCUCGCCAUAAAUGUCUCUCCUCUUUCAGCACCACGUGUCACGCAGACCCCAAAAAAGAAACGAAUGGGCUAAAGGCAUCAUUUUUAACCCGUCUUUUCUGCCCGACCAAAAUAGCUGGGUUAAAAGGGGGGCAUUAUAGGGACCACCCCUAAAUGCACACGUGGCAACCUCAUAAAGCACUCCUCCAUUGGGCACGUGGCACGUCCAACUUUCUGUCCAGAUUCCCUCAGGGGGGCACACGACACUCUCGAACUCUUCACCUGAAUGAGCCCCACUCUCUUGUCCAAAUGUCUUAUCCGGACCCAGUGCUAGCAUCUUAGACAAAAGUCUUGGCCGCAUUUCGCGGGCCAUCAUUAUUUAUAAAAGCAUGCUCGACGGGACCUUCCCAAGUCACUUCAGGCAACCUAUCAUGACCUGCACCCCGCCGCCUGUAGAGCGAAAAGACAGAGAUGACGACAAGUCAUCCCUUCCAUAAUUUCUGACAGCCGCCUGUAGGACAAUGAUGGCUCUGCCACCAUCUUAGCACCAUCAUGACAAGCCAAAAAGUCUUCCCACCAUUAAAGGGGACAAAGCUCCCGACACUAUAAAAUGCCCUCACACGAUAAAAAAAGGUAAGCGUUCUUGCCCAAAAGAGGAGGACCCAAGAGAGAAUAGAGAAAUGUUAGAGAUAAAGGCUAACAAAACCAUCAGAGGGUGUGUCCGGACAUCUUUUGCAAGUUGAAUGAAGCGGGUACCAUAUUCAGUUGAGGAGACGCAUCCAUCUUGCAUUUGCAGUGGCCCCAGUGACGCGAGGCCUCAACACUUGUGAAACCAGUAAUACAGAAACUCCACACCAUCUGCUCUCCAUAAGGGCAUGUGAGUAACCCUUAGAGCUGUGAAAUAAGCAUAUGAUCCCAUUGAAAAUAAUUUGGUCAUCCCUACAAAACCAAAAUACCAUCAGAAAAUUUGGACUAAGACCUCCCACAAGGAUUGAUUUGAGGUGUCAAAUUUUUUAAUUUCUAUCUUGCUUCAAUUGAUAUGAUGUGUUUACCAAUGUCUUUCUCUAUCAACUUGCUCAAAUUCAAUGCCCUUGUCAACAAUCCCGUUGUUGCCUUCGCCUGUUCGAUGGCAAGAAUGUGAAAUCUAAAGCUAGUUGUGGAGCAUCCUCCAUAACAUAAAUGGGAAUAUUAGAAAGUGAGCAACAUCUCUCCUUUUCAUCUUUAACUAGGAACGAGUAUAUGGCAUGAAUCACCCAUGGUGCCAAGAUCACGUACUUCAUCCACAUCAAACAACAGAGUAAUACAAGUGAAUAACUAAAUAAAAUGAAAUGAGUAUGCAAGAAAUAUGCAUACUCAUUUAAAAGGUUUUUUUUUUUUAAAUGAGUAUGCAUAUUAACGAAUAUUCCCAUUUUAAUCUAGAUCUUCCAAAAAAAUAUUCAAGGUAUUUAAAACUAAUUAAUGAAAAUAAAAUAUUAAUUUAAAGAUUAAAAAUCUUAUUUAAAAAAUUGAUCUUCAACCCUAAAUCUCCAAUUCUUCAUCCCUAAGCUCUGAUAUUUCUGAUCUUCAUGUAAAAAUGUUUUUUUUUUUUUUAGUAGAGAAGAUAGAAAAAAUUUAAUUUAUACAUAGGGGUUUUAAAUACCAAAAGACUUUUUUACUUUUAUUAAAUUAUUUUAAUUAAUUAUUAAUUUUUAAAUUAUGAUUUUACCCAAAAUUGGGUUUUGGGCAUUACAUAUCCUCUUCUAUGCUGCUUAACCUUCCCUUCUCCUAAGCCUCUAAACCAUUGAUAUUUUAUAUCAGUUUUGAAAAGGCUUAUUGCAUUUAAUUUCCUUGGAAUAUUAAAUUAAAAUCCCAAGACGUUGCACUAGAUGGGUAGAAGUAAUAAUUGAGUGCCUGUUCGUAUUGAAUGCUAAGAUAUGAACAUGUGCUCUCAAAUUAAUGCUAUGCACACAAUUAAUUUUUUUAUCAUCAAAUUAGUUGAAAAUGAAUAAUCUUUAAUUAAAUGCAAAAUCCAAUUCGAUAUGAUUAAUCAUUUUACAAACAUAAUUUAACUAAAAGGAUGUUUGAGAAAUCAAUUUAAUAAUUUAAUAUGACUUAAUAACUUAAUUUAAAUCAUUAAAUAUAUUAAAUAUAUCUAAUAAAAUAACUUAUUAAUUAUUACAGCUUAAAGUUAUUUUUAACUUUAAGUAUUAAGUUGAAAUAGUUAACUUGUUCUUAAUCUCAAUUCUUUUUACCUUAUUUGUCCACACAAGUGAGAAUGUUUUAAAAUUAUAAAGUUAUCUUGUACAUGUAAAAUACUUUAAAUAUAUAUGUUUUACAAAUAAAUUUAUAUGUCACUUAAAAGUGGUGAAAAUAAAUUGAGUUAAAAUCAAUGACAAGAAACACUUGUUAAGAUUAACGAGGGUAGAUAUGUCAAUUGGAUGAUUUAAAAUAAAUUUUAAAUUAACAUUAUCAAACAACCUCAAUACUUCAAAAUAAAAAUGUGUUUUAAGUUAAUAACUUAAAAAUAAUUUAAUUUAAAAUCAAUUUAACUUAUCUACCAAUCAAUAUUAAGUUUUACCAAACACUCUUUUAUUAACAUUAUAUUAAACAUGAUAGACAUUAAAUCCAAAGCUGGUUGUGGAGCAUCCUCCAUAACAGAAAUGGGAAUAUUAGAAAGUGAGCAACGUCUCUGUACUUUUCAUCUUUCACUAGGAACGAGUAUAUGGUAUAUGGCAUGAAUCGCCCAUGGGGCCAAGAUCACAUCAAACAACAGAGGAAUACAAGUGAAGAACUAAAUAAAAUGAAAUGAGUAUGCAUGCAGGAAAUAUGCUAAGCCUUGGUGUUUCCAAAAUUAUGACAGUUCAAACAGGAAAAAAUCUUAUGCAUGGAGACCUCUCUUUAGUGAACAGACAGCGAAAGAGAGGAGAUUUGAGAUUGCCGAGAGGUAUCCAUGGCCAAUCAGUGAGUAAUAUUCCAGGUUUAGAAGCCAUAUUUUGAUUUUGGGACUUCUCUUGAAGCAAUGCAUAUCCGGAGGACUGGACUAUAUAGGGUCUUUUUCACUUUGUUUAAUAAGAAAUUUAAGAUUGUCCUAAUUUAAACCGGUGUUCUAUGUCCAAAUUCAUGCCUAUACCAGUAAACAAGCAAAUUAAAGUUUUCAUUGAUGGUUGUUGAAGAAGUUGCACCAAGAGGUUUUUCUUAGAUAUCAUAUUCAAUUUGAUUUGUUUUUUAUGGGUUUUUUUUUCCAUGUUUUCCUUUUGUUUUAAAAAAUUGAUAAAAACAACUUCCUAUUUAUUUUCUAAAGUUGUUCUCUAUUUCAUUUUUGUUUUUAAAAUCUGUUUUAAGAAAACAAUGAUCAACAAUGUUAGUAAUUUUUAAAAACAAUUCUCUAAUUUUAAAAAAUAAAAAACUGUUUUUAAAUCACAUCACAAAUGCUCUUAACUUUUGUUUCUCAUUUAUUUGAUUUUGGCAAAUCUAUUAACUAAAUCAUUCCGAAGACGGGUUCCUGAAAGUAUAUAAUCCAAUUUUGCACAAGCACAUGUAUAGACUAUAUGCUGAUGAUGAAAGUUCAGAGUUUGUUGGUCCGCAUUGGCUGUAAAUCAUUACACAUUUUGAAAGGACAAACUCAUGGUUCAAGAAUAUUGUGACAUUUCUUAGCUGGUCUCCAUGAGCACCGUACUUCAAAUGGGGUCAAGAGAGCAGCUUUACAGAUAACCCGAUGGAUGACCUAUAAUUUGCCAAAAGUGGAAUGGCAGAAUUCUAAUAAUUUGAAUGUAUUUGGUUCAUUGAAGCAUGUUGGGUCCAUUCCAGCUUUGCAGUAGGGAAUCUAUAUAUGAAUUUUUUCAGCCGCAUCUGUUUAUAUGUAUAUAAAAAGGGGAACCUUGCACAGAGGCACUUACGAGUUACGAGUGACGGCAUGAUCUACUUCUAGCUUGGUCCAAAGUUAGUGUGAUAACAUCACAGACAUGAUAAUAUUAUGAUGUUACAUCUCUGUUUUCUUUCUCUUAUUUUCUUGCUUCCUUAACCAUACGUGGAGGAUGGAGAGAUCACAUUAAUCGAUGGUUGUGCUUAAAUAAAUAAUUGCUUCCUAUACCAGUAAACAAGCAAAUUAAAGUUUUCAUUGAUGGUUGUUGAAGAAGUUGCACCAAGAGGGUAUCAAAGCCUUUUUAUUUGUAGCCACCGGCCCUUUUUAUCAAAACAUUUUUAUAUAUAUAACAUCAAAAACUUUUUCUCAUAUCCAAUAUGCAAUAUUACAUUUACAUUCAAAAAUUGUCAAAACAAGAAAUUUGAGAUGGUUGUGCCUUAAAAUUUUAAACCAUAUAAUAAGAAUAAUUUUAUUUAUCUCUCAUACUUGAGUUAAAUUUUGAUCUGUAUAAUGACUGAAAACAAUAGCAUCAAUCUAGGGUAGUAGACAAAGGGUGUAUCCAAUCACAUCAUAACUAGUAACAUGUUAUGUUCGGUUUAUCUUCCAAAUAAUUAAUGACUGUUUGUCGCGUUCGUCUGUUUUAUCUUUCUGGUUUCAAUUAGGUUUCGUUAGUAAGCUGAUCACUACUUCCCACCAAAUUCAUGCACUUAAUUUGAAGAGAUUGAUGUAACAAAGCACUAUGGAGGCCUCGUCCACUUGGGCGGCAUCCAGCCUUUUCUUUGGAGGUUUAUUUCUCUCUCCGUUACCUACCCAAUGGUCCAAAUUAAAGACCAAUUAAUGUAGUAGCUAAGGUGACGUGUGGGGAGAUCUUUGACACGUUUGUAUACUUUCCCAUCUUUGACACGUAUCUUCCAUUAGUGUGUAAAGCUCUCAUAUUAUGUUUGAUUUAUUUAUAAAAAGAGAAAAAAAAGAAAAAAUAAAAUUUGAAAUUAAUAAAUUAUUUUUAUAUAUUAUUUUAAAUUUAUUUCGGCUAUUUAAUAUAAAAAUUAAAUAAUUUAAAAAUAUAUAAGUUAUUAAUUAAUUUUAAUUAUAUUUGUUUUUUAUUAAUAUUUUUCAUGAUAAAAUUAGAUAAAAAAAAUUGAUUACUCUUAAUUUUAUUUUUUCUUAAUACUUUUUAAAAACCAAUGAAGUUAGCUUUCGGUUAUCGACAAGAAAAAAAGAUGACACGUGCAUUUCCAUUUCCAUUCUUUAUUCUUUCAAUUCCAAAAGUUUCCCUUGCUACGGUGGAGUCAGGAGUGAACGCAAGAGGGGCAAGUGCACUGAUGACAAAUGGAACAAAAUAUUUUGACUAAAAAUUAUACAAGAAUUUUUUUUUUUAAAUUUCAAAUUAUAAUUUCAUUACAAUUAAUGAACCAUUUAAAUAUAGUUAUGAAAUGUUAAACAUAUAAAUAUAUAAACAGUUUUGGCACAUAAAUUGCAAAUAAACAAAAUAUCUCAAUUUUUCAAUAAAAUAAUUAUAAAUUUUAUCAAAAGCCAUAUGAGAACAAAAACUAGAAAAUAGAUCUUAUGAAUUUUGGUAAUUUUUAAAUAAAAUAAAAUAAAAAUCAGUGAGACAAAAAAUUUUAAAAGGGCUUUUAAAGAUAUUACCAAUAAUUUUAUUCAAAAAAUCAUUAAUAUAAGUAACAAAAUUACAAAUAGGUUUUAUUAUUUUUAUAAUUAAAAUAUAGAUUAAGAAAGUUUUAUUAAAAAAAUCAUUAAUUUCAAUGAUAAAAUUUAUAAAUAUAAUUCUUAUUAUUUUUUGUUGCGGCCUCCUUCAACUUGGGUUGAACUAUGCAUCCUCUCCCUCCUCCAAAUUAAUACAAAUAGGGAUGUGAAAAUAUAGGCUAGUUAGGUUGACCCUUCUCCAAUGGUUGAGUUAGCCAUAGAGUGAAUCGAGAAGACAACAGAUAAGCAUGAAUUAUUUUUUGUACCUUGUUUGAAAACUUAGGCCUCAAUUUAUAGUUUCCUUUAGGUGGAUUGUAAAUAGGAAAAUAAUAAACUGAGACAUAAAUUAUGCAUUGGUUUGAAUUAUUUUGGUUCCACUAUGUUGAAUGUUCUGGCCAUAUGUGAUUAAUGUGUUAGAAUUCUUGGAAAACACCAUUCCAAGCCCUAGAUUAUUAGGGUGCAUGCAUUUAUAAUGAUAAGGAUGCUAAAUCUAGGUAAAGAAAGCAUUUUAAAAUAAAACUCUAGAUCUAGGUGCUCAAAAUCAUUACCCUUGUCCUUAAUGUUCUCAAAUUAAUUCUAAUCAAUAAAGUAGAUGAUGUAGAUCUUGAAUGCAACGCGAUCUUCCAUUGAUGACUCUCUUCUAGACUUUGGCACUAAAGAAUGAUGAAAUGCUCUUUGUGGAGAUGGAGGUUAACGUUCUCUCUCUCUUUCUCUCUCGUGCUUAGCUUACUUUAUCUGCCUCAUUAGUUCCUAAUCAAUUAAUUAAUCAUAUUGGGAUCUAAUUAAUUAAUUAUCCUAAUCUAGAGAGACCAUUCAUGAGCUCUUAUGGAACUUUUCAUAUUUACCAAAACACCCUUAUGCAUAUAUAUGAAUAAAGAACUCUAAUAUCCCUAAAACAAUGUACCACUAAGGAAGCUGAGCUCAAGCGAAGACCAUUAGAACCCAUAGGAAAAUACUGGCUCCCCUAAAAUCCAAUUCCAAAGUUUACUCAACAUCUUACUAUAGAGAGACAACCGCACUCCAAUAUCCCAUUAUAUUAAAUUGAGAUAUAAAACUCAAGUCUAUGAUCUACUAACCACUACAUGUAAGCAUAAACUGGUAUCCAUAAUUUAAUAAGGUAGAUGCAAUUAACUUUUUAAGAUUAUCUUUAUCAUAUCCUUGAGUCUCAAAUUCUUUUAUUAUGUAAUCUACUGACAUACUUUACCUUAACAAUAACAUAUGUCAAAUUCCAUUAAAGGUAUUAGUACUAUCAUAGAUUCAUGAUCACACAUCUUUAAGAUCAUUGAACGGGACUAUGAAAUAUCAUAGUGAUUAUCUUAAGAAUACCUAUUGUCAUUUGUGUUAAUCAAUAGUGAUUUAAUAUAUAAGGAAUGUAUAACCACCUUAGGGUCUCACUUGUAGGUCAAAGUCAUUAAAAAUUUCAACUCUACCUUGAUAUUCUCUCAAGGUUGAGAGCUCAUGUAGAAUAGUAACCUAGUGAAGUUAUGACUUCCUAAUAGCCAAUGUUGACUUAUCGUAGGUUAUCCAAUGUAUAACCAUACACGCUUGUGCACUCAUAUAGGGAAACUCAUUUCGAUAACCCAAACAAGUCAUCCUUCCAAUUAGAAGGUAAUGCACUACAACUGAUUUGUGCAUAGAUCAUACAAUUUUGUAAAGCUUAAAUGUUAAUAUUCUUAAGAUAUUUUCACUUAAACUAAUAAGUUACUUUAACAAAUAUUUAUGCUAAGUGUCUCUUUUAGAAUUAAUAUUGGAAGAUAGGAAGUUUUUGUGCAUAAUUAAAGUAUUUUAUAACUUUCACAUUAAUUCAAAAGACAACAAACAAGAUUGAAGCACAAUUGUAAGUUGUUGAAGAGGAAAAUUAAUAAAUUGAUCAUUAAUUUGAUAUCAAAAGUGUAUUUUGAUACAUGAUAAUAGUGUUGGGAUUGAGCCCUUAACAACAGGAUAUGGUGUAAUGAAGUUAAACUUUACUCUUCUUUGUUAUCCAUUUUAUGCAUUGACAUUGCUUUAAGCAUUCAACUCAUAUUACUUGCAUUGUACAUGAUUCAGGUUCAUUAUGAGUUGUAAAAAAAAUACAAGUCAUGGGUUCCUUGCAAGAUGAUAAGUUGUUCACAAUUUGUUCAUAGAUUUGAGAAAUCCUAUAAAGGUUGUAGUGCACUACAUCCUAAUUAGAAGGAUGAUUUGUCUUGGCCGUCGGGAUGGGGUUCUCAUGGUGAGUGUAGUAGUGUGUAUGGUUACACAUUGAACAUGACCUACAAUGAAUCAUGAUAAAAGACUAUUGAAUAGUUAUGAUUCAUUAAGCUACUAUGUUGCAUGGACUCUCAACCUUAAAAGGAUGUUGAGCAUGUUUUGAAAUCAAAAAGAUGUUUUGACCAAUGAGUGAGACCCUAAUAUGGUCAUAUAUCCCUAUGGAUUAAGUCACUAUUGAUGGAGACUAGUGACAAUAGGUAUUCUCAGUAAAGGCACCAUGAUAUCUCAUGGGAUUGAGACAACGUAUCCCCUUGGGUUAUCUAAGUACAUGAGCAUGAGAUCAUGAAAUUUGUGGUCAUAGUAAUUCCUUUAGUGGAAUUUUAUAUAUGCUCCUUGAAAGUAUGUCAAUUGAUCACAUAAUAGGAGGAUCUAUAACUUAAGGAUUGGAAAGACAAUAGCUUGAUGCAUUGAUAGUACUACCUUGUUAGAUUACAAACAAAAGUUCAUGGGGAGUCUUAUGCAUGAAUAAUAGUUCACAAAAUUGAGCUUUGCUCAUUAUAAUUUCAUAAGAUAUUGGAGUGCAAUUGACUCUCUUUAAUGGAAUGUUAAGUUAACUUUAGAAUUAGGUUUUAACAAAGCUACUAUUUUCCUAUGGGUUCUAGUGGUCCCCACUCGAGCUCCUAGUUUAUUGUGGCACACGGUUUAAGGGUAUUUUGAGUAUAUAAUUCAUAAGUAUGUAUAAGGGUGUUUUGGUAAAAACACAAGGUUACACUAGAUCUUAUGAAUGGUCUUCCUAAAUUGGGUUAGUUAAUUAAUUAUAGCCCAUAAGGGCUAAUUAAUUAAUUAGAACCAAGUAGGCUAGAUUAGGUAACACAAACCUAAUUUGGCCUUAAGUCACUUAAGCCCGUAGGGAAGUUUAUAUAAUUUGGGGGGAGGAGGGAAGGGGAGGGCUUCAGUAUUGCAAUUUAGUUUUCUAAAAUUCUAGAGAGAGGAACCUUAGCCAUCCUCUAGAGAUAAAGAAGUUCACCCUUCUCUUGUGCCAAGACCUAUGGUGUGAGGAUUCGAUGGAAGAUCGUUGGGUAGAGGAGUUCCAUGAUGAUCACUAUGAUUUCAGAGCCUUCUUUGAAUUAGAUUUGAUUUGGUAACAUCCAAAUCAUAGGUUUGCACUUUUUAACUCUAUAUCUAUAUUUGUUUUGGUUUUUAAGGCCAUAUUAUUUUGUUGUGUUAGAUCUAGAGAACCGUAGGGAUGGAUGCAUGCACCCUAUAUGAUCCAAGACCAGUGAAUGGAGCAGUCUGGGUUUCCCAGUAGAUAGAACAUGAAUGAUUUUUUCAUAUAUAUGGAAAUGGAUAUGAGAAGUUGUAUCAAAUUUGUGAAACUGAGAGAUUUCGAUACCUCAGUGUUAUCAAUUACAAGAUUUUGACACCAGAGUUAUUGGGUAGUUAUAGUCAUUAUAUUGGAUCUAUAUUUCAAUAUAAAUUAAUACAAGAAGGAAGUAUUGACCAUUAUCGAUGUAUGUCGAAUAUGAAUUCGAUAAAGUAAAAAACUAAUAAGAAGUAAAUGCACAAUAAACCAAUAUGAGUAAUCCAAAUUUAAUAUCCAAAAUUUUGUAUCACUUAUUAUCUCUUGAUAUCAAAUUCACUUCUAAAACUAUUGGUAGGUUUGAUGAUCAACUUCAAUAUUAGGAUUCUUAUACCAAGAUGUAUUGGAAUGUAUCAUAUUCACUAUUUCAACAAAGGUAGCUAAAUAGAGUUUAAAUGCUAUAUUGGAUUAGUAUUGAUUUGCUAAAGAGGUAUCAAAAUAGUUCAUGAAAUGUAAUAAGAAAAAGUAGAAUUGAAGAUUUAGUUUUUUAUACUUCCUUGUGGUUCAAAUGUGUAUGUGGCAAGUUAUAAUUGGUUUGGAAACAAAUCUCCUUGCCUAUAAAUAUCUUUUUGUCUAGUCAUUUUGAGAUAUAGAUGGCUUGAUAGAGAUAGAGAGAUUCAAAUGCUUAGAGUUUGAAGAGUUGGGUUCUAGAUGUUAGAAAUUAGAGAGAGUUUCAUUUGUACUUUUCUUAAGUGAUUUUCUUUGAUUUUCUUAAUUGCAAGACAAGAUCUAGUUUUUGAAUCUUAUCAUAGAGAGUAAGGAUUAUGUUGAUUUUUUAAGAAGCUUUUUAUGAUUCAAUAAAAAAGAAUUAAAAGAUGCAUUUCUCUGUAAUGUUCUUAAUUGUAAUAUUUUAUUUUAUUUUAUUUUAUUUUAUAAAUCUUAAUCUUGAAUUCUUAUGAUUUCCCAUUAUAAAACUUGUCCUUUUCAUGCUAAAAAAAAUCCAUUGGAUAUGAUGCAUUGCAUUUGUGAUAUCUCGUAUCGGAUAGAGGAGAAAGUUACUAGGGCUAUAUAUGUAUGGGCUCCUCUUAAUCUUGUAGACGUGUUUUAAAGAUGUGAGGGCCCCUUUGGGCUUAGAACAAACAAUAUCUACAUGGUUGGGUGUAGGUUCUUACAAAUGGUAUCAAAGUCAAUCCUCGACCUUGGUGUGGAGGUCUAUUUGACCAUAUAGGGGGUGUUUAUCAAUUUGGCCCCACAAUCCUAUGGGGUACAACAAGGAUGUUGUGUCUGCAUGGGGUGUGGGGGAGGGUUGUUUGUAAUAUCUCACAUCAGAUAGAGGAGAAAGUUACUAGGGCUAUAUAUGUAUAGACUCCUCUUAAUCUUGUAGAUGCAUUUUAAAGCUACAAGGGUCUUUUUGGGCUUAAAGCGGAUAAUAUUUACAUGAUUAGGUGCGAGUUGUUACAACAUUGAUCUAUUAUUUUCUAUCAAAUUUGUUAAGUGAAGUUUUAUGAAUCAAAAUAAGAUAGAUUUGAUCAUAAAUGUUUAAGAACUUCAAUUUCUAAAGGAUAAUCUCAAAUCUAGGAUAAGAAACUGUAAAUCCUAUCAUAAGGGCAUUAAGAAAGAUAAUUUAUUUUGUGAUAAGACUUUCCUAAAUUGAUGUAUUAAAAUUGUUAGAUUUGUGUAAAUUAUCAUUGUUCAUUGCCCAACUGCUACAACUGAUCAUUGUGUUUUUAUGUUAUCCAAAUUCUUUCCUUCAUUAUUUUUUUGUAGAAGUAAUCUCAAUUUAAAUUCAUUUGAUUGGUAUUAAUAAUAUGUUCUUUUGAUGUAAAUCCUUAUGAAGAUGACUUAGUUGUUAGGAUUGAGCCCCAAAAAGUAAGACAUGAUGUAACAAAGUUAGACUUAACUAUCCUAUUGCUAUCCUUUUUGUAUAUUGACAUUGAUUUAAGCAUUCAAUCCAUGUCUCUUACUUUGUACAUAACUUGGGUGCAUUAGCAAUUGCACAAAAAAUACAAGUCAUGGGUUCCUUGUAAGUAGAUAAGUUGUCCAUAGUAAGUUCAUGGAUUUGGACAAUCUAGUAGAGACUAUAGUGCACCACCUCCUAAUUUUAGGGAUGGCUUGUCUUGGCCAUCGGGAUGGGUUUCCCAUAGUGAGUGUACCAGUGUAUGUGAUGCACAUUAAACAGGACCUACAGUGAAUCAUGAUGCAAGGUUAUUAAUUGUCAUGAUUCAUCAAGCUAUUGUAUUGAAUUGACUCUCAACCUUAAGAGGAUAUUGAGUUUGUGCCAAAAUCAAUAGGAAACUUUAACCUAUGAAUGAGACCCUAAAGUGGUCAUAUAUCUCUAUGGAUUAGGUCACUGUUGAUAGAGGUUGGUGGCAACAGGUAUUCUCAAUAGAAGCACCAUGAUAUCUCAUGAAAUUGAGACAGUGUGUUCCCUUGGGUGAUUCAAAAGACAUGUGAUCAUGAAAUCUGCGCCCACAAUAAUGCCUUUAGAGAAAUUUGACAUAUGCUCCUUGGAGUUAGAGUAUGUCAUUUGAUCACAUAAUAAGUAGGAUUUGUAACUCAAGAAUUUGAUAGGUGAUAGCAUUACCUUGUUAGAUUACAGACACUAGUCAUGGAGAGUCUGAAAAUAAUGGAUAGUAAGUCACAAACUUAAGCACUUAGUGUCUUGAUGUUAAUUAUAUAGGAAAUUGGAGUUCAGUUGAUUCUCUGUAGUGGGAUUUUGAAUCAACUUCAAAAUUAGAUUCCGAGGAAGCCAAUACUCUUAUGGGUCCCAAUGGUCCCUGCUCUUAGCACAUAUGCCUUAUUGGCAUGGAUUAUGAGGGUUAGAUUGGCUUUAAGUUCACUUUUGUGCAUAAGGGAAUUUUGAUAAUUAUGCAAGGUUGCACAGGGGUAAGUGAACAAGGUCUCUGGAUUAGGUUAAUUGAUUAAUUAGUAAGCCCUAUUGGGUUGAUUUCAGAAUUUGAUUAUAAGCGAACCAGUACUUUUAUGGGUCUCAGUGGCCCCCGCUUUGAACUCAUAUUCCUUGUUGGCACGACUUAUGAGGGUUGAAUAGGUUUGUGGUUCACUUUUGUGCAUGAGGGUGUUUUAGUAAUUACACAAUAUUACACAAGGAUAAGUGAGUGGUAUCUAUAGACUAGGCUAAUCGAUUAAUUAGGCCUUGUAUGGUUAAUUAAUCAAUUAACCUUUUUGAGCUAGAUUAAGUGACCCAAGCCCAUGAGGGCUUAAGUCACUUAAGCCUAAUAGGAAGCUUAUAAAUACCCCUUUAAGGGUUAGGGUUUUGAAGUCUUGCUAUUCUCCUCUUCAGUCUGGAGAGAGAACCCUAGCCUCCACCCUUGAGAUCUCCAUCAUCUCAGUUCCUAGACACAAGGAAGAGUCAUCGAGCAGAAGAUCAUGGUUUUUAUGAGAUCCAUUUGGAGUUAUCUACAUCAAUUAGAAUUGAUCCGAGAACAUUUGGAUCAAAGGUAUGUGAUUUUAUUCUCUAGAUCUAUGUUUUUUUAUGGUAGCCAUAUUGUUUUUUAAUACCUAAUUGUGAUAGAUUUAGAGAGCCUAGGAUAGAUUUGCAUGCACGCUACACAAUCUAGGGCAUGGGAAUGAAGUAAUCUAGGGUUCCCAACAUUAGUUGCUAUGCUAACCUUUAUGUUUCUUUUAAUUUCAAAGAAUGAAGUUGUUUUGGUUUAUAAACAAGAGAUUUCAAUGACAAAUCUAGUGAAAUACAAUAACUUCAUUAUUUAUAUUUUUCCUUAGUAAUUAAAUUGUACCAACAAAAGCCAAACCAAAAAUAGUGUCAUUGCUAAGGAUUUACUAACGAAUUGUUGAUAUGAUCAAACUAGUUUAGAAAUAAAUUAUGCGUCGCUUGCUGUGUAAUUUAUCAUUGACUUUUUUACACAAAAAAUACUUUAUUUCUAGACUAACAAUGAUGUAGGAAGGUUAUAUGAGGUUUGAUCUUGAGUAUGAGAGGCAAUUGGAAGAGGAGUAUAGGUAGAUUGGAGAAAAGAAUUCAACUACUUGAGGUGAUAGUCAUGGAAGAACAAAUAAGUUAGAAUUUGCCUAUUUAAGAUCAAAUGUAAAUAUUUUGUUUGAUGUGAGGUUACUUAAAUCCACUAAGAGUAGAUUCUCCAUCAUGCUUCAUCCCUCAGACCGAGUAUGUCACCAUUAGAUCAUAACUAGUAUCACUAUUGCCAAUAUUCAGAGAAUGUGAAAGAGAGAAUCCAUAGACACACAUUAAAGAAAUAUUUGAAGAAAUCUAUUUGAUAUUCCAAGACCAAAAUAUCUCCAUGGAUAUUAUGAAAAUGAAGUUGUUUAGCUAAAGUGUGGUUCAACAUGCUACAUCUAAGGAGCAUUCAAUCUUGGAAUCAGCUCUAGGCUGUCUUUCUCAAGAAGUUUUUCUCUAUACACCACACACUAGUAUGUUGAAGAGAAUAAUAUCUAGCUUCACUACAAAAUAAAGGAAAAACUUUUAUGUAUGAUGGGAGCAAUUCAAGGAGAUAAUAUAGGAUUGUCCACAUCAUAGUUUUGACGGUUGGUUGAUCGUUUCUUACUUCUAUGAGGGAAUGCUUCCUUAAAAGAUAUUAAUUGAGUCCAUGUAUGAAGGGGACUUUGUGAAAAAAAAUAAUCCAUAUGAAGCAAUCCAAUUCUUGGAAUACAUAGCUAACCUAUUCAAAGGAUGGCAAGACCUAAUGUAAAAAACUACUAAAAAAUAGAAGAAAUUUCAAUUCUACUCAAGCCUCCAACAGAGGAGGAAUGCAUAUGAUGAAUCAGGAUAUGAAGUUCAAAUCUAAAGUAUCUACUUUAGCAAGGAAAUUGGAAAAACUAGAAAUAAAGGACAAAAAGGUUUAUGAAGUGAUUAAAGUUUUGGAAACCUAUGCCAUAUGUGAAUCAAAGGAGCACAUUACAAUAGAGUACCCUACUAUCCCUACUAUUAAAGAAAUUUUUAGUGAGCAAGCUGCAAUAUUAGGUAUGGUUGGGGGGUAUAAUCAGAAGAUAUUCUGUCUUCAAUAGAAGCAUUCUCCAUUUUUGAAUGCGUAUAAUCCUGGUUGGAGGAACCAUCCCUACCUGUUGUAGAGUAAUCCUAUAAACUUUCAAAAUACUUAAGUAUUAGCAAAGAGAAAAUCAAUAUGAACAAAAUAUGCAACAUUAGUACCAACAACAAUAGUAGGUUCCAAUAUAGCAACAACCACAAAAAGCACUCCUAUCAUCACUAAAAGCGAUGAUGCAAACCGUCAUCAUAGAACAAGUGAAAGCAAAUGAUGAGUUCAAAAGGUCCAUCAAUGAUGAAAAAAUAAAUAAAUAAAUAAAAUAAAAUGGGAAGUAAAGAGAAUUCAAUGCCACUACUUCUCUAAGCGUCACAAAUAUCCAGACUAUGUGAACUAAGAUUAACCUAUAACCCAAUGGUGAGACGGGGAAAUUUCUAGCAUAACCAUAACAAAAUCCAAAAUCUGUAUAUGAAGCCAAAAAGUCCACAACCUCCAUCAGUGAGCAUCAAGCGUUGAAAGUAGUUGUUGCUUUGAGAAGUGGUAGAGCAUUAAUUAAGGGAUAAAAGAAAUGGAGAAAUAAAGAAGAAGAAUAAAUAAAUAAAUAAAUAAAAAAGACAAAAAACAAAGAAUGUAUGCAAAAUCAGCAGAAACGUAAAACGCUUAAACUCAUGAAAGAACCUGAACUAGUGAAGACAAUAACCCCAUUUCCUAAAGCUAUAGGAUGAAAGGGAGGAUGACCAAUAUGCUAAAUUGUUUAAUGUUCCACGUCAAGAUAAAGUUGUUAAGAUAGAGCCUUAAAAAGCAUGACAUGAUAUAAUAGAUUUUAAAUUUAUUAUUUAUUUAAUAUUAUUCCAAUUUCACUUUUAUCUAUUCUUCUUCCAUGUAUUAUAACUUAUGAUCAUUUUUGUUGGGCAUCUCUUACAUUGUACAUGAAUUGGGUGCAUUAGGAGUAGCAUGGAAGGUCCAAGUUACGGGUUCCUUGCAAGUUGAUGAUUCGUUCACAACUAGUUUCUUAGUUCAAUAAGGAGAAUUAAAUCCUUGGAGUUAUUACAUAUAUAUAUAUAUAUAGUCAUACAUGCAUAAAAAAAAUCAAUUAAUAAUUAAACUCAUUGAAUUUAAUAAUUAAGUUUACUUUCUUCCAAAAAUUAGGUACUUUAUGUUAGGAUAGAGCCCACAAAAAGAUAACAUAAUGUAACAAUAAAUAAAUUUCAUCAAUACUUAUAUUAUGAUUCCACUUUUCCUUUUCACUAUCUUGUUUAUGCAUUAUAUAUGUUGAGUAUUCAAGUUUAUAUCACUUACAUUGUAUAUGACUUGUGCAUAAAGAAUUGCAUGAAAGAUCCAAGUCAUAGGUUCCUUGUAAAUUGAUGAUUCAUUUAUAGUUGGUCCAUGGAUUUAGGCAAUUCAUUUGAUGUUGUAGUCACUAUCUCUUAAUUGGAGGUAUGAUUGAUCUUAGUAAUCGAGAUGGGGUUCACAUGGUGAUUACACUAGUGUGUAUGGUUAGACAUUAAAAAAGACUUACGGUAUCAUAACAUUGGCUAUCAGGUAAUCAUUACUUUACCAAGCUACUAUGUUGCAUGAGCUCUUAAUCUUAAGAGAAUAUUGAGCUAGUGCCAAGGUCUUUAGUAGCUUUGGCCUAAAAAUCAAACCUUAAGGUGGUCAUAUAUUCCUUAUGUAUUAGGUCACUAUUGAUAAGGGCAUAUGACAACAAAUAUUCUCAAAAUAGGCACCAUGAUAUCUCAUAGGUUUGAGACAGUGUGUCCCCUUGAGUGAUCCUAAAGACAUAUAUAAUCAUGAAAUUUGUUGUCAUAAUAAUUCUUUAAGUGGAAUUUGACAUAUGUUUUGAAGAGUUAAAGUAUGUUAGGUGAUCACAUAAUAGGAGGAUUUGACACUCAAGGAUGGUAGAGGUAAUCUUGAGAGGUUAAUAACAUUCACCUUGUUAGAUUACAAACAUGGGAAAGCUUACAUGUAGUCAUUACUAGGUCACAAACUUGAGUUUUCUAUCUUAAGUUGAUAUCAUAAGGAUAUUAGAGUGUAGUUCACUCUCUAUAAUGAAAAGUUGAGUCAACUUCAGAAUUAGAUUUUGAGGGAGUCAGUACUUUCUUAUGAGUUCCAAUGGUCCCUAUUCAAACUUACAUUCGUAGGUAGCACAUUAUUAGAGUGAUAUUUAGGUUUUUUAUUCAUAUGGCUGCAUAAGGCAUUUUGGUAAAUAAGUAAGGUUGUAUAAGAUCUUACAAAUGGUCUUUCUAGAAGAAGCUAAUUAAUUAAUUAAUUAGAACCCAAUAGGAUUAAUUAAUUAAUUAAGAACCAAUGGGGCUAGAUUAAGUUACCUAAGCUUAAGAUGGAUUCAAGUCACUUAAUCUCAUAAGGCAAGCCUAUAUAAACCCUCUUAAUCGAUUAGGACUUGCACAUUCUUGGCAUUCAAUCUUUCAUAGAGAGGAACCCUAGCCUCUAUCCCCACAAAGAGAAUUUCACCAUCUUCACUUGUCAAAGUUCAUGAGAGAGCCAUCUAACGGAAGAUGAUGAGCUAUUUGAGAUUUGCAUUUCUCUUUUCACUGACUAGAAUUGAUCUAAGAACAUCAAAUCACAUAAAUUAAUUGUUUUCUAAAUAACUAAAUCUCUAACUCAUAGUUUUAAAAAAUUUUCGUUCCCUAGAUCUAGUGUCCCGAGGAAGUUAUUUACAUGUACACCCAAAUGAUCUAAGGCUUGGAAUGGAGUAAUAUAGAUAUUCCAACACUUUAAGUUUAAAAAUUACUGACAUAACACAUUUAGCAUAAUUAGUUCAUAUUCAACAUAAUUUUAUUUUAAAAAAAAAAAAUACAUCCAUCCACUAAUAAUAAGACUGUGCCUAAAUAGCGAGACCUAUGCUAGGUGGCUAAGAUUGCACUAGAUCACAACUUUUACCAAGGGGAAUGAAAGUCAACAACUCAACCAUUUUCUUUAUUAGGUUUACUAAUAAUUAGAGUUUCAAAAUCAUUAUAAUAAAUUAAAAGGUGAAAUUCAUUUCUCAAGUAAUUAAACAAAUCAUAUGAUAUUCUCAAUUCAUUUUACAAAUUAAAAACAAACCAUAACAUAUUUUUUUUAAAAAAAUAUUAUUUGAUUCACUUUAGGAAAUUCAAACAUUUUGAUACCUUAACAAUAAAUAAAAACGUAUAAAGAAUUAUAAAAUUAUUUGCCACACUAUUUAACCUUACCUAAAAAAGUUACUUAAACUCCUAAAAGACUAAUAGUGUUAAGUAUUAGGUUUUUUAAAAAAAUAUUUUCUUUCUAUUAAAUAUUAAAAAGUAAUAAAAAAUCAAUAUAUUAUUUUUUCCAUUUAGAAAAAGUUAAAUAUUUUGACUUUUUCUAUUUAGCAAAAAGUUUAUAAUUAGUUAUGAAAAAGUAGAAAAACAAACAAUUUAAAGUCUAAAAGCAAAUUAUUUUUAAUAAAAACGGCUUCUUAAUCUACACCUAACAUAAAUAAUAAUAAUAAUAAUUACCAAAUUAUCUAAAAUUAACAAAUUCCUAAAUCUUUGUAGAACUUGUGUUUGUUCAAACUUUCUUCUAAGAAUUUAUUUUUAUAUCAAUAAAAUCUUUCAUUAACGAUACUGUUAUUAUUUUCAUUUUGUAUAAUUACAUUAAUGAUAUUUAUUAUAAUUAUUAUUAUUAUUAUAUUAUUAUUAUUUUUAUUAUUAUUUAUUUAUUUCAUGAAAAGAACAAGCAUAGUUAUUUUUAUUAAUUUAUUAUUAUUACUUUUCCCUACCGUUGUCCCAACAACCAAAGAUCUAGGUACACUGAAUCUUAUAACAAAAUAUAAUUAUAGCUUAUUUGGAGAUGGAAUUUAAAAACAAUUUUUGGUUUUUAAAAAUUAGAAUAUUGUUUUUAAAAAUUUAUAACACUGUUCGGUCAUCAUUUUUUGUUUCCAGUUUUUAAAAACAAAAUGAAAUAGAAAACAUUUUUUUUUAAAAAAAAGAUGUAAAAAUUGUUUUCAUUUAUUUUUAAAAACAAAAAAAAAAACAUAGAGAAGUUUUAAAAACUUAAAAAGAAAAUAAAAUUAAAUAUAAUAUCUUUCUUCUUCUCUCUAUUGGGAAUAAAUCAUCUGUGAACCAAUUGUAAACAAAUCAUGUACUUAUAAGAAACCUUUAACUUGAAUUUUUCGUAUAAUUUAUAAUGCACCUAAAUCAUAUACAAUGUAAGAAAUGUCAUACUUGAAUGCUCAAAAAAUAUAAAGCAUAAAUAAGAUAGAUGAAGUAAGAAAUUAGAAUCAUAUUAUGAAAAAAAUAAAUUAUAUUAUUAUUACAUUAUGUUAUACUUUUAAGAACACUAUCCUAACAUUCUCUCCAUGACCUAAUGCCGAUAUAAAAAAUCAUAUUUUAUAAUUUUUUGCAUAAAUUCAAUAAUUAAUACAAAUUUUUUAAACUAGUCAAUUUCUGGACUUGACUAGUUUCUUCUUUGCAUAUAAUCAUAUUUUUAUAAUUUUUUUCACUAGGCAAUAACUAUAAAUGAAGCAACUUAAUGUGUUAGAUUCAUUAAUGAGUCUAAUCAUUUAAAAAAUAACUUGAAACUCAAUAGUGACCAAAUUAAAUCCAGAAAUUUAUGAUUAAAAAUUGGUCCACAGUAACUAUUAUUUCUUUUCUAUAUACAAUUAUAUUUUUAUAGAUUUUUUUCAUUAGAGAAAUGAACUUGAAUUCAAGUGACAUUUUCUAUUAAUUUAUUGAUGAGUUUAAUAAUUUUUAAAAAUAAUUUGAAACCAAAAAAAUAAUUGAUUCAAUUAAUUGCAAAUUAAAUCAAGACAUUCUAAAAUAACAUGUCCUUAAUUAAGUAUUAAAUAUGUGCAAGUAAUCUUAACUUAUUUAUGUCUUAAAAAAAGUUAAACUUUAUUUGUUUAAAAUUACUUUUAAAUAAAAUAUUAUUAAUAAUUAUUAUUUUUGAAUUACUAUUAUCCAUUUGUAACAAAAAAAAUCAAUUAUGUUUUCACGAAGAUGUUAACAUCAAUAUUUUUAUAACAUGUAUUAAAAUAUUAUUUUUUAUAAUAAAAAUAUGAUUUAUGAUUUUAUUAUAAUAUUACAAUUCAUAUUUUACUAAUAUUUUUCAGAAAUGAUAAAAACAUUUUUCAGAAUUACUUCCAAACGGACUUAUACUUAAAUUUUAAUUUAUUGCAUAACACGACAGAGUAGAAUCCCAAAUAUCUGAUGGAUUCAGGUACAUAGCUUCGUAAGGCCAUUAACGCAAUUAAGUAACCCUUGGACAAGUAUAAAAUUUAACACCAAGAGGUAUCAUCAUCACGGAUAAACCUCAAUGAGGGACCUGAAACCUAACACUGCGCUUAUCUUAUAGUGAGUGAAGCCUGCAGUCACAAAGAGCUUCUUCCAUUCGUUCUCAUUUCUCUGUUUACCUGUGAGCACAGUCAUCAUAAGCAUGUCCCAAAAUAGCUGGGUUUCGACUGCUUGGUCGUCUCCUUUGUUGUUCUCCAUUACCAUGUCGAUGAUCAUCAGCUUCCCUCCCUUGUCCUUAGUUGGAAUUGCUUCUUUGCAUUUCUUCAGUAUCUUCACACAUUCCUCAUCGCUCCAGUUAUGUAGGAUCCACUGCUUGUCAUUUUACAGUAUUGAAAGCGAAAACAUCGAAAGGGGAAAAGUAAAUAAAUACACAAAGGAAUAAGAUUAUGUACACACCUUGAGUAUGACUGCAUUCGCAGAAGGAAUUGUCUCAAACAUAUCCCCUCCUACAACCUCCAAGUUUCCACCUCCCUGUAAAUCAGCGACUACGUGUGGUUGAUCAAAUACAAUGCACUUCAAAUGAGGGAAUGCUUUGGCAAUGGCUUUGGUCAUUGUUCCAGUGCCUGCCCCAACAUCGACCAACGAGAACAGCCCUUUGAACUGCUCCUUACACUUGGUAAUCAGCACGCUUGCAAUAAUCCGGGAGUCGCUUGCCAUGGCCUCAUUAAAGAGAUCAUUAAAGUCUGGUUCUUGGGCUGUAUAAUCCCAAUAUGGCUUGCCGUGUGCAGUAUAAAAUGGGGUUGGAUCACCAUUCCGGAACCAACCACUCAAGAAAUGCCAUGGAGCUGUAAGUACUGGAUUAAGAUGAAGAAGUGAUAGUGGCAGUCCGGUCAGGGGCUCAUCUUUUAGUAGGAACCGAGAGGCAGAAGUCAGGGAAUACCCUUCUUCUUGCUCAUUGUUAUGGAUUACUUGUUGCUGAGAAAAGAAGCCAGAAUGAACAAGAAGCCGCAUGAGGCGGUGGAGGCAUGGUGCUUUAGAUGGUUGGACAGACAGGGCAGUGACCAGUUGAGAAAGAAGCAUGGGCUGGCCAUGGCUGUGGAUGACAUCUGGUAUGGCUAGGUCUAUUGCACAUUUCAGAGCCAUGGAGUUCAUGAAGUUGAACACGUGGUUCACUACCUGAGCUUGGGCUUGAAGUAGCUCAUCAGCUCUCUCCGCACUGCCCAAAUCCAUCCUAUCCCUAUAUCCUCUUCUAUGCUGCUUUACUUUCUCCCCUCCUAAGCCUCUAAACCAUUGAUAUUUAUAUCAGUUUUGAAAAGGCUUAAUGUAUUUAAUUUCCUUGGAAUAUUAAAUUAAAAUCCCAAGACGCUGCACUAGAUGGGUAGAAGUAAUAAUUGAGCGCGGAACAUGGGCCACAUUGUUUAUGAAUCCAGCUGUUCGUAUCGAAUGCUAAGAUAUGAUCAUGUGCUCUCAAAUUAUUGCUCUGCACACAAUUAAUUUUUUUAUCAUCAAAUUAGCUGAAAAUGAAUAAUCUUUAAUUAAAUGCAAAAUCCAAUUCAGUAUGAUUAAUCAUUUUACCAACAUAAUUUAACUAAAAGGGUGUUUGGGAAAUCAAUUUAAUAAUUUAAUAUGAUUUAAUAAUAAAUUAGAAUCAUAUUAUGAAAAAAAUAAAUCAUAUUAUUAUUACAUUAUAUCAUACUUUUAAAAACUCUAUCCUAACAUUCUCUCCGUGACCUAAUAUUGAUAUAAAAAAUCUUCAAAUAUAAUUCUCCUUUAAAUUACACAUUUUUUUUUUAGAAUAAUUUUUUUUUUUUUUUACUUUUCAAUUCAUUUUCAAUUUUUCUUCCCUUUGUUAUUCUUUUUUGCUUUUUUUUUAAAUGGUCAAAAAUAAUUUUUGAUAUCAACAUGCCCACAGGGAUAGGGCAUUUGCUAAGGUGGGUGGGAUAUGAAUGUUAGAUAUUCAUUCCCUAUUUGGUGACAUUUUUAAAAAUAAUUUAAAAGUAAAAAAAAAUAAUUUUUUAUGACAAUUUCUAAAAGAAACAUGAACAUAGACCUUAUUCCUCGAUACAAAUACAAUACACUUUUUACAAAUAGACAGAUCCAUAAUGAGAUCAAAGUUAUUAUAUUUCUAACAACUUGCAUCCUCUCAUAUAAAUAUUAUUUGAUUUAGAUUUGAUGGGUUCUCAAUCCCCUAUCUAUUAUGAAAUAUUAAAACUUAAAAAAAAAAAAAAUUCAAUAAAAUGUUCUAAAAAAUAUUGUUAAAAUAUUCUUUAUAUAUAUGUUAAUUACUUUUUAGAAUUAUCUAUAAAAAAAAUAUAUAUCUUAAAUUUAUACUAAAAAAUAACAUAUUUUUAAAAGAAGUUAUGUUCAAUAAAAUAAUUUUGUUAAACAAAAUAAAUAAUUUUGUUUUAUUUUAAUUUUUAAAUUAAUUUUAUUAUAUAAAUUUUUAAAUUAAAAAUAUUAAUCUUUAAUUUAAAAUUUAACUAUAAAAGGAAUGAAAUAUAGAAAAAUAAAUUAAUUUAUUAUCCAAUAAAUUAAUUUUCAAUAAAAUUUUCAUCAUUAAGAGAUAUGAUUUUUUAAGUAUUAAUCAAUUUAAAAAGAAAUAAUAAUCAUUUGUAUAUUAAAAUAUUUUAUUUAAUAAUUAUAAAUGCUAAACAACAAAAGUAAUUUGAAAAAAUAAUAAAAUAUUUCUUUAAAAAUAAUUUAAUACACUUAAAAUUAGAAAUGAUUAAUUAUUUUUUAUUAAGAAAAAAUUGAGGAAACAUUUUGUUCUAUAAAUUUUUUCUUUUAUCUGUUUCCAAUUUUUAAUGUUAUAUGUUUCAAGAAAAUCGAUCAAAUAAAAAUUAAGAAAUCAUUUUUAAAAAAAAUUAUAUAUCCAAAUAAAACCUUAAAAUUCAAAUACACAAUAUCAUAAAUAUAAAUACCAAGUCCAUCCUUAAUUAUCAAAUGUUUUUAAUAUUAAAGAAUUUAAGUCACCUACCAUCAUGACAUGUAGGGCAGUGACCAGUUGAGAAAGAAGCAUGGGCUGGCCAUGGCUGUGGAUGACAUCUGGUAUGGCUAGGUCUACUGCACAUUUCAGAGAGCCAUGGAGUUCUUGAUAUUUAUAUCCUCUUCUAUGCUGCUUUACUUUCUCCCCUCCUAAGCCUCUAAACCAUUGAUAUUUAUAUCAGUUUUGAAAAGGCUUAAUGUAUUUAAUUUCCUUGGAAUAUCAAAUUAAAAUCCCAAGACGCUGCACUAGAUGGGUAGAAGUAAUAAUUGAGCGCGGAACAUGGGCCACAUUGUUUAUGAAUCCACCUGUUCGUAUUGAAUGCUAAGAUAUGAUCACGUGCUCUCAAAUUAAUGCUCUGCACACAUUUAAUUUUUUUAUCAUCAAAUUAGUUGAAAAUGAAUAAUCUUUAAUUAAAUGCAAAAUCCAAUUCAGUAUGAUUAAUCAUUUUACCAACAUAAUUUAACUAAAAGGGUGUUUGGGAAAUUAAUUUAAUAAUUUAAUAUGAUUUAAUAAUUUAAUUUAAAUAAUUAAAUAUAUUAAACAUAUAUAUAAUAAAAUAACUUAUUAUUACAACUUAAAGUUAUUUUUAACUUUAAGUAUUAAGUUAAAAAGUUAAUUUAUUCUUAAUCUCAAUUUUUUUUUUUUCCUCAUUUGUCCACACAGUGAGAAUAUAUUUUAAAAUUAUAAAAUUAUCUUGUAUAUGUAAAAUACUUUAAAUAUAUAUAUAUGUUUUACAAAUAAAUUUAUAUGUCACUUAAAAUUAAUGAAAAUAAAUUGAGUUAAAAUCAAUAACAAUAAACACUUAUUAAGAUUAAUGAGGGCAGACAUGUCAAUUGGAUAAUUUAAAAUAAAUUUUAAAUUAACUUUAUCAAACAACCAAGAUGAAAAUAUCGGUAAUUAUGGAUAUAUCAAUACUUCGAUUUUAAGGAUAUAUCAAAAAUAUUGGAGAAAUAUCGGUGGAUAUUUUUUCACAAAUAUCGGUGGAGUAAAAAUUAUUUAAAAUUCAUAGGAAUGCUUGGAAAAACACAAAAAAAAAUGAUAAAAUAAGUAAGAAUACACAUUUUAAAGUUAUUUUGUAAGUGUAAUUAACAUAGAUAUGAUCAAGAAGAAAAAUAUCGGUAGACAGAGAUAUAUCGGUAGAUUCGAUAUUUGAAUUUUAAAAAUAGUAAAUAUGAAUUUUGGAAGUGUAUAAAGUUAGAAUUGAGUUAAGAAAUAUUUUAUUUUAUUAAAUAAAAACAAUUUAAACAUAAAUAUAAUACAUAUGUGUAGACCCCCAUUGAGGCAUGGGUCACUUUUUUUCUUUAUUUGUUUUUGCAGAUCACAUUUUUAGCCAGGUGUCACUAUCCCAACGGGCCACGUGUCACAUCCUUAAUGGCCAUAAGGAAUCAACCUCACUUUUUGAAGUUGCAGUAGGACUUUGACACGUGGAGGAACUUUCUGGAAUGGGGUCUCGUAGGCCGUUGGGGGGCGCGGAUGAGAGAGAAGAAAAGGUGGCUGCAGAAGGAGUGGGACAGAAAAGGUGGCAGAAAAGGUGGCUGCAGCAAAGAUCGUUGGAAAGGCGAAUCCGGGAUACAGAAAGAAAAUGAGGGAACAAAAAAAAGGGCGAGGGUUGAGCUUGAGAGGACGAAGGGGAAAGAGGGAUUCCUUGGCUUGUGGCUUGAGAGGAAGGAUAGCUGUUCGAUUUCUUGCCCACCUAGCUGGAGAGAGUUAUUUUCAAGGUACGUUUAUUGCGUAUUCUUCGUCAGCUUCUAAUGGUGUGCUUUUCUACUUUGUUUUUAUUGAUUCUCGGAUGAUGAGUGUUGAUUGGGAGUGAAUACGUUCAUAUUUUUGCUAAUGGUUUUAUAGUGGUUUAGUUUGCUCUGGUUUUGAUUUCUCCAUGAGAUAUUUUUGUAACCACGUUUUACCUUUCAUUUGAUACUCAUUUAAUCUUACCCACCAUCAUCUAAGCCUGUUGGUAUGAUGUGAAACAUAGCUUGUCGGGCUCGUUUUCUUGUAUCUACUCUUUGUGCUCUGUUUUGUUAUCCUCCUCUGCUCUUGAUAUCCGUCCAUGGUACGCAUCCAUUUUCUCAUCCCUGCUUGAAGGAGAUCCUAGGAAAUCUGGAGUAGUUGUCUUGGCAGCCAAGCUCACCUCAUCAACAUCCCCAUACCCAUUCUCGUUUAUUAUUCAUCGUUUUAUCCAACAUGCCCUCACCCCCAUCCAUCACUCCAUUCCUAUCCCCGUUUAUCUUCGUCAUGCGUAAACCCCCACGCAUCUCAUACCAGGAGGUGAUGUCUCAAGAUGAUGUAGGAAGCUAGUAUUUGAAUUUGUGGAAAGAAGGGGAAUUAAUCACUACCAUAUUCUCACCUUUCAUGCCCGUUUAACUCAUCGUCAAUACCCAUGUGUAUGUGUGAGCCUCCCUAAAAAUUGCCGCGUGGUUCCCUCUCCCUUGGACACACAGACGGCCCCCUUGCGACGCGUGGCAUAGCUCAUUCCACCCGGAUGUCUCACAUCCGGAAUUCUUCUCCGCCGACAUUCCAUCCGGAUGUCUCGCAUCCGGAAUUCUCCCCACCGACAUUCCACCCGGAUAUCUCACAUCCGAAAUUGUUCUCUGCCGACAUUCCAUCCGGAUGUCUCGCAUCCGGAAUUCUCUCCACCGACAUUCCAUCCGGAUGUCUCGCAUCUGGAAUUCUCUCUGCUGACAUUCCGUCUAGGUGUCUCGCAUCCGGAAUUCUCCCCUGCCGACAUUCCACUCGGAUAUCUCAUAUCCGGAAUUCUUCUCCUCCGACAUUCCAUCCGGAUGUCUCGCAUCCGGAAUCUCUCCGCCAACAUUCCAUCCGGAUGUCUCGCAUCUGGAAUUCUUCUCCGCCGACAUUCCACCCGGAUAUCUCACAUCCGGAAUUCUUCUCCGCCGACAUUCCACCCGGACAUCUCACAUCCGGAAUUCUUCUCUGCCAACGUUCCACCUUCUCCGGAUAUCUCGCAUCCGGAAUUCCGUCUGGCUGACGUUCCACCUUUUUCUUCAUCCUUAGAGCAUUUUCUUGAGGUUCCCAAAAUCCCAUUUUUGAUAAAUUUGGCCGCCAUUUUCUUUUUGGCGAGCAACUUCCGAAUUUUUCAUGAUUUUACAAUAAUUUAAAAUAAGCAUGAAGUCAAAUUCUGUAAUUCCAAAUGAUGGAAUUUAUGGAAUUAGUUCAUGCAAAAUAAAUGGGUUAUGGUGGGGGCCCGACAUCAAAUAAAUUUCUUCAAAAUAAAACGAAUUUGAACGAAAUGCCAUGCGUGCUAUUGGUGGAUUCUUUCUUUUCGGUAAUAUGAAUGAUAUACUUUAUGCUCAUUACUAUGCACUAACCCUAAUUUGUGUAGCGCGUUGCCGUUUGCUGAUCAAGUACGCAUCCACUUCCACUUUGAUUAUUCUCUAUGUAUGUUUUGAUUCUCAUGUGUGCACGAUAGUUUUGGGUAUUCAUUAUUUUCCUUAUUAGAUGCCACGACUACUUCAUUUUAUUAGUAGAGACCCGACUUUAGGGACUUAGAGGGGUGUUACGGUCUUUACCGUACCUUCCCCGAUAAGUAACCUGACCCCCGAACCCGAUCCGGUUUUUCGCAGAUCACCUUUUCCAAAUAAGGAGUCACACUUAGGGUUUUGUUUCUUAUUUUGUUUACCCUUUAAAAAAUAAAACAAAAAUAAGUGGCGACUCCAAGUCAUUUUCUUAAUCAAUGAAAAUCAAUUUCUUUUUAUUCAAAACCAAAAUCGAGCUCACCAUUGAGUGGGGAACGCAUUGAGCCGAAAUGCGGGGUCCACAAUAUGACAUUGCAAUAGUCCUUAGUAUCAAAAUGAAGAUCGAUGUGGUUUGAUCAUAUUGUUAGAUGAAGGGAACCCAUCUUGUUGAAGACAAUAUUUAUUUUAAAAUUUUCAAAAUACUUUUAUUAAAACAUGUUUUAUUACAUUUUAAAUAAAAAAUUAAAUUAAUUUAUAUAAAAUAUUUUAUUUGAGAUUUAAUUUCUAAAAUUUUAUUAAAAAUAUGUGGUAACAACUUUUUCUAUUAACAUUAAUUUAUUUAAAUAAUUAAAAUUAUUAAUAAUUUAUCUUAUUAAAUUAAUUAUAAUUUAUAAAAUAUUAGAACUUUCUUAAAUUUUUAUAUUAUAGCAAUUUUUUUUGGGUAAAAUUAUAUUUUUAAUAUUUUAAAAUAAAAACAUUUAAAAUUAAAUAAAAUUGAAAGGAUAAAUAUGAAAAAAAAAUUAAGAGUGAAGUGAUAAUAAUUUUUAAAAAUAGGAUUAAUGAGAUAAAUAUGAAAAGUGUUAAAAAUAAAAUGAUAAUAUAAAAACACGGAUGAAAUUUGGGCCAUUGGAUCGUCAAAAAUUAAAAUAUGGGAAAUUUCAAAAUUUUCAAAAAAAAGUGGAAGAAAAAAUCAACGAUUUUUCGACGAUUUUUUUAUGUUCUCCCCGGUUACUUCGCGUGUCGCUCCACUCGCAAUUUUAUCACCAAUUUAUCAAUUCCAAAUCGAUAUUUCGGCAAUUUAUUGAUGUUUUCCCGAUAUUCCUCCUGUUCGAUAAUCGGUGCUCAAAAUUGUUUCGAAGUUGUCUGAUAUUCGAUAUAUCGACGAAAUAUUGUCGAUAAAAACCAAAAUUUUAAUCCAUGCAAACAACCUCAACAUUUCGAAAUAAAAAUAUGUUUUAAGUUAAUAACUUAAAAAUAAUUUAAUUUAAAGUCAACUUAACUUGAUCAAUAUUAAGUUUUACCAAACACUCUUUUAUUAACAUUUUAUUAAACAUGAUAGACAUUAAGUCAAAUUUAUCAAUUCAUGGUUUUUUUAUUUCUAAUGUAGGGUUCUUUGAAUGACUUGGAACCAUUAGGCAUGCCAAAAAAUGGCUUCCUUAAGCCUUAUAUAUAUAUAUAGACAUAUAGGAUACUAAAAUUAGAGUGUUGAAAUUUAAUAAAGGCAACUAGAAUUGUAGUUUAAAAAGGCGCAAGGUGCACGUAAUGUGCCAAAGUUUCGUAUAGUUUAAGCACAAGGUGCAACACAAGGUACAUACAUGCCUAAGUGAAGUGAAAUGCAAUUUAGGAUAUACAUCAAUUUUGUAAAAUAUAAUUCAAAAUAUAAUCCAAUCAAUAAAAAAAUAAUGAGAUUAUAUAAAUUUCAAUAUAUAAUUAGAAAUUUCAAGAAUAAAAGUGUUUAAAAAUCAAAAUUAAAAUCGAUAAGACACAUUGUAGACCCCAAAAUUUGUCCCAAUUUUAUUUUUACAUUAAUUUUGAGUCCAAUUUUGUCCUUAGAUUUUAAAUCCCAAUUACAUGUGAUAUUUUUGACCCACUCACCAUUUAAUUCUUAGUUUUUUUUUUUAUCUUAUAUAUUGCUUUAUUAUUAUUAUUAUUAUAUUUAUUAUAUUUUAUUUUAUUUUUCUCUCUCCUCUCUCCUCCAUCUAUCCCCAUACCUCUGCCCAUACCCCCAUAUCUAAGCCAUACCCCUAUUUCCUCACUUUCUUUACUUUAUUAUAUUUUUUUCCUUUUUUUUUAUUAAUUUUCUCUCCAUCAUUUCUUUUUCUAGCUCUUUUCUAGCAGCACAAACACUCCAUGACCCACACACCAGACGACUAGCCCAUUUUCUCUUCCAUUUUUUUUCUUCUCUCUGUUUACUCUUUUUCACUUACAUUCUGCAACUCCACCCAAUCUUCAUUCAUUUUAUUAUUAUUAUUAUUAUUAUUAUUAUUUUGUCUCUUUUUCUUUUCUUCUCCAUACCACUUCCCAUCUUCAGCAGUCUCCAUUGCCACUAUCGGUGGCGUGACGUCGGCGUCCCUCCAUCCUCUUUUUCUCCCAUUUUCUUCCUCCCAUUUUUUAUUAUUUUCAUUUCUUUUAUUAUUAUUAUUAUUAUUAUUAUUAUUAUUUUAUUUUGUUUUUGUUUUUGUUUUUCAAAAAGCCAUCAACCCUCAUUAUUGUCGGCGAGACCACCGACCAGUUGUUGCUGGCAAGCCACUGCCAAUCGGUGACCCCUUCCUAUUUUCUCUCAUUCUCUCAUUCCUUCACUUUCCCAUCACACACAUUUUCCAUUAUUAUUAUUAUUAUUGUUAUUAUUAUUAUUAUUAUUAUUAUUAUUAUUAUUAUUAUUAUUAUUAUUAUUAUUAUUAUUAUUAUUAUUAUUAUUCAUUUUUCUUGAUUUGAUUUUAAUAGUAAUUGUUGUUUGUGAGAUUUAAAUUAUUGAAUUAAUAUGAAAUUUGAGUUUUGUUAAUUAAUAUGGAAUUUGAGUUAAUUUGUUAUUGGAAAAUUAAUAUUAAAUUUGGGCCUAAUGAGAUUUAUUUUAAUUUAUCAUGUUUUGGGUUUCAUUAAUUGAGCUUAUAUUUUGGCUAUUAAUUCAGAAAUUUUAUAUUAGAGUCUAUGACAUAUGAGAUAUUUUUGUUGGGUUAUAUUUGUUAAUUUGGGCCCAUUUUUAAUUGAUGUUAUUGAACUAAUUUGAAGUUUGAAUUUGGGUUUGAAUAAUUAUUUUGGGCUUGACAUAUUUUUGGAUAUUUACACUUUGGAUUAUUUUUGUUUUUUCAUGGAUCCAUUCUGUAAAUUUGUUAGCUGAGUUUGAAUUUAUGACACAUGGUUCACGAAAUUUCAUGGAAGAAAGUGAGACUCCAAAAGUCGUAGGAAGACAUUGAACUUGUUGUAAGCUUGUUUGGUUACACGUUUUUCCCACUUUUAUUCGGUUUUAUUUUUAUUAGUUCUUAUAAAUAUUUGUUUAUAUAUAUUUAUUGAGUGUGUAUAGAAUUGAAUAUUAUGUUUUAAUAAAAUAAUAAUUUUAAAAUAUUCUUCUUAAUAAAAGAAAGUUUUUUUAUUAAUAAAAAUUCAGAAAAAUGCUUUUAGAAAAAAAAAAUUAAUAGAAUUUGAAAAAUUGUUUUUAAUAAAAAUUGUCCAAAAAUUUCUUUGUUUAAUAAAAAUUGUCCAAAAAUUGUUUUGUAAAUAAAGUUUUCCCAAAAAUUAAUUUUUAAUUAAAAAUUCUUUUGCAAAUAAAGUUUUAUAUAUAUAUAUAUAUAUAUAUAUAUAUAUAUAUAUUUGUAUAAGUCACUUUUCUUAAAUGAAAACAAAUUGAAACACUUUUGUAAAUAAAAUUGUAAAAAUUCAUUCUUUUCUAGUAAAAGCAAGUAAAAAUAAUUUUUGUGCCCAAAUUGAAAUUUUGUAAUAAAUUCUUUUGAUAAAAUAAGUGUAAAUAACUUCUUCUUUUUUUUUAAAAAAAAAAUUAAAUACAAAUGAAUUGAAUUAAAUCAUUAAUUAAAAAUAAAUUGAAACUUUUUUUUUUUUUGUAAAUAAAUAAAUUGAAAGCACUAAUUCAAAUUUGUUUUUAAUAAAAUCAUUUGAAAUUUAUUGAAAACUAAUUCUUUCAAAUAUCUUUUUUUCUAAUUGGUCAAUAAAUCAAUUUGCAUAAUUCUAUAGUCAUUUGUUUUGUAUAUUCUUGUAAUUUAAUUUUGUCAUCAUCUUUGUGUAUAUUGUUUCAUUCCUUAAAUCUUGGUGUCCAUGAUUAAUUAAUUAAUUGCCACAAUUUUCUUAAUUCGUUUAGUAGAGAUCGUAUGUAUACGGGCUUAGAUGGGUGCUACGGCUCACCACAGUACCUUCCCAAUAGGUAACUUGACCCCCGGAUCCAGAUUUGGUUUUUGCAGAUAUGUUUUUUCCAAAUAAGGAGUCACAUAGGAUUUUAUUUGUUAUUUUGUUUUCCCUUUAAAAAAUAAAACAUAAAUAAGUGGCAACUCCAAGUCUUUUUUAAAAAAAAUCAAAUUUUCACUUAAUAAAAACGAGUCGCACCAUUGAGUGGGAACAUGUCGAGUAAAAUGCGAGGUCCACAAAAUGGUGACUCCAUUGGGGAUAUUUAGAGUGUCAAACUUGAACUUGAGUUGAGGGAAAUGUGGCGUUUGAUUAGUCGAUUAGUGGAUACCCUUCUCUAUGUGUUUUUGUAUGAUUAGGUGUUGAUUACACGUUGAGAGCUUUGAUAUGUUUAUUUGUGAUGCAUGUUUAGUUAUUAUUGUUCAUUGGAGAUGUUGACAUGUUAACUACAUCGAUCGAUUCUCUUGCUUGCUUUAACAUAAGACUCUUCUUGUUGUAUGAUUAUCUUGCUCUCCUUGAUGUGUAUAUUCUCAUUUUUGUAUAUCUCAUUCAUAUUGGUGUGAUUGAUUCUCUCUAUUGUAUAUUAUCUUGUUUAUCUCAACAUAUUAUUUAUCCUUGUUAUAUACUUAUCUUAUUUAUCUUGUUUCCUGCUUAGCUUGUGUGGAUAUAUAAAUGAUAUACCUGUUAUUUGCAUGACUGGUUGGUGCAUGACUGCUCUUCUUCUAUGUGAUGCAUGUAUUUCUUGUUUGUGUGGGAUACACAUCUAUCCCCUUACCUUCAAUUCCCUAGUCUCGAUCGACUUUGUUUCCCUUAAUCUUGUAUUUGAUAUGAGACUUGUUACUUUGUUUGCUCUUCGACCGAGCUAGUGAUUUGGAGUAGGGUUUAGUGAUGGGCUAUAUCUAUGUUUGGGAGCAUUUUAGAGGAGGUCGACACAUUGAUGCUGAUUAGAGUCUGAUCUUUGAAGACUUGUAUAGCCUAGAGCUAGAUUUCAGGAUAUUUGUGUGACUAGUGUGUUUUCUUUCCACUUAGUUUGAUAGGAUUUUCAAAUGCACACACAUUGUUCAUUGUACACCUUAGAUUACCACUAAGUGUUGAGAGAUAUGAGAGUCUUCAUCAUUAGGAAACCUUUUAGGAUGCAAAAUAGUGCAUGUGUGGAGGUGAUGACCACUUUGCAUGGAAACACCCUCGUCUCUUCGGAGGUGUACAAGAGAUUACAUACCAUCAAAGGGUAUGAUUGCUUCUGCUAGAGUUCUUUUAAAGUCCACUCAUUUUUCAUUUUAGAGCCAUUUUGACCUUGUAGGUUGAGCCUUAGAUCUUUUGAUUAGGAUUUCCUUUCCUACAUGUGGGUGCAUCUAAGAGCCUUUGAGGCCACUUUAGUCAUUGUUUGGAUCUAAUACUCCAUCUUUUGGUCUCCAAUCGAGAGUGCUUAGAUAUCAGUGCGAGUUUGAGUAUCAGUUGGACUAUCCUUUGUUGUAUGGUUUUGGUUUCUUUUUAUCGCUCGUUGAGUCUAGCAAACUUUCUCCUUAGGGUUUCAAGUAGUCUUUUUUUCUUGAGUUGACACAUUCUUUCGGUUUAUUGUCACUUCUUACUUGAUAUUUUGGGAUAUGCUCAUUAAUCAUGCUCACCUUUUUACAUUCUUCACCUGUCAUGGGCUUGGUACUUCAUUCUUUGGUCGAUUUGCCUAUUUCAAUUUUCAACUUAUAUUUUUAUUACAGGAAAGUGAAAUGCAUGUUUUCACAUUCACACCCUUUUUGAGAGAUCUGCCUUGAUCACCUUAUCAUUUUUCUUUAUGGAGCUCAGGUUGAAAAUUACGGAUAUUUUGUUAUAAUGGAAUAUUGAUCUCAUGACAGUGUUUUUUUUCACACCUCAUUCUUUUCUGGAUUAUUGAUAAAGAUUCUUUAGUCACAUUUGUAGCCAUCUCAUAGUGGACACCUUUAUGACCUUAGAGUUUAUGUCAUUUUUCCAGUUUUAGAUUGCCAUCGUAGGACGCUAUAUCAUAUGAUAUGUUGUACUUUUGACUUGAGGCAUCUAUUCACUUGUACAUUGUGGUCUUGAGGCUUGACCUAUCAUGGAAAAUAUUGAGAUUGGAGAUCUGACCUAGGGAGUUUAAGACUGUGACCCAUCCUCUUAUGAUCAAAGCAGUACCUUACCCACUCUCACACCUUAACUUUGUUUUGACCUUCAUCCAUCCAUUGUGAGCUUUACAUAGCAUCACCCUUGACACCAUUAUAUGACCUUUCCAUCCCUAGUUGUUCUAGCUUUGCAUAUCCCAUCUUUGAUCUGACUAGGUAGAGUGUGAGGAGUUUGAGCCUAGGGUUGAUCUUGCAUGGUGAAUGAUGGCUUAUAAUCUUCAAGUGGCUUAUGAUGUGAGGAUUGGUCGAUUGCCUGAUGGGAUUGUCACUUAUUCUGCCAUGAGUAUAGAGGUUGAUCUGACAUGAUGAGAGUUGGCUUGUGAUGAGCACUUGUGCUUGAUGAGAUCAUCGUCGAUUUUGCUUUGAGGGGAUCAUCUUUGAGAUUAUUACAAAGCAUUUGGAGUAGGGUUUGGCGCAUGAUUUCAGAGGGUUGACGUGGUUAUAUAAGAUGGACAUUGAUAUUUAGUAUUGAUCAUUUUAGGGCUUGAGAGCACGAUGUUUGAGACCAUGGUCAUAGGAUGGGUGGCCUUCAUUUCAGUUAGGUCACACCUUAUUACCUUUAUUGACAUCUAAAUCGUUGCUAGCCCUUUGAGCCUCGUGUCAACAUCAUAGACUUUUCAUUCUUAUAACCUUGCUCACCUUUUACAUCGAGAUUGGGGCCCUUUGGUGUAUAUAUGCUUUAUUUAGGAGUUUCAUGAAUCAUGUACUUAUUGACUCACUUUCUUCACUGUUUUUUUAUUGUCCUAAUAUCAUUUUUCAUCAUACCUCAUUGUUUAUAUCAUUCGUUCCAUUUUUUUGUCUUUGUUAUCACUUUUUUUUUUUUUAUGUCAUGAGUGAUGAUUUUUCAUAUUUCAGUGCAUGAAGGACAAUCACAUCAUUUUCUACUCCUAUCUCAUGGACAUUGGUUCAGAGAUCCUUAGUUGAGAAGGUCAUUUUGUCAGAGAGAGUUUGUAUAUGUUAUUGUUUGAGAGUAUAUCCAUUUCAUUAUGUGUUCUCAAUGGAGUUCAUUUGUUGAUAUUCAGAGUAUGCGCCAAAAAAAAAAGGUAAUAAAUGCAUGUAUAUAGUGUCAUUCUCCAUUGAGUGUAUAUAUUGGUCAUUGAGGUUACUUUAUUGAGUUAGUUGCUUAUGAAAGUUCAUAUGUGAACUUUCAGGAGGCUCUCAUCUCUUUGUGCCUAUCUUGUUAUGUAUUUUAUGUGUGAGAGACAAGUGACCUUUUCCUAGGGACUCCGAAUCAUUGUCUUCUCCAUCAUUACAUACAUUGGUGAUUUGACUGUUCUCCAUGACUUGAUUUAAGUAUAUUAGCACUCAUUCAUUUUCCUUUAAUCUAUUUGUUCCUCUCAUGGAAUUUCAUUCACCUCGCCUAAAUUGUUCUUUGUUCAUAUCGAUGUACAUUCCGUGUUCGAUAUUUUCCACACAUCAUUCUUAUACAUCCCAUCGACAGUUCGAUAUUCUUCAUUUCUUCUCUUUCAGCAUUGAUAUAUUCAUCUUGGAUUCUUUCUUCCUCACUGAUAUAUUCAUAUUGGACAUCCUUAGGUCCAUGAUUUAUGAGACUCUCUGUACAUAUUGCAUUUUAUACACGAGGGUAUGGGGUUUUAUCUUUGGGAUUGUUGAGCCUAGUUUCCAUUCAUUUCUUCACCUUAUUACCCUAGCCUAUGUUAUGUCCCUAGUCUUAAGACCACCUUAAGACCAUAAUAUCACGCAUUGUGUUUUGAUAGCUCUCACACGAGCGAUACUUGGGAUCAGUUGGAGAGCAUUUUGAUUAUGAUGGUUCAGGAGUUGUGGAAUGACCCCACACUAGGGCAUAGCCACCUCAGAGAGUUUGUUGGAUAUAUGGUCUUUUUAUUUGAUGUAUUGCACUGAGGUAUACCCUUUUCAGCUAGUUAUGGCUUCUUGAGAUGACAAAAUCACAUCGAGACAUGCUCAUUCUUUAAAGGAGAUCAGAUGUCCUUUUUCACAUUGGAGCAUGAGACAUAAUUGGCAUAUUUCAUUUGGUGUAAUUUACACAAGGGCAUAUUUCUCAAUCGAUGAUGGUUUUUGAGGCAUAGCUAUUCCUUGGAGGUGAUUAGAUUCCUUUCAUAUUGGAGUAUGAGAUAUGGUUGGGUGAUUUAAUUGGAUGUGUUUAUACGGGAGCAUAACCCUCUCAUUGGUAUCGAUAGAUUUUUUUAGAUGAUUAGAUCAUGACACAGACACUUGUGAGAGCUUGCAGCGGAGUUUAGUCAUUUUAGAGGUUGCCUUAUACUGGGGCAUAACCCUUUCAUUGGUGAUUGAUCUUAGAGGUACCAACUUACAUUUGGGAAUGAUCAUGUCAAAGUGCAUUUUUGUUAAGGCAUACCACUUUGCUUGAUCUUUUUCACAUUGGGACAUGCUCUUUCUUUAGGGGAGGUCAGAUACUCUCUUCACAUUACCAAAAUGACAUUGAGGAGCAUAGAUUCAUUUUGAUCAAAUUAUGUAUGAUUGGUUGUACUUCUCCUAUGAUGCUUGAUUUGGAGAUGCUUAUACUAGGGCAUAGUGAUUUGACUCAUGGUAGCUUAGCUUUAAAGGCGUAUCAACAAAAUUUAUACCUUGAAUACUAUUACUAAAGUAGCCAAGCUACUAUAGCAUAGUGGUUCUAGGAUCGUUCACUGGGAAGGGUUUUCGCAAACACAAGUGAUAUUCAAAUUAGGAAAAUAGGUGAUUUUCUUAUGGAUGUUAGCUUUAAAAGAAGAUGUAAAUGUUUUAGAAAGAUUUAAACUAAUCUAAGCUAACAUUAAAGACUAAAAUGAAAGGGUGUAAAAACAAGUUUCUCAAAGAUAGGAUAGCUAUGCUCUGGCUCUUAUGCAAAUUGGAAAUCUCAGGAUAGGCUCCUCGCGUUGGGGUUGCAACUAUGGUGAUGCUUGCUUCCCGAACCGGUAUGGAUUUAGCAAAUCAAGUUUUAAUCCUUUAAAAUGGCAAAACAGAUGGUAGUGAAUUUCAUCAUGGUUAUUCACCUUAGACUUCCUUUGAAUGGCUCGUAGAGAUAACUAAUGGUCUAAAGCCAAAAGCUUANNNNNNNNNNNNNNNNNNNNNNNNNNNNNNNNNNNNNNNNNNNNNNNNNNNNNNNNNNNNNNNNNNNNNNNNNNNNNNNNNNNNNNNNNNNNNNNNNNNNAGCCAAAAGCUUACCAAAUAUUGGCAACUCAAAGUCAUUCCAGGUGAUAAACUCACCUUUCAAUGGCCAUUGAAAUUGGUUCUAACGGAUUAAUGCAAAACUUGGAAUUGAAAACCUCACCUUCCAAUAGCUCGUAGGAGAUAACUAAUGGAUAGAAAUCCAAAAGCUUAUCAAGUAUUGGCCGUUGGAAGUUGUCAAAAGGAAAUAAAAACCAAACUUUGCAUUAAUGAACCAUUAAUGAAAAACGACUACCUUACCUUCCAGGUGCGAGAAAUUUCCAUGGGAUUGCAUCCAAGCCAUCACAUAACAUCCAUACUUUGAGAGACUUAAAAGGUUUUAGCCAAUCAUCCUCUGAGGAAAAACCCUCAGAGGCUGUUUGGCUACUAAGAAAAUAGAAACGGGAGAAGAACAGGAGAAGAAUGAAAAACAGAGCAAGGCUCUGUAUAUUCUAUAUAUUGAUCGAUAAUAAAUUACAACGGAUGCAAGGGAAUAUAUAUAGAGAAGUUUUUCCAAUCCUUCCUAGCUAAGAAAUCUUAUGAUUCGUGGAUUACAAGGAGAAGAAUGGAAAUUUAUACAAAAAUAUCUAAAAGAAAAGAUCUCGUGUGGAGUCGGCAGAAACAGGGGAAAAUUCGCACGUUGGAGUUCCAAUUUCGCACGUUGAUUUGAGGUGUGCGAAAUUCUCGCACAGUGGACUGAGGAAUUCGCACCUUGAACAGUGGUGUGCGAAAUUGUCCCUCAGCUNNNNNNNNNNNNNNNNNNNNNNNNNNNNNNNNNNNNNNNNNNNNNNNNNNNNNNNNNNNNNNNNNNNNNNNNNNNNNNNNNNNNNNNNNNNNNNNNNNNNGCUUUAACUUGUCCAAGAAGCUCCUCCAUCAUUUGGCAUGCUUGAAUUGAUUCAUAAGCUGAUAUAAAACAUGUAAACUUGCCACAAAAUGGUUAAAACCAAUUACUAAGGACCUUAAUAAAUUAAUUGGGUUAAAUGAAUAUGAUUACUACCCAAAGGUGCUUAAAACCAUUAUAAUUAGGUCUACAAAAUAGCACUUUUUGGUAGUAAUCACACCCCCCAACUGACUCAUUGCUAGUCCCUUAGCAAUGGAGGAGAUAAAAACUAUGUAAACUAUAAUAAUAUACAUAAAAGGGAUCAUGCAAAUCACUCCAAAAAAUGAUAUGAGUGGCAUGACUGAUCAAACUCUCACAUGGAAAAAGAAAUAAAACUCAAACUUCAAUAGGAGCUAUCAAAUAAAUUGCCUAGUCACAAUUCAUAAAGAGUAGGCAUUAUGCAAAUUUAAGCUUCAAAAUAAUUUCCACUCCCAAAGGUCCAAUCCUUACUCUUCCACAAAAAUCUAUGUGUUAUUUAUUAGUUUCCGGAUAUAGUAUGUCAAACUAAUCUCUCCCCUCAACCUAGUUCUUUUCAAAGCUUAGCAAACUAAUCAACCUCCAAUAGGCUAAGAACACACCUCUUUUCUUUCACAAUUUUUUUCAUGUAGGAGUGCAAAGCUUAAAGGCAUUCUUUUCUAAAUUGUCCAUGUAACGGGGGUCCAUCGAUGACUCCCAACCAAUCAAGGUUUAAGGCAUCAAGCUUUAAGGAUUUUUCAACCACUAACUCCUCGGAUUUCACCCCGGACUUUUGAGAAUGAAUUUUUAAUACCCAAGCACCUACAGUAUGCUAAACUCCACCUAUUCACCCAUGUAACGAGCAUUGAGGUCAGUGACUCCCAACCAUUGAAGGCUUAGGGCACCAGGUUUUAAAGAUUUUCACCAUAUACCCCUCAGACCUUGCUCGGGUUUCAAGGCAAGUAAAACAUUUUUCUUUUUCUUUCUUUUUCCAAAGGCUCAUUGGCCUUUUAUAAGGUGUCUCAACACUAUUAAAAUGAGGUCAAAGGUACCAAGUCUAAAUUUUCCUAAGUCAGGAGGGAAAUAGUUUUUCAUCNNNNNNNNNNNNNNNNNNNNNNNNNNNNNNNNNNNNNNNNNNNNNNNNNNNNNNNNNNNNNNNNNNNNNNNNNNNNNNNNNNNNNNNNNNNNNNNNNNNNNNNNNNNNNNNNNNNNNNNNNNNNNNNNNNNNNNNNNNNNNNNNNNNNNNNNNNNNNNNNNNNNNNNNNNNNNNNNNNNNNNNNNNNNNNNNNNNNNNNNNNNNNNNNNNNNNNNNNNNNNNNNNGGAUAUAGUAUGUCAAACUAAUCUCUCCCUCAACUAGUUCUUUCAAAGCUUAGCAAACUAAUCAACCUCCAAUAGGCUAAGAACACACCUCUUUUCUUUCACAAUUUUUUUCAUGUAGGAGUGCAAAGCUUAAAGGCAUUCUUUUCUAAAUUGUCCAUGUAACGGGGGUCCAUCGAUGACUCCCAACCAAUCAAGGUUUAAGGCAUCAAGCUUUAAGGAUUUUUCAACCACUAACUCCUCGGAUUUCACCCCGGACUUUUGAGAAUGAAUUUUUAAUACCCAAGCACCUACAGUAUGCUAAACUCCACCUAUUCACCCAUGUAACGAGCAUUGAGGUCAGUGACUCCCAACCAUUGAAGGCUUAGGGCACCAGGUUUUAAAGAUUUUCACCAUAUACCCCUCAGACCUUGCUCGGGUUUCAAGGCAAGUAAAACAUUUUUCUUUUUCUUUCUUUUUCCAAAGGCUCAUUGGCCUUUUAUAAGGUGUCUCAACACUAUUAAAAUGAGGUCAAAGGUACCAAGUCUAAAUUUUCCUAAGUCAAGAGGGAAAUAGUUUUUCAUCUUAUAAUCGGAACCUAGUGUGCACGGUAUGUGAUAAGCUUAAAGUGGAAGAAAUAAGGUUGAGAAAAUAGGAGUUCAAUAAUUCAUCAACUUUAAUAAACAUAAUACAAACUCUAAGUUUCAAGUAAAAAGACAAAAAUUUAAUUUCUCCCAUUUCAUUUUGAAAUUUUUUCCUUAAUAACCAUGGAGAGUAGAAUAAAAAACUUAAAAAAUUUUAAAAUUAAGCAAAAAGCAACUAAAUUACCAAAAUAACUUAGCAUUAAUAACAAAACUUCCUUCCUCAACUCUCCCCCCAACCAAGCUGAACAUUGUCCUCAAUGUUUCAAGAGCGAUUAAAAAAUAAAGGGAGGAAGUGGUACCUCCUGAGUGACAUGGAGUCUGAGUCAUGUAGGAGAAACCACAUGUUUAAAAAAAAAACAAAAGUUUCAGUGAGUAGAGGAAAUAGAAAAAUGCCAAGUUUAAUACAAAAUUAUGUCUAUAUAUUAAUCUGAGAAAAUAGAAUAUAAUAUAUGAUCAUGCAAUACAUCCAAUCCCAGAAUAUAGAACAUCAAAACAUGGAAUUAUCUAUACUAAUAUAAUAAGUAAAUACAAAAAAUAAAGAGAUGAUCAAGUAAUAGAAGGGUCCUGUGGAGAUAUGGUGGCCUUCUGAAUGGGUUGGGUCAGGACAUUGAGACCUCUGUUCUGGUAGUCUCCUUAGGUGGCAUAGUCUCCUCUGCUGGAGCUCUCAGCUGGAGCUAUGAGCUUUGAUGGUUUUAGGAGGUAAGAAAUGGAAUGAGAGGCUUGGUGUGUGAUCCCAGGGUGCAUGGGGGUGUUCUCUCCUCUAAUGCAUGUUCUUGAGGCUUCAAAUAGAGAGGGAGGGGCGGAAUUUGGAUGGUCACAUGUUUAAAAACUCUUUUUGGAAGUCAAAAAUGGCUUUUAGGAAUGAAAAACAGAGUCUUGGGUGUUUAAAAAUUGGUUUAAAAGACAUUUGGACAUUUUCGCACUUUUGCGCAGUCUAUCUUCAAACAGCCAUAACUUCUUUGUUUCAAAUCCAAAUCAUUCACCGUUUAAAGCACUGGAUUCCUGACUUCCUAAGCUUUAAAAUGAUAUAUAUUAUGCAUAAUUUGAGCUCCAAGAAGUGCUCCAAAAACGUGUCUAACAGUAGUGAAAUUUGGUGCGGCUGCAACAUUUCCUUUCAGCUUUGCAUAGUUGUCUUCAAACGACCAUAACUUUUUCAUUUCAAAUCCAAAUCAUUUACCGUUUGAAGUGCUGGAUUCCUGACUUCCCAAGAUUUAAAAUGACAUAUCAUAUGUAUAAUUUGAGCUCCAGGAAGUGCUUCAAAAUUGUGUCCAACAGUAGCGAAAUUUUCGCACCUUAAAAUGAGAAUUUCGCACCUUGAAUUGCAUCGUGCGAAAUUUCCAUACUUUGGACUGAGGAAUUCGCACCUUGUUUCACACCGUGCGAAAAUGGGCUUGAGGUGUGCGAAAUGGCACUCGUGUGCCAGGAGGUGGUUUCGCACGGUGCGAAAAUUUUUCGCACCUUGGAUUGAGGUGUGCGAAAUUGAUGCACCUUGAACUGAGAUUUUCGCACCUUGGAAUGAAUUUCGCACCUUGAAUAGUGGUGUGCGAAAUUUUCACACCUUGUUUCGCAUGGUGCGAAAAUGGGCUUGAGGUGUGCGAAAUGGCACUCGUGUGCCAGGAGGUGUUUCGCACGGUGCGAAAUUUUUCGCACCUUGGAUUGAGGUGUGCGAAAUUCCCGCUCAGCUCGGUCCAGUUUUCUUGCAAUGACCAUAACUUUUUUGUUUCAACUCCGAUUUGGACACCGUUUGAAGCGUUGGACUCCUGACUUCCCGAGCUUCGAAACGGUAUAUAGUAUGUAUAAAAUGGACUCAAGAAAGUGCUCCAAAAUAUGUCCCAAAUUGGCAAUAGAAGCAAUGGCCAGAAUUCUCUCAUUUCUUCCUUUUCUUUCAUCAUAACUUCGAUUUUUGCAAGCAUCAUACCUACAUGAACACUUCAAAACUCAUCUUAAAAACAUAUUAAAACUAAAUUAAAGCUAAGAAUUCAAACUAAAACAUGCAUAAUUUUAAAGAAAGCAUAGAAUUUAAAUGAAGCUGAUAGCAUGUACCCCAAAAAGAAGAUGAACUAUUUAGCUCAUCCUGACUCACACACCCACUUCAUGCUGAAUUCCCCCUGGAUCCCAAACAAAAUUGGCAUCCUUCCCAUUUGGUCCAAGGGAAUUCGUUUCUCUUCUCUUCCCUAGAGAAGUGGAUGCUUUAAAGGGUUCAGGUAACCCCUUAUCAUCUUGAACCUUAUGAUUUUCAAUGGAAGGUUGGUCCAUAGAGUUGUCAUAGCAAUCCCCCACCAAAGUGUCAAUCUUCAACACUUUCCUUGAUCUUUUUGCAUUGGUUCCUUGAAGGUUAUGGUGGGGUUGAGGAGGAAGCUUCCUUUUCCCCCUUGCUAUGUCGAGAUUGGUGAGCUUCUCAAUGGAGUCUUGAACUUUUUCUAUCCUUAGUGAUAGAUCAUUAUAAACCCCCUCCAUUCUUACAUUUAUUGAACUCUCCAUAUUAUCAAUCUUUUCAUUAAGAUGAGAGUUGAUCUUUUGUUGCUCACCUACAAAGUCCUCCAUGACUUUGCUUAUCUUCAAAAUGGCUUGCUCCAAUGAAGAUGUACUCAUUGAUGGUUGAGGUUGAGGUUGAGGUUGGGUUGUAAGGUUGGGAUGGUUUAUAUACUCAAAUGAAGUUGGCAUGGCUUGUGGUUGUGCUUCAGUAUGCACAUUCCUCAAUUCAAACUCUUCUAUCCUUCUAGCCAUAGAUGCUAGCUUUGCCUUCAUGCUCAUGUCUUCAUUCAAAGCAUACUUACUACCCCAUUGGCUUUGUUGAACUUGCCUUUUCCCUAAUUCAAUCCGAUCCCUCAUGGAUAAGUAUGCAAAUUUGUCCUUCUCAUGAUCAUAAUGAGAGCUUUGAUCUUCAUGUGGAAUGUCCAUUUCUAAAAAAAAAAAUGAUAUUCAACUAAGGCUCUUUUCUUCAACUUGUACCAGGGUUCCCUCUUGGUCUCGAAUCCAACAAGGAAUGCACAAAUUGAAAUUAAAACAAAAAUAAAAGAAAAGAGAAUAAAAAAAAAUUAACUAAAUAAAACUAAACUAAAAAAAAAUUACAAGAAAACUCACCAAACUUGUGAUGAAGAUCACAAGUUACCCUUAAUGGUUGCUUCACUGUGCUUGUGGCACCUUCCCCGGCAACGGCGCCAUUUGAUUGUACUCAUGGUCAAUCCCCGGCAACGGCGCCAUUUGAUUCGACUCAUGGUAGCUUAGCUUUAAAGGCGUAUCAACAAAAUUUAUACCUUGAAUACUAUUACUAAAGUAGCCAAGCUACUAUAGCAUAGUGGUUCUAGGAUCGUUCACUGGGAAGGGUUUUCGCAAACACAAGUGAUAUUCAAAUUAGGAAAAUAGGUGAUUUUCUUAUGGAUGUUAGCUUUAAAAGAAGAUGUAAAUGUUUUAGAAAGAUUUAAACUAAUCUAAGCUAACAUUAAAGACUAAAAUGAAAGGGUGUAAAAACAAGUUUCUCAAAGAUAGGAUAGCUAUGCUCUGGCUCUUAUGCAAAUUGGAAAUCUCAGGAUAGGCUCCUCGCGUUGGGGUUGCAACUAUGGUGAUGCUUGCUUCCCGAACCGGUAUGGAUUUAGCAAAUCAAGUUUUAAUCCUUUAAAAUGGCAAAACAGAUGGUAGUGAAUUUCAUCAAUGGUUAUUCACCUUAGACUUCCUUUGAAUGGCUCGUAAGAGAUAACUAAUGGUCUAAAGCCAAAAGCUUACCAAAUAUUGGCAACUCAAAGUCAUUCCAGGUGAUAAACUCACCUUUCAAUGGCCAUUGAAAUUGGUUCUAACGGAUUAAUGCAAAACUUGGAAUUGAAAACCUCACCUUCCAAUAGCUCGUAGGAGAUAACUAAUGGAUAGAAAUCCAAAAGCUUAUCAAGUAUUGGCCGUUGGAAGUUGUCAAAAGGAAAUAAAAACCAAACUUUGCAUUAAUGAACCAUUAAUGAAAAACGACUACCUUACCUUCCAGGUGCGAGAAAUUUCCAUGGGAUUGCAUCCAAGCCAUCACAUAACAUCCAUACUUUGAGAGACUUAAAAGGUUUUAGCCAAUCAUCCUCUGAGGAAAAACCCUCAGAGGCUGUUUGGCUACUAAGAAAAUAGAAACGGGAGAAGAACAGGAGAAGAAUGAAAAACAGAGCAAGGCUCUGUAUAUUCUAUAUAUUGAUCGAUAAUAAAUUACAACGGAUGCAAGGGAAUAUAUAUAGAGAAGUUUUUCCAAUCCUUCCUAGCUAAGAAAUCUUAUGAUUCGUGGAUUACAAGGAGAAGAAUGGAAAUUUAUACAAAAAUAUCUAAAAGAAAAGAUCUCGUGUGGAGUCGGCAGAAACAGGGGAAAAUUCGCACGUUGGAGUUCCAAUUUCGCACGUUGAUUUGAGGUGUGCGAAAUUCUCGCACAGUGGACUGAGGAAUUCGCACCUUGAACAGUGGUGUGCGAAAUUGUCCCUCAGCUUGAUGCAGUUGUCUUCCGAAGGCCAUAUCUUUCUCAAUUCAGCUCCAAAUCGUACAUGGUUUGAACCGUUGGAUUUUUGACUUUCUGAGCUUUGAAAUGGUAUAUAGCAUGUAGAAAAUGGACUUCGGGAAGUGCUCCAAAAGUGCCAAAGAAGACUGCAGCUGCUGUCCUCUGUUUUCCUCUUUGCUUCUUUUAGCUUCUCUUUGCUUUUCUCCUUUUGUUGGCUUGCUUUGGUGUAGCUAAAAGCUUGCUUUAACUUGUCCAAGAAGCUCCUCCAUCAUUUGGCAUGCUUGAAUUGAUUCAUAAGCUGAUAUAAACAUGUAAACUUGCCACAAAAUGGUUAAAACCAAUUACUAAGGACCUUAAUAAAUUAAUUGGGUUAAAUGAAUAUGAUUACUACCCAAAGGUGCUUAAAACCAUUAUAAUUAGGUCUACAAAAUAGCACUUUUUGGUAGUAAUCACAUAGCCUACUCAUUAGUGAUAGGUUUUGUGAGAUGAUAGUUUAUGCCAGACACAUACUUUCCAGAGAUUAUCUUGCAUUGAGGGCUUACUCAUAUUGAGAGAAUGCGUUCAUACUGGGGCAUAGCCAUUUUGCUAAUUUUGACAUUGAGAAUCCAUCUCCUGUUUAUGAUUGUUGCUUUCGAUGGAUCAUAGAGUUAUUGACACCCUGGGUUCAGUCUUCUCAACAUACUUGGUUUGACUUGGAUACCCAUUUUCCUUUGUUAUACACCCAUACAUCCUACAUUUGGCACCAUUAGACCUGCAUCCAUCUUGUUAGAGCCUCACAUCUUUUGAGCCCACAUAUUUCAUCAUCUUACAUGACCUUAUCCCAUUCUUUUGAUCAGAGGAGGAUACAAACUAGUCUUGAGUUUUCUGGUUGGGUUUUCACAUGCCUUUGAACUUUAGGUUUAACAUCUUCCAUGAUGAUAAGGCCUAUUAGAUUGUUGAUGUAUUUGUGAUGAUGUUUUCAUGUUGAUAGUUGACAUGUUGUGUCUUGACUUGCUUACAUUUUAGACUUAGAGUCUUCGUCUACAUUUGUUUGGUCUAUUGUUUUAGUUUUGCUUUGUCAACAUAGUUUCAAUGUUGCAUUGGUCUUGUUUAAGCAUUUGUUCAUUGAGGCUAUGUAUAUGUUUUUCAUUGCAUUGUCAUUCAGCAUAUCCUAGAGUGUGUUGUAUGGUGACAUUAUGUGUCUUAUGUUAGUUGUUAUCUUACACUAGGGCAUACCCUCAUCUUUGAGUUCAUUAGAUCUUUUGUAGAUUUCCUCACUACUUGAUUUGUUUUCUGAUACUUGCAAUUCAUUACUCUGGGGCAUGCCCCCUCUCUAGGUUCAUCAUAUCUCAUGUUGAUUUCAUGGUCGUUUCACCCAUUUACUGAUCCUUACAAGUUAUCACUUAGGGCAUCCCUCAUUUCAAAGCUCUUUUACUAGGGCAUACCCCAUUUUCGUUGAGUUCAUUAUCUCGGUUGCUCUUUCUGUUGAUUCCUUUAGGCAUUCAAAGCCACUUUCCACAGUUAGGCGUUCAGAGCCAUCUAUUCCAAUUUAGGUGUUCAGAGCUUUCUCUUUCGAUUUUAGGCGUUUAGAGCUAUCUAUUUCAGUUUAAGCGUUCAGAGCCAUUUCUUUAAGUUUAAGCGUUCAGAGCCAUCUCUUUUGAUUUUAGGCGUUUAGAGCCAUCUUUUUCAAUUUUAGGCAAUCAGAGCCAUCUCUUCUAGUUUAGUCAUUCAAAGCCAUCUCUUCCAGUUUAGGCAUUCAGAGCCAUCUCUUUUAGUUUAGGUGUUUAGAGCCAUAGUUUUAGGUGUUUAAAGCCAUCUCUUUCGAUUUUAGGCGUUUAGAGCCAUCUCUUCUAGUUUAGGCGUUCAGAGCCAUUUCUUACAAUUUAGGCGUUUAAAGCCAUCUUUUCCCAUUUAGUCUUCAGAGCCAUUUCUUUCAAUUUAGGAGUUCAGAGCCGUAGUUUUAAGCAUUCAGAGCCACCAUCACUCUCACAUUGGUGUUCAAAGGCACCUUGCUUAGCUUAGGCGUUCAGAGCCACUUCUCUAACUUAGGCAUUCAUAGCCACCAUCUCCUAUAAGCGUUCAGAGCCACCUCGCUCAAUUAGGCAUUUAGAGCCACUUUCCACAAUUUAGGCGUUCAGAGCCGCCUUGCUCAUUUUUGGCAUUCAAAGCCACCUUGCUUAGUUUAGGCAUUCAGAGCCACCUUCCUCAGUUUAGGCAUUUAGAACCAUCUUGCUCAGUUUGGGUGAUUAGAGCCACUUUCCUCGUAUUCGGUGUUCAGAUCCACUUUCUCAAUUUAGGCGUUCAGAGCCACCUUGCUCAGUUUAGGUGAUUAGAGUCACUUUUCUUUUAUUAGGCGUUUAGAGCCACUUCCUCAGUUUAGGCGUUCAGAGCCACUUUCCACAGUUUAGGCAUUCAGAGCCACUUUCUCUCACUUAGGCGUUUAGAGCCACUUCUUCAGCUUAGGUGUUCAAAGCCACCUUGCUCAGUUUAGGCAUUCAGAGCCACUUCUCCAACUUAAGUGUUCAGAGCCACUUAUCCAGCUUAGGCAUUCAAAGCCACUUCUCCAAUUUAGGCGUUCAAAGUCAGUAUUUUCCUCUAUAGGCGUUCAGAGCCACCACUUUCUCACAUUGGCGUUUAGAGCCACCUUAUCUAGUUUAGGCGUUCAGAGCAACUUCCUUAGAUUAGGCGUUCAGAGCCAUCUAUUCCAAUUUAGGCGUUCAGAGCCAUUUCUUUAAGUUUAGGCGUUUAAAGCCAUAAUUUUAGGCAUUCAGAGCCACCUUUCACAAUUUAGGCGUUCAGAGCUACCUUGCUCAUUUUAAGCGUUCAAAGCCACUUUGCUUAGUUUAGGCAUUUACAGCCACCUUCCUCAGUUUAGGCAAUUAGAGCCACUUUCCUUGUAUUAGGCGUUCAAAGCCAUUUUCUUAGUUUAGGCAUUCAGAGCUAUCUUGCUCAAUUUAGGUGAUCAAAGCCACUUUCCUCGUAUUAGGCGUUCAGAGCCACUUCCUUAGUUUAGGCAUUCAGAGCCACUUCUCCAGCUUAGGUGUUCGGAGCCACUUCUACAAUUUUAGGCGUUCAGAGCCACCAUUUUCAUAGGCCUUCAGAGUCAUUCCCCCUAUAGGCGUUCAAAGCCACUACUUUUUUUCAUAGGCAUCUAGAGCCAUUUUCACCCUUUAGGCAUUCAAAGCCACCACUUUCUUUCAUAGGCGUGCAGAGCCAUAGGCAUUCAAAUCCAUUUCUCCCAUUGGCAUUCAAAGCCACAGUUUUAGGCAUUUAAAGCCACCAUUUCCAUAGGCCUUCAGAGCCAUUCCUCCCACAGGCCUUUAGAGCCAUUCCCCCAUAAGCGUUCAGAGCCACCACUUUCUCAGCUUAGGUGUUCAAAGCCAUCUUGCUCAAUUUAGGCGUUCAGAGCCACUUCUCCAGCUUAGGCAUUCAAAGCCACUUCUCCAAUUUAGGCGUUUAGAGCCACCAUUUUCCUCCAUAGGCGUUCAGAGCCACCUUCUCUAGUUUAGGCGUUUAGAGCCACUUCCUCAUAUUAGGUGUUCAGAGCCACAGUUUUAGGCGUUUAAUGCCAUUUAUUUCAGUUUAGGCAUUUAGAGCCAUUUCUUUAUGUUUAGGUGUUUAGAGCCAUUUCUUCCGAUUUUAGGUGUUCAGAGCCAUCUCUUCCAAUUUAGGUGUUCAAAGCCAUCUCUUUCAGUUUUUAGGUGUUCAGAGCCAUCUAUUCCAGUUUAGGCGUUCAAAGCCAUCUCUUCCAGUUUAGGUGUUUAGAGUCACAUUUUCCAGUUUAGGCGCUCAAAGCCACAAUUUUAGGCAUUUAGAGCCACCUUUUUUCAACUUAGGUGUUUAGAGCCAUUUCCUUAGAUUAGGCAUUCAGAGCCACCUCUUUCAAGUUAGGCAUUCAAAGUCAUCUCUUCCAAUGCAAGCAUUUAGAGCCAUUUAUUUCAGUUUAGGUGUUUAGAGCCACAUUCUUUAAUUAGGCAUUCAGAGCCAAUUUUUAUUUAUUUUUAUUUUUUAUUUAUUUAUUUUAGUUUAGGCGUUCAGAGUCACUUUCUCAAUUAGGCAUUCAAAGCCACUACUCUAGCUCAAAUGUUCAAAUCCACUUCUCUAGUUUAGGCAUUCAGAGCCACUUUCUCAUAUUGGGCAUUCAAAGCCACUUUCUUAGUUAGGCGUUGAGAGCCACUUCUCUAGCUCAAGUGUUCAAAGCCACUUCUCUAGUUUAGGUGUUUAGAGCCAUCUUUUCCAUUUUAGGCUCAAUUUAGGCGUUCAAAGCCACCACUUUCUCUCAUAUGCAUUCAGAGCUGCAGUUUUAGGCAUUCAAAGUCAUCUCUUCCAAUUUUAGGCGUUCAAAGCCAUCUCUUCCUAUUUAGGCGUUCAAAGCCAUUUCUUUCAGUGUAGGCACUUAAAGCCACCACUUUCUCAACUUAGGUGUCUGGAGCCACUUCUCCAAUUUUAGGCGUUCAGAGCUACUUUUUUCAACUUAGGCAUUCAGAGCCACAUUCCUCAGUUAGGCGUUCAAAGCCACCCACUUUCGCAGUUUAGGCAUUUAGAGCCACGGUUUAGGCAUUUAGAGCCACUUUCCUCACUUAGGUAUUUAGAGCCACUUUGCUUAGUUCCACCUUGCUCAGUUUAGGUGCUCAGAGCCACCUUUUUUAGCUUAGGUGUUUAGAGUCACCUUCUUCAAUCAAGUGUUUAGAGCCAUUUCUCAACUUAGGCGUUCAAAGUCACUUUCUCAAUUUAAGCGUUCAAAGCCACCUUGCUUAGUUUAGGCGUUUAGAGCCACAUUUCUCAGUUAGGCGUUUAGAGCCACCUUUAUCAGUUUAGGAGUUUAGAGCCACUUUGCUCAGUUCCACAUUCCUUGAUUUAGGCGUUCAGAGCCACCUUGCUCAGUUUAGGCAUUCAAAGCCACUUUUAUCAAUUUAGGCGUUCAAAGCCACUUUGCUCAGUUCCACCUUGCUUAUUUUAGGCAUUUAGAGCCACCUUGCCCAGUUUAAGCGUUCAGAGCCACAUUUAUCAGUUCAGGAAUUUAGAGCCAUAGUUUUCUAGAGUCUCUCAUCCUCCAUUGUUGUGUGAUAUAGUCCGUUGAGCUUAUAGAGCACGUGUAGUUUUCCUUCUGUAUGUGUUUGUUCCUAUGCUCCUUGGUGGUUUAGCUACUACUCGACUUCGACAUCGAUUUUUGAGUCACUUUUGGAGACUUUUCUGAGGGAGUUUGGAUCUCUAGUGUAUCUUUAGAGGCACCUUAGGAGUUUUCAUUCUUGCCAUUUUUGUAGGGUUUAAGAGCCUCUUUGUUUUUAUUUUGGUUUAAGAGAGCCCAUGUUAUACUAGGACAAAUUUGGUGGUCUUUCUUGUUCUUCGGUAGAGCUCACUUCGUUUCUCUUGUGUAUGCACUCACUUUACUCGUGAACUCUAUUGAAUAGGGGCAUAUUUGUAGACCCCAAAAUUUGUCCCAGUUUUAUUUUUACAUUGAUUUUGAGUUCAAUUUUGUCCUUAGAUUUUAAAUCCCAAUUACAUUAAUAAUAAUAAUAAUAAUAAUAAUAAUAAUUACUAUUAUUAUUAUUAUUAUUAUUAUUAUUUUCUCUCUCCUCUCUCCUCCACCUACCCCCCCCCCAUACCCCUAUCUUUUUUUUUUUUUUUUACUUUAUUAUAUUUUUUUUUCAUUUUUUUAUUCUUCUUCCUUCCAUCAUUUCUUUUUCUGGCUUCCUUCCAACAGCACAAACACUCGACAACCCACACACUAGAUGGCCAACCUAUUUUCUCUUCCAUUUUUUUUCUUCUCUACUUGCUAUUCCUCCCGCACACUCCACAACUCCACCCAAUCUUCAUUCAUUUUAGUAUUAUUUUAUUUAUUUAUUUAUUUUCUCUUUUCAUUUUCUUCUCCCGUGCCACUUCCCAUUUUUAGCAAUCUCCAUCGCCACUGCUGGUGGCGUCACGUCGGCGCCCCUCCAUCCAUUUUUUUUCCCAUUGGCAAGGGUACCGACCAGUCGUCGUCGGCGAGCCACUAUCGAUAAGUGACCCUUUCCUCUUUUCUCUCAUUCUCUCAUUUUCCCAUCACACACAUUUUCCAUUAUUAUUAUUAUUAUUCAUUUUUCUUGAUUUGAUUUUAAUAGUAAUUGUUGUUUGUAAGAUUUGAAUUAUUGAAUUAAUAUGAAAUUUGAGUUCUGUUAAUUAAUAUGGAAUUUGGGUUAAUUUUUUAUUGGAAAAUUAACAUGAAAUUUGGGCUAAUUUAUUGUUGGUGAAUUAAUUUGGAAUUUGUUAAUUUGGGCUAAAUUAGUUGAUAAUUUAUAUGGUUGUUCUCAUUUGAAUUAUUUAAUUUGGAUAUGAUAUGAUAUUGUGGUAUAUUUUGGAUGUGGGUUUGCAUUUUAAAUUGGGUUGAUUUUGGUUGUGGAUUUAAGUUUGCAUAUUAAAUUGAGCUUGGAUUAUGUGAUAUUAAAUUUAGGCCUAAUGUGAUUUAUUUUAAUUUAUCAUGUUUUGGGUUUGAUUAAUUGAGUUUAUAUUUUGGCUAUUCAUUCAAAAAUUUUAGAUUAGGGUCUAUAACAUGUGAGAUAUUUUUGUUGGGUUAUAUUUGUUAAUUUGUGAAAUUUAUUGGACUAAUUUGAAGUUUGAAUUGGGCUUGAAUAAUUAUUUUGAACUCUACAUAUUUUUGGAUAUUUAUACUUUGGGUUAUUUUUGUGUUUGCCUGGAUCCAUUCUGCAAAUUUGUUGGUUGAGUACGAAUUUAUGACACGUGGUGCACGAAAUUUCAUAGAAGAAAAUGAGACUCGAAUUGAAUAUCAAACAAAUAAAUUUUUUUGUUUAAAUAAGAAGAAUAAUUCAGUAAAUAUGUUUUAAUAAAAUAAUAAUUUUGAAAUAUUGUUCUUAAUAAAAAAAAAAAUUUAUUAAUAAAAAUUAAAAAAAAUGCUUUUACAAAAAUCCAAAAAAUUGUUUUUAAUAGAAUUUGAAAAAUUGUUUUUGAUAAUAAUUGUCCAAAAAUUUCUUUGUUUAAUAAAAAUUUUCCAAAAAUUGUUUUGUAAAUAAAGUUGUCCCAAAAAUUAAUUUUUAAUUAAAAUUCUUUUUGCAAAUAAAGUCUAUGACUAUGGUUUUAAGGAUAUUUCUUAAACUUUUAAAACCACAGUCACCAACAGUGGUUUUUUACACUAAAAAAAUCCAUAUGGAUGCUUACGUGGAUACAAAAGAUUACUUUGACAAAAGAUUACCAUUUUUUUCUACCAAUGGAUUAUUUUGGACUUCAACUCAAUAAAGUGCCCAUGAAACUCAUGCUACAAAGUUUGUGAGGCAGUCAUUGGCUAAAUUCAAUGUUACAUCUCAGACAGAUAAGACAUUUCAACCAAAUGAAGAAUGGACUGAUAGUUGGCAAUUUGUAUUUUAUAAAAUUUUUAAAAUCAUAUUUAGGAUAAACUUGAGAAAAAAAAAAGAGAAGAAAAAAAUGUGAAAUAUUUAGUCUAGUGUUUUUUAAAAUAAUUUUAAAAAAUAGAUUUUGAGAAUAGUUUUUAAAAAUUAUUUUUUGUAAAACAAAAGUAUUUGAAACCUAAAAUGUUUUUAACUUAUUUUUAAUAUUUUAAAAAUAAUUUUUAUAUCUAGUGUUUUAUUUUUAAUCAUUUUACAUGUUUGUAUAAUUAUUUUUUAAAACAAUCAUAAAAAAUCAAAUGAAAACAAUAUAAAACAAUUAAAAAAUGUUCUUUGAAAACAUUAUAUAUGUUUUCUAUUCUUAAGAACAGAAAACAAAAAAUAGUUUUUUGGUUACUAAACAUGUUUUUUAUUUUGGAGAACAAAAAAUUAUUAUAACAAAUAAUUCCCAAACAGAUCCUAAUAUUUCCAUUGUUGAAUGAAAAAUGUGAUUUGUAAUCAAUCUCCUCAUUAGAGAGUAAAAUUUAUUCAUUCAUAGUUUACUUAUGUAACAAAUCAAUCUUGGUUGAACUUUGAUAUCAGUAUAUUAUAACAAUAUAAUUUAUAUUUUAUUAAAAUUAAAAAUAUAUAAGAUUUAUAUAUUCUAAUCAUUUGUGACAUUUGUAACUUCUCCCAUGGCACAUAAACCACUUUUGAAAGCAGUAAGUUUUAUCAUGUGGGUUAAUAAAUCAAUAAAGCAAUUUACGCUCAGUACUAAAAAUCUAUUUUAUAAUGAUUCUAGGAAGUAUUUUUGAACUAAAAGGUACUUUUUUUAUAUAAAAAAAAGAAGAUAUUUAAUAAAAUUUACGAAACAAUUUUAAUUUUUUUUAAAAUCACUUAUAAUAUUAAAAAGUUAUUUAUAAUAUUUUAUGAAGAAACACUUUAUAAGCAGUCCUUCGAUUUGAUAGGUAAAUACUUCAUCUAAUAACAGCAGGCUGCACCAUGAACACAAAUGAAUGCUAUUGCUCUUAGCAUAUUAGUCUGAAAUAAAUGUCACAAGUGCAUUUAUUACAAAGGGGCAUAUUAAUUUGGUCUUCUUUAAAGGCAACUCCCUUAAGAAAAAAGGACUUUUCUUUAUUUUCUUCAUGGUAAUAUAAUGUAAUAGGAGAUGCUUGAGAUCUGUAGAUCAAAAGCAAGAUUUUUAAAUCAAAGAGCAUGGUGACUCAUUAAUGCAACAUUUGAUAACUGAGCAUGGAAUAUUAAUUGUUUAUGUAUAAAAAAACAAUGUGACAAUUCAUAAACUAAACUUCAAAUAUUUUAAAAAUGAUGCCCAAACGUAGUGUUGUUUACUUGUCAAAAGGGAUCAAUUAGUCCAAUAGUAAUAAAUUUGAAAACAUAUUUCAUCUUCAAGAUAGAGUACGAUUGAGAACAUGGAAAGGUGCAUGCCACUUCAUGCACUCGUUGAGGGUGUUAUACCUCAAGGAUUCCACAAUUAACUACUUGUAGAGAUGCACUCAUUGGCAAAGCCAAGGUAAUUGCUUUCACCUCAGGUUCCUCCAUGAACUCAAGAAGAAUGGUAGAAGAUGAUACUAGUAGCCAUAACACAAUCACUGAAUACGAGUUGGAAGAUUAAUGAUUAAAAUAACUCAUGACACAAAAGGAAAAGAAGAGAUCAGCGAAGCUCUAAGAUUGAUGAACAAAGAACUCCUAAAUUUAUAGAAACUCUAGGAUAACUCAAUUAAAUAGGAAGGUGAUGGAAGGCAUGACCAAAGCAAUCAAUUUGCUAAUUGAUUAAAUUGAAAAUUUUCAAACAACUAGUUAAGUAAACUUGUUAAGGUAUUGAAUUCAAAUAUUUAAACUAAUUAGAGGAUUAAUCGUUUCUCAAAUAUUUUUAAUUAAACAUGUACAUAAAUGGGAGAAGAGGGUUCCCUAUGUUGUGAUAAAUGUUAAUUUAUAAUCUUAACUUGAUUUUUACUACUAUAAGUCCAUUAUGUGUCUUGUUAGUGUAGUUAAGGGGUUGUUAUGUCUCUUUUAGUUUUUCUAUAAAUAGGUUUAUUUAAAUUUGAUAUAAUUGUAAGUGUAUCCUUUAUUUCUUCUAUUCUCUCUCUCUCUCUUCUCUCUCUCUCUCUAACAACCAAAGAUGCUCCUUAAGAGCAAAUCUCCACUAAUGUAUAGCUCAUCUCAAUUGAUCUCUAGAAAUAAGGAGUAAGGAAGAUGGAGAAUUCACUUGAGGGAGUAUAGUUUAGUGGUAGAAUCCCAAACAAACACUAUGUUUUGAGUUUUAGAUGUGAUGAUUAAAUUCUUUACGUAGUUUGUCCCAAUUGAGAUACAAUCAAUGUUUAACUUGGUUUCACUGAUGACUAUUAAUAACUUGAUAAUUGGAGAACUCACUUUGAUUUAUGGUAUCAAAAUUGAGAAGAUGUUAAAAUGGUGAAGCAAAACAUGAAGGAUUAAGUUAAUUCAAAUAGACUUUUGAGAUCUGAAGUUUAAUUUCUAAAUUCAAUUUCCAUAUAUAUCCUAAUCAUUUUUUAGAUCUUACUUAAUUUUGGAUUGACUUUUAAUCAUUAAAGAAAAGAAAAUAUCUACCUUCUAUUAGUGAAUUUAAAGUCCAAUUGUGAAUUGAUCUAGACCUUUCUCUUCUAGUUGUUAUUUUCAUUUGUGAAACUAUUUUUUUUUUAAACCAAUAUUUGUUCAAAACUGUUUUGAUUUAAAAUCCCUAAUAAACAGGCUGAGCUUUUGUAGAAAAUUGGUAGGCAAUUAAUCACUUAAUCUAAUUAAACAACUUAACAUAUUAGUACUGCUUCGAUGACAAUAUGUCUCACUAUGUAACAUAAUAUCCUUCUUUCUUAUUAUUAUUGUUUUUUUGGACCAAUAAUGUUAUAAAUAACUACAAUUUCACUUUUAUUUUUAACCUAAAGAGAGUAAGUUCAUGCACCAUCUUCAUCUUAGAGAUGGACUUCUACGUAUAAAUAGCUUAUAGCACGUAUGUCUCAUUGUUACCAAUAUGAAUCUAAUUUUUAGGAUCUCUACUAAUGUAGGUUUGGUUACUUCACACUUCACUUUUGUAAUAGGUGUAAGUCCCAUGCAUCCUCCUCGAUGUUUUUUCAACUAGUUUCGUAUUUACUUAUUUAGUAAGAGGAUCAACCAUAAUUUGACUUUGACUUCACAAAAGAAAAUAAUAUGACCUUUGUCUCAAGCAACUAUUGAAAAUGUUGUGCCUUAGGCAUAAUAUGCAUAUUCUUUGGUAAAUAUUUUACAUGUAGCCUUAAAUAUUGCAACUUAGCUAUUACAAUACAUACACAGUCUUAGCCUUGUCCAUAAUGAUAACUGCCAAAUGGUUUCUAAGCUACAUAAACUCAAAACUUACCUUAUCUCGUUUAAAUUAUAGAUCUAGUUGGCACCAUUUUGUCUUUCAAGUACAUUUGGAAAUCCAUUAUAUAACACAAACUAUGGUCAAUGGUGCCCCUCCAGCUAGCAAUCAGAGUAUAACAUUGCUUUCACCAUAAUAUACAUGUAUAUUGAUUCAUGUAUUACAUGAUAUUAUUUAUUUUUGAACAAGCCUAGCAAGCUUUUGAGUUCAUGUAGUUUGUUAUACUACUACUCCUGAUCAAGAGCUACUUGAUCACUUCUAUUAUGGUGUGUUGUUUAUUUAUUGGAAAAAUGUGUGAGAUAAAAAAGAAACAGGAAGAAUAACCCACAAAAUUUAUAUGCUUUAGAUACCAAUAUGAAACCUACAUAAAUAAGACAACAUACAGGAUUUGAUUGAUCACUGUGAAGGGAAUAUUCCAACUUCCUCUUCUCGAACCACCAAAUCAAUAUUUUACCUCUUCGCUAUGGGGGUUCGAACUCCCGCCAAAAGGUUUGCAACACGUUGAGCCAACCACUAAGGCAAGUUUGCCUCUUGUUAUAUAAGUUGCACCAAAUAAAUAUACACUCAAAUUCAACAUAUAAACAUAAUUUUAAAAAAAUUAAAGAACAAAUUAAUUAUAAGUAUUUUAUAAUUAAAUGAAAAAUUUUCAUCUGUUUGAAUAUCAAAAAUAUAAAAAUUAUCAUGAUAAUUUUCUUCAUAGUGUUUUUAAUAUCAUUAAUAUAUUAAUUAAGUAUUAAAAAUUAUACAUAUAUUAUCAUUUAUUUUAUAUCAUUUAAUACAAUUGAAUUAAAUGAAUUUUAAUUAUAAUAUUAAAUAUAUUUUAAAAUUAGACAUUUUAUAAUCAAAUAUAACAAUAUUAUUAUUGAAUAAUAUUUGGUAUAAUUUAAUAAUAAAUGUAUACUUAUGAAAUUCAUAUUUUUUUUAUUAGCACAUACAAUAUUAUUAUCAAAUAUAAUAAAUUAUAUUAUAUAUAUAUAUAUAUAUAUAUAUAUCAAUUACAAUUCUAUUAUACUUUUAAUUUGAUUUUUAAGAGUUUUUUCUUACAUUUUUAUAAUUUUUGAUCAAUUUUAGGUUCAUCGAUAUUUUAUGUCAAAAUAUUCGUCGAUAUAUCUCUGAUAUAUCUGAUAUACUUGUAAAAUAGAAGUACCAAUAUUUUCAUCAUUGUCUUCGAGUUGGUGUAAAAUAUCGAUGGAGCCUAACUGCAAUAGAAGACUUAAAUAGAGUUACAUGGAUAAUUGGGAAUUGUGUAUAGUACAACUAGUAAUCACUUGAUUUUUGUAAACGAAUGGUUUUUCUUAACUCUAUUUACUUAUUUUUAUUUCUUUUAUUUUAAUUAUUGUAAAUGAAUUUUUUUAAUCUAUUUAUAAAAAUGUCAUUAUAAAAGAUAAAUAUAUGUUUUAAUUAUAGUUUUUUAAUAUCCUUUUAUUUUUUAUAAUGAUGUGGUAUUUUUAAUUGCUAAGUUAUGUAAAAAAAACAAUUAAUUUUUUUAAAGAUAAUAUGUUUAAAUUUUUAUAGGGUAUUAAGACAAUAAAUAAAUGAUAUUUAAUAAUUAAAAUACCGAUCAUAUUUAUUUUGACAUAUUAGAAUGUAUACUGUCUUUCUUAUUAUGCAAUAUUGGAACUAAAACCUCUAAUUUUAUAAAUUUUUAAUUGAAUAAUAAUAAUAAUAAUAAUAAUAAUAAUAAUAAUAAUUAAAAAAAAAACCAUUAAAGUAGGCCAUAAUACCAAUAUAUUAUAUUUUGAUGUAUUGAAAGAACAUCACUUAGAUAUUUUAUAGUUAAUUAAUAAAAGUAAUCAUUAAAUAUUUUAUGUUUAAAUUAUUAAAUAUUAGAUAAUACAACAAUGUUAAUUUCUUUACCAAUAACAUAAAAAUACAAAAAUAACAAUACUCCAAUUGACAUCUACAAUACAAAAAAUAAGUAAUUAAUAAAGCACUAUAAAGACUUGAAAAUCUAAUUAAGAGUUCAUUUGAGAAUGAUUUUAAAAAGUGUUUUUUUUGCCUAAAAAGUAUUUUUGAAAAAAAAAAAAAGUGUUUAGCAAAAUUUGAAAAACACCUUUAAAAAUUUGUAAAUUUACUUAUAAUGUUGAAAAAUCACUUAUAAUGAUUUUUGGAAAAAUAAUUUAUAGUUGAUUAUCCUAAAAGCACUUUUAGAUCAAACAUUUUUAUUAAAAACAGUUUAAAUAGAAAUACUUUCAAUCACACUCUAAAUAAACAUAAUCAAUUAUUUAUGAACGAAACAUAAGGAGAAGUUUUGUUUCAAAUUAUAAGAUAUCCAAGAUAAAAAAAACACACCAAAUAAUUAGAUAGGGAUAUUGUUUUAUAUUUUUUUGAUUGGCUGAAAAUGUGGCAGCUUUGUGAGGCUUGCAUCAAGCCAAGUAUCGUUUUUUUAUGGACAGAAUUAACAGCAAGUUUGCUUACAAAUAGAGUUGCAAAUUUCAGUUUGAGAGAAGAGAUGAUGAGAAGGCUCUUAGCUUAAUUUCUUACUCUCAAAUACCUCAACUACCACUGGUGGACGUUAUUUGUAAUAUUAUAUUCAAUGAAACUCUCAACUUGAGGGAAGUCCAAUUUUGUUGAGAUUCCAAAUUUGGUAGUAUGGCGUGACUCCAAUUUGAAGACCAAGGUUGGUGUGACUUCAAGGCUUGGCAACCGGUUGAGAAAGGUUACAAAAAGGGAUAACACAAUUGGAGUUGGUCAUGAGGAGUAAAAAAUUUGUAAUAUUUGAUAUGACUGUACUUUGCAAUAAUUUUUUGUCAUGGUGAAAUUAUGUGCUAAUUGUGCUUUUCACCUCACGAGAAAGUUUUCUAUAUAAACUCGAUGUCUCAAUUCUUUAUGUGUGCUUAAUUCAUUUUUGUGCACAUCUUUAGCUAUGAUAAAUUAUAUAUAAGUUAAUCAAUCUUAGUAAACUGAGUUCAACCUCGAAGAAGCAAAUUAAUUUUGUGUACAACACUUGAACAAGAUCCUGAAAUAUUUAAAAGUUAUAUCCCACACUACUCACUCUAGUAAAUGUAUAUGAUAUGGUUCUAUUAGAGUAAGCCCUCGAAAGCAUGACAUGAUGUAAUAUAAUAAAAUAUUAAUAAUAUAUUUUAUUUUUUAUGAUUUUUGUUUCUCAUCUAUAUCCUUAAUUGCAUUAUUUAUCAUCUGAGCCUUUACUCUUGUAUCACUUGUAUUGUACAUUUGUACAUGACUUGGGUGCAUUAGGAGUUACAUAAAAGGUCUAUGUCAUGGGUUCCUUGAAAGAUGAUAAGUUGUUCCUAGUUGAUUCAUGAAAUUAAGUAAUCCAUUAAAGAUUGUGGCGUACUACCUCUUAAUUUGAGAGAACUUUCUUGGUUAUUGGGAUGAGUUUUCCAUGAUGAGUGUGCUAGUGUGUAUGAUUACAUUGGAAAGAAUUUAUGGUGAGUCAUGACAUUGAUUAUUAGGUAGUCAUGAUUUAUCAAUCUACUAUGCUACGUAGGCUCUCAAUCUUGAAAUAAUAUUAAGGUAGUGCUGAGGUCUUUAGUGACUUUGACCUAUAAGUGAGAUCCCAAGGUAUUCAUAUAUUCUUUAUGAAUUUGGUCAUUGUUGAUUACAAUAAGUGGCAAUAAGUAUUCUCCGGAUUGAAACAAUAAUAUUGUAUUCUCUUAGGUAGUGCUAAAGACUUGUGAUCACAUAAUAUAUGAUGACAUAUGCUUUUUUUGAGGUAGAGUAUGUUAAUUCAUAAAAAAUAGGAGGAUUGGAGACUCAAGGAUUGUAGAGGUAAGAUCUCAUGGUGCAUGAGUGACAACCCUUUUUUAAUGGUGGAGAUGACGGUUGUUUCUCAAUGAAAUUAUACAACUCCAAAAAAUUGUUGUUUUGUCUUGCAUCUCAACCUUGGAAGUGUUAGAGAUCAAAUGGAAAUUAGAAUGUGAACACCCACCUCUUCCUCCUCCAAUCCCCCCCCCCCCCCCCCCCCCAAAAGUUGCAAUUGUGGGGAUGCCCUCCAAACUAAUGGUGAAUCCCUCUCAAAGAAACGUAAAAUGACCCUCUCAAAACCUAUUGAAAGUCAUAUAAAAUCCUGCUCUCUAAAAUCUCNNNNNNNNNNNNNNNNNNNNNNNNNNNNNNNNNNNNNNNNNNNNNNNNNNNNNNNNNNNNNNNNNNNNNNNNNNNNNNNNNNNNNNNNNNNNNNNNNNNNAACUAAUGGUGAAUCCCUCUAAAGAAACGUAGAAUGACCCUCUCAAAACCUAUUGAAUGUCCUAUAAAAUCGUGCUCUCUAAAAUCUCUAAAUCCCAGCCUAAACAUUCCCCAAAAAAAUUAAAAAAAAAAAACCUAUAGACCCCUUAAAAAUCAAGAAACACAUCCUCCAUAACAUAGACUGAUUUGUUUUUUUUUUUUUUUAUAAAUGGCCUAAAAACUCCCAAAAUGCAACUACUUCUUCUCUUAAAAACCUCUAAGGCUUCCUUAAAACUUGAUGAUUCUUCCUUAAUUCUCCCCCUAAAAGCUCCCUAUUGGAAAUUCUUUCAAAACCACACUUAAAACCCCUCAUUCGGACAUUGCUAAAAAUUUUUUAAAAGGUUCUCCUAAUCCUCUAUUCGAAUACUGCUCAAAAUUCUUCCUUUCCUAUCAAAAACACUACUCAAAAUCCUUCAUUUCCUAUAAAAAAACGCUACUCAAAAUCCUUCAUUUCCCAUAAAAACAAAAUGCUGCUAAAACUUUCCUUCAUUUCCUUUCAAAUCUAAAUAUGUUUUUCUCUAGAAGGUUCCUCUCUUCUUCCCAAAAUACAACCUCUUUCUUUUACAAAACAUGUUAAAUCCUCAGACCAACCUGAUUCCUAUCCAAAAAUGCAUUGAAAAUAUCCUCAAACUGUAUUCUGAAUAUCACCAAAAAAAACGUGGCCUAAAUCAUUCUAAAAAAAAAUUGUAAUUUUUUUGUCUCCUAAAAGUGUCCAUAUACACUCUCUUAACCAGCAUAAUUCCUUUCCAUGAUCAUUCCAUUUCCACAAAAAAAAAAAAAAAAAAAAAAAAAAAGUAGACAAAGAAAAAAAGAAAAAGAAAAAGAAAGGCAUUUUAGACAAAGAGGUAAAAAUCAUGCACAUGUCAUGCAAUUACGACAUGUCAUGCACAUGAUAUGCAAUGCCAUUGAUCGGUCUUCUCUGUUGUCCAAAAUACUAAGCCUUUUUAUGUAGCAACUCUGGUCAAGAAAAACCAAAGAAAGAGUCACUACGACUUUUGUAGUACUUCGGGUAUCAUUCUCAAGGAUUGGAUUAUGGAAUUUGUCAAUACUAUGAUAAAUUAAUCACUUUUAUUUGAAUCCUAAAUUGAAAAAUAAUAUGUGAAUGAAGUGAAACUAAGUAAGAGAAUUAAAUUAAUAACAAAAUGAAUAUUGGUUUUUAAUUCAAUUGAUUCAAAUAUGGUCAGGGCUUUCCACAAUCCAACUUAAGGUAUAAAAAUAGAGAGACCAAGGGUUUCUUAAGUAUAGUGAUCUUAAGGUUUUGGUAUCUUUGGUCACUUGCAAUCAACUUGAGUUCUAUAACUCAAAAUUGCAUCUAAAACCUAAAUUUUCCCUUUUAAAAAAAUUCCUAAAAUCAUCAAAUUAAUAAGAUUGAUUAUUGGUUUAAGGUUUGACCUUUUAACCCUUCUUAUUCCAUAUAGCUUUGUUUUGGAGCAAAUAAUGAUAAGAAAGACCAGGAUAACUAAUGAUCAAGAGUUAUUAAGAAUUACUAGUAUUGGGUGAUAACUUACCAUAUCAUUCCCUAAGCUAAACACAAUGAUGGGAUAAAAAAAAUUGAUAAAUUGUAACCCAACUAAUAAUUGAUCUCAUUGUUAUAACAAUUUACCCAUUGUUCCUAUGAGUUUCUAGCUCUUAAGUUUUCAUGCUUAAAGCCCCAGAGUUGGCUUUUUAGCCUUUCAUGGGGGUGAUGUCACAUUCACAAUCCAUAAUAAGAUAAAAAUCCAUAAUUUAAAUCAAAAGAAAUUAAAAACAAUAUAUUCAAUAAAGAAGAAAAGAAACAAACCAAAGUUCUCAUCUUCUUCCCCACAAAAAUGUCAAACUCUUCGGAAGAUGGUCCAAGAUGACUAAACACUAGAACUAGAAGAGUUUAUAUAGUAUCAUCAAUGACCUAACACAUGGUACACUCUCAUUAGCCACUUAUUACAAGGAAAAGUCAUAAACAACCUAAAAAACUUCAAAAAUAAGGAGUUCUAAACGAGUACAAGGCAUUUCGAAUUAGGUGGAGGCAUUUGGAACUUGUUUCAACAUAUCUUGGGGCUCAAACUCGAUCACCGGUGGCUGAGUUAGAAAUUGGGGUGAGUCUCAAGUCAAUUUUGAACUCAUAAGUGGAAGGAAUCCCAAUUCGAAAUGUAGGGGCUGAGUUCAAAAUGCAUAGUGAAUUUCAAACUCAGCAUCCUUCUCUGACCAAUUUGCUUCAAACGUGCAUAACUUCCUCAUUUUAGCUCUGAUUUGCACACCGUAUGAUGCAUUGGAUUCCUAACUUCUAGAUAUUUGAAACGAUAUUGUCGAUAAUAGACUUUAAGAAGUACUUUAAAUUUUUCAAAGUCAGAGCAUUGCCACUAGAUUUUGAGUUCUAAAUUUCCAUGUAACUUGAUGAAUUUGCUUCAUACCUCAUUUUCCAUGUUUUUCUGCCUUCUUUCUUACUUUAUAAUGGUCAUUACUCAAUUCCUAAACUCAUAACAUCCUCGUCUUGCAUUUCCUCAAAUGCUAUGGGUCUUGACUCACUCAAUUCCCCAUUUAACCCCUUGAUAUUUCAAAAUCUAAAAUGUUUUCAACUUGUACCCUUUUAUUCCCUUAAACCUAAGACAUAUCUCCAAAAUAACAUUUAAACUCAUGGCUAGGGCCUUAGCAACGAUUUGGUCAAUUCAAAUGAUUUGAGUGUCUUAUAGUGCAUAAAUCAUAUCGAAUAUAUGCUAUUAAAGCACAUAUUUUGGCUCCAAUCAACCAUGCAAAAACCAUGGAAACCAUGCAAAUGAAAAUUCCAUGCAAGUCAUGCAAACUAUGCAAAUACCAAACAAGAAAAACCUAAAGAAGACUUAGGUGGCUCAGAUAAGCCUAGAUGGGCCAGGAUGUGCCUAGAUUGACCAAGGCAUACCUAAGAGGGCCAACACAUACCCAAGAAGGUCAAGGUAUGCCUAAGUGGGCCAGGGUAUGCCUAUAUGGACCAAGGUGUACCUAAGAGGGCCAAGGUAUGACUAAAUGGACCAAUGUGUGCCUAAAUGAACCAAAUGUGCCUAGAUGGGCCAAAGUGUGCCUAAGAGGGCCAAGGUAUGCCUAAAUGGACUAGGGUGUGCCUAAAUGGGCUAAAUGUGCCUAGAUGGGCCAAAAUAUGUCUAAAUGGACCAUUGUGUGCCUAAAUGGGCCAGAUGUGUCUAAAUGGGCUCAAUGUGCCUAGAUGGGCCAAAUGUGCCUAGAUGGGCCAAAGUUAGACAUAAUAGUCUCAUUGCUAUCCUUUUAGUGUAUUGAUAUUGAUUUGAGUGUUCGAUACAUGUCUCUUACAUUAUACAUGACUUGAGUGUAUUAAAAGUUGCAUAGAAAAUACAAGUCAUGGAUUCCUUAUAAGUAGAUAAGUUGUCCACAAUUGGUUCACGGAUUUGGGCAAUCCAGUAGAGACUAUAGUGCACUACCUCCUAAUUGGAGGGAUGACUUGUCUUGGUUGUCAGGAUGCAUUUCUUAUGGUGAGUGCAUUAGUGUAUAUGAUGCACAUUGAAUAAGACCUAUGGUGAAUCAUGACAUAAGGUUAUUAAUUGUAAUGAUUCACUAAGCUACUAUACUGUGUGCACUCUCAAUCUUGAGAGGAUAUUAAGUUUAUGCCAAAAUCAAUAGGAGACUUUGACUUAUGGGUGAGACCCUAAAAUAGUCAUAUAUCUUUAUGGAUUGGGUCCCUGUUGAUGAAGGUUGUUGAUGACAUGUAUUCUCAAUAAAGGCACCAUGAUAUCUCAUGGGAUUGAGAUAGUGUGCCUCCUUGGAUGAUGUAAAGGACAUGUGAUCAUGAAAUUUGUGGCCAUAAUAAUUCCUUUAACAGAAUUUAACAUAUGCUCUUUUGAGUUAGGAUAUGCCAAUUGAUCACAUAAUAAGUGAGAUCUAUAACUCAAGGAUUUGAGAGGUGAUCUUGAUAGGUGAUAGUACUAGCUUGUUAGAUUACGAACACUAGUUCAUGAGGAGUUUGCAUGCAAUGGAUAAUAGGUCACAGACUCAAGCUUUGUCUCGUUGUUAUUUACAUAAGGUACUGGAGUGCAAUUGAUUAUCUUUAGUGGAACGUUGAAUCAACUUUAGAAUUGGAUUAUGAGGGAGCAAGUACUCUCAUAGAUCCCAAUGGUCCCUACUUUGAGCUCAUAUACCAUGAUAGCACGGUUUAUGAGGGUUAGAUUGGCUCUAGGUUCUUUCUUAUGCAUAAGAGUGUUUUGGUAAUUACACAAAGUUGCAUAGGGGAUAAUUAACAAGGUCUCUAGAUUGAGCUAAUUGAUUAUUUAUAUGACCCUAUGUGGUUAAUUGAUCAAUUAGGACCCAUUUUAGGCCAGAUUAAGUGACCCAAGCGUUGAUGGGCUUAAGUCACUUAAGCCUAAUGGGCAACCCUAUAAAUACCCAUUAUGGGUUAGGGUUUCUUAAUUACUUUAGCUGGUCAUUUUCCACAUUUAAAAGAGAGAGAGAGAGAGAGAGAGAGUCAAGGUUUUCACUCUUCUAAAGCCCACACUUUGGAGUGCCAAGAUCGUGGUUCAAGUCAUUGAGAGGAAGAUCAUGAGUGUACGAGACCUUCAAACUAUUUAGACAUGUUCUUCACCACAAUGAAUUUAAUUAGGAACAUCCAUAUCUAGGUAUGUGGUUCAUAUCUCUAGAUCUAUAGUUAAUAAUAUUUUUUAUUGUCAUUUUAUUCUGUUGUGAUAGAUUUAGAGAUGCUUACAGAUAGAUGCAUGCUCCCUACGAGAUUCAAGGUAUGGAAUGGAGUAAUUCAGGGUUCCCAACAACUAGGGUGUGCCUAGAUCGGCUAGGACAUGUCUAGAUGGGUCAGGGCGUGCCUAGAUGGGCUGGAUUUGCCAAGAUGGGUUAGGGUGUAUCUAAAUAGGCUAAGUAUGCCUAAAUGGGUUAGAGUGUGCCUAGAUGGGUUAGGGUGUGUCUAAAGGGGUCAAAGUAUGCCUAGAUGGGCCAAGGUGUGCCUAGGAGGGCUAAGGUAUGCCUAAAUAGACUAGGGUGUGCCUAAAUGGAUUAGGUUGUGCCUAAAUGGUCCAAAUAUGCCUAGAUGGGGCAAAGUAUAUCUAAAUGGACCAAGGCGUGCCUAUAUGGGUUGGAUGCCUUUAAAUGGGUAAGGGUGUGCCUAGAUGUCUCUAGAUGGGUUAGAGUGUGUCUAAAUGGGUAAAAUGUGCCUAAAUGGGUCAGGGCAUGCCUAGAGGAGGUAGUGUGUGUCUAAAUGGGUUAGGACUUGCUUAGAUGGGCCAAAGUGUGAUUAAAAGGAUCAAGGUAUGCCUAAAUAGGCCAAAUGUGCCUAGAUGGGUCAAGUGUGUCUAAGUGAUCUAGGGUGAUAAAAAAUAUGCCUAAGUGAUCUAGGGUGGUUAGAAAAUUGCCUAAGUGACUUAAGGUGAUUAGAAAAGUGUCUAAGUGACCUAGGGUGAUCAGAAAGGUGUUUUAGUAACCUAAGGUGAUAAAAAAUAAAAAAUAAAAAAUAAAAAGUGCUUAAGUGACUUAGGGUGAUCAAAAUAGUUUUUAAGUGUGUUGUCCUAAAGGUUUAAAUGAGUUAUCCUAAAAAAAAAUGAAAAUCCUAAAUCUAACUUUGGGUUGCCAAGAGUCACAAUGAGAGGCCAGAUAAAUAUCCCUUAACCAGACUCUCCAAGGUGGCUAAAAAAGGUAAGUUGAAUGAGUAGCAGUAGUGUAGACCUUCAAUUUUGUCUUCAUAGCACAUGUCUUAUUAGAUACUUGUUCGAUACUUUACAGUUAGCUCCUUGGUGGCCCAUAUCUACUCACGCUACUUACCUUUCUUGAACCACCUCGGAGACUCUGAUUGAGGGAUUGCCUAACCCCUUAUUAUGACCUUGGCAGCCCUAAUUUAGACUUAGGCACUUUCCUAAACACCUUAGGCCCACUUGGACACUUCAUUGGGCUUAGUUCACUUAGGCCCACUUAAGCACUUUUAAACCCACUUUUUAUAUGACUUGCAUGAUUGCAUGACCUGCAUGACUUGUGUGACUUAUAUGGAUUUCUUUAUUAUUUUAAUUUUAUUUUAUCUUAUUACAAGUUUUCUAAAUCAUAUUUUUUGGCUUUUUGGGCAUGAGGAAACGGGCCGCCAUCUAUUUGGAAGGAGAAUCAACAGAAUUUUGAAAAAGAGGAGAUUUUGUUUUUAGAAGGAUAGCACGUAUAUUAUUUCCAUGAGGGAAUCGGUUACAAAAGGGAAGAAAAUAAGAAAGGAAAGUGGAUUUCUUUUUUUGGAUCAGAGAAGGUUUCUUUUUGGAGGGAGAUUUUUUUAUUAUUUUUGUAGAGAGACACAAAAGAAAGAAAAAUGAAGGGAUUCUCCUCCAGCAGAUUUGGGGGGUUCUUUGGGAAGGCUGAUAUAUAUAUGUGAGAGAGGAAUUUUUUGGGAUGGGUUUUUUCGGGAGAUAGUCUUGAGGAAAAGCACAGAGAAGAGGGAAAGGAGCAAGAGUAGCCGAGUUCAUCCGGGUAUGUUUCUUGUUACUCUUGAAAUUCUUACCCAUAUUCGAUUUCUCCAUAUAUUUGUUUUUGGAAUAUUUAAUAUAUUGUUCGUUGGUGUGGUCGUUAAGGGCCACAAGUUGUUCUGCUGAGCUUGGUUGUUUACCUCUUUAUUCAAUUCUGAUUUUGAUUAUUUUAGGUGUCAUGAAUGUCUUCAGAAAUAUACAACUCCAUGCUUGAAUGUGAUCAUGCUCUUUUUUUUUUUAUUUGAAUCCUAUCUUGUAUUGUUCCCUCUGUUAUGCUCUUAGCCCAUGGAUUAAUACUUGAAGUGGGGGCUAUUUUUGUUUAUUGAUCAACAUCUUCUGCUCUUUCCUCCUCUGAGUUUUACUUCAUUUUUAUUUCAUUUUAUUUCUCCUCUAUCCCUUUUCCUGUAUGCUGCCCAAAUCCUUCUCAUUACCUUUGGGUGUACAUUGAGGAAUGAUGGAAGUGUUAAUAUGAGAUGAAGUAUGCAACAAUCUCACUCAAAUAUUAGAUAGUUGAUUUCGAGGUUCUUUUAGUGAACUACAGAAAUCUGGAAUAUGCAUCACUGAAAUUCGGAUCUAUCCCACACUACCAACCUUGGGAAAAAGGGGAGAAAUUCUAGGAGUUUGAUUUUCGAUUAUGUUAGAAAAAUGGAGUUCACGCUACAAUCGAUGAUUCUCAUGGAAGCAACCUUGUUGCCAUUCUCUGUUGAUCUUAUCAUCAUAUGGAGAGGGAUCACCGACCUUGAGGAGAUAUUUGGGUUUCUCUGGAAUUGGAAAACUGAAGAAGUUCUAGAUUCAUCUGAUUAGAAGAUUAUUACCACGCGUGGUUCCUGGAGGGGUGAUCCAAAGAGAGGAUUGGUUAGAGGGAACCGUGGAUAACCGGAAAGUAGAAGAAACUGAAGGGAUCACGGCUGAAUGGAGGAUGGAAACUCGCACUUUCUCUUAGAAGCCAUUGAAAGCGAGGGAAAAGCCUUUGAAUAUUCACAUCUCUGUCAUCUGAUCAAUGAUUCUCUUCCUCCUUACAUCGAAUCAGAGCUAAUUUCAGUGACCAAACAAAAUGAGAAAAAUCUUUUGGUUGCUCUUUCCCAGGAUUCAAGAAAAAUUCAAUUCUGGAUAUAUGAGCUUGAUUCCGAUUCCCGUGACGACAUAGCGGCCUAACCUACUUAUAUUGAGAAAUCAGAAAAUUAUGAAGAGCAUUGUCAUUUGACUAGAAUCAUAACCAACUUGUUGAAAGUCAAUAUGUUCAAUAUUUGGCAAGCAAGGUUCUUGUGGUCCUUUCUGAGUUUGUUGUUGUUUCUGGAAGUAAUGGGGAGGGAUUUGUGCAUUUUUUGUGUGUUUGCUUUGAUGCAGCAAUUGGCAACUCUCUUUCAUCGUCUUUCACACUCCAAACUGAUGGGAACGAAAUCUUUACUGAGAAGUCAAGUUUUGUUGUUUUUUUGUAAAAUCCAGACUGAAAAAUGUAAAUUGGUUUGCAGUGGCUGGUAUUAUUCGAGUUUUGAGUAAUAUAUUGAAAUACUUGAAGCAAGAAUAUGAUGAUCAACUUGGGAAAAUGCUUGGAUUCUAUCAAUUCUUGUUUGUCAAAUGUGCCUUGGGAUUCAUUGAAUGAUGUUUGUGUUGGUCAGAAUGGUGACACUUAGAGACGCUCGAACACUUUUAGUCUGAGGAAUGGUCAGCUACUAGAGUCAAAGGUUUUAUUUCUAAGAAAUCUUGUUCAGUUCUUCUGUUUAUUGGUUGAGCAAAAUGGUCCUUUGGGAAUCCCAGGUGUUUCUCUAGGUAAGUAUCCUGUUCUUUAUAACAUCAGCAACCUUCUCCUAAGUUUCUAUAUUGGUGCCUUGGCAAGCAAGGGAAUUGUUACAGCUUGUGCAUCUCUAUACUUUAAACACAAGUUGUUGAUGCUAAUGUGUAGGCUCAAUUUCUAUAUCCAUCUACAAUAUUCAAUUCUUGCUUCUUUGCUGCAAGUUCUCCAUGAAUACUUUCAAGAUCUUUUGCUCCAACCAAUACGUCAAGUCAACCCUGAUGAGAGUGGUUGUCUUGAAGGCUCUCCAUUUUUUUUUUAUUCAGUAUUCUUGAUGGAAAAGUAUAUAGCAUGUCUUUAUACCAUUUACAGAGACAGGUUGUUUUCCUUUUUCUAAGGUGUUCCUUCAGUUUGAUCAGUCUGAGGGAAGAAAUAAGAGAGCAAUGUGCAUAUGCAGCUACCAAUUCAUGCGUGACAUUUCACCUAAAUUCAAAUUUGGAAUGUUGUAGUCAAAAGAAAGUCUAUAAGAGCUUUAUGAGCGGCUUCAAGGACAUAUUCCUAAGUGUUUAGUUGUGGACCGUGAAAUGUAUUAGACAGUUAUUUCUUAGAUAUGCUGAAGCUCUGUUUUCUUCGCUCCAACUUCUUUGUCAGCAUCAUGUGACACGCUUGGUUCAGGGUUUUGAUGUUAAUCUACGACAAGAAUUAGUUCAAUUAACACUCCACCCAGUUUGUUCCGAGGAAGGUGAUCGGCUUGCUACUAGGUUAAUAUCUUCCCUAAUGGGGUAUUACACUGGUCCUAAUGACAAGGUAACAGUUGAUGAUAUUAGCGCAAGAUUGCAAGAGGGUUGGCUAGGCUAUUACAAGGGGACUGAUCACAAACUUUACUUAGCUGUGGAGUUUCUUGAGAGAGCUGUUGUAACUUCUGACACCGAAGAGAAGGAAAACCUUGCUAGAGGGGCCUUCAAUCUCUUGAAUAAAGUUCCAGAACCUGUAGAUUUGUGAGUAGUUUGCAAAAGGUUGGAGGACUGGAGAUUUCAUGAAGUUGUGGUUCGUUUACCACUACAAAAAGGUACAAGCCCUUGUCCCUGAAGGUGAUGCUUCCAAUGAGCGACUUGAUGCAGAAAUUUGAGAACAUACACCUGCUUAGCUUGAAUAGUGUUAUGAGAUUAUCACCAGUGUUUUGUGUUCUUUAAAAAAGGUGAGGCUUUUCUAGAAGGAACUUGGAUCUCCCGUGAGUCCCGCUGCCUGAUCCACCCUUGAUCAAGCUUCCCGAGACAUAUACAUACGCCAAACUGUCCAACUCACUGUUAAAUCAUCCGACACAGUCUUUCAGAUAUUGUUUCAGUAGAGAUCCAAAAUAUGUUAGGCCCCUUGCAAUUCUUGCCCUUGAUGAUCUCUCCCAGCAUGAAGGACUUGCUAGAGCUAGUGAUUCUGUAUCAGCAUGUCGCAUACUGAUAAGCUUGCUUGAAGAUUAACCAACAUAUGCUACUGCCACUACUUGCAGCUGGAAUAGGAAUUACCUUAGUUGAUUCAGUAGUAAUGCCUCGACCUAGCACGUAGCAGCAUCAAAGAGCAGCCAGGACCCACCAAUGGGUUUUGCAUUGAUAAGAUCUUCAGGUCAUCACGAUAUUUCAAAAUAUCCUAUGGACUUUCGUGUUUUGGAAAUGUGGCCAUUGCAGCUUGUUAUGCCCAGCGCGUGCAUGAAUUAAAGCGUGUGUUUAUCAUUGAUUUUGAUGUUCAUCAUGGGAAUGGAACAAAUGUGAUUCUAUGAUGGCUCAGAUAUAUUCUUCCUUUCCACUCAUCAAGAUGGAAGCUACCCUGGUACUGGUGAAAUUGAUGAGGUAAGGUCAUGGCAGUGGCGAAGGACGACGACACCAAUUAUUAAAUGAGAUAUGCAGUGAAAGAGGUAACAAUGGGGAUGGUGAUCUUUGUCAAGAAAAGGGCUACUGAUGCUCUGGACGAAGCUGCAAUCAGAGAAUAAUUAAGCCUUACAAGAGAAAGACUUCCCAUGAUGACCCUUACUCCCUGAACACUGUCAUCGAUAAUUUUGGUGCAUGAACUACUCAUGAAAAUGAAAAAUAUUUGAGGAUGACUUCCAAUCGAAAAAGGGAAUGAUCAACUUGUAGUAGAGUUUGAAUUAUCUGGAAAUGGUUGGGUUUCAGGAUUGAUCAUCAGCUUGUUCUUGAUAAACAAAUAGAAUCACAUACAGAUUCUUUUCUUUCCUUCAGAUGAGAAUGGAAUGCAUCACACCAUCGCACAGUUGAAAUCUUUGAGCCGGAACAGAGAAGGAAACAGAACAGAGAAAGCAAGGUCUGAAGGGAAUCAUUCAAAAUGGACCAGUUGAGAAAGCCUAAAAGUCCCAUUCUAGAUUUUCUUCUGAAACUAUGGAAGGAAAUGCAGUAGGAUCUGUACCUGACUCAACUUGAGAGCAUGCUUCUUUGUUCAUCCCACCAGUUGCAGAAAACAAGUUGGCUUCUGAUGCCCAUGAGAAGGAACCUGAUUCCACCAUUGAAAAAAUAUCAGGCAAAUCUACUGGUUAUUUGACAACUGAAGAGUCGUAGCGUAUUGUUAGUUGCUUGUGAAUUGUUGAAACAACAGUAUCAUGACUGGAGGAUCAAAUAUCUGAUACCGGAAAUGAAGCUGAGAUCAGAGAAUCUACUCUUUCUGCUCACACCUGUUUUCUCAUAAAGAAUAUGUCUCAAAAGGAGGAACACAUUCGAGAUAUCCUUGUCAACUUGUUGGGUCAACCUAGAGAAAGGUUUCCUCAGGUUCUAUGGAAUUCCUCCUGUCUGCAUUCCCUACUAUUUUCAGUUGAUGAUGAGUCGCCUUUUACUCUUUCCAAUGAUCCUGCUUAGUAGCAACCACAUGUUCUUCAUAUCAAAAGGUUGUUCAAGAAUGGAUCAUAAAUUCACUUUCAUAUGCUCCAUGAACCAACCAGGGUCUUCUUCAGGAAAAGCUUUUUAAAGCAAACACAUGGCAGAGAGCUCAGCACACGCCUGAUGCGGCCUCUUUUCUAUCUGAGAUACGGAUUGACACUGGGAAGAAUGAUAAUUGGAUAAGUAUACGAGCAGCAAAUGUCCUUGCAGUUAUUGCUGCAGCCGCUGCAGCAUUAGGAACAAACUUUAAAUUGAUAGACGCCUUCAACUUGGAGGUUCUAAAUACAAGAAUAGUCAGUAUAACAGUUUGUUUCCUUGAGAUGAAUAAGGGUACUAAUUUCAACCUUUGGAAGCAUUUGGAAAGAACGAGAUUUAUCAAGAAAUGGCAUAGGAGGCGGAUGUGACUAAGUUCUCUGGAACACUUAAGAGAUGUAAUUCAGAAUUUCAGUCUUACUGCAAUUUAUGAUGUCGAAGCUGCCAACAUUCCUGCCAGCUUAUAAAAAAAUUUCAAUGUCUGAUUUGAAUGUUGAUGAAAAACACAUUACUUUUGCAAAGUUCUCAGAGAAGCACCGAUUAUUCCUACUAUUGGACAUGUGCGACAUGAAGUUCAAUGAUAGAUUGCUCCUCGAAGAUGCCAUGAUUGAAAUGAAGAUAAAUCAACUAGGUAAAAGUUUGAUUAAUCUUGCUAUGUUCGAGACAACUUCCAAUGCUAAUAGCAUGCAUCAGGAUAAACCUUUCUCCUCAGAGUCCAUUGGGUUGGUGGAUUUUGAAAAAGAUUUUACUACUUAUAGUAAAUCGAAGCAAGUCAAAUCCAGCAGUAGUGCUAUUGAGACAGAGUGUAAAUCAAUUAGUUCUUCGAAUUUAAACAGCAAAGCUGUAAUAAACGCUCAAAUGUCCACUCCUCCUAAUCCUUUACCAGCAGUUAAUGGAAUGUUCAGAACGCAAAAGACAAUCCUCUUCCCGAAAAUGCAAGUUUCAAGAAAUGAGAAACUGCCAACAGAAUUAUGCAAGAAUCGAGGCUUGCCACUGCCAGUGACUCUAAUGACGCUGCUAAUUCUGAAUUCAGGUUAAAAGAUUUAAAUUUGAGAGUAAAUAUAGUGUUGCUCAGUUCAACAGAACACACCAACAGGCUCGCUUAGUUUGACAGAAUACACCAGCAAGUUAGCAUCUGACCAACAUGAAUACGAAUCAGUUGGCUCACUUUACCUUGAUUGUCCUCUUGUUGAUCUCCAAGCAAAUCAGAGGUGGCAGGUCCAAGUAUCAGAGAAUGGGGUAACUCAGCGAAGAGAGCAAGUGAAGAACCUACAGAUUGCCCAAUUGUUUCCAAGAUUACUCACAGAUAUGUUCCAGAUUCUCAAGAAUUCCUUCAACACUGUUGAGCUUGUCAGGAAGUGGGAAGGAUUGCAACAACUUUAGACCCUUGCACAUAAUGAACACCUGCAAUUUUUUCGAAAUGAGAUGACUCCCCAGAACUUGCAUAACUCGUACUCUCAAUUGCAGUAGGAACAUAAAGUUCUACCUUCAGAUAUGGAAUUGGACCUCAAAGAUUGAAAUAAGUGGUGGUGUCCAAGCUUGACUUAGAGAAUGAAGCAAAGGAGUUAGAGAAUUAUAAAAUAAAACUGCAGUUGGAAAAUUCUGAAUUGGCAGAAAGAUUAGAAUUUGCUCAAUCCUUGCAAGUUCUGUUCUGGGAUAUCCAGAAAAAGAAUAAAUAAAGAAACUGAACCACAACCUCAGACACAAAGAAAUGAAGACUUGUCAAAGAAAAUUGAAAUGUUACAAGUAGAUCAGUGCACUAACAUAGAAGAGCUAUUUUUACCUAUGAUGACUCAAUGCUCGCUAAUGACAUAAACUGAGGCAUUAACAGCCCAGUGUUGUUUCAUCUAUUGCAAAGGACCCAAGCAUCCUCAAUCCUUCCUUAAGCAGUAAGAUCCAGAUUUUAACAAACUCGUUGAUGCCAUUUUUCCUCUUGGCAUGCACUUUCACUAUUUUCCUUAACUUUCAACCAUUUUCUUGAUUUUAUUGAUUUUCCUCAAGCACGAAUAAACUUCAUGGUUCUAAAUAAUAGGAUUGAUUGAAUCAAUUCUUGAUAUCUUCUCUAAUAUUGAUUCAAAUGAGGGGAAUGUUCAAUAUUUGGCUUAUUUUAAUUAUUCUUAAUGAUAUAUAUAUGAGAAAUGUUUAUACCUGUUAUUGAGCUAACCUUGUUUUCCAUAGACGUGUGGAUGCUCGCUAAUCAGGUAUGCUCUUUCUACCCCCAACUCUAAAAUUCUAUGAAUGUGUAUAUUAUCAUGAGCCAUGUCCAUGUUUGAUGUCAUACUUGAUUGCUUUGAUGCUUGUUCAAUUAUCUAUGAUAAAAUGCAUGUUGGGUGAUAUAUUAUCUAAACUAACCUUUAAUGUUUUAUGAUAGCGCUUAAGAAGUGGUUCAGGUAUGCACCCUAACUCCCAUUUAUUAUGAUUUGAUCUUGUUUGGCAUGUUAUCUUAUGUAAUCGCCUAGUCUAUCUAGGUAUCCUCAAUUAAUCAAUUAAUUGCCACAUUACCCCCAAUUUAGUCAGUAGAGACCUCUUUAGGGCUUAGAGGGGUGCUACCUCCUAGAGGUACCUUCCCAAUAAGUAACCUGAUCCCCGGACUUAGAUUCGGGUUUUUCAAAGACACGCUUUUCCAAAAAUUAUGGAGUCAUUUUUUUUUAGGGUUUUAUUUCUUGUUUUAUUUUCCCUUUAAAAUAAAAAUAAAAUAAGUGGCGACUCCGACUUUUCCAAAAAUUACUUUUUCACAAAUAAAAAGCGAGUCUCGCCGAUCGAGUGGGGGCGCACAUGAAAAAUGCAGGUCCACAAGUAGGCUAUCGGGAAACUAUUGUGGAGUAUUGAAAGAAUACUUAGUAUGACAUGUGCUAAAGGAUAAAAUGGAGGGUCUACACUUUUUCCUUUGUUUGAUUGUUUUGCUUUGAGUUUGGUUUUUGGUUUUUCGAUGCAUAUGGCCUAUAUAUUCAUUAUCGAUUUAUUACUUUUAUUAAUAUGUCUUGUUUUUUUAUUUUUGUUUUGAUCUCUUAGUAUCCAUAAUCUGUUAGUUAAUUACCUUAGUUCCCUCCACUUGUUUAGUAUGGACUUCUUUAGAAUUUAAAGGGGUACUACCCUAUGAUACCUUCCUAAUAAGUAACCUAACUCCCAUCUCUAGACUUGGUUUUUACACACUUUUCUUUUCCUUAAAAUGUAUGUUUGUAUAAUCUAUUUUUCCUUUUAUUUUAUCAGUUUUAAGAAUAUUGUGAGAUUUAAAUAUGUAAUAAUAUCUUGUACCAUUACUAGAAAAAGAAAAACUAAGAGAUUUAUAAAGUUACUGAAAUCAAUUUCUCAUUUUGUAGAAAAUGCUUUUAUAUUAAAAUGGGAAGAAGGGACUUAUUUAAAAUUUGUUCAUCUAAAAUAACAUUAGUUAAUUCUUAAUUUUUAAUAAAAUGUAUGAAGCUCAUUAAACUAUAAAAUACAAGAAUACAUAAUGUAUACUUGAGAAGAUGUAAUGGAGAAUUAAUGGGAGGAGAAGAGUAUGAGGCAACCAAGAAGGAAUAUAUUGAAUGUCUUAAAGCUGUUGAAAGGAGGGCUUGAAGAUAAAUCUUACUUUGGUGCUAAAACUUUUGGGUUUAUGUGUCUCUUUUGCUACUUAAUUUAUGGUUUGUUUUAUGCAUAUGAAAUGCAAGUACAUAUACAAUCUUGGGAUGCUUAACAAUUAAACAUCAUUUUUUUUUCUUGUGAGUUCGAUCUUCUUUUUCAAUUUUGGUGGGUUUGAUGUGCUAGGUGUGUUAUUUUAAUUUUUUGGUGAAUAUUCAAUGCUAUUUUAAUAACAUAUUUGGGAUUAUGGAUACAAUAUAUCAUAGAUUAAUCCAUAAGCAUUAAAAUUAUUAAGUUAAAUGCAAUAUAAUUGUUAUAUUUUUAGAUGAAAUGUUACUAUAGGUUAGUCCUAGAUGUUAAUUAAUAAGUAUUAUAAAAAUACUUAAAUUAAACACUCAUAAGCAACCAUAUCUUCUAUAAUCAUUUGGAAUAAUGUGAUAUCAUAACUCAAAGGUGAUCCAUGCAUUUUAUGCAACUUCUAAUUAUAUUUAUCCCUUAUAGCUCAUUAGCCAAAUAAGUGUCAACAAAAUGACAAUAUUGUCUCUUUUCAAAGUGUCACUAGAAAUAUAUAAUGUCAUUGGUGGCACUGUAUGUUUAUGGUGACACAUUGUAAAGGUCACAAUAUCUCUUCUCCUUAAAGUAAGCAUCUAUAAUAAUUACAAAUAUUUGUAUUGAGAAAACCUAUAUGAAUGGGAGAAUUGUUGGAGAAUUGUAGCAAGUGCAAAUACAUGUAAAGAAAAAAAUACAAAUAUCAAACCCAAUAAUUAAAAUUGAAAAAACAAGUUGGCAUCACUUAUUUAAUUACUCUUUAGUUUCCUCUUCUCCACCAACAUCUCCUUUUUUUUUUUUCAAAUAAUAAAUAUUAAGGCUAUGUUUGGUUCUCAGAAAAUUUGAGAGAAAAUGCAAGGGAAAGAAAAUACAAAGGAAAAAUAGAAGGAAAGAAAAAGUGAAGGAAAAUAAAAAAUGGAUUAAAAGUUGAUAAGUUAUUUUUAUUUUUUACUUUAAACUCAUUUUAUUUAUUUUAACUCAUUAAUAUAAAGAUUAAAUAAUUUUAAAAUACAUAGGUUUUUAAUUAGUUUUAAUUAUAUUUGAUUUUCUUUUAUAUUUUUCAUAGGACAACCAAAUAUGAAAAAAUCAUUUUCCUUUGCAUUUUUUUUCUUUCCUUAAUAUUUUUCGGGAACCAAACAUAACCUAAUGUUUCAUAGCUAGACACAAAAAUAACAAUACUCAAUUAUGUCAUCUACAGUAGGAAAAGUAAGGAAACAAUAAAGUAUUAUAACAACUUGAAAAGCCAAAUUAACAUAACCAAUAUUAGUUACCCAUGAAACACAAGUAGGUAUUGAGUUUCAUAUAUAAUAUAACAAGCUAAAAUUAUAGGAUAUCCAAGUUCAACAACACAAAUAGAUAGAUAAAGAUAUUGGCUUAUGCAUGUGAUCAUAUGAUCAUGUGGGGACCGUUAAAGGACGAAAUCCAUGUUGGAGACUAGCUUCCCAUAUUUUCUCAACGUUGAACAUUGUGUUACCACACUCGUGCACAUUCCAUCCUUCUAAUGCAUGAAUUACCCCAGCUACACGCGAUGCACUCAUUGCUCUUCUCGGCAACCAAUUCUGUCACAUGUUUGCAUUACAAAAAAUUCCAUAAGACAAAACGAAUAAUAUAAGUAAUCCAGUUUAUAGUGUAUGAUGAUUGGUAGGUGUUGGAAUUAAUGCCUUGAAAGUUUCUUUGAAAGAUGUUCUCUUCAUUUGGCCCAUUACCAAAAAUGUUCAUUACCCUUCACAUUUUUUGCUCAACUUCUUUUCAAUAAAGAAAUGAUUUUCAUGAAAUAUAAGAUGUAUGUAAAACAUUGAGGUCUGUGAAUGAGAACAAACAUUAAUUUACUAACCUCACAAGAGUCUAUGUUCUGAAAAGACUUGGGAGGCAUCAUUGCUGGUGUAGUGUGGUAGAGGCAGUCUUUGCGCAACCUCUUUGGAGGGAAUUGAGAAAAGGGAAUGAAUAAUGUUCCUGUCGAUGCUUUCAUUUGUUCUUCUUUGGUCAAUCCAUCUCCAACCACCCAUAUCUUCAAAAUAAAUAAAUAAAAUUAAGUUGACGAUGGAUAAAAAAGUAACAGAAAUAAGAGUAGUAGCAGAUGAAAAUGAAUCAAGUGUAGAAGGUUUAAAAUUGUACCUUUUCAGUAAAACUUUUAGAAAGUAGUAAUUUACUUUCACACUCAACAUUCUUGAGCUUUGUGUUGAGUUGCUCAUACUCAUCCUUACGUGAUGUGGCUACCUGAGAUUCAUUGUAUGAAAAAUCAAAACCAAGAUUGGACAAUGCUUGUUUCAGACCCCCGAUUUGUCAAUGCUAAGGCAUUACUUCACAAUUCUCGAAGUUAAUUUUUUAUUUUAUUUUGCUGCUAAUGUUCACCAAAAAUAAUUUCUUUUUCUUUCCCUUUAUAUAUAUAUAUAUAUAUAGUAGCCAUAAUAAUGCUUGUUAAUUAUACAUACCUGGAUAUCCAUUUGGCAUAAAGCAGAAGCAAUAAAAUAAGCAACCUUGGUGAGGUUGCCUCUGAAGAGUACUUGAGUUGUUCCUUUAGGAAUGCUAUUUAGAACAACAGCUACUGCUAAGCUACUCCCAUCCACCACCUUGAUUUUGAGCUUAGGAUUAUUAUGGAUAUAAAGCUCACCAUAACUAUUAAACUCAUCACCCUGCAAAGUUUAUAUUUAUUAUUGGACAGUUUUAUUUUAUUUUUUCUAAAAUUCGCAAAAUAAUUCAAAUUUUCAGAAUGUAAAAAUUUUUCAGAAGUCAACUGAAGGCCAUAAAAACUGUGUGUCCAUGCAAGCAUGAGGUAGAGAUAUGGAACAUGGAGGUAAACUCUUCCAAAUGAUCAAAAAGGAGGUAAAUUGCCUCUUUUUUUUUAACUUGCCUGGUUCAAGAGACCUAAACUCAAAACUUUAAUCCCUCUUUUGUCUGCUUUGAGUAUGGCUUCUUCUAUCAAACUAUCGAUGGAUUCAUUUCCCAAUUUCAGGAGAUACUACAAUAAGAAAAUAGAAAAGGAACAAAAAGUAAAUAAUAUACUGAAGUAUGAUUAAAUAAAAAACAAAAGAAUAACAAGUUAACAAUAAAAUGUUGCUUACUUGUAUCUUGAAUUUUGGUACGACCCACGUUUGGACAUUGACUUUGUUGAAUUGAUUCCUCUCAAGAAUAAACGUUCGACCAUAGGUCCAUGUUAGCAUUAUAGAACAACAUGUCACUGGCCACAUUGCCCAUACAUACCAUUUGUAUGUGUAAGGUUUGGAGGCUAAGGAGGCGAAUCCUAGCCUCAGAUGAUAGAUGGACUGUGGCGUUACAAGAUGUGUCAAAUGAACCACAUGGGGCAAUUGUUCAGGUCUUAUAAGUGAUUUUUCAUAUAACGCAUCUGAAGAUUUAUCCAUUGUACCAUAGAUGUAAUCAUAGAUGGGCAUAAAAAGUGAGUAAUUGGUCCUGAAUUGAGUGUGAUGCAGAGAGUGAUACCUGAGAUGUCAAGCAGUCAAUCAUUUCUUCAUGCACAUUUCAAAUUGGAAAGAAUACAUUUAUGGGAUGAGCCACAUAAAAAAGUAGAGAUACAAGAAUACAUUCUAAAAACCAUAAAAAAUAAAAUAAAGGAGAGAAUCAUGUUUUCAUACCUGGAUUAGGCUUUAUUUAAAAUUUGGUGGGCAACUUAUGGGAUUCCGACCUUAGAGCUUAAGUGGUAAAUAAUAAUAAUAAUAAUAAUAAUAAUAUAUUUUCAUUUCCAUCUUUUCUUAGCCAGUUAUAAUGUAAUGAGUCAUAUAAAAACAUUUACAAAUAAAUCGAUUAUGUGAAGUGAAUAAAUAGGAAUUAGAUACAAGGAUACAAAUUGUGGGCGUUUUAAUUUUUAGAGUACGUAAAAAAGAUCAUUGCAGUAUUCUCUCUCUCUCAACACAGAAAACUAUGUAAAAAGGAAUUGGGAGACUUACGAGGGGGUAUACAUGAGGUACUUAAGAGGUGGAAAAAUGGAGAAUAGCAUCUUAGGGAUCAGCUCGAAAUUGCAGUGUCCCAUGUUGUUCAUGAAAUCAAUAUAAGAAAUAUAACCAAAGACGGCUGCCAUGGAGCUCUUUCUCAUGAAAAAUCCUGCUAACAGUGGUAUUAAAAACAGUAGAAAAUAUGCUAGGUGUUCAGCAAAAGGAUGGAUGACAGCUGCCAUGGAAACAACGAUACGUCAUAUUCCAAUGUAGGUAGUGGUUAAUUAGUAACGGAUCAAAGAGUAAAUGAUCAAUUCAUACAGGUGAUGGGCUCUGUGACAAUCGAGGAAUGGUGAUGAGAAUGAUAGCGUGAGUAAAGAUAAUGAUGAUGCAAUGCUCUGUGUAACCAGUAGUAUAGGAAUUCAACAGGCCCCAUAUGAAGAAGAAUUGUAAGAAGUACACCAUCUGUUCUCCAUAAGGGCAUGUGAGCAACCCCAGGAAGUAUCAUGUAAACCACGUAGAAUAGGAUCCCAUUCAACAAUAUUUGGUCAUCCCUGCAAACAAAACACCACAAGAAAAUCUGAAUAUUCAUGCAUGAAGGUAAUCAGCCUGUGUGUGUGAGAGUGAGUUUCUGACAGACCAGUUGCUUUCCCUGUCAACUUGCUCGAAUUCAAUACUCUUAUCAACGAUCCUAUUGUUUCCCUUAGCUGUUCGGUAUCGAGCAAGAGAAAUCCAAAUCUGGUUGUGAAGUGCCCUCCAUAACAGAAAUGGGAAAAAUAGAACGUAAACAGGGUCCCUCUCCUUCCCAUCUUUGAUUAUUAAUGUGUAUAUGCUAUGAACUACCCAUGGAGCCAAUAUCACAUACUGAAACAAAGAAUAAAAGUAAAAUAAAUGAGUAAAACAAAAAUAAAAUAAACAUUGAAGAGAAGGCAAGAUUGUAGAGCAAUCAAAGUGUGGCAAAUCAGAUAAUAAUAGUGUACCUUGAAGCUUCCAAGAGACUUCCAAGGCCAGUCAGUGAGGAUACCUGGUUUGGAAGCCAUAUACACUUCUAUAAUGUUACUUGCUUAAUUUAGUUUGCCGUCUACAAAAUUGGAGGGCUAUAUAUACUGAUUCUCUCGGGUGAAUUUAAGCAGCCAUUAAUGCAGGCCUGAAACCCUUAGAAGGAUACGAUCAGCAAGUUGUUUGUGACCUUCACUUUCAAGGAUAAAAGGAGCUUGUACAAAAACUAUUUUUUACUUUUAAUAAAACUUGAAUUAAAUUUAACUAGUCUUGUAUAAAAUGAAUUAAUAAUUUUUUACAACAUCAAAAUAGGAAAAUAAUUUUUCAAAGCAUGCAACUGAUUCAAAUAAUUUUAUUUUAUUUUAUUUUUUUAUUUUAAAAAAACUGUUCUCACAAAACAAGUUUUCAAAGGGUCUUGUUCUUAAAAAAUAUUUAUUUAUUUAUUUUGGUUCUUCACCUCAAACAAUUUUCAAAAGCAAUCCUCUACAAAUCUGUAGAAAAUCUCGUCAAACAGGCCCUUAUCUUCCCUAUUUCUUAUCCUAGUUUGGUGAAAAAGGCAGAUUAAUAACGACCUUAUUUCUCAAAUCUCAACUCUUGUGUGAGAAUAAUAAAUGCAGAAUUUAAAACUUCCACUGUUCCAACCGUCCUAGGGCGAGGUGGGCACACUUAUAAUCAAUACUUAGUGCUAUGUUCUUUUUGCUGCCCACUUUUUCAGGUUUGCAUUUAGAUAGUGUUGACAACACCUUUCAAAUAUUAUCAGGCUGCUCUAGCUGGCGAUGCCAAUGUGAAAGACAUGGGAUGUUUGUGCAGAAAAGGCCAAAUAAAUAAAUAAAAGGGAAAGCUAUGGGAUCAUACACCAAUUAGAAAAACAGAUAAAUAGAUUUUUUUUGAGAAAUCAAAAUUUUCACUUUUAAAAAAGAGUUUAUUACCCUUUAUCCCCCAACCUAUAAUGUGUUUUGUACAUUACCCCCUUGAGUUCAAAAUCAAACAACUUCAUCAUUUAUGAUUGCAUACAAUGUUAUUUUUUUAGAGAAGGAACAAUUUUUUGGAUAGAAAGGCAUGUGCUCUUUGCAUGAUCAAGGGUAAAAGUGUCUUUUUUUUAUAAGUGAGGGCAAAAGGGUCAUUGUUAUUUUAAAACCCCAAAUUGCAACCCUCCUCUCCCGCAUCGACCAUUCCUCCUUUGUAGGUGCUAGUGAAGCCCUAAUUCAAAGCCCUAGAAUCCCAAAGAAGCUAAUAUAGAGUUGACAUUGAAGAAAAGAGAUGGAAUUCAACGGGGUUUUUUUUUUUUCUUUUGUCUUCCAAUUUAUUUAAGGUUAAGGUUUUGUUUUGAUCUUUUAGAAAAUUUAAGGAAAUUUUGGGGAAAUUAUAGAAGAAUAAAACUCGGGCCAAUUAAGGGUUAGGGUUUUUAUGUUAGGGUUUAAAUUUUUGUGUUCUGCUUCUAGUUUAAGGUUGGGGUUUCGUUUUCAUGUUUCAGAAAAACUAGGGGUAUUUUUGGUGAAAUUUUAGGGUAAUUUUUAGGGGCAAUUUGGGGAAAUUAUGGGAGAAUAAAACUUGGGCAAAUUGAGGGUUAGGGUUUAAAUUUUUAUGUUAUGCUUUUGGUUCAAGGUUAGGGUUUUGUUUUCAUGUUUUAGAAAACUGCGCAUAUUGUUGACAGCACCUUUCAAAUAUUAUCAAGCUGCUCUAGCUAGCUAUGACAAUGUGGAAGACAUGGGAUGUUUGUGUAGAAAAGGCUAAAUAAAUAAAUAAAAGGGAAAGUUAUGGGAUCAUACACCAAUUAGAAAAAACAGAUAAAUAGAUUUUUUGAGAAUUCAAAAUUUUCACUUUUAAAAAAGGGUUUAUUACUCUUUAUCCCCCAACCUAUAGCGUGUUUUGUACAUUGCCCCCUUGAGUUCAAUAUUGAACAACUUCAUCAUUUACAAUUGCAUGCAAUGUUCUUUUUAUAGAGAAGGUACAAUUUUUUGGAUAGAAAGGCAUGUGCUCUCUACGUGAUCGAGGGUAAAAGUGUCUUUUUUGCUAUAAGUGAGGGCAAAAGGGUCAUUUUUAUUUUAAAACCCCAAAUUGCUGCCCUCCUCUCCCGUGUCAAUUAUUCCUCCUCUAUAGGUGCUAGUGAAGCCCCAAAUCGAAGCCCUAGAAUCCCAAAGAAGCUAAUAUAGGGUUGACAUUGAAGAGAAGAGAUAGAGUUCAACGGUUUUUUUUUUUUUUUGUCUUCCAAUUUAUUUAAGGCUAAGGUUUUUUUUUGAUCUUUCAAAAAAUUUAGGGAAAUUUUGGGGAAAUUAUAGAAGAAUAAAACUCAGGCAAAUUGAGGGUUAGGGUUUAAAUUUUUAUAUUUUGCUUUUAGUUUAAGGUUGGGGUUUCGUUUUCAUGUUUCAAAAAAACUAGGGGCAUUUUUAGGGAAAUUUUAGGGUAAUUUUUGGGGGAAAUUAGGGGAAAUUAUGGGAGAAUAAAACUUGGGCAAAUUGAGGGUUAGGGCUUCGUUUUCAUGUUUUAGAAAACUGUGCAUACUGUUGACACCAUCUUUCAAAUAUUAUCAAUCUACUCUAGCUGGCUAUGACAAUGUGGAAGACAUGGGAUGUUUGUGCAAAAAAAGGCCAAAUAAAUAAAUAAAAGGGAAAGCUAUGGGAUCAUACACCAAUUAGAGAAAAUAGAGAAAUAGGUUUUUUGAGAAAUCAAAAUUUUCACUUUUAAAAAAGGGUUUGUUACCCUUUAUCCCCCCAACCUAUAGCGUGUUUUGUACAUUACCCCCUUGAGUUCAAAAUCGAACAACUCCAUCAUUUAUAAUUACAUGCAAUGUUCUUUUUUUAGAGAAGGUACAAUUUUUUAGAUAGAAAGGCAUGUGCUCUCUACGUGAUUGAGGGUAAAAGUGCUUUUUUUUGCUAUAAGUGAGGGCAAAAGGGUCAUUGUUACUUUAAAACCCUAAAUUGCAGCCCUCCUCUCCCACGUCGACCGUUCCUCCUCUGUAGGUGCUAGUGAGGCCCCAAGUCAAAGCCCUAGAAUCCCAAAGAAGCUAAUAUAGGGUUGACAUUGAAGAGAAGAGAUUGAGUUCAACGGUUUUUUUUGUCUUCCAAUUUAUUUAAGGUUAAGGUUUUGUUUUGAUCUUUUAGAAAAUUUAAGAAUUUUUUUUGGAAAUUAUAGAAGAAUAAAACUCGGGCAAAUUGAGGGUUAGAGUUUUUAUGUUAGGGUUUAAACUUUUAUGUUUUGCUUAUAGUUUAAGGUUGGGAUUUUGUUUUCAUGUUUCAGAAAAAUUGGGGGUAUCUUAUUGGAAAUUUUAAGGUAAUUUUUUGGGAAAAUUUGGGGAAAUUAUGGGAGAAUAAAACUUGUGCAAAUUGAGGGUUAGGGUUUAAAUUUUUAUGUUAUGCUUUUGGUUCAGGGUUAGGGUUUCAUUUUCAUGUUUUAGAAAACUGUGUUGUUUGUAUUGAAUGCUAAGAUAUGAACAUGUGCUCUCAAAUUAAUUCUCUGCACACAAUUAAUUUUUUUGUUAUCAAAUUAGCUGAACCAUAUUGAAUGCCAAGAUAUGAACAUGUGCUCUCAAAUUAAUGCUCUACACACAAUUCAUUUUUUUAUCAUCAAAUUAGUUGAAAAUUAAUAAUCUUUAAUUAAAUGCAAAAUCCAAUUCGGUAUGAUUAAUCAUUUUAUGAAUAUAAUUUAAGUAAAAGGGUGUUUGGGAAAUCAAUUUAAUAAUUUAAUAUGACUUAAUAACUUAGUUUAAAUCAUUAAAUAUAUCAAACAUAUCUAAUAAAAUAAAUUAUUAUUACAACUUAAAGUUAUUUUUAACUUUAAGUAUUAAGUUAAAAUAGUUAACUUAUUCUUAAUCUCAAUUCUUUUUACCUCAUUUGUCCACACCAGUGAAAAUAUAUUUUAAAAUUAUAAAGUUAUCUUGUAUAUGUAAAAUACUUUAAAUAUACAUGUUUUACAAAUAAAUUUAUAUGUCACUUAAAAUUAGUGAAAAUAAAUUGAGUUAAAAUAAAUGACAAUAAACACUUGUUAAAAUUAACGAGGGUAGAUAUGUCAAUUGGAUUAUUUAAAAUAAAUUUUAAAUUAACUUUCUCAAACAACCUCAAUACUUCGAAAUAAAAAUGUGUUUUAAGUUAAUAACUAAAAAAUAAUUGAAUUUAAAGUCAACUUAAAUUAUCAAUCGAUCAAUAUUAAGUUUUACCGAACACUCUUUUAUUAACAUUAUAUUAAACAUGAUAGUCAUUAAGUCAAAUUUAUCAAUUCUUGGUUUUUUUUGGUUUGUAAUAUAUGCUUCUUUGAAUGACUUGGAACCAUUAGGCGUGCCGAAAUAUUGCUUCCUAAAGCAUUAUAUAUAUAUAGACAUAUAGGAUACUAAAAUUAAAGUGUUAAAAUUUAAUAAUGGCAAUCAGAAUCAUAGUUUAAAAAGGUGCAAGGUGCACUUAAUGUGUAAAAGUCUCUUAUAGUUUAAGCACAAGAUGCGACACAAGGUACGUACAUACCUAAGUGAAGUGAAAUGCCAUUUAGGAUAUAUGUCAAUUUUGUAAAAUAUGAUUCAAAAUAUAAUCCAAUCAAUAAAAAAAUAAUGAUAUUAUAUCAUUUCAGUGUAUAAUUAGAAAUUUCAAGAAUAAAAGAGUUUAAAAAGGAAAAAUAAAAUCGAUAAGACGCGUCUUUUCAAUAAGGUGCAUAUCUUGGUAAGCAAGGCAGUAUAAAGAGUGGUAAGCACAUCUUUUAAGACUAUGAUCAAAUUUUAAUAAUAAAAAAAAACUAUUGCAAGUCCAUUUUUCUUCUAUACUUCCCAUCUUCAGCGGUCUCCAUCGCCACUACCAGUGGUGUGAUGUUGGCGCCAUUUCUAGUGCCCCUCCAUCCAUUUUUUCUCCCAUUUUCUUCCUCCCAUUUUUUUUUAUUGUCUUCAUUUUUAUUAUUAUUAUUAUUAUUAUUAUUAUUAUUAUUUAGUUUUUUUGUUUUUAAAAAAGCCAUCAACCCUCAUCGCCAUAGGUGAGACCACCGGCCAGUGGCCGUCGAUGAGCCACUCUCGGUCGACGACCCUUUCCUCACCCAUUUUCCAUUAUUAUUAUUCAUUUUUCUUGAUUUGAUUUUAAUAGUAAUUGUUGUUUGUGAGAUUUAAAUUAUUGAAUUAAUAUGAAAUUUGAGUUUUCUUAAUUAAUAUGAAAUUUGGGUUAAUUUGUUAUUGGAGAAUUAAUAUGAAAUUUGGGCUAAUUUAUUGUUGGUGAAUUAAUUUGGAAUUUUUUAAUUUGGGUUAGAUUAGUUGAUAAUUUAUAUGAUUGUGCUCAUUUGAAUUAUUUAAUUUGGAUAUGAUAUAAUAUUGUGAUAUAUUUUGGAUGUGGGUUUGCAUAUUAAAUUGGGUUGAUUUUAAUUGUGGAUUUAGGUUUUCAUAUUAAAUUAGGCUUGGAUUAUGGGAUAUUAAAUUUAGGCCUAAUGGGAUUUAUUUUAAUUUGUCAUGUUUUGGGUUUGAUUAAUUGAACUUAUAUUUUGGCUAUUAACUUGAAAAUUCUGGAUUAGGGCCUAUAACAUGUGAGAUAUUUUUGUUGGGUUAUAUUUGCUAAUUUGGGCCCAUCUUGAUUGACAAAAUUUGUUGGACUAAUUUGAAAUUUGGAUUCGGGCUUGAAUAUCUAUUGUGAAUUUUAUAUAUUUCUAGAUAUUUACAUUUGGGCUUUUUUUUUCUUUUGCACAGGUCCAUUCUGCAAUUUUUUUUGGUUGAGUACGAAUUUAUGACACGUGGAGUGUGGAAUUUCAUGGAAGAAAGUGAGAUUCGAAAAUUUGUAGGAAGAUAUUGAGCUUGUUGUAAGCUUGUUUGGGUACACGUUUUAUUAUCUACUUUUAUUUGGUUUUAAUUUUAUUAGUUUCUGUAAAUAUUUGUUUGUACAUGUUUAUUUGUUGUGUACAGAAUUGAAUAUCAAGCAAAUCAUAAAUUUUUUCUAAAUAAUGGGGACAAUUCAGUAAACAUGUUUUAAUAAAAUAAUAGUUCGGACUUUUUUUUUAAUAAAAGAAAAUUUUUUUAUUAAUAAAAAUUCAGAAAAAUGCUUUUUGAAAAAUCUAAAAAAAAUUAUUUUUAAUAGAAUUUGAAAAAUUGUUUAAUAAUAAUUGUACAAAAAUUUAUUUAUUUAAUAAAAAUUGUCCAAAAAUUAUUUUGUAAAUAAAGUUGUCCCAAAAAUUAAUUUUUAAUUAAAUUUUUUCAAAUAUAUUUUUUUUAAUUAGUUCAAUAAAUCAAUUUGCAUAAUUCUAUUGUCAUUUAUUUUGUACAUUCUUGUAAUUUUAUUUUGUCAUCAUCUUUGUGUAUAUUGUUUCGUUCCUUUAAUCUUGGUAUCUAUGAUUAAUUAAUUAAUUGUCACAAUUCCCUUAAUUCAUUUAGUAGAGACCGUAUCUCUACGAGCUUAGAAGGGUGCUACGGCUCACCAUUGUACCUUCCCAAUAGGUAACCUGACCCCCAGACCCAGACUUGGUUUUUCACAUACCUAUUUUUCCUUUAGGAGUCACACUUAGGGUUUUUAUUUCUUAUUUUGUUUUUCCCUUCAAAAAUAAACCAAAAAUAAGUGGCGACUCCAAGUCUUUUUCUGAAAAUCAAAUUGUCACAAAUAAAUAAAAAUCUAAUCUCAUCAUCGAGUGGAAACGCACGUGAAAAACUCGGGUUCGCAAAAUGGCGACUCCAUUGGGGAUGUUUAAAGGGUCAAACUUGAACUCGAGUUGAGGGAAAUGUGACGUGUGAUUGGUCGAUCAGUAGAUACCCUCUCUAUGUGUCUUUUUAUGAUUGGGUGUUGAUUACACAUUGAGAGCUUUGAUAUGUUUAUCUGUGAUGCAUGUUAGGCUUUUAUGUUCAUUUGUGAUAUUGACAUGUUGACUACAUCAAUUGAUUCUGUUGCUUGAUUUAGCAUAUGACUCUUCUUGUUGAAUGAUUAUCUUGCUUUCCUUGACAUGUACAUUCUCAUUUUUGUAUAUCUCAUUCAUAUUGGCAUGAUUGAUUCUCUUUAUUUUAUAUUAUCUUAUUUAUCUCAACAUAUUAUUUCUUCUUGUUAUAUACCUUUUUUUUAUCAUGUUUCUUGCUUAGCUUGUGUGUAGAUAUGGAUGGCAUACCUGUUCUUUGCUUGAUUGCUUGUUGCAUGACUACUCUUCUUUUGUGUGAUGCAUGUGUUGCUUGUCCAUGUGGGGCACACAUCUAUCCCCUUACCUCCAACUCCCUAAUCUCGGUCGACUUUGUUUCCCUUGAUCUCACAUUUGAUACGAGACUUGUUACUUUGCUUGUUUCUUCGACUGAGCUAGUGAUUAGGAGUAAGAUCUAGUGAUGGGCUAUAUCUAUGUUUGGGAGCAUUCUAGAGAAGGUGGACAUACUGAUGCUGAUUGGAGUCCGAUCUUUGAAGACCUAUAUAGCCCAAAGCUAGGUUUCAUGGAUAUUUGUGUGACCAGUGUGUUUCUUUUUCUACUUUAGCUUCAUAGGUUUGUCAAAUGCGCCCACACUAUUCACUGUGCACUUUAGUUGACUAUUGAGAGCUAAGAGUUGUGAGAGUUUUCACCAUAAGAAACCCCUUGAGAUGUUGAGGUAGUGCAUGUGUGGAUGUGAUGACCACCUUACAUGGAAGUGUCCCGUCUAUUUAGAGAAGUGCAGGAGGUUACAUACCGCCAAAGGGUACGAUCGCUUCUUCUAGAGAUCCUUUAAAGUCCUUAAUUUUUUUUCUUUUUAGAGCCACCUUGGCCUUGUAGGUUGAGCCUUAGAUAUUUUGAUUAGGAUUUCCCUUCUUACACGUGGGUGCAUUUGAGAGCCUUCAGGGUCACUUUAGUCAUGGUUUGGAUCCAAUACUCCCUCUUCUGGUCUCCAAUUGGGAGUGCUUAGAUAUCGAUAUGAUUUUGAGUAUCAGUUGGACCACCCCUUCCUAUAUGGUUCUUCUUGUCGCUCAUUGAGUCUAGCACACUUUCUCCUUAGGCUUUAGAUAGUCUUCUUUUCUUGAUUCGACACAUUCUUUCAGUUUGUUAUCACUUUCUGCUUGACGUUUUAGGAUAUGCUCAUUGAUCAUGCUCAUUUUUUUACAUUUUUCACUUGUCAUGGGCUUGGUACUUCAUUCUUUGGUCGAUUUGCCUAUUUCUAUUUUCAACCCAAUAUUUUUAUUACAAGAAGGUGAAAGGCAUGUUUUUACAUUCACACCGUUUUUGAGAGAUUUGCCUUGAUCACCUUAUCAUUUUUCUUUAUGAAGCUCAGGUUGAAAGUGAAUUAGGGAUAUUUUGUUAUAAAUGGGGUAUCGAUCUCAUGACAGUGUUAUUUUUCACACCUUAUUCAUUUUUUGGAUCACUGAUAGAAAUUUUUUAGUCACAUUUGUAGCCAUUUCAUAGUGGACACUUUUAUGACUUUAGAGUCUCUGUCAUACAUCCAAUUUUUUAUUAUCAUCACAGGACCAUAUAUCAUGUGAUGUGUUGUACUUUUGACUUGAGGCAUCUAUUCAUUUGCACAUUGUGGUCUUGAGGUCUGACCUAUCAUGGAGGAUAUUGAGCUUAUUAACCUUGGAUUAGAGACUUGACCUAGGGAGUUCGAGACUAUGACCCACUUUCUUAUGAUCGAAGUAGUACCUUACUCAUUCCCACACUUUGACUUUGCUUCGGCCUACAUCCACCUAUUUUGAGCUUUACAUAGUAUAAGCCUUGACACCAUUGUAUGACCUUUCCAUCCCUAGCUGUUCUAGCUUUGCAUAUUCUCUCUUUCAUCCAACCAAGUAUAGUGUGAGGAGUUUGAGCCCAGGGUUGAUCUUGCAUGACGAGGGAUGGCUUAUGAUCUUUGGGUGGCUUACGAUGUGAGGAUUGGUUGAUUACCUUAUGGGACUGUCACUUAUUCUUCCAUGAGUAUAGAGAUUGAUCUUGUAUGAUGAGAGUUGGCUUGUGAUGAGCAGUUAUGCUUGAUGAGAUCGUUGUUUACUUUGCUUUGAGAGGAUUAUCUUUGAGAUUAUUAUGGAGCAUUUGGAGUGCAAUUUGGGGCAUAAUUCCAUAGGGUUGACAUGGUUAUAUCAUAUGGGCAUUGAUUUUCAGUAUCGAUCAUUUAAGGGUUGAGAACAUAAUGCUUGAGAUUGUGGUUGUAGGAUGGGUGGCCUUCAUUUCAGUUAGUGACUCGUCCCUACUGCAAUCAUGCCAUUUGAUUCUAGCCCAGACGAGUGUUAUCAACAAAAUUUAUAAAACCUAAAUCACCUUACACUAGGGUAGCAUAGCUAACAUAGUAUAGUGGCUCUAGGAUUGUAUAUAAGGAUGGGUUUUCAUCAUACAGUUGACUUUAGUGAAGAAAAUAAAAUGGUGUUUUUCCUUAUGAAAAUUAGCUUUUAAAGAAAAUGGAAUUGUAGUUGCAAAGAUUGAUUUUAAGUUAAGCAAAAAUAAUGAGUGAAGUUAUCUACAAAGAAAAGGUCUCUUAGAGCUUUAGGUCACUAGGAUCAGGUUCCUUAGGCAAAAGCGGAGAUUUUGGAUCUUCUCCUCGUGUUGGAGACAAUAGCAUAAAGGAUGGUUAUCUCCCGAACCAGUUUUAUAUUUAGCAAUUAAGAUUUGAUACAAAGGGUUCAUGAAAAAUGAUAGUUGCUUCCCAUUAAUGGCUUCAAACACUAAAGACUCUCACCUUGAACCACCUUCCAAUGACUCGUAAAGGAUAACUAAUUGACAUCCAUGGAUCUAGCAAUAAGCAUCUAUAGAAUCCGAAAAGCUUACCAAGUAUUGGCCAUUCAAGGUGCUUUUAAGGGAUUUAAAGCUAAACCUUAAAAUAAAAACCAUUAAUGGUUAACAACUACUUUAAUUUAAAGCAAGGACAACUCCCAUCUUUGCAUUCGGGUCUUUCACCUAGCUUCCAUCACUCCAAGAAACGUAAAACCUAGACGCUCAUCCCUUGAGAAAUCAUCCUCAGAGGUUGUUUGGUUAGAAAGAAAAGUGAAAACAAAAUGAGAAGGAAAGGUAGAGCAAAAGCUCUGCAUAUUUCCCCCUACUGGAUUUUUUUAGUGCUCAAUGUUUUAUAUAUCCCAAAUUAUACAAGAGUAUCUUAUAUAGAGAGGUCUUUCCAACCCCCCUUUACAAAAGAUGUUACCCAACAGAUAUAUAUGAAAAUAUCUAGGUUGAUUACAAGGAGAAAAUAGGAAAUUACAUAAAAAUAUCUGGAGGUAAAAAUGUAACGAAGUCGGUGCACAGGAAGAUUUUGCAUACCAUGCAAAAUAUCUAGGUUGAUUUCGCAUACAGUGUGCGAAAUUGUCUUUCACUUAGUCUUGCUCUCAGUCUUGCAGCUCCUCCUCCUCUUGAUUUCGCAUGCUAUGCAAAAUCUUCGCAUAACCAUGCGAAAAUGCUAGUUGGAUUUUUUCCUCUAAUUUCCUUUCUUGUAUCUUUGAUUGGCUUAGCAACCUAUUGCCAAGCUUGGAAAAGGCUAUGAAGUGCUCCAAAGCUCGAAUUCUUCAUGUAUUUAAGCUUCAACUAGCAUUGCCAUGGAUUUCACAAAAUUCUCCCUCUUCUUGGCUUGUUUCAAUGAUCUAAAAGCUACCUAAAAACACCAAAACUUGCCAAAAACUAAUUAGUAAUCCUUGCUAGGUUCCUUAAUGUGCCAAUUGAGUUAAAAGGUAUUAACUACUAUUCAAAAGUGUUUAAAAUAGUUAGUUUCAAGCUAUAAAACAGUACUUUUUGAGUAGUAAUUAAUCAGUUAGCUCACACCCUAUUACCUUUAUUAACAUCUAGACCAUUGCUAGCCCUUUGAGCCUCAUAUGAGCAUCAUAGCCUUUUCUUUUUUAUAGCCUUGCUCAUCUUUUACAUCGGGAUAGGGGCCUUCCAGUGCAUAUAUGUUUUAUUUGGGAGUCUCAUGAGCCAUAAACUUAUUGACUCAUCUUCUUCAUUAUUUUUCAUCAUAACUCUUUGUUGUCCUAUCAUCAUUUUUCAUCAUACCUCUUUGUUUAUAUCCUUUGUUCUUUCCUUUGUCUUUGUCAUCGCGUUUCUUUCUAUGCCAUGAGUGAUGAUCUUUCACAUUUCAAUGCAUGGAGGACAGUCAUGUCCCCUUCCACUCCUAUCUCAUGGACAUUGGUUCGGAGAUCCUUAGUUGAGAAGGUCAUUUUGUCAGAGAAAGUUUGUAUAUGUCAUUGUUUGAGAGUAUAUCCAUUUCAUAAUGUAUUCUUAGUGGAGUUAAUUUGAUUGUUAUUCAAAAUAUGCGCAGAAAAAAAAAUGAAAAAAAAAUGAAAAAAAGAAGAAGUAAUAAGCGCAUGUAUUUAUGUAUGUAUACAGUGUUAUUCUCCAUUGAGUGUAUAUAUUGGACAUUGAAAGUUGCUUUUUUUUAGUCAGUUGCUUAUGAGAGUUUGUAUGUGAACUUUCAAGAGGCUCUCAUCUUCUUGUGUUAAUCUAGUUAUGUAUUUUACGUGUGAGAAACAAGUGACCUUUUCCUAAGGACUCCAGAUCAUUAUCCUCUCCAUCAUUACAUACAUUGGUGAUUUCACUAUUCUCCAUGGCUUGAUUUGAGUGGAUUAGAGCUCAUUCAUUUUCCUUCAAUCUAUUUGUUCCUCUCAUGGCAUUUCAUUCGCCUUGCCUACAUUGUUCUUUGUUCAUAUCGAUUUGCAUUAUGUGUUCGAUAUUUUCCACAUAUCAUUCUUAUACAUCCCAUCAGCAGUUCAAUAUUCUUCAUUUUUUCUCUUUCAUCAUUGAUAUAUUCAUCUUGAAUUCUUUCUUCCUCACCGAUAUAUUCAUAUUAAACAUCCUCAUACCUAUGGUUUAUGAGACUCUCUACACAUAUUGCAUUUUAUACACGAGGGUAUGAGGUUUUAUCAUUAGGUAUUUGAGCCUAGUUUCCUUUCAUUUCUUUCACACUAUUACCAUAGCCUAUGUUAUGUCCAGGGUCUUAAGACCACCCUGAGGCCAUGAUAUCAUGCAUUGUGUUUUAAUAGCUCUUAUGUGAGCGAUACUUGAGACUAGUUCAAGAGCAUUCUGAUUGUGAUGGACCAGGAGUUAUAGUAUGACCUCACACUGGGGCAUAGCCACCUUAGAGAGUUUUUAUCGGGUAUGUAGUUAUCCUGCUUGAUACAUUGCAUUAGGGCGCACACCUUUCUUAGUCGAGGGUUGAUUUUUUUAGAUGACUAUUACACAGCGGCAUACCCCUCUCAAUUGAUGAUGGUUUUUGCGGCAUAACCAUUCUUAGGAGGUGAUCAUUUUCUUCUUUACAUUGGAGUAUGAGAUAUGACUGGGUGAUUUGAUUGGAUGUGUUUACACGGGAACAUAGCCCUCUCAUUAGUAUUGACGGAUUUUUGAGUGAUUGGAUCAUGGCGCACUCUUGUGAGAGCUAUAUUCGUUCUUGAGCAUUUUAGAGAUCUCCUUACACUAGGGCAUAACCCUCUCAUUAGCGAUUGAUCUUAGAAACAUCGGCUUACAUGAUCACAUCAAAGAGCAUUUUUGUUCAUACAUACCACUUUGCUUGAUUUUCCACAUUGGGAUUUGCUCAUUCCUUGGAGGAAAUCAGAUACUCCUAUCGUGUAACAGUACGAGAGGACUUCAGAGAGUAGAGAUUUACUUUGACUCGAUGAUGUAUCAUGGAUUAUACUCCUCUCAUUGAUGUUUUCUUUGGAAAUGCUUACACUGGGGCAUAGCCCACUCAUCAGUGAUGGAUUUUGUGAGAUGACAGUUUAUGCAAACACUUACUUCCCAGAGAUUAUCUUGUUGAUUACUACUUAAAAAGUGCUAUUUCAUAGCUUGUAAUUAACUCUUUUAAACACUUUUGAGUAGUAGUUAUUGCCUUUUAACCCAAUUAACAUGUUAAGGACCAUUGCAAUCAAUUCUAAUCAAAUUGUGUUAAGUUUUGGUGUUUUGAUAGCUUUUUGAUCACCAAAGCAAUCCGGGAUUGAGGAGAGUUAUUUGGAAUCUAUGGCAAAGCAAUGGAAAGCUCAGAAACAUGAAGAACCGAAGCUUUGAAGUCCUUUUUCAUAAGCAAAUCCGGAAUGCAAGGAGGGGAAGCAAAGAGAAAUCUGCCAUGAAGCAUUCUUGAUGACAGUCAUGUCAGCCACUUUUGGAGCACUUCCUGGAAUUCAAUUUAUGCAUUCUAUAUGUCGUUUCGAAGCUCAGGAAGUCAAAAAUUCAAUGCUUCAAAUGGUGUGCGAUUCAGAGUUGAAAUGAAGGAGUUACAGCCAUUGGAAGCCAAUCACUUCAAGCUGAAGAAAGAAUUUUGUACGACUGCGAAAUCACCCUUUUGCUGCGAAAUGAUUUCGCAGUACCAAGUGUUAGCUUAGGUGACUCCAAGGUGUUUUAAGUUAGCUAAAAAUAUAGAAAUCACUAAAGGAUCACACUUUCUCUUCAUUCAUGGCUGAAACCACAAAGCUACUUAUUCUUGCACUUGGAACCUUUCCUAGAAACCUUAGCUCCAAGGAACUAAAGGUUUAAUUACUCAUUCUCUGGGGAAACUUCCUCAGAGAGUGCAUAACUAGUAAAUAAAAAAUACAAUCAAAGUGAGAAGGUAAGGCAGAGCAAAGGCUCUAUAUUUUUUUUCUUUCUUUCAAACUUUUACAAAGGGUUCAUCCUCUUCAAGAACAGGCUCCCGAGAGCUAUUUAUAUGAAAAUUACAAUAAUAAUUAUUACAUGGAUAUUUACCCUUUUUCCUAACUUAAUAGCUAAGGAAUCCUAUAAUUGGUAGCUUACAAGGAGAAUUUGGGGACUUAGACAACAAAAAUUUGAAGAAAAAUAUCCAAAAGUGUCGGUCGCAAAUAUCGGGAAGCACUAAGGACCAUUUCGCAGGUGAAAACGAGGUCUGCGAGAUUUCGCAGACGCACAAAAAGGGCUGCGAAAUCACUUCGCAGCAAAAGGCUGAUUUCGCAGUGUUGCGAAGUUGGCUUUUAGCUUGUGGUGUUCUGCUUCCAACGUGUCGGUCACAAAUAUCGGGAAACUUCAGGAGGAAUUCCACAUCACUGUGCAAAAUGGCUGCGAAAUCAUUUCGUAGCAAAAGGGUGAUUUCGCAACCGUGCAAAAUUCUUCCUUCAGCUUGGAGUGAUUGGCUUCCAAUGGCUGUAACUCCUUCAUUUCAACUCUGAAUCGUACACCGUUUGAAGCAUUGGAUUGUUGACUUCCUGAGCUUCGAAACGACAUAUAGAAUGCAUAAAUUGAAUUCCAGGAAGUGCUCCAAAAGUGGCUGACAUGACUAUCAUCAAGAAUGCUUCAUGGCAAAUUUCUCUUUGCUUCCCCUCCUUGCAUUCCGGAUUUGCUUAUGACAAAGGACUUCAAAGCUUUGGUUCUUCAUGUUUCUGAGCUUUCCAUUGCUUUUCCAUAGAUUCCAAAUAACUCUCCUCAAUCUCGGAUUGCUUUGGUGAUCAAAAAGCUAUCAAAACACCAAAACUUAACACAAUUUGAUUAGAAUUGAUUGCAAGGGUCCUUAACAUGUUAAUUGGGUUAAAAGGCAAUAACUACUACUCAAAAGUGUUUAAAAGAUUUAAUUACAAGCUAUGAAAUAUCACUUUUUGAGUAGUAAUCACUCCCCCCAACCGACAUAUUGCUAGUCCCUUAGCAAUGAAGGAGAGAAAAAUAAAAAUAAACAAUACUAUAAUUUACAACAUCAUGCUAAUUACUUCAAAAAAUUUUAAGUGGCAUGAUGAUCUAACUCUCACAUGGAACAUUAAAGAUAUAUAAACUCAAAUUUCAACAAUAUCAAAAACUUUGCUAAACACUAUUGAUCAAGGGAAUGCAUUAUGCAAAUUGAAGUUUGAACAUCAUUUUCACUUCCACAGAACCAAACUUUAUUCUUCCACAAAAAUCUAAGUGUAAGAUGAUAGUUUCCGAAUAUAGCAUGCUAAACUAAUCUCUCCCCCCAACCUUUCUCCUUUCAAUACUUAGCAAACUGACCAAAUUCAAUAGGCAGAGAACACACUUUUUUUUUUUAGAAGGUACAAGGCUUAAGGGGUAUUCUUUUCUAAAUUGUCCAUGUAACGGGGGUCCAUCAAUGACUCCCAACCAAUUAAGGUUUAGGGCAUCAAGCUUUAAGGAUUUUUCAACCACUAACUCCUAGGAUUUUACCCCGGACUUUUGAGAAUGAAUUUUUAAUACCCAAUCACCUACCAUAUGCUAACUCCACCUAUCCACCCUUGUAACGAGCAUUGAGGUCGGUGACUCCCAACCAAUUAAGGCUUAGGGCACCAGGUUUUAAAGAUUUUCACCAUAUACCCCUCAGACCUUGCUCGGGUUUCAAGGCAAGCAAACAUUUUGCUUUAUUUCUCUUUUUUUUUUUUUUUCAAAGGCUCAUUGGCCUUUCAUAAGGUGUCUCACAUUAUUAAAUGAGGUCAAAGGUACCAAGUCCCAAAAUUUUCCUAAGUCAAGAGGGAAAUAGUUUUUCAUCUUAUAAUCGGAAUCUAUUGUGCACAAUGUGUGGAUAGCUUAAAGCGGAAGAACUAAACUUGAUUUCAAUAGAAGCUUCAACAAUUGAACCACUUUAGUAAGCAUAAUCCAAACUCUAAGUCAAGUGGGAAAUAGAAGUUCAGUUUCUCCUGUUUUAAUUUGAAAAUUUUUCUCAUGAUCCAUGGAGAUUAGAGUAAAAAGUAAAAGACUACAACUAAUUUACCAACAUAACUGAAUUACCAAAAUAACUUAGCAUACUUCCUUCCUCAUUUCUUCCCCCCCCCCCCCCNNNNNNNNNNNNNNNNNNNNNNNNNNNNNNNNNNNNNNNNNNNNNNNNNNNNNNNNNNNNNNNNNNNNNNNNNNNNNNNNNNNNNNNNNNNNNNNNNNNNCCCGGGGGGAUUGGAAAAAAAAAAAAAAACUCCAAAAUUUUUUUCCCAAAAAAGGAAUUUCAAAAAAAAAUUUGGAAAUUUUUUUUCCUUUUUUUUUCCCCCCCCCCCCCCCCCCCCCCCCCCCUCCCAACCGAGCUGAGCAUUGUCCUCAAUGUGAUAUGGGUAAUUGAAAUUAUAGGGAGGAAGUGCUACCUCCUGAGUGAUAUCAAUUUCAAAUAUUGAUUGGAGAAACCACAUGUUUCAAAAAGAAUAAAAGAUGUGAGAAAAGGAAAUAAUAGUAAAUUAAUGCUAAGAGCUAACAAAAAAUGCUAGACUUGUAUUACUUUUAAUUCAUGUGAGUACAAUCGGAAAGAAAGCAAUACAAGCAAUCCCCAUAUAUGAUAUCAAAAUGAUGGGAUUUCAUAAAAGACUAACAAAAACGAAAUACAUAAAAGAAAUAUAUAGUAGAUAUAUAAAUGAUCAGAUGGGUGGAUGAUGUUGGAGAUGAUGGCCUAGGCAGAUGGCUCUGCCUCUUCAAUAGCUGAUUCAGGAGGGGCCUGAGGCUCUGUGGCCUAUGAGUGUGGCACUGCAGUGGUGGGGGUGAGAUGCUCAGCAGCCGAUGGAAGACUGAGAUGAUGCUGGAGCUGCCUCAAGAUGGUAGUGUGCUGAGCCUGGGUGGUCAACAUCUGCUCCUGGUAAGCUCGAAUAGUUGCCAUCUCCUGAGCAAGGCUGCUCUGAGACUCGGUCAGGGUCUGCAGUAUGCGACAUAAAUCUCUAUACUCUGAAAUGGGAAUGGCCAUCCUUGGCUCAGCUAAAGUAGAGGGCUCUGAUGAGGCUGGAGUAACUAGAGGGGCUCUGGAUAUGGUAGGAGAAGUAAUGGGUAUACCCUCAGGUAUAUGAUCUGGAGAUGCUCUCCUGGCAGCUGGUAUCGCAGUUGGCUGUGGGAGCUCUGGCUGCUCAAAUCUAUAUGUUGUCAUAUUGGUCCACUUUUCGAGAGUAAAUACCUCUCGGCAUAUAUGCUUGCGUUCCAGCUGAGGAUCUGAUGGAUACCCCAGAUGCUUCAGAAUCUGACACAGCAGCCGUGGAAAAAGAAGUGGAAUGGCAUCAGCUCGCUGCAGCUUCUUAUGCACCUUCUCUUCAAAAUAGAGAAAGGCAACCAUAAUUAGGUGGUGAGGGCCAAAGAAAUAUCCCUCUGAAAUCUUGAACAGGGCCUCUAAAAGAACUCCUCUCCUCCGAGUCCAAUGCUGUAGUGGAUAAAUGUUGUGACGCAAGAGUGCAUCAAUGAGAAACAUUCUCGGAGAAAGUUCCCCCCUCAUUAGAUGUGGAUUUGUGGAAGCUCUUCUGGACAAGAUAUGAACCAUUUCCAGCUGAGAGGGACUAGUCCAUACUCGGAAAUCCUCAAAAUGGCUUGGCUCGUAUGGUAUAUGUAGGGCCUCUGCUAUAUGGCAAGCUCCUAAAAUGCCAUGCCGACCGUCAAUAGUAAAAUGGAUUAGAGUAGGAUCUCUAACCUGAUUAGUAGUCAUGGACUGAUAAAAAUCCAUGGCUACUCUAGGAUAGAAGAAAUCUCUUGGGGUCAGCAGAUGCUCCAUGCGAUAUCUGCGCAAUAAGUGGAAUGAAUCUGCAAGCUCCGACCUCAAUUUGAAGGUGGUUGUGUCAAAGCACAGCUCAGAGUGAAAUGGUUGAGCUCGGUAGUCCAAAUUUCCUUCAAUUGGUGGUUGAGUCAGCAUCGGACGCCUGAUUAGCACUUCAGGAGCUAUCCCAGAUGGAAUUUGGGAUUCUGAAAGUGGCGGUUGGUGCUCCUGAGGCUCCGCCGAAGGCUCUGACGACGGCACCGAAGAUGGAGCCUGAGAGGACUCUGGUGAAGGAACCAGGGACUGCUCUGUUAAGUCUAUGGGCUUUGAGCUUUCGACCCUGGCUCUCUUUUGCAGGGGACGGCCCCCUGACCUAGUGAAAUAAUGCCUCACCGGAGGAUUCUGUGGUGCGGGCUUCGCUUGAGGCUUUCGUGGUACGGGCUUCGCCUGAGGUGAAGCAGCUUCUGGCCGCGAAGGUUCAGAGGUGGGGCCUUGAACAGGCGCCUCUCGCGGGACUCGUUUGCGGCUGGAAGGAGAGGAAGAUUUGGCUCCUCUGGUUCGCGCCAUAUCGGGUUGACGAAAUUUAGCCAAAAGUGAUGACCGGAAGAGAUGACCGAAGAUUCGCGCGUCGUCGGGCUCGGGCAAGGAAAUGAACGGACGGAUGCUAUGGCGUUUCCUCUUUCUGAAACCCUUUCGCAACUCAAAUGACCGGUAUUUAUAAAAAAUAACGGAAUAUUAAUGGUCAUUUUGAGUUUCGCAGAAGAAAGCUGAUUUCGCAGCAAAAGGGGGGUUUCGCAGAAAAAAGCCCAUUUCGCAGCCCAUUUCGCAGCUUCAAAAUUGGGGUCACUGUGCUGCGGAAUGGCACUCGUGUGCCAAAAUCGAUUUCACAGCUGCAAAAUACCCUACGGAAUGGAGCUUUGGAGCUUCGCAGCCAAUUCGCAGCUUCAAAAUGGGGGCUCCUGUGCUGCGAAGUGGCACUCAUGUGCCAAAAUCGGUUUCGCAGCUGCGAAAUACCCUACGGAAUGGAGCUUUGGUUGCGAAUUUGGGAAUUUUCACGCUUUGGAGCUUCGCAACCGAUUCGCAGCUUCGAAAUAGGGGCUCUUAUGUUGCGAAGUGGCACUCUUGUGCCAAAAUCGGUUUCGUAGCUGCGAAAAUUUUCACAGAGAAGUCAAUUGAGUUGCGAAAUGGUUUCACAGCGAAGUGCUAAUUUCGUAAAGGAUUCUCUUAGGCUGCGAAGUCUCGCAGAGCCCUGUUUUUGCUCUAUUUUUACUCUAUUUUUGCUCUGUUUUUGCUUCAUUUUUGCUCCAAAAGACUUCCUUUCAAUUUCUUUGCAUUUUCUCUUACCUGAGAUCAUUUAAAAAGACUAAAUUACAUAUAAAUACACAAUUUAAGAUCAAAAAUUAAAAUCAAAAGUAUGGAUAAAACUUUGAAAUUUACAAAAUUUACAAAAAUUUUGGACUUUGGUGAAACCAAGUCCAUCAAACCCUUAUUUGCUUAGGCUUUUUGUGGCUCAAGGAGGUUGAUUUCCUCCUUUUCUGGUUUGAAUGACUCCAUGAAUGGCUUGAGAUGAUAUCCAUUGACUCUAAAGGUGUCAUUGCCAUUGGAAUUCAAUAAUUCCACCACUCCAUUGAUAUGUACUUGGUGAAUAAUGAAAGGACCUAUCCACCUUGACUUGAGCUUUCCAGGAAAGAUAUGGAGUCUUGUGUCAUAGAGUAGAACUCUUUGUCCUUUCUGAAAUUCUUUGUUGGAGAUUAGUUGAUCAUGCCACUUCUUCAUCCUCUGUUUUGCAACUUUGGAAUUGAUAUAAGCAUCAUUUCUUAAUUCCUCCAUCUCAUUAAGGUUUAAACACCUCUUUGCUCCGGCUCGGAUCAAGUCCAUAUUCAACUUCUUGAUUGCCCACCAAGCUUUGUAUUCAACUUCCACAGGGAGAUGACACGCUUUUCCAUAGACAAGACGAUAGGGAGACAUGCCAAGAAUAGUCUUAUAAGUUGUUCUAUAUGCCCAUAAUGAAUCAUGAAGCUUAACAGACCAAUCUUUUCUGCUUGAAAUCACCACUUUCAUCAAUAUGUUCUUUAUUUCCCUGUUUGCUAGCUCAACUUGCUCGGAAGUCUGAGGAUGAUACGGUGUAGCUACCUUAUGCUUCAAUCCAUACUUGGCUAAUAAAGUUUCAAAAGGUUUGUUGCAAAAAUGAGUACCUCCAUCACUGAUUAUGGCUUUGGGCACCCCAAAUCUUGAAAAAAUGUUCUCUUUAAGAAACUUGAGAACCACUCUGUGAUCAUUUUGUUUACAGGGGAUUGCCUCAACCCAUUUAGAAACAUAAUCCACCCCCACCAAGAUAUAAGAAUUACCAAAAGACAUUGGGAAAGGUCCCAUGAAGUCAAUGCCCCAUACAUCAAAUAGCUCAACUAUUAGAAUGGGGUUCAUAGGCAUUUGAUUUCUUUUUGUUAGCCUUCCAAGCCUUUGGCAUCUAUCACAACUUCUACACAUGAUGUGGGCAUCUUUGAAAAGAGAUGGCCAAGUAAACCCUGAUUGCAACACCUUCAUAGUUGUUUUCUGAGAGGCAAAGUGGCCUCCACAUGCAUUCUCAUGACAAUGAUUUAGAAUCCCUUGUUGCUUUUCUUCAAGGACGCACUUCCUUAUGAUCUGAUCUGCACAAUACUUAAAAAGGAAGGGCUCUUCCCAAUAAUAAGCAUGAAUUUUUGCAAAGAAAUGCUUCCUGUCUUGUGCAUUCCACUCACUUGGAAUUUCACCAGUAACUAGAUAAUUAGCAAUAUGAGCAUACCAAGGAGUUUUCACUAAGAACAUGAGUGAUUCCUCAGGAAAGUCAUCAUUAAUAGGCAAGGCAUGGGAAUUAUGUGCUAUAACUAAUCUUGAAAGGUGGUCAGCUACCACAUUCUCCACUCCUUUCUUAUCUCUGAUUUGGAGAUCGAAUUCUUGUAACAAAAGAAUCCAUCUAAUCAACCUUGCUUUUGCAUCUUGCUUUGUCAAUAAAUACUUCAAGGCUGAAUGGUCAGUGAAAACAAUGAUGAAAGACCCUACCAAAUAAGCACAAAAUUUGUCCAAGGCAAAUACCACAGCUAACAAUUCUUUCUCUAUAGUUGUGUAGUUCCUUUGAGCUUUAUUCAAUGUUUUGCUUGCAUAGUAGAACACAUAGGGCUUCCCGUCUUCUCUUUGGCCAAACACAGCUCCUAUAGCAAAGUCACAGGCAUCACACAUCAGUUCAAAGGGUAGUUGCCAGUUAGGGGCCCUCACUAUUGGAGUUGUUAAAAAUUUCUUCAGUUGAUCAAAGCUAUUUUGACAUCUUUCAUCCCAUAUAAACUUAGCAUCCUUAGCUAAGAGCUCACAAAGAGGUUUUAAAAGACUUGAAAAACCUUUUAUAAACCUCCUAUAGAACCCUGCAUGGCCAAGGAAUUGCCUUACUCCUUUUACAGUUGUUGGGGAUGGUAAUUUGACAAUAAGCUCCACCUUUGCUUUAUCAACUUCAAUGCCUUUUUCGGAGAUGAUAUGGCCAAGGACAAUUCCUUGACGUACCAUAAAAUGACAUUUCUCCUAGUUGAGCACCAAGUCUUUUUCAAUGCAUCUGUGAAGAACCGCUUCUAAAUUGACUAAGCAUUCCUCAAAUGUACCUCCAUAUACGGUGAUGUCAUCCAUGAAAACCUCCAUAAUUCGCUCCACCAUAUCAUUGAAAAUACUCAACAUACAUCUUUGAAAUGUUGCAGGUGCAUUGCAUAAACCAAAAGGCAUUCUUCUGGAAGCAUAUGUUCCAAAUGGACAUGUAAAAGUGGUCUUUUCCUGAUCUUCCAUAUCAAUUUCAAUUUGAAAAUACCCUGAAUACCCGUCCAAGAAACAAUAGAACAGAUGGCUAGAGACUAUCUCCAACACUUGAUCGAUAAAUGGCAAUGGAAAAUGAUCUUUCCUGGUUACAGCAUUCAACUUUCUAUAAUCAAUACACACCCUCCAACCUGAAGUGAGGCGUGUAGUAAUUUCUUCUCCUUUUUCAUUCUGAACCACAGUAAUCCCUGACUUCUUUGGUACCACUUGAGUAGGACUCACCCAAGGGCUGUUAGAUAUAGGGUAAAUAAUACCUGCUUGAAGUAGCUUCAACACCUCAGCUCGCACCACCUCUUGUAAAUGAGGAUUCAAUUUUCUUUGAAGUUGACGAAUUGGCUUAGCUUCCUCCUCCAUAUAUAUAUGAUGCAUGCAAACUAAAGGACUAAUGCCUUUCAAAUCAGAUAUUUGACAUCCUAUUGCUUUCUUACACCUCUUGAAAACUUCCAGUAAACACUUCUCUUGAUGACUGGUCAGAGAUGAAGAUAUUACGACAGGACAUUGAUUAUUUUCUUCAAGGUAUGUAUAUUUCAGCUCCACGGGUAGAGGCUUCAAAUUGAGUUUUGGUGUCUCUUUCUCAGCAGCCGCUCCUUCUUCUUUAUUGAACAAAGGUAGAAUCUCUUCUAUCCUCCUCCAACUUUGUAGAGUAGCAAGCACAUUAGAGGGUUCAGACAAACCUUCCUUAAAAUCCACAAAACUUUCAUUCAACUUGUCUUGCAUAUUCUGAUUACAGUGCUCCUCUACUAGAGUGUCAAUAAUGCACACCUCUUCUGGACCCUCUUCUUCUUCUGGAGUGGUUUGCUUUUUAGACAUAUAAAAAAUGUUGAGAUCAAGUGUCAUGUUUCCAAAAGUGAGUUGCAUGAGCCCAUUCCUACAGUUGAUGAUUGCAUUUGAGGUAGCAAAGAAUGGCCUUCCAAGGAUGAUAGGAACUAAAUUAGCUUCCUUUACAGUAGGAUUUGUAUCAAGAACAAUAAAAUCCACCAGAUAGUAGAAAGUAUCAACUUGAACCAAGACAUCCUCAAUUACCCCCCUUGGAAUUUUUACUGAUCUAUCUGCUAGAGAUAGAGUAAUUGUUGUUGGCUUCAACUCACUAAGUCCCAAUUGCUUGUAGACAGAGUAUGGAAGCAAAUUCACACUUGCUCCCAAGUCUAACAAAUCUUUCUCCACUACCUUUCCUUCCAAUCAUGACUGAAAUGGUCGGACUUCCCGGAUCUUUGUACUUCAAAGGAGACUUACAUUGUAAGAUUGCACUUACUUGCUCAGUUAAGAAGGCUUUCUUAUUUACAGCCAACCCUCUUUUGAUAGUACAUAAAUCCUUUAGGAAUUUUGCAUAUGUUGGAACUUGUUUAAUCAUAUCCAACAGUGGGAUAUUGACUUUCACUUGUCUCAAUACUUCAAGAAUUUCAGAUGCAUUUCUAAUCCCCUUUUGCCCAUGCAAUGCUUGAGGAAAAGGUGGAGAAGUUGAUUUCUUCAGCAUUUCUUCCUUCAGAAGUUCCUUCUCUGGAUUUUCUUUCAUUGUUGACUCAUAGUCCUCUUUCUUUUCACUGAUCUCUCUCUUUUUGUCUUCCAUUUCCUCCCCUUUCUUUGUCUCUUCUUCUUCCUCAACAUGUGCCUUGGGUGUUGGCUUCUCAAUUUUUUGAUCACUCCUUAGAGUGAUCAAGGCUUUGACAUCUUUCAUCUGUGAUGAUUCUCCCUCAUGGCUUUCCACUUCAUGGACACCCUUGGGGUUUUGGUGAGGUUGAGAAGGAAAUCUUCCCUUUUCUUGCAAUGUGUUCAAAUUGGUGAGCCUUGAGAUUGAGUAUUGGAGAUUAUCUAUCUUUUGGGAUAUAUCAUUUUGCAUUCCAUCCAUCCUUUUGUUCAUAGUACUCUCUACUCUGUCAAUUCUUUGAUUAAGUUGAGCAUUGAUGGCUUUUUGGUCUCCAACAAAAUCUCCCAUUACCUUGUUGAGAUUCACUAUUGCUUGUUCAAGACUUGAAAAUUGUUGAGAUGGUUGAUCCGGCUGUUGGUACUAAGGUGCUCUGGCCUUCCAUGAAAAAUUUGGAUGAUUCCUCCAACUCGAGUUGUAAGUAUUUCCAUAGGGUGCAUUGUUAUUGGGCUUGAAUUGUCCAACAACAUUUUCUUGAUCUCCAAACAUUUCCCUUUCAGCUGAGAUUGUAGGGUAUUCCUCCACCAAGUGUUCAUAUGAUUGACAAUUAGGACAAAGUUUCACUUGCACCGGUGCUUCAGCAACAGCUUGCACUUCAUGCAUCUUUUUCAGCUCCAGCUCCUCCAAUCUUCUUGUCAUAGCUGCAAACUUUGCUUUCAUAUCAUCAUCUUCUUUCAAGGUAUACAUCCCAACCUUAGCAUUGAAAGCACUCAGUUGAGACUUCAUCUUUCCCACUUCUCCUUUGAUUGGUUCAUCCCAUCCCCUUGAAACUUCAGCUACAUAACUCAAGAAAUCCAUAGCUUCCUACGGAUUUUUGCUUAUGAAAUCUCCUCCACACAUUGUCUCGAGGAGUUGCUUCAUUGAGGAAGACAUCCCAUCAUAAAAAUAGCUCACCAAUAGCCAAGUAUCAAAACCAUGGUGAGGGCAAGCAUUUAUAGCUUCCAUAUAUCUUUCCCAACACUCAGAAUUUCUCAUUCUCUUUAGCUGAGAAGUUUGAAAUUUGCCUUUUCAAGCCAUUUGUUCUAUGUGUGGACCCGCAUUUUUCACGUGCGUCCCCACUCGAUCGGCGAGACUCGCUUUUUUAUUUGUGAAAAAUUAAUUUUUGGAAAAAGUUGGAGUCGCCACUUAUUUUAUUUUAUUUUAAAGGAAAAAUAAAACAAGAAAGAAAAACCCUAAAAUGUGACUCCAUAAUUUUUGGAAAAAACAUGUCUUUGAAAAACCCGAGUCUAAGUCCGGGGAUCAGGUUACCUAUUGGGAAGGUACCUUUAAAAGGUAGCACCCCUCUAAGCCCUUUAAAGGUCUCUACUAACUAAGUUAAGGGGAAUGUGGCAAUUAGUCGGUUUAAUUAUGGAUACCUAAGUAGGCUAGGUGGUUCCAAAAAAAAAGCAUGCCAAACAAGAUCAAAUCAUAAUAAAGGAAGGUUAGGAUGCGUACCCGGACCGCUUCUCAAACGCUAUCAUAAAACAUCGAUGGUUAAUUUAAACAAUAUAUCAUCCAACAUGCAUUUUAUUAGAAAUAAUCAAACAAUGAAACAUGUAUAUCAGAACACUCAAGCAUUAUUAGACAUAAGCAUUAUUUCACAAUGACAAGCAUAUUCACAGAAUUCAGAAAGUAGGUGAUAGAGGACAUACUUGGAUAGCAUAGAUAAUUUGUAACGUACUUCCUCAAGUUGUAAGGGGUAAGAUAAUAAAUAAUAAAAUAUAGAAAUCCUAGCAUGCUCGUUAUCUAAUUAGCAUAGCAAAAGUGAUCACAGUAUACAGAAUCAUCAAUUAUCUCAUACAUCUUGUAUAUAAUUCCUAAAAAAAUAGAUAGACAUGAUUUCAACAAGUGUCAAAUGUGGCAACAAAAAUAAAUUUUGAAAAGAUUUUCUUAUGUAGGGGUUUCACCAAUUCCCCAAAUUAGUAUACACGAAUUUAGCCUAGAAUUAUCCCAUUUAUUUGGGACCACAAGCUUUGAUUCGUGUUUUUGUUCAAAAUCAAAAUUUUUGUUGAAAACCGAGAAGGAUGCAAACCGAACAAGAUAUGGUUGCAUAUUAUUUUUUUAAAAUAAUAAAAAAAAAAGAUUUUGAUCCUGAGGACUCUAAAUGAGUUUUUGAAAUAGAUUUUUAAAAUGAUUUUUUUGAGAAAAGUAUUUUAUUUUAAAAUAAAAGGAAUUAAUUUGGGAAAAAAUAAAAUGAAAUAAAAUACUAAACAAAACAAAAAUGAAACCUCAAAGUAAAAAAAUUUUAGUGAUUAACAAAAAUGAUAAUGGUGAUGGUAGAGGCCAAUCUUCAUGGUUUUCCAAUGGCCUCAGAAAGAAAAUCAAAUUAAAUGAAGGAUCACUAACAGGCAAGACAUUCUAAAUUAGACAAACUAACAAAGUAUCAAUUCAUGAACUAAUCGCUAGAAUUUUAAAAGCAUAUAAGCUAAGAUAAGGGUGAUCAGGAACUAACAUUAAUGAUUUUGAAAUAAAAACUAAAAAGGGAUCAAUUCGGGUAAGGAACUAAAAUUAUAGAAGUACCUAAACUAAUUAUAAUGAGUUUGACUAAAUUAAACUAAAAACAUGAACUUUCAAACAUAGAAUUAAUUUUACUAAUGAACCAAAGCAAACUAAAAAUAUGUACUUUCAAGCAUGGAAUUAAUGUUAUUGAUGAACCAAAAAUUGUGAACGUGUCUAAACUAAAUAGAUGAAUUAAAUUAAAUCAAAGUACACUAAAAAAACAUGAACUUUUAAAUAAAGAAUCAAUUUUGUCAAUAAACUAAUAAAACUAUAAAAACACAUAAACUAAUUAAAAUGAACGAAAUUAAAUCAAAGAGUACUAAAAAUAUGAACUUUCAAACAUGGGAUCAAUUUUACUAAUGAAUUAAAACUAUAAAAAAACACCUAAAAAUAAUGAAUAUAAAUUAUUAAAUCAAAGCAAACUAAAAACUGAAACUUUCAAACAUAGGAUCAAUUUAAUUAAUGAACUAAAACUAUAAAAACACAUAAACUCAUUCAAGCUAAACUAACAAAUAAAUUAAUACCAAAUUAUAUUACGACUUAAAAAAAAUCCACUUCAUCUAAUAAAAUUGAUUAAGCUACCCCAUUAGAAUAAAAAAAUGCAUUUUUAAAAUAAAACAAAUUAAUAAUUUAUUGACUAAAACUAAAGUAAUCGAAAUUAGAAACAAGAUGCAAUUUUUCUAAAAGAUUUAAUCAAACAAUUGAAUUAAAAUUAUGAAUAUAAUAAAUUAAUAAACCAAAUCGAAACCUCAACCCUAUCUAAGAAAAUUAAUUAAUUCAACUAAUAGAUCAAAAGUAACAACGAAAUUAAACUAAGUAAAUUAAGACAAAGCCAAUUAAAUUAAAAUCACAAACACGUUUAAACUAUCAUAUGGAUUAAAACAAAUUAGCAUGGACUUAUGAAUUAUGAACCCGUAAAAAAAAGACAUCUAAUGAAAAGAAUGAAAACUCUUUCAAAAACUAACCUGUGUUAUGGGAGAAAAAUUCGUCUUUAAUGCGUUGAAGUGGCUACUCUAUUAAAAUUUGAAAGCCUCUGUUACUUCCCUUCCUCCAGAAAAUUCUCACUCCUUUACGUAUCCUCUGCUCCAGCAAAAUAAUAUCCCCCCAGAAAAAAAUCCCUCCUUUGCUCCAGAAAAAAAAUAUAUCUCCCCAUGUGGAUCCCCCUGCCCCUGUUUAUAUGGUAGCACUUUCCUUUUUUUUUUUUAAUAUUCUAUUUCUUUUUUGAAUGCAUGUGGAUCCCAGGAAAGUGCAUGCAUCAUGGCUUAUGAUAUACGGUGGAAUUUACAUGAUUGCCCAUGCCCAACUUGGAAAUUUUGAUCUGAUGGGCUCAGAUGAAUCUGCAUUUGAGACCCCAACCUGCAUAACACUCCUCCAUCAUCUGAUUUGAAUGCCUUUGUUCCCGCCAUCUCUCAAUAUAUUACAAUCCUUGAGAAUCAUUGAUGCUGUCGACGAAGAGGAAGUCAUCGAAUCUGCACCCUCUGAGUAGUUGGUUGAGUCUGCACACAAGUGAUCACGUGAUUCCCUGCCCGAGAGUUGCUCGCUCUUCACGAUUCGUUGCCAAUGACUGGGCCGACACCGGAGACUCCGUCCCAUUAGAUCGUGGUGGUCGAUCGCCAGCGUUCCAGUCAAGGAGGCGAAGUCUGAGGCGUUGACCACUGCCGCAGCUACGUUGAGAAUGCUAUGAAAUCUCCCGAAGGGACGUCGGAUCUGGACGGUGGUGAGGGAGGAGUGCAGCAGUGUUGCAGGUAGAGGAGAUCACAUCGUCGGAGAGGUGGCGUUGGUGAGGGCAUUCGCGAUUAUGUUCUUUGAUGGAUUCAAGCUUUUUUUGUCACUCGCGAUCAUGGUUCUUCCGCUCUGAAUCGCGAUCCUGGUCUCAGUUUCUGGAAGAGCAGUGGUGGCGGUUAUGGUGGUGAUGACGGCGGAAGCCAUUGGAGGCGUCUUCGUCCAUGUUAGAUUUGGUCGGCGAUGGUGAGAAGUGCAGCAGUGUUGUGACAUGGAGAUGGCGGAAAGAAAACCAGAAAAAGAAUCGUGAUGAAGGUGUGAUCUCCUGUUCUCUAAGAAAAUGGGUGUCCAAGGGAAAGAUGGUGAUUCCAUCCUUGAGUAUGAAGGUUAUGGAGCUCCGAAAAUGGGUGUUUGAUGACCCUUUCUCACUUUUUCAAUGAAGAAUUCAAGAAAACGCCCCCUAGUCUUAUUGUCGAUGUGGUGGUUUCUUUUUAUACCGGCAUCAAAAGUCACUGUAAUUCUCUCUGUCAUUCAUUCUCGGGUGUGAUGUGAAUGCUCCCUUGCUCGCGUGUCCUUCACGCCAGAUCAUCCUCUCUAGAGACUUCCAGAGAAACUCCAAAAAUGUCUGACCUCCCAUGCCCUCCUCAUGUGAUAGCUUCAUCAACUUCAUCCUUCUUUAAAAUUCCUCUCCCCAUGCAAAAUAGAAUAGAAUAAUAGUAUAAAAAAAAAAUUUCAGAAAACUAAUGAAAUUAGUAAUAAAAUAGAAUAUGAUGUCAAAGAAAAAGCAAGGGAAUAAGGAGAGAUUAGAUAACAUCAUUUUUCUCAUUCAAUAAUAGGGUCACAUGCGUAUUUAAAGUAUAAACAAUUCAAGCAAUUUUUUUUUUAUUAAGUAAAUAAAUAAAUAAAUAAAAAUAAAUAAAAUGAAAUAUAUAAAGACAAUUAAAUACAUGAAUAAAUAAAUAAUAAAAAGUAAAAGUAAAAAUGAAUAGACAAAAUAAAUGUAAUUAUCAAAUGCAUGCCAUAAUAAUAAUAAUAUUAUAUAAAAAAAAUAAAAAAUAAAAAUAAAAUAAAAAUAAAAAAUAAAAAAUAAAAGUUGAGCCUUAAUGAAAUGUCUAAAUGGACCUAUUCUAAAAAAGGUGUCUAAGUGACCUAAGUGACAUGUGUGUAAGUAAGGAGGUGUCUCGGUGCGAGUCAAGGUGAAUCUAGGUGGGCCUAGGGUGCCUAAAUGGACCUAGGGUGCCUAAAUGGGCCUAAGUACCUAAGUGGGCCCAGGGUGCCUAAGUGGACCUAAGAUGGUGCUUAAUGGGCCAAGUGUAUCUCAAAACUAUCCUAAAAAUGAAUGGAAAGCCUAAUUCUAAAUUAAGGCUGCCAAAGGUCACAAUAAGGGGUCAGAUAAUCCCUCAACCAAAGUCUUCGAGGUGGCUUAAAAAAGGUAAGUAGUAUGAGUGGCUAUGAGCCAUCGAAGAACUACUGUAAAGUAUCAAAUAAGUAUCUAAUAAGACAUGUGCUAGGAGGAUAAAAUUGAGGGUCUACACUAUGAGUGGGAAAAAAAUUCUUGAGGAAUUCAGCUUGUAAGUCAGUCCAAGUGCGGAUACUCCUUGGCCUUAAAGAAUUAAGCCAAAUUUUGGCCUUAUCCUUUAAAGUGAAAGGAAAUAACUUAAGCCUCAUCAAAUCAAUUGAAGCUCCUCCCUCUUGGAAUGUAUUACAAAUAUCUUCAAAUUCCUUGAUAUGUGCGUAGGGAUUCUCACUUUCCAUCCCAUGGAAAGUUGGUAGAAGUGGAACAAUAUACGGUCUAAUCAAUAGUUGCUCUGUAGGGGGCACUAUAUAUGAUGGUGCACUCAUACGAGGUGGAUGCAUGCGGUCCCUCAUUGAUCUAAAUUCAUUGAGAUUGUCUUGACGACCCUGGUGACUAUGCUAAUCUUCAAGUGUAGCUUCCAUGAUAUUCAAGCUCAAUUCCAAUUCCUUGUUAUGAGGUGUAUCACGUUUAACAAGCCUUCCUCCACUGUCUCGUAUCCAAUUUGGCAUACACAACUAGUAUCUAUCUGUAACUAAAAUGAAAAUAAAGGACAACAAAAGAAAACAUGGCUACAAAAACAAAAUAAAACUAAACUGAAUUUUAAAAGAUAAAUUUAGAUUAUGAAUAAGUAAAAAAAAUGAAAAUUAAUAAAGCAAAAGAAACGUUACCAAAUUUGUGAUGAAAAUCACAAGUACUCUAAAAUAGUAUCACUAUAAACUUGACACCUUCCCCGGCAAUGGCGCCAUUUGAUUCGUGCCCAAUUGGUGUCACAGUUGAUUCAUGUCCAACUGGUGCUCAUUGAUUAAGGGAGUAAUCAACAAAAUUUAUAACCUAUUACACCAUAUACUAGGGUAGCAAAGAAAAAGCUACUACAGCAUAGUGGUUCUAGGAUCGUUCACUGGGAAGGGUUUUCAAAUUACAAAUGAUACAAAUUCAAAGUGAAUUGGUGCUGUUUCAUUUCAAGGUUAGCUUAAGAAAUAAAACACAAACUUUGGUUGAAAAAUGUUUAGAUUUAAACUAAGGGCAAAGCAAGUAAUGGAAAUUACUUAUGAAGAAAAACAUUCCUUGGAGAUUUAGGUUCACAGGGGAGGUUCCUAAUGCAAAAACAUAGCUCCGGUCAGUUGGUUCAUUUCCUCGUAUUAGAGAAUUAACAUAUAGUCAAUUCUCUAACCGGUGUUGUACAGAUGCAUCCCUUAAUUGGAUUUCAACUCUAAUUCUCUCUCACUGAUGCAACUUGCAAUGGUUCGUGCCUCUCACUUAGCAUUUACCAUUCAAGGUGAUCUUUAACCUUGGACUUCCCUUCUCAAGCUCGCAAGAGAUAAUUAAUGGAUGCCUCCUUGGAGUCCAAAAGCUUACCAAGUGUUGGCAAUUCUAGAAAAUCCUACCUUCAAGUCACUUCCCAGAGGCUCGCAAGGGGUAAACUAGUGCAUCUCCAUGGACGGAGAUCACUUGCCUUACCAAGUGUUGGCCCAGGUGACUCCAAGGCUUUUUAAGUUAACUAAAAAUAUAGAAAUCACUAAAGGAUCACACUUUCUCUUCAUUCAUGGCUGAAACCACAAAGCUACUUAUUCUUGCACUUGGAACCUUUCCCGGCAACCUUAGCUCCAAGGAAUGUUUUUCUUCAUAAGUAAUUUCCAUUACUUGCUUUGCCCUUAGUUUAAAUCUAAACCUUUUUCAACCAAAGUUUGUGUUUUAUUUCUUAAGCUAACCUUGAAAUGAAACAGCACCAAUUCAGUUUGAAUUGGUAUCAUUUGUAAUUUGAAAACCCUUCCCAAUGAACGAUCCUAGAACCACUAUGCUAUAGUAGCUUUUUCUUUGCUACCCUAGUAUAUGGUGUAAUAGGUUAUAAAUUUUGUUGAUUACUCCCUCAAUCAAGGAGCACCAGCUGAACAUGAAUCAGCUGUGACACCAAUUGGGCACGAAUCACUUGCAUAUAGGGCUUAUUCAUUUUGAGAGGAUGUAUUCAUACUAGGGCGUAGCUACCUUGCUGAUUUUGACAUUAAGACUCGACCUUCUUUUAAUGAUUGCUAUUUUUGAUGGAUUAUAGAGUUGUUGACACCCUGGGUUCAGUCUUCUCAGCAUACUUGGUUCGACUUGGAUACCCACUUUUCUUCGUUAGACAUCCAGACAUCCUACAUUUGACACCAUUAUACCUACAUCCAUCUUUUCAGAGCCUAACAAAUAUUGAGCAUGCUUAUCUCACUAUUGAGCAUGACCUUAUCCCUUUCUCUUUAUCAAGGGAGGAUGCAGACCAAUCUUGAGUUUUCUGGUCAAGUUUUCAGAUGCCUCUAGACAUUAGGUUCAACAUCUUCCAUGAUGGCAUGACCUAUUAUAUUGUUUAUGUAUUUGUGAUGAUGUUUUCGUAUUGAUAGUUGAUAUAUUAUGUCUUGUUUUGCUUACAUUUCAGACUUGGAGUCUUGGUUAGCAUUUGUCUAGUCCAUUAUUUUAGUUUUGCUUUGUCAGUAUAAUUUCUAUGAUGUAUGGUCUUGUUUAAGCAUUUAUUCAUUGAUGUUAAACUUUUUCAUUGCAUCAUCGUUGAGCAUAUCCUAGAGUGUUUUAUAUGGUGACAUUCUGUGUCGUAUGUUAGUUACUAUUUUACAUUGGGGCAUACCCCCAUCCUUGAGUUCAUCAGAUCUUUUGCAGAUUUUCUCACUGCUCGAUCUAUUUCUUGAUCUUUGCAAGUCGUCAUACUGAGGCAUACCUCCUUUAGCACUCUUCUAUUGGGGCAUACCCCUCUCUUUGGGUUUAUCACAUCUCAUGCUGAUUUCAUGGUUGUUAGACCCAUUUUUCAAUCUUUACGAGUUAUCACCUAGGGCAUCCCCCUACCUUUAGUUUGUUUGGGACAUUCCAUUUCAUUUAGCUUGUUUAGGGCAUCAUCCUACCAUCAGUUUGUUUAUGGCACUCUUUUUUUUUUCUUCAGUUUUUCUGGGGCAUUCUCCUACUAUUAGUUUGUUUAGGGCGCUCCCUCCUCCCCCCCUCCCCCUUUUUUCUUCAGUUUGUUUAAGGUAUCCCCCUAUCGUCAGUUUGUUUAGGGCAUCCUAUUUUCUUCAGUUAUCUAACCACCGUGGAUUAGACGUCCAUAGGCAUUUCAAUUAUCUUACCACCAUGGAUUGGACAUUCAUGGGCAUUUUAGUGAUUCUCACCACCAUUGAUCAGACAUCUAUAGGCAUUUCAAAUUCACCACCAUAGAUUAUCAUUUAUGGGUUUUGAUCAGUUUUCACCACCAUAGAUCAGACAUCUAUGUGCAUUUCAGAUUCCCACCAUAGAUUUUCAUCUAUGGGCCUUGAUCAAUUUUCACCACCAUAAAUCAAACAUCUAUAGGCAUUUCAGAUUCACCACCAUAGAUUAUCAUUUAUAGGCCUCAAUCAGUUUUCACCACCAUAGGUUAGACAUCUAUGGGCAUUUUAGAUUCACCACCAUAAAUUUUUAUCUAUGGGCCUUGAUCAGUUUUUACCACCAUAGAUUAGACAUCUAUGGGAAUUUCAGAUUCACCACCAUAGAUUAUCAUCUAUGGGCCUCAAUCAAUUUUCACCACCAUAGAUUUUCAUCUAUGGGCUUUGAUCAAUUUUCACCACCAUAGAUCAGACAUUUAUGGACAUUUCAGUUUCACCACCAUAAAUUAUCAUCUAUGGGCCUCGAUCAAUUUUCACCACCAUAGAUCAGACAUCUAUAAGCAUUUCAGAUUCACCACCAUAGAUUUUCAUCUAUGGGCCUUGAUUAGUUUUCACCACCAUAGAUUGGAUAUCUAUGGGUAUUUUAGAUUCACCACCAUAGAUUUUCAUCUAUGGGCCUUGAUCAGUUUAUCACCACCAUGGAUCGAACAUCUAUGGUCAUUUUAGAUUCACCACCAUAGAUUGUAUAUUUAUGAGCAUUUGUUACAAUUAUCUCACCAUCAUAGAUUUUCAUCUAUGAGCAUUUGUUUUAGUUAUCUCACCACCAUAGAUUGGACAUCUAAGGGCAUUUCAGUCGAUUUACCACCAUAGAUUUUCAUCCUUGAGCCUUUGAGAUUAUCACCACCACAUAUUUUUAUCUAUGGGCCUUUGAGAGUUUCACCACCAUAGAUUGGCAUCUAUGGGCAUUUCAAUUGUAUCACCACCAUAGAACUUCACCUAUAGGCUUUCUAAUUUAGCGUUUAGAGUUAGCUUUUUAGUUUGGCUUCUAGAGCCAUUCUUUUCUCAAUUUAGUGUUUAGAGACAGUCUUGCCAUUCAAAGCCACAACUCUUGAUAUUCAUGAUCACUAACAUUACAUGAUUUGUUCUCACAGUUUCAUAUUCCACCUUACUUCUCUCUUCGUUGAAUAUGUGCUUCUCACUUCAUUAUGAUAUUCUAAAGUUUCUUCUCAUCUUUUGUGUAGGAUAUAGCUCUGUGAGCUCGUAGCAUGUCUUAUUUGUAUUGUUGGAUACCUUAUGCCUUGUGUCCUUGUAUGUUACAUGUAUGGUUUUUUCCUUUGUACACUUUCGUUCUUGUGCUCCUUGGUGGUUUGAUUGCUCCUCGACUUCGACAUCAAUUUUUGAGUCAUUUUUUGAGACUUUUAUGAGGGAGUAUGGAUCCAUAGUGUAUCUUUAGAGGCACCUUAGGAGUUUUCGUUAUUGCCAUUUAUGUAGAGUUUUAGAGCCUCUUUGUUCUUGUUUUGGUCUAAGAAAGCUUGUGUCAUACGAGGACAAAUUUGGUGGUCUUUCUUAUUCUUUGGUAGAGCUCACUUUGUUUUGCUUAUGUAUACACUCACUUUACUCAUGGACUCUACCGAAGAAGGGCAUAUUUGUAGACCCCAAAAUUUGUCCCAAUUUUAUUUUUACAUUAAUUUUUAGCCUAAUUUUACUCUUAAAAUUAAAUCCCGAUUACAUAUGAUAUUUUGGCCCACACACAAUUUAAUUAUUAAUUUUUAUUAUUUUGUAUAUUAUUUUAUUAUUAUUAUUAUUAUUAUUAUUAUUCAUUUGUUUGUGUGAUUUGAAUUAUUGAAUUAAUAUGAAAUUUAAGCUUUGUUAAUUAAUAUGGAAUUUGGGUUAAUUUGUUAUUGGAGAAUCAAUAUGAAAUUUGGGUUAAUUUAUUGUUGGUGAAUAAAUUUGGAAUUUCUUAAUUUGGGUUAGAUUAGUUGAUAAUUUAUAUAGUUGUACUCAUUUGAAUUAUUUAAUUUGGAUAUGAUAUAAUAUUUUGGUAUAUUUUGGAUGUGGGUUUGCAUAUUAAAUUGAUUGAUUUUGGUUGUGGAUUUAGGUUUGCAUAUUAAAUUAGACUUAUAUUAUGGGAUAUUAAAUUUAGGCCUAAUGGGAUUUAUUUUAAUUUGUCAUGUUUUUGGUUUGAUUAAUUGAGCUUAUAUUUUGGCUAUUAAUUUGGAAAUUUUGGAUUAGGGCCUAUGACAUGUGAGAUAUUUUGUUGGGUUCUAUUUGCUAAUUUGGGCCCAUCUUGAUUGACAAAAUUUGUUGGACUAAUUUGAAAUUUGAAUUUGAGCUUGAAUAUCUAUUGCUUAUUUUAUACAUCUAUAGAUAAUUUACAUUUGAGCUUUUUUUUUUUUUUUGCAUAAUCUCAUUCUGCAAUUCUAUUGGUUGAGUAUGAAUUUAUGACACGUGGAGUAUGGAAUUUCAUGGAAGAAAGUAAGAUUCGAAAAGCUGUAGGAAGAUAUUGAGCUUGUUGUAAGCUUGUUUGAGUACACGUUUUAUUACUUACUUUUAUUUGGUUUUAAUUUUAUUAGUUUCUGUAAAUAUUUGCUUGUAUAUGUUUAUUAGUUGUGUAUAGAAUUGAAUAUCGAACAAAUCAGAGAUUUUGUUUAAAUAAGAGGAACAAUUCAGUAAACAUGUUUUAAUAAAAUAAUUGUUCAGAAAAUAUUUUUUUUAAUAAAAGAAAGUUUUUUUAUUAAUAAAAAUUCAGAAAAAUGCUUUUAGAAAAAUCUAAAAAAAAUAUUGUUUUUAAUAGAAUUUGAAAAAUUGUUUUUAAUAAUAAUUGUACAAAAAUUUCUUUGUUUAACAAAAAUUGUCCAAAAAUUGUUUUGUAAAUAAAGGUUUCCCAAAAAUUAAUUUUUAAUUAAUUUUUUUUUGCAAAUAAAGUUAUCUAUAUAUAUAUAUAUAUAUAUAUAUAUAUAUAUAUAUAUAUAUAUAUAUAUAUAUAUAUAUAUAGAAAACAAUUGUUUUCACCAGAUUUUUUUUUUAUAAAAAUAAAUAGACUCAUUUAAUCAUGUUUUCUAAAACUUGGUUUUAUAAAUUAUUUUUUGUUGUUUAACUUAAAAAUAGUUUUUAAAAACAAAUUUUAGAAAACAUCAUCAAACGGAUCUUUAAUUUUCGUUCUUCUAUGGAGGCCUAUUCCUACCUAUUCUAAAAAAUAAAUUUUUAUUUUUAAAAAAUAAAAAAAUAAAAAAUAUGUUUAACAAACAAAAAAACAUAAAACAUUUCUUUUUGUUGAAAUGAAAUGUUUUGAAAAUUGACGUACGAAGGAACAGUGGGAGCCCCCCCUCUAAAUGGACCUUUGUUUCAAGAAUCACUAAAAACGCUUAAAAAUGGCCCUUCUUUUUCUUCUUUCUUCGCCUUUGAAUAAUAUAAUAUAAUCCAAAAGAAGAUUUAGAAGAUGCGUAGAUGAGGAGUAAUAACAUGCCCAUGAAACUCAUGCUACACAGUUUAUGAGGUAGGCAUUGGCUAAAUUCAAUGUUACAUCUCUAACAAAUAAGACAUUUCAAACAAAUGAAGAAUGGACUGAUGGCCUACAAUAUGUAUUUUAUAAAAAUUUUAAAAUCAUAUUUAGCAAAAACUUAAAAAGAGAAAAAAAAAAAAAAAGGGGGGAAACUUGUGUUUUAGGUCGUCCAUUUGGACAUAAUAGGUUUUUCUGAACCUAAAAGUUGGAAAUCCAAGAUUUCCCCAUUAAUAUGGAAAAAUAUAUGAUUUUUAUGCACUCUAUGCUAAGUGGUCUUUUUAUACCCACUUUACCCUUACCCAAUCUCCAUAUCAGCAUCCAUGUUGCAUUAUUGCAGUCUGAAAUUUCCCAAACAACAUUUCUCUCUUUCAUUGACUUCUUCAUCACCCGAACAGAGUGUCAUUUGAAAUUUCCCUAUUUCCGAAACAAGAUUUAUGUCUUCCUCUCAUUUUUGCCUAACUUGAACCUGAGACGGUUGAUUCAACGAAAGAAACACAAGCAUUCCCCUCAAAUCGUCUCUCUCCUACUCACUGACACACCUACCAUGGGCAACACCUCUUCCUCACUAUUGUCGCCGUAUUUUCUAUUUCCACCUCUAGAUCCAACGCUUCCACCUUUCUCUGUUACCUCUCUCAAUGUUCAAAGCCUGAACCUCUCUGGUGAAAUAUUUGCUAGUGAAACUUAAACUAAUAAUAUUUUCAUUUUGAGGUUAAAUUUAGAGAUUUUUUUUUUUUUUUACUUCGUUACUUUCUAAUGCCUCCCAUCUUCGUCAUUACUGAUAGGGUUGUUGAAGAUGGAAGACACUUUUGUAAUGUUUUGGAAGGUCAACUCAGAAACAAAGGCCCAAUUUGUUCUCGUAUCUGUACUUUUAGCAUGGAUAUCGGUUCAGUGAAAACCUCUUAUGUUCUUGAUCUCACAAUCUUGUAGUGCUUCUAUUCCUUAUGAAUUUUCCAUUCAUUUUUUUUCUUUUUUAUAUGAAUGACUUUACAUGUUAUAUUAUAGUCAUAACUUCUUACAAAUGCUAGCAUGGAUUGGAAGAGGUUACUAUGAUGUUGGUCAGUUAUAUUGGUUUGUAACUUUUAUUUAUUUCUUUCUCACAAAUAUUAGCACUGAUGUGGAACUAAUUCAUUAAUUGUUGUUCAUGUUGAUAGUACUAAUGCUAAUGUUGAAAGAAGGCAACAAGGAAAAAGUAAAAAAUUAUUAGUUUGGAGCCUAGUUGCAUGAAUCCCUUUGCCAUUGUUUAUAUAAAUAAGGUUAGUUUUUCAUCUUAAUACAAUGUUUAUAACAAUAUAUUGCUAUAGUUUCUAACUCAAGGUCUUCUUUUGGUUUUAACUAAAAAAUAUGCAGCGCACUACUUCUUAAUUGCAUCUCGAUAUGCUCUUCCUCCCUUCAACCAUCCAAAUCCUGCUCCUAUAAAGAGUGAAGAUAGAAAUGAGAGAUUAAGGAUUUGAUACCUAUUGAUGUUAUAUAUGAAUUAUUUUAUUUCAUUGUUUCUGUAUCUUAUAAUUGUUUUUCUACUUUUGUAGGUAUUUAAGCAGUGACUUUAGUAAUCACCCCCUAUCAUACCUCAUGGCCUCUGUAUUUGGCAUGCACCACAAAGAAAAUGUUAAGGUAUGUUGCUAGUGAACAAUUCGACAUUCCCAAUCUAAGAACCUGAUCUCACUUGCCAUAUGCAUUGCUAGUAUGCAUUAGAAUGUAAAAGCUUCCUUUUUUCCUGUCAUUUUUUAGUGUUAGGUGUUUUGUUAUGCCUUCAGUCUAAAUGGUUCAACUUAAUAGAGACAUCAUAUUCAAUCAAAAGCCGAGCACUUUUAGAUGGUUUUACCAUGUCAUUUGAUAUGAUUGACAAACUGAUUAAUGAAGACAAGAUAUAGCUCCUUAUAAACCUCAAUGGUUAUACCAAGGUAUAUAGUUUUAGUAUGAUGUAAUUGCUUUUUGUUAACAAUGUAAAUAAUUAGGUAUCAUCUUAGUUUACUCUUUAUUUAUUUUGUUGGGGCAUAUAGUUAUGGUAUCAGUUACCACACAUGUUUAAAGUUGAAUGCUCUUACUGAGUUUAGUUUGUGAAAUUUGUUUAUAAUGUUUACCAUUUAUUCCCUCCAGCUUUGCUAUGAGUUUGGUGAGUAUAUAGAGCCCAUUAGCUCAAAAACUGUUGUCAUUCUUAAAACAGUAAAAGGUUUCUCUGGAGAAGAACCCAAAACUCAAGUCCUGUGCAUGGCUAUUUUUUUUAUGGUUGGUUACUCUUCCCCCUACUCCUAAAUGGGUUAUUAAAGAUGACCAUUCUUCACACAGUGUAAAUACUAUAAUAUAGAAUUCACUAACCUUUUUUAAUGCUCUCAUGGCCUAAAAUUUUGUUGCUUUUGUUUAUGAGGUGAAUUCUUAACUCAUUUGUAAGUGUUAUGUAUUAUUAUUACUAUUUCACUUGUUUACUUUUGUUUAGAGGUUUAGAGUUUGACUGUAUAUUUAUUUAUUUGAUUAUGUGAUUUUAGGUCUCAAAAUAGGAACUGGUUUUUGCUCUAAAAAUAGAAAUCACAAAUAGAUAUAUUUAAAUGGAGUAAUCUUGCAAACUAUGGUUUAACCUUACUUUUCCUAUGAAAAUUGAACUUAUUUUUAGGAAAAAUAAAAGUCAAAUAUAAUUUUUUUUACAUUUUCAAAGAUGCCAACGUUCAAAUAUUGAUAAUUCUUAGAAAAAUGAGAUUUUUUUUAGAUUGUUUUUUUUUCUUUUUUGUUUUCAAAAUGCCUAUAUUUCUUCUAGGGACAAACUCCUCUACAAUAUAAUAGGUUUCAUAGAGGAGCAAGAAGCUCUGGUGGUGAAGUCCUAGAAUUCAAUGAAGAAGAAUGUUGGAGAGUUGGGUCUUAAAUUCUUCUUGAAGUAAAUCAAAUUUUCCUUAUUCUUCUCUACAUGUUGAUAAUUACCUUAUUUCUUAGAGAAGGGGUUCACCUUUGCUUUUUGAGGCCUAUACCUUAAGUACUACCUUAAUAGCCCCUAGGUACUACCUUAAGGGACCUUAGGUACUACCUUAGUUAAAGUUGGGUUCUACCUUUUCCAAGCCUCGGACCUUCCUUUGUGACCCUUAGACCAUGCCAUUAUAUGAUUCUCUUGUGUGAUCAAGUGGUUCACCUUUGGUUUUUUUUGCGGACUAUACCUUAGGUACUACCUUAAGGGACCUUAGGUACCACCGUAAUUAAAGUUGAGGUCUACCUUUCCCAAUCCUCGGACCUUCUUUUGUGACCUUUGGACCAUGCCAUUAUGUGAUUCUCUUGUGAGGGGAAGGGGUUCAUCUUUGCUUUUUUGAGGCCUGUACCUUAGGUACUACCUUAAUAUCCCUUAAGUACCACCUUAAUAUACCUUAGGUACCACCUUAAGGGACCUUAGGUACUACCUUAAGGGACCUUAGGUACUACUUUAGUUAAAGUUGGGUUCUACCUUUCCCAAGCCUCGGAUUUUUCUUUGUGACCCUUAUACCAUGCCAUUAUGUGAUUAUCUUAUGUGGGCAAGUGGUUCAAAGUACAAUUAUUCUAUCCUCUCCUGGGAUUGGUCUCCUAAAAGCUUAAGACCAAAGUACAGUGCCACUUAGACCAACCAACUCCAAAACCAGUAUUACACUACACACCACAUUCCCCAUCAAUCUCUCAAUCUCUUCACUGCACUACAAUACAAGCCAGUGGGUAAUUUGAAACCAUAUACAAAAUUGUUCUCCACACAAAUUCCAUCCCAGCCAACAUCUUUCCAAUUUUCUAUAUUCUUUUUUCUUUUCCACCUCUUAAUACAUGUUUCAAUUUCCAUGUUCAAAAUUGUGUCUUUGUGUUUCUGUUUGUGAGAGUCGAGUCCCAAUAUCAAUAUCCAUAUUUUUUUCCUGUGUGGGAGAAAGACAGAGUCUCAAUUUCAAUGCAACAAUGUUGUGUGUGAGAUAAAGAUAUCUAUCAAUAAAAUUGUACCCACAAACCACACAGGUCAAGUUUCAGAUAUGAACAGGAUUUAAAAAUACUGUUUCAAUUCACUUAAUUAGAAACUUUAAUCCAAAAUACCCGGUUCCACAUUCAAAUUAAUUGGUACCAGAAUGAGCCCUGCCCCACUACUGUGUGUGCCUGUUUUUUCCUUCCUCUUUUCAUAUUUUUUACUUGAGCAACUUCAGGGGAAAAACAAAAGAUAAAACAAAGAGACAGCCAAAAUGCUGGAUGCCUACAAAGCUGAGAAUUAAAAUGAAGACAGAAUAUCCCCACAGGCACCAGCAGCGUACAAGACUAGCAUUUAAACCCAGAUACUGAAGUAAGAAGUAAAAUGCCACUGCCACCAGAAGUGCAUAUCCAUAGAUUGAACAAAAGGGCAAAUUCAGAUAGCCGACAUUAAAGCUCCAAGUUGUACUAUUGUUACUCCGUUUCUUUGUCAGGUAGGUGGCAUAGUUUCCAAGGGCAACAAUCACAAAUAUUAGAAACAUUAGCAUCAGCAUAAACCAAACAGAUGUGGAAAUGAAGUUACAGUGGACCAAAUGAUGAAAUGCUUCAAAAUUCUUUCAGGGAUAACAGAGAAGAAAGGGAAAAUUGUUGGUUCCAGCCCAUUAAGGUGGAAAUACGGACAUACCCAGGAUUUAUUGCAUUAAGUAGCACCAUCAAGAACAUGUAUGAAAUGGCCUACAUACAAUAGUAGUAUUAUCAAUAGAAUAAACCAGAGUUUGAAGCAUUAAUUUGGACAAAGUUCCCUGCUCCAAAAUUUGAAGAUUUCAAUUGACAUAGUGCAAGCUUUCAGAAAAUCAAUACAGUUUAUAUUAUGGUUGCUAGAAUACACAAAAAAGUUACAAAAAUUAAGAUUUUGAGCCAUGUAAUUAAUUUUCUAAGCUUUAGCAUCAAAAACUAUUUUAGUGUCACUUUCAUUUGGUGGAGUAAAUUAACUUCUUUGAGUUUCACAUAGUAUUCACUUGUAGAAAUUGGUCAAAGCUGUGUAUAUUUAUUUCCAAAUGAUGAGAAGGCAAAGACAAGAUUCUAAACCAUUAAUAUAAUCUUUUCAUUUUAAUAUAACAAUAUCAUGCACAAGCAACAAUUUUCCCCUUUUCCUAAGAAGAAAAGGAGACCCUAGAAUUCCAGACAAAUAAUUAAAAAUUUAUUUUCAAAAGUCUAUAUCUUUAUUUCCAACUGAACAUAAGGCAAAGUCAAGAUUUUAAACUGUUACUACAACAACAAUUUUUCAUUUUAGAUCUUAGUUCUAUUAGCACAUCCAUAGAGAGACGACAUGGACCUGCAUUAUGAACACAUAAUGAAUAGGAUAUAGAAACCUUCUAUGAAACCGUAUGCAAAUGGUAGGAUAAAUGAGGAACACUUUUAAUCAAUAAUAUCCAUAAGACAACCAAAAUAUCACCAUAAUGUUUUUUUCCUCUUAUUGCCCUAGGGGCUGAUUCCCUGAUAGCUGAAAUGAACUUGUCAUGUAUAAAACAUUUCCACCUCUUCUUCCUCUGGACCUCUGACCAUCCCUUUACUACCCUGGGUGCAUUCUCAAAACCCUCCUCAUCUUCUUUAUUCUCUGCCAUGCCCCAUUCUAUGGCUGCACGACAACCUCUUCAACUCCUUUCAAUCCUCAGCAUUCCUAAUUCACUUGCCAUAAUCCUAAUGCUUAGAACCCAAUCAAAUACAACCAAAGACACUAUCUUCUCAAAUUCAAGCACUUUCCAAUGAUUUCAAGUCAAACCCUGAUUUGAAAUCCAAUAGGUCAUACACUGAUUUAUGCCUCAAAUGUGUGGAACCCUUAUAGGGGUUUUGCCAAAUUAUUGGCUAGCACAGGCUAUAGCCAUACUCUUUUGUUUAUAUGGACCAAAACUCGCACCAUCAUCAUUCCUUUUAUCACAGCCCUGGAUUUGCAAUUAUUCACAAAAAGUAUUCCCAACAAAUAAAUUUGCUCAUUUCUUGUUAACAUGCUCUACAUCAAAUAGAGCAGAUUGUUUAUUUGAUAAAACUGUGAAGGAGUUUGCUCUGUUCUUGUUUCUCUUCCUCUAUUUCUUCUUCAUGCAAUUUUUCAGCAUGGUAUUCAGCCACUUUAAGCUUGUGUAAACUUUUCAGCCACUUUAAGCUUGUGCCACUUUUCAGCUACUUUAAACUUAUGUAGACUUUGUCAAUUUAUUCUUAGUAAUUUUCUCUUCCUCUAUUUCUUCUUCAUGCUAUUUUUGGUAUUCGGCCACUUUAAGCUUGCUUUGGUAUUCAGCCACUUUAAUAUUAUUAUUAUUUAUUUUUCUAACUUCUUUUGUCCACGUCUCAAUUUUUAUCAGAAACUGAUUAUAGAAUAUCAACAUGAACCAUACUGAAAUAUUGGCCAAAAUAUUGAUAUUGAUUUGUCCAAAUGUAUGUUCAGUAAGAUUUCAGAAUUGACACUCAUUGAUAUUGAUGGUAAAUAGGCAUAUCAGCUUAUCCUACGACCAUGUAACAUAUGCUCCGACAAUCUAGCAAGUGGUGGCAUAAUUCAAUUUUUUUUACACAUGGAAGUUGUCAGUUACCUCUCAUUAAUAAGCCAAUCCAUGUAAUACCACAUCAAUGAUCCAUAAAACCAACGAGAAAAAAAGAAAGAAAGAAAUAAAGAAAGUUGAAGUACUCAACUGAUCAUAUUUUUUGAAGUAAUCCGAGGAGCUUUGAUGGCAGCACCAAUUAAACUACUUCCAGUUAUAUAAAUUCCCUUAAAAAUACAACAAUAACGCAACCAUCAAAACAAUGAUCCAACAAAAAAAGAAAAAGCAAAUAUAAUGUAUCAAUUUAACCUAAACCUCCGCUAGUUUGACAAGAAUGAAAAAAAUUUACAGCAUUACAACAUUUUUUUGGGAAAGUUAGGUUUUGGGUUAUUGAUGUUUAUCUACAAAAUGGGAGACGAGAAUGUUACAAAAAUGAAAGAGGUUAGGUUUUACAGCAUUUUGGGUUUCUGAGAUUGAGAAUGGGAGACAGAAGGGGAAAAACAAAAUAUGAGAGAGAUGUUGGCUUUGUGGCUUUUCAAAGGGUUUUUUCUCUUUUGAAUUUUCAAAUGUGGAACGCUUAGCUGGCAAGGUGAAGGGUAUUUUUGGCAUUGAAAUACACAUAAGCUAAAAGUGCAUGAUUCUCUAAAUAUUUUCUAAUUACAUUAUCAAUUUUGAAAUAUGUAAAAUUGGGUUUCUAAAACCAUAUAUUUUCCACAUCAACAGCCCAAAACCUAAUUUUCCCAAAAAGAAAAGAAACACAUGUGAACUAUUUAGCGCAUAAGACUAUCUUUGGUAAGUGUUUUUUAAAGUAAUUUUGAAAAAUUAUUUUUGAGAAUAGUUUUUAAAUUUUUUUUAAAUUUUUGUAUAACAAAAGUAUUUGAAGCAUAAAAUAUUUUUAACUUAUUUUUAAUAUUUUAAAAAUAAUUUUUAUAUCUAGUAUUUUAUUUUUAAUCAUUCCACAUGUUUGUAUUAUUAUUUCUUUAAACAAUCCUUAAAAAUCAAAUGUAACCACUAAAAAAUAAUUAAAAUAUGUUAUUUAAAAACAUUAUAGAUGUUUUUUGUUCCAUGUUUUUUGUUUUGGAAAACAAAAAAUUAUUACAAAAAAAAAAAAUUCCCAAACAAAUCCUAAUAUUUCUAUUGUUAAAUGAAAAAUGUUAUUUGUAAUCGAUCUCCUUAUUAAAUAGUAAAAGUUAUUCAUUCAUAGUUUGCUUAUGUAACGGAUCAAUCUUGAUUGAACUUUGAUAUCAGUAUAACAUCAUAAAAAUAUAAUUUAUAUUUUAUUAAAAUUAAAAAUAUAUAAAAUUUAUAUAUUCUAAUCAUUUGUGACAUUUGUAACUUCUCCCAUGGCACAUAAACCACUUUUGAAAGCAGUAAGUUUUUGUUGGCGUGAGUUGUAUAGUAAAAGGAAAUUAGAGUAAUUAUAGAAAAUGAGAUUUCUUUCCUUCACAGGUUAGCUUAAUUAUAGGAGCAAAAUCUGUAUAACUUAGAAUAGAAAAUAUAUUCUGAUAUAUACUCGUAGGGUUGUGGUAACAGAAUAAGAAUUAUAUCGAAUAGAAAAAGAACUUUUUGACAUGGUAUCAGAGCCUAACCCUAGUACCCACCUACCUUAAACAUUGCAUCUCUUACCUCGCCCACCAUGUCGUCCGAUGCAGAACCCCAGCUUGCUGUGUCUCAAUUCGAUUCCCUCUUCUUUGAAUUCACGACUAAGAUGACUGAAGCUCUUACCAAAGUCCAACCACCAACUCUGACCACCGAACCCUCUACUGCUCUGAUUGGCAUCAAACUAGAUGGAACCAACUAUGCUCUCUGGUCCCAAGUCGAGAUGUAUAUCUCUGGAAAAGACAAGUUGGGAUAUAUCAAUGGUGAUAUACUACAACCACCUUCGACGGAUCCAACAUUUCGAAAAUGGCGCACUGACAACGCCAUUGUCAAAAGUUGGUUGAUCAACUCCAUGGAUCCCUCUUUGAUAGGGAAUUUCAUUCGGUUUCCUACAGCUAAGUUGGUGUGGGAUUCCAUUGCUACCACUUACUUUGAUGGUAGUGACAAUUCUCAAGUCUAUGAUCUUCGACGUCGUGUGACGCAGCUUAAACAGGCUGGAGGCUCCCUUGAGAAAUACUACAAUGACCUCCAAGGGUUGUGGCGUGAGAUUGACUUCCGCUGCCCUAAUCCUAUGGAGUGUGCAAUUGAUAUUCACAACUAUAAUCUUCUUCUUCAAGAAGACAGAGUGUAUGUUUUCUUGAAUGGCCUGGAUGAUCAACUAGAUAAGAUUCGGGGUGACGUGUUGCAGCUUCGUCCAUUCCCUACUGUGGAGCAAGCGUAUGCCCACGUUCGCCGCGAAGCUCUCCAUCAAUCUGUUAUGAUCACUGGCAGUGCAGAUGAGGUUUCUGGCGCUGUUCUCGCAACCAAAGGACUCAAACUUGGUUCCUCUGUCCAACCUCCUACUGUGCACAAUGGCAGGCCUAAGUCUCGUACAUCUUCAGAGGGCUUGAAGUGCUCUCAUUGUGGCAAUUCGAAAAACACUUGUGACACCUGUUUUAAACUGCAUGGGUAUCCAGAUUGGUGGAAUGAUCUCCGGGCUAAGAAGGGUCGUGACGCGGGCACUAAGGAUGAAGGCUCCGCUACAGCAGUUGUGGCUAUUGCCGAACCUCAACUCUCAUUCAUACCAUAGAUGACAAUGCCGAACUCAGGUAACUGUGGUUAUGCUUGUUAUACUUCGACUAAUGAUGGUUACCGUGGUGCAUGGCUAUUGGAUUCUGGUGCAACUAACCAUAUGACGUUUACUGCUAUGGAUUUCACCAUGACUUCCCUACCAUGACGUACUAAUAUCACCAAUGCUAAUGGUGUUAUCUCCCCUGUCACUGGCACGGGCACUGUGACCUUAUCCCCUAAGUUGCAGCUGCAUAAUACUUUGCUUGUUCCAUCCUUAUCUCAUAAGCUUCUCUCCGUGAGCCAAGUGACCUCUGAUCUAAAUUGCAUUGUGCUAACAUAUCCUACUUUCUGUUUUCUCUAGGACAUUCUAACGAAAGAGAUUAUUGGGCGUGGUACUAAGAGGGGGGGACUCUACUAUAUGGAAGACCUGAGUGUGGGCCGAGCACAUCACACGCAACAUACUCUUGAUGUCAAAGAAAAGGAACUUUGGCUUUGGCACCGUCGGUUAGGACAUCCGUCCUUCACCUAUAUGAAACAUUUGUUUCCAGAUUUGUUUUCUCAGUUGAAAAAUUUUGAUUUUCAAUGUGAAACUUGCAUAUUGGCCAAAAGUCAUAGGGCUUCUUUUCCAUUAUAUUUGAAUAAAAAGGAUACUCCAUUUGCUUUGAUCCACUCGGAUGUGUGGGGACCUUCCCCAAUUACUACUGUCAACGACUUCAAAUGGUUUGUGUUGUUUGUUGAUGAUUGUACCCGCAUGACUUGGCUUUAUUUGCUCAAACAUAAAGAUGAAGUACUAGGAGUUUUUAAAUCAUGUCAUGCUAUGGUGCAAACACAAUUUUCUGCUAAGGUUCAAGUUCUUCGAUCGGAUAAUGGUGGUGAAUAUGUCAAUCACUAAUUUCGUGAAUACUUUCAACAACAUGGUAUUAUUCAUGAGACUUCAUGCCCCCAAACGCCUCAACAAAAUGGCAUUGUUGAGAGAAAAAAUAGACAUGUUCUUGAAACCGCUCGUGCUCUUUUAGUUGGUGCCCAUGCUCCUACUCGUUUUUGGGCUGACGCCGUUACCACUGCAGUUCAUUUGCUCAACCGAAUGCCCUCUAAGGUGUUGGACUUCCAAACCCCCUUACAAGCCCUCUCGGGCUAUACAGCUGUGCCUGCAAUCUUGAUGCUUCCCCCAUGUGUAUUUGGGUGUGUAGCAUAUGUCCAUCUCCAUAAAAACCAGCGGACUAAGUUAGACCCCUGUGCACGUCGCUGCUUAUUUUUGGGCUAUGCUUUUCACCAAAAAGGAUAUAGAUGCUAUGAUCUCACUUCUGGUUGCAUGUAUAUUACUAUGGAUGUCACCUUCGUGGAAACCGAAACAUUUUUUCCAUCUAAUUCUCCUUUUCAGGGGGAGACUAGAUAGGAAGAGCAGAAUUGGACAGAAUUAAAUUGGCCGAGCAUAUCUGAAAUACAUGUGGAACUGAGGCAACCAGAACACGUUUCUCUAGCUAUUGAACAUCAUGAAGAUGAUCACAAAGCACAUGUUACUUCCCCCUCUACAGUACCCGAAAACCCAACUCCUGAGAAUGAUCCUGAGGUAAGCUCUUUUAACACAAAUAUCUUGGCACCUCCUAUUGGUUAUGUGUUACCUAACAGGCACAAUCGUGGCAAGCCUCCAAGCCGCUACUCACCAGACAUUGAAGGAAGAAGAUCAAGAUAUCCUAUCGCCAAUUAUGUAUCCACAAAGAAGUUGAAUGAACCCCUCAAGACAUUUGUGCAUAACAUUUCCGGGUGUCACGUUCCAACAAGGGUGGAGGAAGCCUUGGGAGACCCGAAGUGGACUCAGGCAAUCAAAGAUGAAAUGGAGGCACUAAUGAAGAACAAGACAUGGAAUCUAGUGCCAUUACCGGAAGGAAAAAAAAUAGUGGGGUGCAAGUGGGUGUUUUCCAUUAAACACAAAGCUGACGGAUCUAUAGAAAGAUACAAGGCAAGACUUGUGGCAAAAGGGUAUACUCAAACAUAUGGUAUAAACUAUCAAGAUACUUUCUCACCAGUAGCUAAAUUAAAUACUGUUAGAGUGUUGAUAUCUCUUGUAGCAAAUUUAAAUUGGCCACUACAUCAGUUUGAUGUGAAAAAUGAUUUCCUUCAUGGCGGGCUUGAAGAAGAAGUUUAUAUGGACAUCCCUCCAGGCUACUUAGUGACCACGGGAACUAAUGAGGUGUGUAAGUUGCAACGAGCCUUGUAUGGGUUAAAACAAUCGCCACGAGCAUGGUUCGGGCGAUUCAGCCUGGCAAUGAAGAAAUAUGGUUUCCAACAGAGCAAUGCAGACCACACAUUGUUUCUAAAAAAACAGCAAGGAAAAGUCACAGCUCUUAUUGUCUAUGUCGAUGAUAUGGUCAUUACAGGAGAUGAUAUUGAAGAAAUCUCACGGCUCCAAGGGCAGUUGGCUAGUGAAUUCGAAAUGAAGAAUCUAGGUGGGCUCAAGUAUUUCCUUGGGAUAGAGGUUGCCAGAUCAACCCAAGGUAUAUUUUUAUCCUAAAGAAAAUAUGUUCUAGAUUUAUUAUCUGAAGUUGGAUUGUUGGAGUGCAAACUAGUGGAUACCCCAAUUGUCCAAAAUCAUAAACUUGGGAUAUAUCCAAAUUAGAAACCAACUAACAAAGGAAGAUAUCAACGGUUAGUUGGCAAACUCAUUUAUCUCUCUCAUACUCGUCCAAAUAUUGCGUAUGCUGUAAGUGUAGUAAGUCAAUUUAUGCAUUGUCCAAGUGAAGAACACAUGGAGGCUGUAAUUCGGAUACUAAGGUACUUGAAGUCUUCUCCAGGAAAAGGGCUCAUGUUUUCUAAGAAUGAUCAUGUGAGAGUUGAUGGCUAUACAGACACAGAUUGGGCUGGGAACAUCUCUGAUAGGAAGUCGACAUCAGGGUAUUUCACAUUUGUAGGUGGAAACCUUGUGACAUGGAGAAGUAAGAAACAAAAGGUGGUGGCACUCUCUAGUGCAGAGGCAGAAUUUCGUGGGAUGGCUAAGGGUUUGUGUGAGCUUCUUUGGCUGAAAAGACUACUAACCAAGAUCGGUUUUGCUCCCAAGUCUGAAAUGAAUCUCUUUUGUGACAAUAAAGCAGCUAUAGACAUUUCACACAAUCUGGUUCAACAUGAUCGAACAAAGCAUGUAGAGGUUGAUCGACACUUCAUCAAAUAUAACCUAGAGACUAAUACAAUCUGGUUUCUAUUUUUCAAAUCUGAGGACCAACUUGCAGAUAUACUCACCAAAGUCGUGUCAAGCAAGGAUUUCCACAACUCACUGAUCAAGUUGCGCAUGAAGGAUCCGUAUGCAUCAACUUGAGGGGGAGUGUUGGCGUGAGUUGUAUAGUAAAAGGAAAUUAGAGUAAUUAUAGAAAAUGGGAUUUCUUUCCUUCACAGGUUAGCUUAAUUAUAAGAGCAAAAUCUGUAUAGCUUAGAAUAGAAAAUAUAUUCUGAUAUAUACUCGUAGGGUUGUGGUAACUGAAUAAGAAUUAUAUUGAAUAGAAAAAGAACUUUUUGACAGUUUUAUCAUGUUGGUUAAUAAAUCAAUAAAGCAAUUUAUGCUCAAUACUAAAAAUCUAUUUUAUAAUGAUUUUAGGAAGUAUUUUUGAACAAAAAAAGUGUUUUUCUUUCACUACUACAAAAAUAGUUUAUGGUGUCACUAUUUACGGUGUCACUUUUAAAAUAAUGACACCAUAGGGUUUAUAAUUAAUAAAGGUGACACAUCAUAUAAAAAAUCUUCAAUUGAGGUAGUUAGAUGAUAUUAAUUUUAUAUUUAUAGUGUCAUUUUUUGGGAAGUGACAUCAUAUAAAAUAAAUUUUUUUAAGUAUUAUAACUUAAUGAGCCCACUUUUAGAAUUAAUAAUGAUGGAUACUAUAUAAAAAUCCCAUUGUUUCCAUAUCUCACUCACAAUCCAAAAAAUCUCAAUAUAUAAAUCCUAUAUAUAAAAUCAUGAUCUUCUUCAACCUUUUCUCUCACCCAUCCAUAGUCAACACGCUCAAAACCGACAUUCUUCACUUUGUGGACUCCCAGGUAACCCAAAAUCUCUUGGAUCUAUCAUUUUUUUUUCUUUUAUUAAUGCCAUUAUAUUAAUUGUUUCAACAUCUUUGUAUUAUGGUUUUUGUGAAUUGUGUUUUCUUGAGUUGUAGGGAAGAAAAAUUUAGGUUUAAUCUUCUAGCAUGGAAGAAAAAACUAUAGAUUAAUUGAUUUUUUUAAUCUAAACCAAACACAUGAUCAAGUCCUUAAAAAAAAAGUGAAAAACAGGAAAAAAUGAAUGAUUUUUAAUAUGUAUUUGUGUGAGAAUGACAGGUACAAAUUUUUUUUAAGAUAUACUAUCACAUAAUCUUCAUCCUUUCUAAAAAACGAGAGAGGAAAAAAAAAGAAUGAUUUUUCUGUUUGUAUCUAAGUGGGAAUGAGAUAUAGAAUUUCGUUGAGAGUAUCCAACCCCAAAAGGACCAAUCCGAGAAGGCAUGUGUGGUAUUGACGGGAGAUGAUAAGAUGGAAAUCAUAACCAUAGCCAUGUUCUCUCUGUGUCUUUCUAUCCUCUUCAAUUAAUUCAUGGGCAUAGAUAUUUUAUUUAGUUUUUAUAUUUAGUUUAUUUAUAGUUUAUUUAGUUUCUAAAAUCCAAUUAGUUAGAUAUUUUUUUUAUUUUGUUUUUAUAUUUAAGUAUUUGAGUUUUGGAAAGUUUUUAUAUUUUGUUAAUAGAAAUAGAAAUUUUUAUAUUUUUUAUUAUUAGGAAUUUCUAUUUUGUUAAAUUGUAAGUAUCUAUCUCAAUAAGAGAUUAUUAAUAUUCAAAUGAAAGUGAUGAAAGAGAGUAAACAUUUUAAUGCUCAAUUAUAUUUUAAUGUUAUUUUUUUUUUUUACAUAAGGGUUUAUUUAUGUUUUCAAUUUUGAAGUUCCCUUUCCAAGUCCAGCAACAAAAGUAGUGUCCAACCUUAAAAUGGGCAUGUGUGGUAUUGACGGGAGAUGAUAAGAUGGAAAUCAUAACCAUAGCCAUGUUCUCUCUGUGUCUUUCUAUCAUUUUCAAUUAAUUCAUGGGCAUAGAUAUUUUAUUUAGUUUUUAUAUUUAGUUUAUUUAUAGUUUAUCUAGUUUCUAAAAUCCAAUUAGCUAGAUAUUUUAUUUGAUUUGAUUUUUAUAUUUAAGUAGUUGAGUUUUGGAAAGUUUUUAUAUUUUGUUAAUAGAAAUAGAAAUUUUAUAUUUUUUAUUAUUAGGAAAUUUUAUUUUGGAAAAUUGUAAGUAUCUAUCUCAAUAAGAGAUUAUUAAUAUUCAAAUGAAAGUGAUGAAAGAGAGUAAAUAUUUUAAUGCUCAAUUAUAUUUUAAUGUUAUUUUUUUUUACAUAAGGGUUUAUUUAUGUUUUCAAUUUUGAAGUUCCCUUUCCAAGUCCAGCAACAAAAGUAGUGUCCAACCUUAAAAUGGGCAUGUGUGGUAUUAACAGGAAAUUAUAAGAUGGAAAUCAUAACCAUAGCCAUGUUCUCUCUGUGUCUUUCUAUCCUCUUCAAUUAAUUCAUGGGCCUAGAUAUUUUAUUUAGUUUUUAUAUUUAGUUUAUUUAUAGUUUAUUUAGUUUCUAAAAUCCAAUUAGCUAGAUAUUUUAUUUGAUUUUGUUUUUAUAUUUAAGUAGUUGAGUUUUGGAAAGUUUUUAUAUUUUGUUAAUAGAAAUAGAUAUGAGGACUUAAAGGGUUUAUAUUUAGGUAGUGCUUGAGCCAAGGAAAAUGAUAGUCCACUAUCUUGACCCUAUGCAUCACAAACCAUGUGAGGACUUAAAAGAUAUCAUAAAUAUGUAAGUUCUUCCUAUUAUUUUUCAUAGUAUUAUUUUUAAAUAAAAAAAAAUACAUUCACCUCAAACACAUUUUAUUUUAUUUUAUAUAUAUUAAAACAUAUAACAUUUACCUAUUUUAAAAAUGUACCCAUUGAACUUAUUUACAUAGGGCUCUUCGAAUAUCUGCAAAGAAAACAUCUAAGAGGGAGCCAUCUUAGCAACUAAUGCAGGUGACAUCCAAAAAUUUUUCUUUACACAUUAGCUUAUGCAUUUGCACCAUUUAUAUAUGUGAGUACUAAUGUUAUUUUAUAAUUGAUCGAUUAGUGUCCAAGACAAGAAGGAGGGUUCGAAUAUGGCUACUUUGUUAUGAGAUUCAUUAAAGAGAUAAUUUUUUAUCCUACAAUUAUUGCUUCAAAGGUAUUACUUUUUUAAUGAAUUGUACAUAGUUUUAGGCUUCCAAAUGUUAUGCGUUUUAAUGUUAUUUUCUUAUUUGAUUUCAGUUUGGUAAUAAAAAAAACAUAUUCUCAAGUAGAAUUCGAUGAAAUUAGAGGAGAAUGGGCUACUUUUGUGCUACAACUAAUCAUGAAUCAUGUUGAUGCAUCAUGAUCACCAUGCAUGGUGAGUCCCUUAGCUACUACAUGAAUUUUUCCAUAGGUAUUGUAUAGUAAUGCUUAUUCUUUGAAUAAUGUUUCUAUUUGAAAAAAAAAAUUAAUUCUUAGAUUUGUUCAUUUAUGAUAACAUAAAUCCAUGUUUAUUUUCUUCAAUAAAAAUCUCUAAAACUCAUUAAAUUUUGAAAUACAGGUAUACACUCUUGGGAGGGUGAAAUGGAGAAUAAAAAGAAAGAAGGCAACAAGAUUUUGGGUUUUUAAAUGCAACUCUUAUGUCAUACGUUGUAGGACAUAAACGUUACUUUAAUUGCAACUGAGAAAUUUAUAUUUUUAGAUGGGACUUCUAUGUCAUUUUAUGGUUAGCCGAUUUUAUGCUUAUGAAAUGGAGGUAUACAUGAAUCUUGGGAUCUUUAACAUUUCUAAAUCAUGUUUUGGUAUGCAUUCACUCUUCUUUUUUAGUUUUGAUGGGUUUGAUAUGUUGGACGUACUAUCCUUUUGUGAACCUUUGAUAUACAAAUAUUAUUAGAUGAUCAAUGUAUUAUGAGUUAUUCCAUAAACAUUACAGAAAAAUGAGUUAAAUAUAAUAUGAUUGUUAUAUUUAUGGACAAAAUAUAAACAGGUUAAUCUUAUUAAUUCAUAAGCAUUACAAAAAUCAACAACUAAAACCAAUCAUAUAUUCCACAAUAAUUUACAAUGAUGUGAUACCAUAACUCAAAGGUGAUGCAUUUAAUGUGACAUCAUAACUCAAAGAUGAUGUAUUUAAUGUGACACUCUAUCAUCACUAGAAAUAUAUGGUGUCACUUCUGAAUGGGUCACUAUUUAUCUACUUUGGUGUCACUUCCAAAUACGUCACCAAUUGGUACCCUCUAUGGUGUCAGUGGAGAAGGUGACGCUAUGUUGUAGUGACACCUUAUGUUUAUGGUGACUCGUUAUAAAUGUCACCAUAUACCUUUUUCCUUGUAGUGUUUUAAAAAAAUAUAUUUAAUAAAAUUUAGGAAACACUUUUUUUUUUUUUAAAUCACUUAUAAUAUUAAAAAGUCAUUUAUAAUGUAUUAUGAAAAACCACUUUAUAAGUAGUCCUCCUAUUUGAUAGGAAAGUACUUCAUCUAAUAACAGCAGGUUGCACCAAGAACACAAAUGAAUGCUAUUGCUCUUAGCAUAUUAGUCCGACAUAAAUGUCACAAGUGCAUUUAUUACAAAGUGGCAUAUUAACUUGGUCUUCUUUAAAGGCAACUCCCUUAAGAAAAAAUGACUUUUCUUUAUUUUCUUCAUGGUAAUAUAAUGUAAUAGGAGACGCUUGAGAUCUGUAGAUCAAAAGCAAGAUUUUUAAAUCAAAGAACAUGGUGACUCAUUAAUGCAACAUUUGACAACUGAGCAUGGAACAUUAAUUGUUUAUGUAUAAACAAACAAUGUGACAAUUCAUAAACUAAACUUCAAAUAUUUUAAAAAUAAUGCCCAAACAUAGUGUUGUUUACUUGUCGCAAAAGGGAUCAAUUAGUCCACUAGCAAAAAAUUAGAAAACAUAUUUCAUCUUCAAGAUAGAGUAUGAUUGAGAACCUGAAAAGGUGCAUGCCGCUUCAUGCACUCGUUGAGGGUAUGUAAAUCCUAAAAUUUGUCCAAAUUUUAUUUUUACAUUGAUAUUGAACUCAAUUUUAUCAUUAGAUUUAAAUCUCGAUUAUAUUUGAAUUGUUUAGCCCACUUACAUUCUUUAAUUCUUAGUUUUUAUUUUUUUAUAAAUUUUUUAUUUUUAUUUUUACUUAUUAUUAUUAUUAUUAUUAUUAAGUUUUUUUAUUUUUUUAUUUUUUCUUCAUUUUUUCUUUAUUUUCUCUCUCCUCUCUCUUCCUACCUUUCCCAACCACUACACCCACUCUCUCUCUCCUCCCAUACCCCCAUUCCUACGCCAUACUCAUAUCUCCUCUAUUUAUUUUAUUUUAUUAUAUUUUUCUUUUUCCUUUUUUUUUUUCUUUUUCAUCCCCAUUCUUCUUCAUCUUUUUCUCCCCCUAACACCCUUUCCUAACGGCCACACGCUCCCUCCCCUUCUCACUUCUUCCCCCAUUUUUUAUUUUUUUUCUUCUCCUCCCAUCCAUUUUUCUUCCAAUCUUUUUCCCUCCAUUUUUUUUCUUUCUCUUCCUCCACCAUACUCGACUUCUAGAGAGAUCCAAACCCGAGUUCCUUUCUUUCUCCCCUUUUAUCUCAUUUUCUUCCUCUCAUUCCCCAUUUUUUUCAAAUUUAUUUUCUUUUCUUUAUUUUAUUAUUAUUAUUGUUUUCCCAAAAACCCAUUGACCCUCACUAUCGCCGGUAAGAUCACCAGCUAGUCACCACUAACGAGCUACUGCCGAUCAUUGACCCUUUCCUCUUUUCUAUCAUUCCAUUGCUUUCCCAUCACACCCAUUUUCCAUCAUCAUCAUUAUUAUUAUUCUUUAUUUUUCGUGAUUUGAUUUUAAUAGUAAUUUUUGUUUGUGAGUUUUGAAUUAUUAAAUUAAAAUGAAAUUUGGACUAUUUUUGUUUUUGCAUGGGCCUAUUCUGCAAUUCUAUUGGCUGAGUAUGAAUUUAUGACACGUGGAGCAUGGAAUUUCAUGGAAGAAAGUGAGAAUAAAAAAGUUGUAUGAAGACAUUGAGCUUGUUUUAAACUUAUUUGGGUACACGUUUUAUUUCCCAUUACUAUUUGGUUUUAUUUUUGUUGGCUUUUGUAAAUAUUUAUUUAUAUAUAUUUACUUGUAUACAGAAUUGGAUAUCGAAUAAAUAAAAAAUUUUGUUUAAAUAAGAGGAAUAAUUUAGUAAAUAUGUUUUAAUAAAAUAAUAAUUUUAAAUAUUCUUCUUAAUAAAAUAAAGUCUUUUUAUUAAUAAAAAAUCAAAAAAAUCCAAAAAAUAAAUAACUAUUUUUUUGAAAAUUAAAUACAAAUGAAAUUGAAUCAAAUCAUUAAUUGAAAAUAAAUUGAAGUCACUAAUUCAAAAUUGGUUUUUAUAAAAUCAUUUGAAAUUUCUUGAAAACUAAUUAUUUUAAAUAUAUUUUUUCUAAUUAGUUCAAUAAAUCAAUUUGCAUAUUUCUAUUGUCAUUUGUUUUGUACAUUCUUAUAAUUUUAUUUUGUCAUUAUCUUUGUGUAUAUUGUUUCAUUCCUUAAAUUUUGGUGUCCAUGAUUAAUUAAUUAAUUGUCAUAAUUUCCUUAAUUCGUUUAGUAGAGACCGUAUGUAUAUGGGCUUAGAGGGGUGUUAUGGCUCACCACCAUACCUUCCCAAUUAAUAACUUGACCCUCGGAUCUAGAUUCAAUUUUUGUAGAUGUCUUUUCCAAAUAAGAAGUGACACAAGGUUUUCUUUCUUAUUUUGUUUUCUCUUUUAAAAAAAUAAUAAAACAAAAAUAAGUGGCGACUCCAAGUCUUUUUCAAAAAAUCAAAUUUUCACCAAAUUAAAAGCGAGUAUCAUCAUCAAGUGGGAACGCAUGUGAAAAACGUGGGUCCACAAGGUGUUAUAUGUUGAGGGUGUUAUACCUUAAGGAUUCCACAAGUCAUACUACUUGUAGAGAUGCAUUCAUUGGCAAAGCCAAGGUAAUUGCUUGCUUUCACCUCAGGUUUCUCCAUGAACUCAAGAAGAAUGGUAGAAGAUGAUACUAGUAGCCAUAGCACAAUCACUGAGUAUGAGUUGGAAGAUUAAUGAUUAAAAUAACUCAUGACACAAAAGGAGAAGAGAUUAGCGAAGCUCUAAGAUUGAUGAACAAAGAACUCCAAAGAACUCCUAAAUUUAUAGAAACUCAAUUAGAUAGGAAGGUGAGGGAAGGCAUGACCAAAGCAAUCAAUUUUCUAAUUGAUUAAAUUGAAAAUUUUCAAACAACUAGUUAAGUAAACUUGUUAAGGUAUUGAAUUCAAAUGUUUAAACUAAUUAGAGGAUUAAUCGAUUCUCAAAUAUUUUUAAUUAAACAUGUACAUAAAUGGGAGAAGAGGGUUCCUUAUGUUGUGAUAAAUGUUAAUUUAUGUAAUCUUAACUUGAUUUUUACUACUAUAAGUCUAGUAUGUGUCUUGUUAAUGUAGUUGAGGGGUUGUUAUGUCUCUUUUAGUUUUUUUAUAAAUAGGUUUAUUUAAAUUUGAUAUAAUUUUAAGUGUAUCCUUUAUUUCUUCUAUUCUCUCUCUCUCUUUCUCUCUCUAGCAACCAAAGAGGCUCCUCAAGAGCAAAUCUCCACUAAUGUAUAGUUCGUCUCAAUUGAUCUCUAGAGAUAAGGAGUAAGGAAGAUGGAGAAUUCACUUGAGGGAGUAUAGUUUAGUGGUAGAAUCCCAAACAAACACUAUGUUUUGAGUUUUAGAUGUGAUGAUUAAAUUCUUUACGUAGUUUUUCCCAAUUGAGAUACAAUCAAUGUUUAACUUGGUUUCACUGAUGACUAUUAAUAACUUGAUAAUUAGAGAACUCACUUUGAUUGAUGGUAUCAAAAUUGAGAAGACUUUCAAAGAUGAAUCCUGUGUUAAAAUGGUGGAGCAAAAAAAUAAAGGAUUAAGUUAAUUCAAAUAGACUUUUGAGAUCUAAAGUUUAAUUUCUAAAUUCAAUUUCCAUAUAUAUCCCAAUCAAUUUUUAGAUCUUAUUUAAUUUUGGAUUGACUUUUAAUCAUUAAAGAAAAGAAAAGAUCUACCUUCUAUUAGUGAAUUUAAAGUCCAAUUGUGAAUUGCUCUAGACCUUUCUCUUCUAGUUGUUAUUUUCAUUUGUGAAACUAUUUUUUUAAAAAAACCAAUAUGUGUUCAAAACCAUUUUGAUUUAAAAUCCCUAAUAAAAUAGAAUGAGCUUUUGUAGAAAAUUGGUAGAUAAUUAAUCACUUAAUCUAAUUAAACAACUUAACAUAUUAGUACUGCUCCGAUGAUAAUAUGUCUCACUAUGUAACAUAAUAUCUUUCUCUCUUAUUUUUCUUGACCAAUGAUGUUAUAAAUAACUACAAUUUCACUUUUAUUUUUAACCUAAAGAGUGUAAGUUUAUGCACCAUCUUCAUCUUUGAGAUGGACUUCUACAGAUAAAUAGCCUAUAGCAUGUAUGUCUCAUUGUUACCUAUAUGAAUCUACUUUUUGGGAUCUCUACUAAUGUAGGUUUGGUUACUUCGGACUUGACUUUUAUAAUAGGUGUAAGUCCCAUGCAUCCUCCUUGAUUUUUUUCAACUAGUUUCUUAUUUACUUAUUUAGUAAGAGGAUCAACCAUAGUUUAACUUUGACUUCACAAAACAAAAGAAUAUGACCUUUGUCUCAAGCAACUAUUGAAAAUGUUGUGCCUUAAGCAUAUAUGCAGUAAAUAUUUUACAUUUAGCCUUAAAUAUUGCAACUUAGAUAUUACAAUACAUACACAGUCUUAGCCUUGUCCAUAAUGAUAAAUGCCAAAUGGUUUCAAAGCUACAUAGACUCAAAACUUACCUUAUCUCGUCUAAAUUAUAGAUCUAGUUGACACCAUUUUAUCUUUCAAGUACAUUUGGAAAUCCAUUACAUAACACAAACUAUGGUCAAUGGUGCCCCUCUAGCUAGCAAUCAGAGUAUAACAUUGUUUUCACCAUAAUAUACAUGUAUAUUGAUUCAUGUAUUACAUGAUAUUAUUAAUUUUCGAACAAGCCUAGCAGGCUUUUGAAUUCAUGUAAUUUUUUAUACAACUGCUCUUGAUCAAGGGUUGCUUGAUCACUUCUAUCAUGGUGUGUUGUUUAGUUAUUGGAAAAAUGUGUGAGAUAAAAAAGAAACAGGAAGAAUAGCCCACAAAAUUUACAUGCUUUAGAUACCAAUAUGAAACCUACAUAAAUGAGACAACAUAUAGGAUUGAUUGUUAAUCAUUGUGAAGGGAAUAUUACAAUAGCCUAAUAUUAGUACAAAUGUCUUUGUAUGGCAUUUGUGGAUGUCAACUUCAAUGAUAGAAAAGUAAAGUUGACAAUCACUCCUCAAAUUACUUUCCAACUUCCUCUUCUGGAACCACCAACACUCUCUUCAAGUUGGUGCAAAAUAUCGAUGGAGCCCAACUGCAAGAGGAGACUUAAAUAGCCACUUGGAUAAUUGGGAAUCGUGUAUAUUACAACAAGUAAUCAAUUGAUUUUUGUAAACAAAUGGGUUUUCUUAACUCUAUUUACUGACUUUUAUUUCUUUUAUUUUAAUUAUUGUAAAUGAAUUUUUUUAAUCUAUUUAUAAAAAUACCAUUGUAGUUUUUUAAUAUCCUUUUAUUUUUUAUAAUGAUGUGGCAUUUUUAAUUGCUAAGUUAUGUAAAUUUUUUUUAAAAUUUUUUAAUACAAUAUGUUUAAUUUUUUAUAGGGUAUUAAGACAAUAAAUAAAUGAUAUUUAAUAAUUAAAAUACUAGUCAUAUUUAUUUUGACAUAUUAGAAUGUAUAUUGUCUUUCUUAUCAUGCAAUAUUGGAGCUAAAACCUCUAAUUUUACAAAUUUUUAAUUAAAUAAUAGUAAUAAUAAUUUAAAAAAACCAUUAAAGUAGGCCAUAAUACCAAUAUAUUAUAUUUUGAUGUAUUGAAAUAACAUCACUUAGAUAUUUUAUAGUUAAUUAAUAAAAGUAAUCAUUAAAUAUUUUAUGUUUAAAUUAUUAAAUAUUUAAUAAUACAAAAAUGUUAAUUUCUUUACCAAUAACAUAAAAAUACAAAAAUAACAAUACUCCAAUUGACAUCUACAAUACAAAAAAUGAGUAAUUAAUAAAGCACUAUAAAGACUUGAAAAUCUAAUUAAGAGUUGAUUUGACAAUGAUUUUAAAAGGAGUUUUUAGCUUAAAAAGUAUUUUUGAAAAAAAAUAUUAGGUGUUUAGCAAAAUUUUAAAAAUUUGUAAAAUUACUUAUAAUGUUGAAAAAUCACUUAUAAUGAUUUUUGGAAAAAUACUUUAUAAAUGAUUCUUCUAAAAGCACUUUUAGAUAACUCUCAACUUGAGGGAAGUCCAAUUUUGGUGAGAUUCCAAAUUUGGUAGUACGGCGUGACUCCAAUUUGAAGACCAAGGUAUAACACAAUUGGAGUUGGUCAUGAGGAGUAAAUAACUUGUAAUAUUUGAUACGACUGCACUUUGCAAUAAUUUUUUGUCAUAGUGAAAUUAUAUCCUAAUUGUGUUUUUUCACCUCACGAGAAAGUUUUUUUAUGUAAACUCGAUGUGUCAAUUCUUUAUGUGUGCUUAAUUCAUUUUUGUGCACAUCUCUAUAUAUGAUAAAUUAUAUAUAAAUUAAUCAAUCUUAGUAAACUGAGUUCAACCUCAAAGAAACAAAUUAAUUUUGUGUACAACACUUGAACAAGAUCCUGAAAUAUUUAAAAGGUAUAUCCCACACUACUCACUCUAACAAAUGUAUGUGAUAAGGUUUUGUUAGAGUAAACCGUCGAAAGCAUGACAUGAUGUAAUAUAAUAAGAUCCUUAACUGCAUUAUUUAUCAUCUGAGCAUUCACUAUUGUAUCACUUUUGUUGUUCAUGAUUUGGGUGCAUUGGGAGUUACAUAAAAGAUCCUUGUCAUAGGUUCCUUGAAAGAUGAUAAGUUGUUCCUAGUUGAUUCAUGGAAUUAAGUAAUCCAUUAAAGAUUGUGGUGUACUACCUCUUAAUUUGAGAGAACUUUCUUGGUUAUUUUUUUAGCUUUUUAUGAGGUAGAGUAUGUUAGUUCAUAAAAAAUAGGAGGAUUGGAGACUCAAGGAUUACAGAGGUAAUCUUGAGAGGGUAAAUAUGAGUUAAAUCCCAUAUGGGGCUGCUUUGCAUGAAAGAUCUCAUGGUGCGUGAGUGACAACCCUUUUUUAAUGGUGGAGAUGACGAUUGUUUCUCAGUGAAAUUAUACAACUCCAAAAAUUGUUGUGUUGUCUUGCAUCUCAACCUCGAAAGUGUCAGAGAUCAAAUGGAAAUUAGAAUGUGAACACCCACCCCUUUCUCUCCCAACCCCCCCAAAAGUUGCAAUCGUGGGGAUGCUCUCCAAACUGAUGGUGAAUCCCUCUCAAAGAAACGUAGAAUGACCCUCUCAAAACCUACAAAAUUUCCUCCAAAAUCGUGCUAUCUAAAAUCUCUAAAUCCCAGCCUGAACGUCUCAAAAAAAAAAAAAAAAACAAAACUAUAGACCCCUUAAAAAUCAAUAAACACGUUCUCCAUAACACAGACUAAUUUGUUUUUUUUUUUUUUUUUUUUUUAAAAAUGGUCUGACAACUCCCAAAAUGCAACUACGUCUUCUCUCAAAAACCUCCCAAAAGCUCCCUGUUGAUUCUUUCUCAAUUCUCCCCCCAAAAGCUCCCUGUUGGAAAUUCUUUCAAAUCCACACUUAAAACCCCUCUUUUGGACGCUGCUAAAUUUUUUUUAAAAGAACCUCCUAAUCCUUUAUUCGAAUGCUGCUCAAAAUCCUUCAUUUCCUAUAAAGAAACACUACUUAAAAUCCUUCGUUUCCUAUCUCUCAAAAUCCUUCCUUUCAUAUAAAAAAUGCUACUCAAAAUCCUUCAUUUCCAAUAAAAAAAAUGCUGCUAACACUUUCCUUCCUUUCCUUUCAAAUCUAAAUAUGUUUUUCUCUAGGUUAAAGGUUCCUCUCUUCUUCCCAAAAUACAACCUCUUUCUUUUCCAAAACACGUUGAAUCCUCAAACCAACCUGAUUCCUAUCCAAAAAUGUAUUGAAAAAUAUCCCCAAACUGUGUUCUGAAUAUCACCAAAAAACGUGGCCUAAAUCAUUCUAAAAAAAAAACCUCUAAUUUUUUUCUCCCCUAAAAGUGUCCAUAUACACUCCCUUAACUAGCCUAAUUCCUUUCCAUGAUCAUUCCAUUUCCAAAACAAAAAAUAAGUAGAUAAAGAAAUUUAAAAAAAAAAACAAACAAACAAAGGCAUUUUAGACAAAGAGGUAAAAAGCAUGCACAUGUCAUGCAAUUACGACAUGUCAUGCACAUGACAUGCAAUGCCAUUGAUCGAUCUUCUCUGUUUUCCAAAAUACUAAGCCUUUUUAUGUAGCAACUCUAAUCAAGAAAAACUAGAGAAAGAGUCACUACGACUUUUGUUGUACUUUGGGUAUCAUUCUUAAGGAUUAGUUUAUGGAAUUUGUCAAUACUAUGAUAAAUGAAUCACUUUUAUUUGAAUCCUAAAGUGAAAAAUAAUAUCUGAAUGAAAUGAAACUAAGCAAGAGAACUAAAUUAACAAAAAAAUGAAUAUUUGAUUUUUAAUUCAAUUGAUUCAAAUAUGGGGCUUUCCACAAUCCAACUUAAGGUAUAAAAAUAGAGAGAAUAAGGGUUUCUUAAGUAGAGUGAUCUUAAGGUUUUGGUAUCUUUGGUCGCUUGUAAUCAACUUGAGCUCUAUAACUCAAAAUUGCAUCUCAAACCUAAAUUUUUCCUUUUAAAAAAAUUUCCUAAAACCAUCAAAUUAAUGAGAUUGAUUAUUGGUUUAAGGAUUAGUUUUUUUAACCCUUCUUAUUCCUUAUAACUUUGUUUUGGAGCAAAUAACGAUAAGAAAGACCAGGAUAAUUAAUGAUCAAGAGUUACCAAGAAUUACUAGUAUUGGGUGAUAACCUACCAUAUCAUUCCCUAAACUAAAUCACAAUGAUAUGAUAAAAAAUUGAUAAAUUGUAACCCAACCAAUAAUUGAUCUCAUUGUUAUAACAAUUUACCCAUUGUUAUAACAAUUUACCCAUUGUUACUAUGAGUUUCUAACUCUUAGGUUUUCAUUCUUAAAGCCCCAAAGAUGGCUUUUUAGCCUCUUAUGAGGGUAAUGUCACAUUCACAAUCCAUUAUAAGAUAAAAAUUCAUAAUUAAAAUCAUGAAAUUAAAAACAAUAUAUUCAAUAAACAAGAAAAGAAACAAACUGAAGUUCUCGUCUUCUUCCCCACAAAAAUGACAAACUCCCUGGAAGAUGGUCCAAGAUGACUAAACCCUAGAACUAAGAGAGUUUAUAUAGUAUCAUUAAUGACCUAACACAUGACACACUCUCAUUAGCCACUUAUUACAAGGAAAAGUCAUAAACAAUCUAAAAAGCAUCAAAAUUUAGGAGUUCUAAAUGAGUAUAAGGCAUUUCGAAUUGGGUGAAGGCAUUUGGAACUCAUUUCGACAUAUCUUGGGGCUCAAACUUGAUUACCAAUGACUGCGUUCGAAAUUGGGGUGAGUCUUAAGUCAAUUUUGAACACAUAAGUGGAAGGAGGUCCAAUUCGAAAUGUAGGGCUAAGUUCAAAAUGCAUAGUGAAUUUCAAACUCAACAUCCUUCUCUGACCAAUUUGGUUCAAACAUGCAUAACUUCCUCGUUUUAGCUCUGAUUUGCACACCAUUUGAUGCAUUGGAUUCCUAACUUUUAGAUAUUCGAAAUGAUAUUGUUGAUAAUAGACUUUAAGAAGUACUUUAAAUUUUUCAAAGUUAGAGAAUAUGUUGCCACCAGUUUUGAGUUCUAAAUUUCCAUGCAACUUGAUGAAUUUGCUUUAUACCUCAUUUUCCAUGUUUGUCUGCCUUCUUUCUUACUUUAUAAUGGUCAUUACUCAAAUCCCAAACUCAUGACAUCCUCGUCUUACAUUUCCCCAAAUGCCAUGGAUCUUGACUCGCUCAAUUCCUCAUUUAACCUUUUGAUAUUUCAAAAUCUAAGAUGUUUUCAACUUGUGCCCUUUUAUUCCCUUAAACCUGAGACAUAUCUCCAAAAUAAAAUUUAAACUCAAGGCUAGGGCCUUAGCAUCAAUUUGGGUUAAUUCAAAUGAUUUGAGUGUCUUAUAGUGCAUAAAUCAUAUCAAAUAUAUGCUAUUAUAGCACAUAUUUGGGCUCCAAUCAAUCAUGCAAAAACCAUGGAAACCAUGCAAAUGCAAAUGCCAUGGAAGUUCCAUGCAAGUCAUGUAAACUAUGCAAAUACCAAACAAGAAAAAAACCUAAAGAAGACUUAGGUGGGCUCAGGCAAGCCUAGGUGGGCCAGGGUGUGCCUAGAUCGACUAAGGCAUGCCUAAGAGGUCCAAGACAUACCUAAGAGGGUCAAGGCAUGCCUAGGUGAGCUAGGGUUUGCCUAGGUGGGCUAGAGUAUGUCUAGGUGGGCCAAGGUAUGCCUAUAUGGACCAAGGUGCACCUAAUAGGGCCAAGGUAUGACUAAAUGGAUCAGUGUGUGCCUAAAUGGGCUAAAUGUGCCUAGAUGGGACAAAGUGUGCCUAAGAGAGCCAAGGUAUGCCUAAAUGGACUAGGGUGUGCCUAAAUGGGCUAAAUGUGUCUAGAUGGGCCAAAGUAUGUCUAAAUGGACCAUGGUGUGCCUAAAUAGGCCAGAUGUGUCUAAAUGGGCUAGAUGUGCCUAGAUGGGUCAAAUGUGCCUAAAUGAGCCAAAUAUGCCUAGAUGAGCCAAAGUUAGAUAUAAUUGUCUCAUUGCUAUCCUUUUGGUGUAUUGACAUUGAUUUGAGCAUUCGGCCCAUGUCUCUUACAUUGUACAUGACUUGGGUGUAUUAAAAGUUGUAUAGAAAAUACAAGUCAUGGGUUCCUUAUAAGUAAAUAAGUUGUCCACAGUUGGUUCAUGGAUUUGGGCAAUCCAGUAGACUCUAGUGCAUUAUCUCUUAAUUGGAGGGAUGACUUGUCUUGGUUGUUAGGAUGCAUUUCUCAUGGUGAGUGCAUUAGUGUAUGUGAUGCACAUUGAAUAAGACCUACGAUGAAUCAUGACAUAAGUUUAUUAAUAGUCAUGAUUCACCAAGCUACUAUAUUGUGUGCACUCUUAAUCUUGAGAGGAUAUUAAGUUUAUGCCAAAAUCAAUAGGAGACUUUGACUUAUUGGUGAGACCCUAAAAUGGUCAUAUAUCUUUAUGGAUUGGGUCCCUAUUGAUGAAGGUUGUUCACUACAUGUAUUCUCAAUAAACACACCAUGAUAUCUCAUGGGAUUGAGAUAGUGUGCGUCCUUGGAUGAUCUAAAGGACAUGUGAUCAUGAAAUUUGUGGCCAUAAUAAUUCCUUUAAUAGAAUUUGACAUAUGCUCUUUUGAAUUAGGAUAUGUCAGUUGAUCACAUAAUAAAUGAAAUCUAUAACUCAAGGAUUUGAGAAGUGAUCUUGAUAGGUGAUAGCCCUAGCUUGUUAGAUUACAAACACUAGUUCAUGAGGAGUUUGCAUGCAAUGGAUAGUGGGUCACAGACUAAAGCUUCGUCUCGUUGUUAUUUACAUAAGGUACUGGAGUGCAAUUGAUUUUCUUUAGUGGAAUGUUGAAUCAACUUUAGAAUUGAAUUAUGAGAGAGCCAAUACUCCCAUGGAUCCAAAUGGUCCCUACUUUGAGCUCAUAAACCAUGAUAACACAGUUUAUGAGGGUUAGAUUGGCUCUAGGUUCAUUCUUAUGCAUAAGAGUGUUUUGGUAAUUAUGCAAAGUUGCAUAGGGGAUAAUGAACAAGGUCUCUAGAUUGAGAUAAUUGAUUAUUUAGAUGACCCUAUGUGGUUAAUUGAUCAAUUAAGACCCAUUUUAGGCUAGAUUAAGUGACCCAAGUGUUGAUGGGCUUAAGUCACUUAAGUCUAAUGGGCAACCUUAUAAAUACCCCUUAUGGGUUAGGGUUUCUUAAUUACUUUAGUUGGUCGUCUUCUACUUCCAAAAAGAGAAAGAGAGAGUCAAGGUUUUCACCCUUCCAAAGCCUACACUUUGGAGUGUCAAGAUUGUGGUUCAAGUCAUCGGGAGGAAGAUCUUGGGUAUACGAGACCUCCAGACUAUUUAGACAUGUUCUUCACAACAAUGAAUUGAUUUUGGAACAUUCAUAUCUAGGUAUGUGGUUCAUAUCUCUAGAUCUAUAGUUAAUAAUAGUUUUUAUUGUCAUUUUAUUUCAUUGUGACAUAUUUAGAGAUGCUUAGAGAUAGAUGCAUGCACCUUAUGAGAUCCAGGGUAUGGGAUUGGAGUAAUUUAGGGUUCCCAACAACUAGGGUGUGCCUAGAUAGGCUAGGGCAUGCCUAGAUGGGCCAAGGCAUGCCUAGAUGGGCUAAGUCAUGCCUAGAUGGGCUAGAGUUGCCAAGAUGGAUCAAGGUAUAUCUAAAUGGGCUAGGUAUGCCUAAAUGGGUCAGGGUGUGCCUAGAUGGGUUAGGGUGUGUCUAAAGGGGUCAAAGGAUGCCUAGAUGGGCCAAGAUGUGCCUAAGAAGGUCAAGGUAUUCCUAAAUGGACUAAGGUGUGUCUAAAUGGGCCAAAUGUGUCUAGAUGGGCCAAAGUGUGCCUAAGAGGGCUAAGGUAUGCCUAAAUGGACUAGGGUGUGCCUAAAUGGGCCAAAUGUGCCUAGAUGGGCCAAAGCAUAUCUAAAUGGACCAAGGUGUGCCUAUAUGGGCUUGAUGGCCUUAAAUGAGUCAGGGUGUGCCUAGAUGGGUUAGAGUGUGUCCAAAUGGGUCAGAUAUGCCUAAAUGAGUCAAAGCGCGCCUAGAUGAGGUAGGGUGUGUCUAAAUGGGUCAGGGCUUGCUUAGAUGGGCCAAGGUGUGAUUAAAAGCGCUAAGGUAUGCCUAAAUGGACCUGUGCCUAAAUGGGUCAAAUGUGCUUAGAUGGGCCAAAUGUGCCUAGAUGGGCCAAGGUGUGCCUAAGGGAUCUAGGGUGAUAAAAAAUACGCCUAAGUGAUCUAGGGUGGUUAGAAAAGUGCAUAAGUGACUUAGGGUGAUUAGAAAAGUGUCUAAGUGACCUAGGGUGAUUAGAAAAGUGUUUUAGUAACCUAGGGUGAUAAAAAAAAAAGUGCUUAAGUGACUUAGGGUGAUUAGAAUAGUGUUUCAGUGUGUUGUUCUAAAGGUUUAAAGGAGCUAUCCUAAAAAGAAAAAAAAAUGAAAAUCCUAAAUCUAACCUAGGGUGACAAAAAAAAAAAAAGUGCUUAAGUGACUUAAGGUGAUCAGAAUAGUGUUUAAGUGUGUUGUCCUAAAUGUUUAAAGAAGCUAUCUUAAAAAUAAAAUAAAAUAAUGAAAAUCCUAAAUCUAACUCGAGGUUGCCAAGAGUCAUAAUGAGAGGCCAGAUAAAUCCCUCAACCAAAGUCUCCAAGGUGGUUAAAAAAGGUAAGUUGUAUGAGUAGCAAUGGCCCACCAAGGAACUAUUGUGGAGUAUUGAAAGAAUACUUAGUAUGACAUGUGCUAAGGGAUAAAAUGGAGGGUCUACACACUCUCUCCUUUGCUUGAUUGUUGUGCUUUGAGUUUGGUUUUUGGUUUUUCGAUGCACAUGGCAUAUAUAUUCAUUAUCGAUUUAUUAAUUUUAUUAAUAUGUCUUGUUUUUUUUUGUUUUUUGCUUUUUGUUUUUUUUUUGUUAUGAUCUCUUAGUAUACAUAAUCUGUUAGUCAAUUACCUUAGUUCCCUCCACUUGUUUAGUAGAUACUUUUUUAGAACUUAGAGGGGUGCUACCCUAUGAUACCUUCCUAAUAAGUAACCUAAUUCCCAAAUCUAGACUCGAUUUUCACACUUUACUUUUCCUUAAAUGUAAUAUGAUUGUUAUAUUUUUAGAUGAAAUGUACUAUAGGUUAGUCCUAGAUGUUAAUUAAUAAGCAUUAUAAAAAUACUUAAAUUAAACACUCAUAAGCAAUCAUAUUUUCUAUAAUCAUUUGGAAUAAUGUGAUAUCAUAACUCAGAAGUGAUGCAUUUUAUGCUACUUCUAAUUAUAUCUAUCCCUUAUAGCUCAUCAGCCAAAUGAGUGUCAACAAAAUGACAAUAUUGUCUCUAUCCCUUAUAUCUCCUUUUUUUUUUCUCAAAUAAUAAAUAUUUAUAUUUCAUAACUAGACACAAAAAUAACAAUAGUCAAUUAUGUCAUCUACAAUAUGAAAAGUAAGGAAACAAUAAAGUAUUAAAACAACUAGAAAAGCCAAAUUAACAUUACCAAUAUUAGUUACCCAUGAAACACAAGUAGGUAUUGAGUUUCAUAUAAUAUAACAAGCUAAAAUUAUAGGAUAUCCAAGUUCAACAACACACAAAUGGAUAGAUGAAGAUAUUGGUUUAUGCAUCUGAUGAUGUGAUCAUGUGGGGAUCGUUAAAGGACGAAAUCCAUGAUGGAGACUAGCUUCCCAUAUUUUCUCAAUGUUGAACAUUGUGUUACCACACUCGUGCACAUUCCAUCCUUCUAAUGCAUGAAUCACCCCAGCUACACGCGAUGCACUCAUUGCCCUUCUCGGCAACCAAUUCUAUCACAUAUUUACAUUAUAAAAAAAUCCAUAACCCAGAUGAAUAAUAUAAGUAAUCCAGUUUAUAGUGUAUGAUGAUUGGUAGGUGGUGGAGUUAAUGCCUUGAAAGUUUCUUUGAAAGAUGUUCUCUUCAUUGAUUCGUGCCUAAUUGGUGUCUCAGUUGAUUCGUGUCCAGCUGGUGCUCCUUGAUUGAGGGAGUAAUCAACAAAAUUUAUUACCUAUAACACCAUACACUAGGGUAGCAAAGAAAAAGCUACUAUAGUAUAGUGGCUCUAGGGUCGUUCACUGGGAAUGACUAACAAGCAAUCAAUGAUACCAAUUCCAAGUGAAUUGGUCUUGUUUCAUUUCAAGGUUAGCUUAAGAAGUAAAACACAAACUUUGAUUGGUAAAGGUUUAGACUUAAACUAACUAACAUAACAGAAGUUUGGAAUAAUUUAGGAAGAAAAGCAUUCCUUAGAGAAUUAGGUUCACUGGGGUGGUUCCUCAUGCAAAUGACAUAGCUCCGGUCAGAUGGUUCAUUUCCUCGCAUUAGAGAUUCAACAUAUAGUCAAUUCUCUAACCGGUGUUAUACAGAGACUCCUUCAAUUAGAUUUCACUUUAAUUCUCUCACUGAUGCACUUUGCAAUGGUUUAAGCCUCUCACUAAGCCUUAACCAUUCAAGGUGAUCUUUAACCUUGGAUUACCCGUCAAAAGCUCGCAAGAUAUAACUAAUGGAUGCCUCCUAGGAGUCCAAAAGCUUACCAAGUGUUGGCUAUUCUAGAAAAUCCUACCCUGAAGUCACCUACCAGAGGCUCGCAAGGGGUAAACUGGUGCAUUUCCAUGGUUGGAAAUCACUUGCCUUACCAAGUGUUGGCCCAGGUGACUCCAAGGUGUUUUAAGUUAACUAAAAACAUAGAAAUCACUAAAGGAUUUCACUUCCUCUUCAUUACUAGCUAAAACCACAGAGCUUUGCAUUCUUGCACUUGGAACCUUCCCCGACAACCUUAGCUCCGAGGAAUUAGAGGUUUAGUUACUCAUUCUCUGGGGAAAACUCCUCAGAGAAUUCAUAACUUAGAAAUAAAAUGAAAAUACAAAGUGAGAAGGUAAGGUAGUAGAAAGAAAAUAGACUUUACUUGCUUACCUAAACGUUUACAAAAGGAACUCCUCUCUGAGAACAGGCUCCCGAGAGGUAUAUAUAUCAACAUAAUAUAAAACUAAUUGUUACAAAAAUAUUUAGUCUUUUUACUAACUUAAAAACUAAGGAAUCAUGUAAUUGGUGGUUUACAAGGAGUAUUUUGGGAUUUAGACAACAAAAAUCUAAUGGAAAAUAUCUCCUAAUGUCGAUAGCAAAUAUCGGAGGCUUCAGGAGCCAUUUCGCAGGAGAAAAAUGGUGUCUGCGAGAUUUCGCAGACACUCAAGAGGGCUGCGAAAUUAUUUCGCAACACCAAACUAUCUUCAUAGGGCUGCGAAGUUGGCUUCGACCUUGAGGUUCCCAACUUCCUUCUCGCGGCAUAAAUCGUGCAUCGUCAGAAGGAGAAACACCUUACUGUACAAAAAUGCUGCGAAAUCACUUCGCAACAAAAGGGUGAUUUCGCAACACUUUGCAAAAUGCUUCCUUCAGCUCGGAGUGAUUGGCUUGUAAUGGCUGCAGCUUCUUCGUUUCAACUCCGAAUUGCACACCGUUUGAAGCAUUGGAUUUUUGACUUCCUGAGCUUUGAAAUGGUAUAUAGCAUGCAUCAUUUGGACUUCAUAAAGUACUCCAAAAGUGGCUGCUACGACUGUCAUCAAGAAUAGGCUUUAUGGCAGAUUCUCUUUGCUUUUUCUCCUUGCAAUCCGGAUUCACUCUUGGCACAUGACUUCUAAGCUUUGCCCAAGAUUCCUCAUAGCUCUCCUCAGUCUUGACUUGCUUUGGUGAUCAAAAUACUAACAAAAACACCAAAACUUACACAAAGUGAUUAAAAUUGCUUUAAAGGAUCCUUAACAUGUCAAUUGAGUUAAAAGGCCUAAACUACUACUCAAAAGUGUUUAAAAGGAUUAAUUAUAGGCUAUCAAAUAGCACUUUUUGAGUAGUAAUCACUCCCCCCAACCGACAUAUUGCUAGUCCCUUAGCAAUAUAGGAGAGAAAAAAAUGAAAAUAAAUAACAAACUAAUCUAAAAUUUACAACAUCAUGCUAAAGGAAAAUAAUUCUCAAGUGGCAUGAUGAUCUAUUUCUCACAUGAAUCAUUAAAGAAAUACAAACCCAAAUCUCAACAAGAGUCAUAACAAACUAUGUUAAACACUGUCAAUCAAGGGAGUGCAUUAUGCAAACUGAAGUUUUAAAAUCAUUUCCACUUUCUAAGAAUCAAACUUUAAUCUUCCACAAAAAAUCUAUGUGUAUUGGUUCCUUAGGUUCCGAGAAUAAUAUGCUAAACUAAUCUCUCCCCCCAACCUAUCUCUUUUCAAUACUUUAGCAAUCUGACCAAAAUCAAUAAGAAAAGAACACACUGUCAUUUUUUAUUUUUUUUUUAUUUUUUUUUCAAGGUAGCUUUAUGGGGUACUCUUUCUGAUUUGUCCAUGUAAUGGGGGUCCAUCGAUGACUCCCAACCAAUUAAGGUUUAGGGCACCAAGUUUUAAGGAUCUUUCAACCACUAACUCCUCGGAUUUUUCCCCGGACUUUUAAGAAUGAAUUUCUAAUACCCAAGCAUCUACCAUAUGCUAACUCUACCUAUUCACCCUUGUAACGAGCAUUGAGGUCGGUGUCUCCCAACCAAUUAAGGCUUAGGGCAUUAGGCUUUAAAGGCUUUCACCAUAUGCCCCUUAGACCUUGCUCGGGUUUCAAGGCAAGCAAACAACUUUCUUUAUUUCAAAGGCUCAUUGGCCUUUUGCAGGGUGUUUCAAUUUUUAUCAAAUGAGGUCAAAUAUACCAAGUCCCAAAAUUAUCCUAAGUCAAGAGGGAAAUAGCUUUUCAUCUUAUAAUCGGAAUCUAAUGUGCACAGUGUGUGGAUAGCUUAAAGUGGAAGAACUUAAUUCAAUUUCAAUAGAAGUUUCAACAAUUGAACCACUUUAGUAAGCAUAAUCCAUACUCUAAGUCAAGUGAAAAAACAACAGUUCAAUUUCUCUUGGUUUAAUUUGAAAAUUUUUCCUCAAAAUUCAUGGAGAAUAGAGUAACAAGAGUAAAAAGUAAAAACUACAACUAAUUAACCAAUAUAAUUGCAAUACCAAAAAGGUUUAGAAUACUUCCUUCCUCAUACCCCCCAACCGAACUGAGCAUUGUCCUCAAUGUGAUAUGAGUGACUGUGAGUAAAGGGAGGAAGUGGUACCUCCUGACUGCUAUCAAAUUCGAAUAUUGAUUGAGGAAAACCACAUGUUUCAAAAAGAAUAGAAUAUGUGAGAAAAGGAAAUAAGAAUAACUUAAUGCUAACUGUUAACAAGAACUAUUCAACUUGUAUUACUUUCAAUUCAUUCGAGUACAAUGUAAAAGACAAGUAACACAAGGAAUCCCAUAUAUAGUACCAAAAUACUGGGAUUUCUUUUCAACUAAAAAACGAAAUACAUAAAAAUAUUAGAUAUAUAUAAUAGUCUGAUGAGUGGUGCUGGGGCUAGAACUAGGCAGAUGGAUCUGCUGCCUUUUCAGUAGGUGCAUCAGCUGGGGCUUCGGGCUCUGGAGGAUGAGACUCUGAAGGAUGAGGGUGUGGCUCUGUUGGAGUAGAAGUGGAGGGCUCUACAGCUUGUGGCAGAUCGAAAUGGACUUGGAGCUGCCUUAAGAUGGCAGCUUGUUGAGCCUGAGUGGCUAACAUCUGCUCUUGGCAUGCUGUGAUGGCUGCCAUCUCUUGAGCAAGAUUGCUCUGAGAAGCUGUAAGAGUCUCCAAUGCACGGCACAACUCUCAAUAUUCAGAUAUAGGAAUGGCCAUCCUCGGCUCAGCUGAUGUGGAUGGCUAAGAUGAAGCAGGUGUAGCUGGUGGAGCUCUAGGAAUGGCAGGAGUAGCAACUGUUAUACCUUCAGGUAUAUAUCUUAGGGAGGCUCUCCUUGCAGCUGGUUGAGGCUGCCCAGGCUGAUCAACUUUGUAGGCCGUCAUAUUAUUCCAUUUAUCAAGAGUGAAUGGGUCACGGCAUAUUCGCUUUCUCUCCAGCUGAGGCUCAGCCGGGUAUCCUAGAUGCUCCAAAAUUUGGCAUAGCAGCCUUGGGAAGAGGAGGGGAAUGCAAUCUGCUCUCUGAAGCUUCUUCUUGUGAACCUUCUCUUCAAAAUAGAGAAGGGCUGCCAUGAUCAGAUGAUGAGGCCCAAAGAAGAAUCCUUCUGACAUCUUGUAUAGAGCUUCCAGGAGAACUCCCCUUCUUUGGGUCCAAUGCUGCAAUGGAUAGAUAUUAUGGCGCAAAAAGGCAUCAAUCAAAAACAUAACUGGGGGAAGCUCCCCCCUCAGCAGAUGUGAUCGAUUUGCAGCUCCUCUGGAAACGGUGCGAACCAUUUCUAGCUCAGUAGGAUUUGCCCAAGCUCUAAAAUUAUCGAAUUGGGUUGGCUCAAAAGGAAUUUGCAGGGCUUCAGCAAUAUGUCGUGCUCCCAAUAUACCAUGUCUCCCAUCGAUAGUGAAAUGAAUCAAGGUUGGAUUCCUGACCUCUUUAGUUGUCAUGGAUUGGUAGAAAUCCGUGGCUAUCCGGGGAUAGAAAAAGUCUCUUGGAGCUAGCAGAUGCUCCAUAUGAUACCUCCUCAGCAGCUGGAAUGAUUGGGCAAGCUCUGGCCUCACUCUGAAUGCUGCUAAGUUGAAGCAAAGCUCGGAAUGGAAUGUCCGAGUUCGACAAUCCAAGUUUCCCUCAAUUGGGGGCUGAGGUAGCAUUGGCCUCCUAAUCACUUCUUCCAGAGGUGUUUCUGCUUGAAUUUGGGGCUCGGGAAGUGGCACUUGAGGCUCCUGAGAUUUUUCUUGCAGAGCCGGAGAUGGUACCGGCGAUGGAACUGGCAAGGGACUUGGCGAGAGAACCGGCGAUGGCACUGGAGUUUGAACCGGUGAUGGAAUUGGAGAAGGCUCUGGAUAUUGCUCAGUCAAAUCGAUGGGUUCUGAGCUCUCCACCCUGGGUUUCUUUUGCAAUGGCCGACCACCUGACCUGGUAAGGUAUCGUCUUGUCGGCGGCUUUGGUGGCACGGGCUUCACCGGAGGUGGAAUUGGCCUUGACGGCGAAGCCUCUAGAGCAGAACCUGGACUUGGCUCCUUUCGCAGACUCUUCUUGCGGUUCGAAGGAGAUGAAGACUUAGCCCCUCGUGUUCACGCCAUUUUGGGCUAUCGAACUUUGGCCGGCGUUGCUGAUCGGAGAAGGUGACCGGAGGCUCGGACGGUGUGGCUCAUUGAAGAAGACGAACAGGCUGCGAGAAUGGUGCUCUGAUUUUUGAAACCCUUUUCGCAGCUCAAAUGACCGGUAUAAAUAGGAAAAACGGAAGCCUAAGGGUCAGUUUAAGUUCACAGCAAAAUGCCAUUUUCGCAGCAACUUCGCAGUGAGUUUCGCAGCUGCGAAAUUGAUGUUACUGUGCUGCGAAAUGGCACUCGUGUGCCAAAACCAUUUUCGCAAUUGCGAAAUACCCUGCGGAAUGGGACUUUUGGUGCGAAAUCACGCUUUGGCUAUCGAAAUGGAUGCUAUUGUACUGCGAAGUGGCACUCGUGUGCCAAAACCACUUUCGCAGCUGCGAAAUACCCUCGCAGAGACUUCUACAGUGUUGUGGAAUGGUUUGGCAACAAAAUGCUCAGUUCGCAGAAGUUUUCUUCAGCCUGCGAAAUUUCGCAGAGCUCUGUUUUUCCCCUGUUUUUGCUCUGUUUUGGCUCCGAUUUCGACCCGAUUUUUUUUCUUUCAAUCUCCUUGAAAUUUCUUCCACCUGGGAUCAUUUAAAAGGAUUAAAACACACCUAAAAACAUGAUUUAAGAUCAAAAACUAAGAUCAAAAGUAUGGAAACAACUUGAAAAUUUACAAAAUUUACAAAAAUUUUGAACUGUGGUAAACCACGUCCAGCAAACCCUUUUUCACUUAGGCUUUUUGAGGCUCAAGGAGGUUGAUUGCCUCCUUUUCUGAUUUGAAUGGCUCCAUGAAUGGCUUGAGACGAUAUCCAUUGACUUUAAAGCUAUCCUUGCCAUUGGAAUUCAAUAAUUCCACCACUCCAUUGGACCAUACUCGGUGAAUAAUGAACGGGCCUAUCCACCUUGACUUGAGCUUCCCAGGAAAGAUAUGGAGUCUUGUGUCAUACAGUAAAACUCUUUGCCCUUCCUGAAAUUCCUUGUUGGAGAUGAGUUGAUCAUGCCACUUCUUCAUCCUCUGUUUUGCAACUUUGGAAUUGAUAUAAGCAUUAUUUCUUAAUUCCUCCAUCUCAUUAAGGUUUAGAAAUCUCUUUUCUCCGGCCUUGAUCAAGUCCAUGUUCAGCUUCUUUAUCGCCCACCAAGCCUUGUAUUCAACUUCCACAGGGAGAUGGCAUGCUUUGCCAUAGACAAGACGAUAGGGAGACAUCCCAAGAAUAGUCUUAUAAGCUGUUCUAUAUGCCCACAAUGAAUCAUAAAGCCUAAUAGACCAAUCUUUUCUGUUGGAAUUCACCACUUUCAUCAGGAUGUUCUUUAUUUCCCUGUUAGCUAGCUCAACUUGCCCGGAAGUUUGAGGAUGAUAAGGUGUGACCACCUUAUGCUUCACUCCAUACUUGGAUAGCAGAGCUUCAAAAGGUUUGUUGCAAAAAUGAGCUCUUCCAUCACUGAUUAUGGCCUUGGGCACCCCAAAUCUUGAGAAAAUGUUCUCUUUAAGAAACUUGAGAACCACCCUGUGAUCAUUUUGUUUACAGGGGAUUGCCUCAACCCAUUUAGAAACAUAAUCUACCCCCACCAAGAUGUAAGAAUUACCAAAAGACAUUGGGAAAGGUCCCAUGAAGUCAAUGCCCCAUACAUCAAAUAACUCAACUAUCAGAAUGGGGUUCAUAGGCAUUUGAUUUCUUUUUGUUAGCUUUCCAAGCCUUUGGCAUCUAUCACAAUUCCUACACAUGAUGUGGGCAUCCUUAAAAAGAGAUGGCCAAGUAAACCCUGAUUGCAAUACCUUCAUGGCUGUUUUCUGAGAGGCAAAGUGGCCUCCACAUGCAUUCUCAUGACAAUGAGAUAGAAUCCCUUGCUGCUCAUCUUCAGGGACACACUUCCUAAUAAUCUGAUCUGCACAAUACUUAAAGAGAAAGGGCUCUUCCCAAUAAUAAGAAUGAAUUUUGGCAAAGAAGUGUUUCCUGUCCUGUGCAUUCCACUCACUUGGAAUUUCUCCAGUUACUAAAUAAUUGGCAAUAUGAGCAUACCAAGGAGUUUUCACUAGGAACAUGAGUGAUUCUUCAGGAAAAUCAUCAUUGAUAGGCAAGGGAUGGGAAUUAUGUGCUAUAACUAACCUUGACAAGUGGUCAGCUACUACAUUCUCCACUCCUUUCUUAUCUUUGAUUUGAAGAUCGAAUUCUUGUAACAAAAGAAUCCAUCUAAUCAACCUUGCUUUUGCAUCUUGCUUUGUCAAUAAAUACUUCAAGGCUGAAUGGUCAGUAAAGACAAUGAUGAAAGACCCCACUAAAUAAGCACGAAAUUUGUCCAAAGCAAAUACCACAACUAACAAUUCUUUCUCUGUAGUUGUGUAGUUCCUUUGAGCUUCAUUUAGUGUUUUACUUGCAUAGUAAAUCACAUAGGGCUUCCCAUCUUCUCUUUGGCCAAGCACAGCUCCUAUAGCAAAGUCACUGGCAUCACACAUCAAUUCAAAAGGUAAUUGCCAGUUAGGGGCUCUCACUAUUGGAGUUGUUGUUAAAAAUUUCUUCAGUUGAUCAAAGCUACUUUGACACCUUUCAUCCCAUAUAAACUUAGCAUCCUUAGCUAACAGCUCACAAAGAGGUUUUGAAAGACUUGAAAAACCUUUUAUAAACCUCCUAUAAAACCCUGCAUGGCCAAGGAACUGCCUUACUCCUUUCACAGUUGUUGGAGAUGGUAAUUUGGCAAUAAGCUCCACCUUUGCUUUAUCAACUUCAAUGCCUUUUUCAGAGAUGAUAUGACCAAGGACAAUUCCUUGACGUACCAUAAAAUGGCAUUUCUCCUAGUUCAGCACCAAAUCUUUUUCAAUGCAUCUAUGAAGAACUGCUUCCAAAUUAACCAAGCAUUCCUCAAAUGUACCUCCAUAUACGGUGAUGUCAUCCAUGAAAACCUCCAUAAUUCUCUCCACCAUAUCACUGAAAAUACUCAACAUACAUCUUUGAAAUGUAGCAGGUGCAUUGCAUAAACCAAAAGGCAUUCUUCUAUAAGCAUAUGUUCCAAAUGGACAUGUAAAAGUGGUAUUUUCUUGAUCUGCCAAAUCAAUUUCAAUCUGAAAAUACCCUGAAUACCCAUCCAAGAAACAAUAGAAUGGAUGUCCAGAGACUCUCUCCAGCACUUGAUCAAUAAAUGGCAAUGGAAAAUGAUCCUUCCUAGUGACAGCAUUCAGCUUUCUAUAAUCAAUACACACCCUCCAACCUGAAGUGAAGCGUGUAGUAAUUUCUUCCCCUUUUUCAUUCUGAACCACUGUGAUCCCUGACUUCUUUGGUACCACUUGAGUAGGACUCACCCAAGGGCUAUCAAAUAUAGGGUAAAUGAUUCCUGCUUGAAGUAGCUUCAGCACCUCAGCUCGCACCACCUCUUGUAGAUGAGGAUUCAACCUUCUUUGAAAUUGUCGAAUUGGCUUUGCUUCCUCCUCCAUAUAUAUAUGAUGAGUACAAACUAAAGGACUAAUGCCUUUCAAGUCAGAAAUUUGCCAUCCUAUUGCCUUCUUACACUUCCUGAGAACUUUCAUUAAACAAUUCUCUUGAUGAUUGGUCAGAGAUGAAGAUAUCACAACAGGACAUUGAUUAUUUUCUUCAAGGUAUGUAUAUUUCAGCUCCACAGGUAAAGGCUUCAGAUUGAGUUUUGGAAUUUCUUUUUCAACAGCUGUCUCCUCUUCUUUUUUGAACAAAGUUAGAAUAUCUUCUAUCUUUCUCCAACUUUGUAGAGUAGCAAGCCUAAUAGGAGAUUCAGAAAAACCUUCCUCAAUAUCCUCAAGACUUGCAUUCAACUUGUCUUGCAUAUUUUGAUUACAGUGCUCCUCUACCAAAGUAUCAAUAAUACAUAACUCUUCUGGACCUUCUUCUUCUUCUGGAGUGAUUUGCUUUUUAGACAUAUAGAAAAUAUUGAGAUCCAGUGUCAUGUUACCAAAAGUGAGUUGCAUAAGCCCAUUCCUGCAGUUGAUGAUUGCAUUUGAAGUUGCAAGAAAUGGCCUUCCAAGGAUGAUAGGAACUAAAUUAGCUUCCUUUACAGUAGGAUCUGUAUCAAGAACAAUAAAAUCUACUGGAUAGUAGAAAUUAUCCACUUGAACCAAUACAUCCUCAAUUACCGCUCUUGGAAUUUUCACUGAUCUAUCUGCCAGAGAUAGAGUGAUUGCUGUUGGCUUCAACUCUCCAAGGCCUAAUUGCUUGUAAACAGAAUAAGGAAGCAAAUUCACACUUGCUCCCAAAUCUAGCAAGGCUUUCUCCACUACCUUUCCUCCAAAAAUGACUGAAAUGGUAGGACUUCCAGGGUCUUUGUACUUCAAAGGAGACUUACAUUGUAAGAUUGCACUUACUUGCUCAGUCAAGAAGGCUUUCUUGUUUACAGUCAACCCUCUUUUGAUAGUACACAAGUCCUUUAGGAAUUUUGCAUACGUUGGAACUUAAUUGAUCAUAUCCAGCAGUGGAAUAUUGACUUUCACUUGUCUCAAUACUUCAAGGAUUUCAGCUGCAUUUCUAAUCCCCUUUUUCCCAUGUAAUGCUUGAGGAAAAGGUGGAGAAGUUGAUUUCUUCAGCAUUUCUUCCUUCAAAAGCUCCUUCUCUGGAAUUACUUUCAUUGUUGCAUCAGAGUCCUUCUUUUCUUCACUGAUCUCACUCUCUUUAUCUUCCAUUUCCUUCCCUUUCUUUAUCUCUUCUUCUUUCUCAACAUGUGGCUUGGGUGUUGGCUGCUCAAUUUUCUUACCACUCCUUAGAGUGAUCAAAGCUUUGACAUCCUUCACCUGUGAUGAUUCUCCCUCCUGGUUUUCCACUUCAUGGACACCUUUGGGAUUUUGGUGAGGUUGAGAAGGAAAUCUUCCCUUUUCUUGCAGUGUAUUCAAAUUUGUAAGCCUUGAAAUUGAAUAUUGGAUGUUGUCAAACUUUUGGUUCAUAUCAUUUUGCAUUCCAUCCAUCCUUUUAUUCAACAUACUCUCCACUCUAUCAAUUUUUUGAUCGACUCGAGCAUUAGUGGCUUCUUGCUUUUCAAUAAAAUCUCCCAUUACCUUAGUGAGAUUGGCUACUGCUUGUUCAAUACUUGAAGAUUGUUGAGAUGGUGGAUCCGGCUAUUGGUAUUGAGUUGCUCUGGCCUUCCAUGAGAAAUUUGGAUGAUUCCUCCAACUUGAGUUGUAGGUAUUUCCAUAAGGAGCAUUGUUAUUAGGCCUGAAUUGUCCAACAACAUUUGCUUGAUCUCUAAACAUUUCCCUUUCAACUGAAAUUACAGGGCAUUCCUCCAUCAAAUGUUCAAAUGAUUGACAAUUGGGACACAGCUUCACUUGCACUGGUGCUUUAGCAAAAGCUUGCACUUCAUGUAUUCUUUUCAGCUCCAGCUCCUCCAAUCUUCUUGUCAUAGCUGCCAACUUUGCUUUCAUAUCAUCAUCUUCUUUCAAGGUAUACAUCCCAGCCUUUGCAUUGUAAGCAUUCAACUGAGACUUCAUCUUUCCCACUUCUCCUUUAGUUCGUUCAUCCCAUCCCCUUGAAACAUCAGCUACAUAACUCAAGAAAUCCAUAGCUUCCUCUGGAUUUUUGCUCAUGAAAUCUCCUCCACACAUUGUCUCGAGGAGUUGCUUCAUUGAGGAGGACAUACCAUCAUAAAAAUAGCUCACCAAUAGCCAAGUAUCAAAGCCAUGGUGAGGACAAGCAUUUAUAGCUUCCAUGUAUCUUUCCCAACAAUCAUAGAAUUUCUCAUUCUCUUUAGCUGAGAAGUUUGAAAUUUGCCUUUUCAAGCCAUUUGUUCUAUGAGUAGGAAAAAAUUUCUUGAGGAAUUCAGCUUGUAAAUCAGUCCAAGAGCAGAUACUCUAAUUCGUGCCCAAUUAGUGUCUCAGCUAAUUUGUGUUUAGCUGGUGCUCCUUGAUUGAGGGAGUAAUCAACAAAAUUUAUUACCUAUAACACCAUACACUAGGGUAGCAAAGAAAAAGCUACUAUAGUAUAGUGGCUCUAGGGUCGUUCACUGGGAAUGACUAACAAGCAAUCAAUGAUACCAAUUCCAAGUGAAUUGGUCUUGUUUCAUUUCAAGGUUAGCUUAAGAAAUAAAACACAAAUUUUGAUUGGUAAAGGUUGAGACUUAAACUAACUAACAUAACAGAAGUUUGGAAUAAUUUAAGAAGAAAAGCAUUCCUUGGAGAUUUAGGUUCACUGGGGUGGUUCCUCAUGCAAAAGACAUAGCUCCGGUCAGUUGGUUCAUUUCCUCGCAUUAGAGAUUCAACUUAUAGUCAAUUCUCUAACCGGUGAUGUACAGAGACUCCUUCAAUUAGAUUUCACUUUAAUUCUCUCACUGAUGCAACUUGCAAUGGUUUAAGCCUCUCACUAAGCCUUAACCAUUCAAGGUGAUCUUUAACCUUGGAUUACCCGUCAAAAGCUCGCAAGAGAUAACUAAUGGAUGCCUCCUAGGAGUCCAAAAGCUUACCAAGUGUUGGCUAUUCUAGAAAAUCCUACCUUGAAGUCACCUACCAGAGGCUCGCAAGGGGUAAACUAGUGCAUUUCCAUGGUUGGAAAUCACUUGCCUUACCAAGUGUUGGCCCAGGUUACUCUAAGGUGUUUUAAGUUAACUAAAAACAUAGAAAUCACUAAAGGAUUUCACUUCCUCUUCAUUAAUAGCUAAAACCACAGAGCUUUGCAUUCUUGCACUUGGAACCUUCCCCGACAACCUUAGCUCCAAGGAAUUAGAGGUUUAGUUACUCAUUCUCUGGGGAAAACUCCUCAGAGAAUUCAUAACUUAGAAAUAAAAUGAAAAUACAAAGUGAGAAGGUAAGGCAGUAGAAAGAAAAUAGACUUUACUUGCUUACCCAAACGGUUACAGAAGGAACUCCUCCCUGAGAACAGGCUCCCGAGAGGUAUAUAUAUCAACAUAAUAUAAAACUAAUUGUUUCAAAGAUAUUUAGUCUUUUUACUAACUUAAAACUAAGGAAUCAUGUAAUUGGUGGUUUACAAGGAGUAUUUUGGGAUUUAGACAACAAAAAUCUAAUGGAAAAUAUCUCCCAAUGUCGGUAGCAAGCUUCGGGAGGCUUCAGGAGACAUUUCGCAGGAGAAAAAUGGUGUCUGCGAGAUUUCGCAGACACCCAAGAGGGCUGCGAAAUUAUUUCGCAACACCAAACUAUCUUCACAGGGCUGCGAAGUUGGCUUCGACCUUGAGGUUCCCAACUUCCUUCUCGCGGCAUAAAUCGUGCAUCGUCAGAAGGAGAAACACCUUACUGUACAAAAAUGCUGCGAAAUCACUUCGCAACAAAAGGGUGAUUUCGCAACACUUUGCAAAAUGCUUCCUUCAGCUCCGAGUGAUUGGCUUGUAAUGGCUGCAAAUUCUUCGUUUCAACUCCGAAUUGCACACCGUUUGAAGCAUUGGAUUGUUGACUUCCUGAGAUUUGAAAUGGUAUAUAGCAUGCAUCAUUUGGACUUCAGAAAGUGCUCCAAAAGUGGCUGCUACGACUGUCAUCAAGAAUAUGCUUUAUGGCAGAUUCUCUUUGCUUUUUCUCCUUGCAAUCCGGAUUCACUCUUGGCAAAUGACUUCUAAGCUUUGCCCAAGAUUCCUCAUAGCUCUCCUCAGUCUUGACUUGCUUUGGUGAUCAAAAUACUAACAAAAACACCAAAACUUACACAAAGUGAACAAAAUUGCUUUAAAGGAUCCUUAACAUGCCAAUUGAGUUAAAAGGCCUAAACUACUACUCAAAAGUGUUUAAAAGGAUUAAUUAUAGGCUAUCAAAUAGCACUUUUUGAGUAGUAAUCACUCCCCCCAACCGACAUAUUGCUAGUCCCUUAGCAAUAUAGGAGAGAAAAAUGAAAAUAAAUAACAAACUAAUCUAAAAUUUACAACAUCAUGCUAAAGGAAAAUAAUUCUCAAGUGGCAUGAUGAUCUAUUUCUCACAUGAAUCAUUAAAGAAAUACAAACCCAAAUCUCAACAAGAGUCAUAACACCUAUGCUAAACACUGUCAAUCAAGGGAGUGCAUUAUGCAAACUGAAGUUUUAAAAUCAUUUCCACUUUCUAAGAAUCAAACUUUAAUCUUCCACAAAAAUCUAUGUGUAUUAGUUCCUUAGCUUCCAAGAAUAAUAUGCUAAACUAGUCUCACCCCCCAACCUAUCUCUUUUUAACACUUUAGCAAUCUGACCAUAAUCAAUAAGAAAAGAACACACUUUUUUUUUUUUUUCAAGGUAGCUUUAUGGGAUACUCUUUCUGACUUGUCCAUGUAAUGGGGGUCCAUCGAUGGCUCCCAACCAAUUAAGGUUUAGGGCACCAAGCUUUAAGGAUCUUUCAACCACUAACUCCUCGGAUUUUUCCCCGGACUUUUAAGAAAGAAAUUCUACUACCCAAGCAUCUACCAUAUGCUAACUCUACCUAUUCACCCUUGUAACGAGCAUUGAGGUCGGUGACUCCCAACCAAUUAAGGCUUAGGGCACCAGGCUUUAAAGGCUUUCACCAUAUGCCCCUCAGACCUUGCUCGGGUUUCAAGGCAAGCAAACAACUUUCUUUAUUUCAAAGGCUCAUUGGCCUUUUGCAGGGUGUUUCAAUUUUAUCAAAUGAGGUCAAAUAUACCAAGUCCCAAAAUUAUCUUAAGUCAAGAGGGAAAUAGUUUUUCAUCUUAUAAUCGGAAACUAAUGUGCACAGUGUGUGAAUAGCUUAAAGUGGAAGAACUAAAUUCAAUUUCAAUAGAAGUUUCAACAAUUGAACCACUUUAGUAAGCAUAAUCCAUACUCUAAGUCAAGUGAAAAACAACAGUUCAAUUUCUCUUGGUUUAAUUUGAAAAUUUUUCCUCAAAAUUCAUGGAGAAAAUAGUAACACUAGUAAAAAGUAAAAUCUACAACUAAUUAACCAAUAUAAUUGCAAUACCAAAAAGAUUUAGCAUACUUCCUUCCUCAUACCCCCCAACCGAACUGAGCAUUGUCCUCAAUGUGAUUUGAGUGACUGUAAUAAAAGGGAGGAAGUGGUACCUCCUUGCUAAUAUCAAAUUCGAAUAUUGAUUGGGAAAAACCACAUGUUUCAAAAAGAAUAGAAUAUGUGAGAAAAGGAAAUAAGGAGAACUUAAUGCUAACUUUUAACAAGAAAUAUUCAACUUGUAUUACUUUGAGUUCAUUCAAGUAUAGUGCAAAAGACAAGUAAUCACAAGGAAUCCCAUAUAUAGUACCAAAAUACUGGGAUUUCUUUUCAACAAAAAACAAAAAUGCAUAAAAACAUAAACAGAAAAUAUAUAUAAUGUCUGAUGAGUGGGGUGAUGGUGCUAGGCAGAAGGAUUUGCCUCCACAGUAGGUGGAUCAGCUGGUGGUUCGGGCUCUGGAGGAUGAGACUCUGAAGGCUGAGAGUGUGGCUCUGGUGGAGUAGAAAUGGAGGGCUCUACAGCUUGUGGCAAAUCGAAAUGGACUUGGAGCUGCCUUAGGAUGGCAGCUUGUUGAGCCUGAGAGGCUAACAUCUGCUCUUGGCAAGCUCUGAUGGCUGCCAUCUCCUGAGCAAGAUUGCUCUGAGAAGCUGUAAGAGUCUCCAAUGCACGGCACAACUCUCGAUAUUCAGAUAUAGGAAUGGCCAUCCUCGGCUCAGCUGAUGUGGAUGGCUAAUAUGAAGCAGGUGCAGCUGGUGGAGCUCUAGGAAUGGCAGGAGCAGCAACUGUUAUACCCUCAGGUAUACGUUGGGGAGGCUCUCCUUGCAGCUGGCUGAGGCUGUCCAGGCUAAUCAACUUUGUAGGCCGUCAUAUUGUUCCAUUUAUCAAGAGUGAAUGGCUCACGGCAUAUUCGCUUUCUCUCCAGCUGAGGCUCAGAGGGGUAUCCCAGAUGCUCCAAAAUUUGGCAUAGCAGCCUUAGGAAGAGGAGGGGAAUACAAUCUGCUCUCUGAAGCUUCUUUCUGUGAACCUUCUCUUCAAAAUAGAGAAGGGCUGCCAUGAUCAGAUGAUGAGACCCAAAGAAGAAUCCUUCUGACAUCUUGUACAGAGCUUCCAGGAGAACUCCCCUUCUUUGGGUCCAAUGCUGCAAUGGAUAUAUAUUAUGGCGCAAAAAGGCAUCAAUCAAAAACAUAACUGGAGAAAGCUCCCCCCUCAGCAGAUGUGAUCGAUUUGCAGCUCCUCUGGAAAGGGUGCGCACCAUCUCUAGCUCAGUAGGAUUUGCCCAAGCUCUAAAAUUAUCGAAUUGGGUUGGCUCAAAAGGAAUUUGCAGGGCUUCAGCAAUAUGUCUUGCUCCCAAUAUACCAUGUCUCCCAUCAAUUGUGAAAUGAAUCAAGGUUGGAUUUCUGACCUCUUUGGUUGUCAUGGACUGGUAGAAAUCUGUGGCUAUCCGGGGAUAGAAAAAGUCUCUUGGAGCUAGCAGUUGCUCCAUAUGAUACCUCCUCAGCAGCUGGAAUGAUUGGGCAAGCUCUGGCCUCACUCUGAAUGCUGCUAAGUCGAAGCAAAGCUCGGAAUGAAAUGCCCGUGUUCUACAAUCCAAGUUUCCUUCGAUUGGGGGCUGAGGUAGCAUUGGCCUCCUAAUUACUUCUUCCAGAGCUGUUUCAGUUUGCAUUUGGGGCUCGGGAAGAGGCACUUGAGGCUCCUGGGAUUUUUCUUGCGGCGCCGGAGAUGGUACCGGCGAUGGUACUGGCAGGGGGCUCGGCGAGGGAACCGGAGACGGCACUGGAGUUUGAACCGGUGAUGGAAUUGGAGAAGGCUCUGGAGAUUGCUCAGUCAAAUCGAUGGGUUCUAAGCUCUCCACCCUGGUUUUCUUCUGCAAUGGCCGACCGCCUGACCUAGUAAGGUAUCGUUUUGCCGGCGGCUUUGGCGGCGCUGGUUUCACCGGAGGAGGAUUUGGCCUUGACAGCGUAGGCUCUGGAGCAGAACCUGGACUUGGCUCCUUUCGCAGACUCCUUUUGCGGUUCGAAUGAGAUGAAGACUUAGCCCCUCGUGUUCGCGCCAUUUUGGGCUAUCGAACUUUGGCCGGCAUUGCUGAUCGGAGAAGAUGACCGGAGGCUCGAACGGCGUGGCUUGGCGAAGAAGACGAAGCGGCUGCGAGAAUGGUGCUCUGGUUUUUGAAACCCUUUUCGCAGCACAAAUGACCGGUAUAAAUAGGAAAAACGGAAGCCUAAGGGUCAGUUUAAGUUUCGCAACAAAACGCCAAUUUCGCAGCAACUUGCCAUUUUCGCAGCAACUUCGCAGUGAGUUUCGCAGCUGCGAAAUUGAUGUUACUGUGCUGCGAAGUGGCACUCGUGUGCCAAAACCACUUUCGCAAUUGCGAAAUACCCUGCGGAAUGGGACUUUUGGUGCGAAAUCACGCUUUUCCACUUCGCAAUGCGUUUCGCAGCUGCCAAAUGGAUGCUACUGUACUGCGAAGUGGCACUCGUGUGCCAAAUUCACUUUCGCAGUUGCGAAAUACCUUCGCAGAGACUUCUACAGUGUUGCGGAAUGGUUUGGCAACAAAAUGCCCAUUUCGCAGAAGUUUCCUUCUUUCUACGAAAUUUCACAGAGCUCUGUUUUUCCCCUGUUUCUGCUUUGUUUUGACUCCGAUUUCGACCCGAUUUUUUUUCUUUCAAUCUCCUUGAAAUUUCUUCCACCUGGGAUCAUUCAAAACGAUUAAAACACACCUAAAAACAUGAUUUAAGAUCAAAAACUAAGAUCAAAAGUAUGGAAACAACUUAAAAAUUUACAAAAUUUACAAAAAUUUUGGACUGUGGUAAACCACGUCCAGCAAACCCUUUUUCACUUAGGCUUUUUGAGGCUCAAGGAGGUUGAUUGCCUCUUUUUCUGAUUUGAAUGGCUCCAUGAAUGGCUUGAGACGAUAUCCAUUGACUUUGAAGCUAUCCUUGCCAUUGGAAUUCAAUAAUUCCACCACUCCAUUGGACCAUACUCGGUGAAUAAUGAACGGGCCUAUCCACCUUGACUUGAGCUUCCCAGGAAAGAUAUGGAGUCUUGUGUCAUACAUCAAAACUCUUUGCCCUUCCUGAAAUUCCUUGUUGGAGAUGAGUUGAUCAUGCCACUUCUUCAUCCUCUGUUUUGCAACUUUGGAAUUGAUAUAAGCAUUAUUUCUUAAUUCCUCCAUCUCAUUAAGGUCUAGAAAUCUCUUUUCUCCGGCCUUGAUCAAAUCCAUAUUCAGCUUCUUUAUUGCCCACCAAGCCUUGUAUUCAACUUCCACAGGGAGAUGGCAUGCUUUACCAUAGACAAGACGAUAGGGAGACAUCCCAAGAAUAGUCUUAUAAGCUGUUCUAUAUGCCCACAAUGAAUCAUGAAGCCUAAUAGACCAAUCUUUUCUGUUGGAAUUCACCACUUUCAUCAAGAUGUUCUUUAUUUCCCUGUUAGCUAGCUCAACUUGCCCGGAAGUCUGAGGAUGAUAAGGUGUAGCCACAUUAUGCUUCACUCCAUACUUGGAUAACAGAGCUUCAAAAGGUUUGUUGCAAAAAUGAGCACCUCCAUCACUGAUUAUGGCUUUGGGUACCCCAAAUCUUGAGAAAAUGUUCUCUUUAAGAAACUUGAGAACCACCCUGUGAUCAUUUUGUUUACAAGGGAUUGCCUCAACCCACUUAGAAACAUAAUCCACCCCCACCAAAAUGUAAGAAUUACCAAAAGACAUUAGGAAAGGUCCCAUGAAGUCAAUGCCCCAUACAUCAAAUAACUCAACUAUCAGAAUGGGGUUCAUAGGCAUUUGAUUUCUUUUUGUUAGCUUUCCAAGCCUUUGGCAUCUAUCACAAUUUCUACACAUGAUGUGGGCAUCUUUGAAAAGAGAUGGCCAAGUAAACCCUGAUUGCAAUACCUUCAUGGCGGUUUUCUGAGAGGCAAAGUGGCCUCCACAUGCAUUCUCAUGACAAUGAGAUAGAAUCCCUUGCUGCUCAUCUUCAGGGACACACUUCCUAAUAAUCUGAUCUGCACAAUACUUAAAGAGAAAGGGCUCUUCCCAAUAAUAACCAUGAAUUUUGGCGAAUAAGUGUUUCCUGUCCUGUGCAUUCCACUCACUUGGAAUUUCACCAGUUACUAAAUAAUUAGCAAUAUGAGCAUACCAAGGAGUUUUCACUAGGAACAUGAGUGAUUCUUCAGGAAAAUCAUCAUUGAUAGGCAAGGGGUGGGAAUUAUGUGCUAUAACUAACCUUGACAAGUAGUCAGCUACCACAUUCUCCACUUCUUUCUUAUCUUUGAUUUGAAGAUCGAAUUCUUGUAACAAAAGAAUCCAUCUAAUCAACCUUGCUUUUGCAUCUUGCUUUGUCAAUAAAUACUUCAAGGCUGAAUGGUCAGUAAAAACAAUAAUGAAAGACCCCACUAAAUAAGCUCGAAAUUUGUCCAAAGCAAAUACCACAGCUAACAAUUCUUUCUCUGUAGUUGUGUAGUUCCUUUGAGCUUCAUUUAGUGUUUUACUUGCAUAGUAAAUCACAUAGGGCUUCCCAUCUUCUCUUUGGCCAAGCACAGCUCCUAUAGCAAAGUCACUGGCAUCACACAUCAAUUCAAAAGGCAAUUGCCAGUUAGGUGCUCUCACUAUUGGAGUUGUUGUUAAAAAUUUCUUCAGUUGAUCAAAGCUAUUCUGACAUCUUUCAUCCCAUAUAAACUUAGCAUCCUUAGCUAACAGCUCACAAAGAGGUUUUGAAAGACUUGAAAAACCUUUUAUAAACCUCCUAUAGAACCCUGCAUGGCCAAGGAACUGCCUUACUCCUUUCACAGUUGUUGGAGAUGGUAAUUUGGCAAUAAGCUCCACCUUUGCUUUAUCAACUUCAAUGCCUUUUUCAGAGAUGAUAUGGCCAAGGACAAUUCCUUGACGUACCAUAAAAUGGCAUUUCUCCCAGUUGAGCACCAUGUCUUUUUCAAUGCAUCUAUGAAGAACUGCUUCCAAAUUAACCAAGCAUUCCUCAAAUGUACCUCCAUAUACGGUGAUGUCAUCCAUGAAAACCUCCAUAAUUCGCUCCACCAUAUCACUGAAAAUACUCAACAUACAUCUUUGAAAUGUAGCAGGUGCAUUGCAUAAACCAAAGGGCAUUCUUCUAUAAGCAAAUGUUCCAAAUGGACAUGUAAAAGUGGUCUUUUCCUGAUCUGCCAAAUCAAUUUCAAUCUGAAAAUACCCUGAAUACCCAUCCAAGAAACAAUAGAAUGGAUGUCCAGAGACUCUCUCCAGCACUUGAUCAAUAAAUGGCAAUGGAAAAUGAUCCUUUCUGGUGACAGCAUUCAACUUCCUAUAAUCAAUACACACCCUCCAACCUGAAGUGAGGCGUGUAGUAAUUUCUUCCCCUUUUUCAUUUUGAAUCACUGUGAUCCCUGACUUCUUUGGUACCACUUGAGUAGGACUCACCCAAGGGCUAUCAGAUAUAGGGUAAAUGAUUCCUGCUUGAAGUAGCUUCAGCACUUCAGCUCGUACCACAUCUUGUAGAUGAGGAUUCAACCUUAUUUGAAAUUGUCGAAUUGGCUUUGCUUCCUCCUCCAUAUAUAUAUGAUGAGUACAAACUAAAGGACUAAUGUCUUUCAAAUCAAAUAUUUGUCAUCCUAUUGCCUUCUUACACCUCCUAAGAACUUCUAUUAAACAAUUCUCUUGAUGACUAGUCAGAGAUGAAGAUAUCACAACAGGACAUUGAUUAUUUUCUUCAAGAUAUGUAUAUUUCAACUCCACAGGUAAAGGCUUCAGAUUGAGUUUUGGAAUUUCUUUUUCAACAGCUGCCUCCUCUUCUUCAUUGAACAAAGGUAGAAUUCCUUCUAUCUUUCUCCAACUUUGUAGAGUAGCAAGCCCAAUAGGAGAUUCAGAAAAACCUUCCUCAAUAUCCUCAAGACUUUCAUUCAACUUUUCUUGCAUAUGUUGAUUGCACUGCUCCUCCACCAAAGUAUCAAUUAUACAUAACUCUUCUGGACCUUCUUCUUCUUCCGGAGUGAUUUGCUUUUUAGACAUAUAGAAAAUAUUGAGAUCCAGUGUCAUGUUACCAAAAGUGAGUUGCAUAAGCCCAUUCCUGCAGUUGAUGAUUGCAUUUUAAGUAGCAAGAAAUGGCCUUCCAAGGAUGAUAGGAACUAAAUUAGCUUCCUUUACAGUAGGAUCUGUAUCAAGAACAAUAAAAUCUACUGGAUAGUAGAAAUUAUCGACUUGAACCAAUACAUCCUCAAUUACCCCUCUUGGAAUUUUCACUGAUCUAUCUGCUAGAGAUAGAGUGAUUGUUGUUGGCUUCAACUCUCCAAGUCCCAAUUGCUUGUAGACAGAGUAUGGAAGCAAAUUCACACUUGCUCCCAAGUCUAGCAAGGCUUUCUCAACUACCUUUCCUCCAAUCAUGACUGAAAUGGUAGGACUUCCAAGGUCUUUGUACUUCAAACGGGACUUACACUGUAAGAUUGCACUUACUUGCUCAGUCAAGAAGGCUUUCUUGUUUACAGUCAACCCUCUUUUGAUAGUACACAAGUCCUUUAGGAAUUUUGCAUACGUUGGAACUUGUUUGAUCAUAUCCAGCAGUGGAAUAUUAACUUUCACUUGCCUCAAGACUUCAAGGAUUUCAGCUGCAUUUCUAAUCCCCUUUUUCCCAUGUAAUGCUUAAGGAAAAGGUGGAGAAGUUGAUUUCUUCAGCAUUUCUUCCUUCAGAAGCUCCUUCUCUGGAAUUGCUUUCCUUGUUGAAUCAGAGUCCUUCUUUUCUUCACUAAUCUCACUCUCUUUAUCUUCCAUUUCCUUCCCUUUCUUUAUCUCUUCUUCUUUCUCAACAUGUGGCUUGGGUGUUGGCUGCUCAAUUUUUUUACCACUCCUUAGAGUGAUCAAGGCUUUGACAUCUUUGACCUGUGAUGAUUCUCCCUCAUGGCUUUCCACUUCAUGGACACCUUUGGGAUUUUGGUGAGGUUGAGAAGGAAAUCUUCCCUUUUCUUGCAGUGUAUUCAAAUUUGUAAGCCUUGAAAUUGAAUAUUGGAUGUUAUCAAACUUUUGGUUCAUAUCAUUUUGCAUUCCAUCCAUCCUUUUAUUCAACAUACUCUCCACUCGAUCAAUUUUUUGAUCCACUCGAGCAUUGGUGGCUUCUUGCUUUUCAAUAAAAUCUCCCAUUACCUUGCUGAGAUUGGCAAUUGCUUGUUCAAUACUUGAAGAUUGCUGAGAUGGUGGAUCCGGCUGUUGGUAUUGAGUUGCUCUGGCCUUCCAUGAGAAAUUUGGAUGAUUCCUCCAACUUGAGUUGUAGGUAUUUCCAUAUGGAGCAUUGUUAUUGGGCCUAAAUUGUCCAACAACAUUUGCUUGAUCUCUAAACAUUUCCCUUUCAGUUGGAAUUGCAGGGCACUCCUCCACCAAAUGUUCAAAUGAUUGACAAUUGGGACACAGCUUCACUUGCACUGGUGCUUCAGCUACAACUUGCACUUCAUGUAUUUUUUUCAACUCCAGCUCCUCCAAUAUUCUUGUCAUAGCUGCCAACUUUGCUUUCAUGUCAUCAUCCUCUUUUAAGGUAUACAUCCCAGCCUUUGCAUUGUAAGCAUUCAACUGAGACUUCAUCUUUCCCACUUCUCCUUUAGUUGGUUCAUCCCAUCCCCUUGAAACAUCAGCUACAUAGCUCAAGAAAUCCAUAGCUUCCUCUGGAUUUUUGCUCAUGAAAUCUCCUCCACACAUUGUCUCGAGGAGUUGCUUCAUUGAGGAGGACAUACCAUCAUAAAAAUAACUCACCAAUAGCCAAGUAUCAAAGCCAUGGUGAGGGCAAGCAUUGAUAGCUUCCAUGUAUCUUUCCCAACACUCAUAAAAUUUCUCAUUCUCUUUAGCUGAGAAGUUUGAAAUUUGCCUUUUCAAGCCAUUUGUUCUAUGAGUAGGAAAAAAUUUCUUGAGGAAUUCAGCUUGUAAAUCAGUCCAAGAGCGGAUACUCCUUGGCCUUAAAGAAUUAAGCCAUAUUUUGGCCUUAUCCUUUAAAGUAAAAGGAAAUAACUUAAGCCUCAUCAAAUCAAUUGAAGCUCCUCCCUCUUGGAAUGUAUUACAAACAUCCUCAAAUUCCUUGAUGUGUGCAUACGGAUUCUCACUUUCCAUCCCAUGGAAAGUUGGUAGAAGUGGAACAAGGUAUGGUCUGAUCACUAGCUGCUCUGUAGGGGGCACUAUACAUGAUGGUGCACUCAUACGAGGUGGAUGCAUACGGUCCCUCAUUCAUCUGAAUUCAUUGAGAUUAUCUUGACGACCUUGGUGACUAUGCUGAUCUUCAGGUGUAGUUUCCAUGAUAUUCAAGAUCACUUCCAAUUCUUUUCUCUGAGGUGUAUCACACUUAACAAGCCUACCUCCAAUGUCUCGUAUCCACUUGGGCAUACACAACUAGUAUCUAUCUGCAACUUAAAUAAAAACAGAGGACAACAAGAAAAACAGAGCUACAACAACAAAAUUAAACUAGACUAAAUUUUAAAAGAUAAACUUAGAUUGUAAAUAAACAAAGAAAGAAUGAAAAUUAGUAAAGUGAAAGAAACUUUACCAACUUGUGAUGAAAAUCACAAGUGCUCAAAAAUGGUAUCACAAUGAACUUGACACUCAUUCCCCAGCAACGACGCCAUUUGAUUCGUGCCCAAUUGGUGUCUCAACUGAUUUGUGUUCAGCUAGUGCUCCUUGAUUGAAGGAGUAAUCAACAAAAUUUAUUACCUAUAACACCAUACACUGGGGUAGCAAAGAAAAAGCUACUAUAGUAUAGUGGCUCUAGGGUCGUUCACUGGGAAUGACUAACAAGCAAUCAAUGAUACCAAUUCCAAGUGAAUUGGUCUUGUUUCAUUUCAAGGUUAGCUUAAGAAAUAAAACACAAAUUUUGAUUGGUAAAGGUUGAGACUUAAACUAACUAACAUAACAGAAGUUUGGAAUAAUUUAGGAAGAAAAGCAUUCCUUGGAGAUUUAGGUUCACUGGGGUGGUUCCUCAUGCAAAAGACAUAGCUCCGGUCAGUUGGUUCAUUUCCUCGCAUUAGAGAUUCAACUUAUAGUCAAUUCUCUAACCGGUGAUGUACAGAGACUCCUUCUAUUAGAUUUCACUUUAAUUCUCUCUCUGAUGCAACUUGCAAUGGUUUAAGCCUCUCACUAAGCCUUAACCAUUCAAGGUGAUCUUUAACCUUGGAUUACCCGUCAAAAGCUCGCAAGAGAUAACUAAUGGAUACCUCCUAGGAGUCCAAAAGCUUACCAAGUGUUGGCUAUUCUAGAAAAUCCUACCUUGAAGUCACCUACCAGAGGCUCGCAAGGGGUAAACUAGUGCAUUUCCAUGGUUGGAAAUCACUUGCCUUACCAAGUGUUGGCCCAGGUGACUCUAAGGUGUUUUAAGUUAACUAAAAACAUAGAAAUCACUAAAGGAUUUCACUUCCUCUUCAUUAAUAGCUAAAACCACAGAGCUUUGCAUUCUUGCACUUGGAACCUUCCCCGGCAACCUUAGCUCCAAGGAAUUAGAGGUUUAGUUACUCAUUCUCUGGGGAAAACUCCUCAGAGAAUUCAUAACUUAGAAAUAAAAUGAAAAUACAAAGUGAGAAGGUAAGGCAGUAGAAAGAAAAUAGACUUUACUUGCUUACCCAAACGGUUACAGAAGGAACUCCUCCCUGAGAACAGGCUCCCGAGAGGUAUAUAUAUCAACAUAAUAUAAAACUAAUUGUUACAAAGAUAUUUAGUCUUUUUACUAACUUAAAAACUAAGGAAUCAUGUAAUUGAUGGUUUACAAGGAGUAUUUUGGGAUUUAGACAACAAAAAUCUAAUGGAAAAUAUCUCCCAAUGUCGGUAGCAAGCUUCGGGAGGCUUCAGGAGCCAUUUCGCAGGAGAAAAAUGGUGUCUGCGAGAUUUCGCAGACACCCAAGAGGGCUGCGAAAUUAUUUCGCAACACCAAGCUAUCUUCACAGGGCUGCGAAGUUGGCUUCCACCUUGAGGUUCCAAGCUUCCUUCUCGCGGCAUAAAUCGUGCAUCGUCAGAAGGAGAAACACCUUACUGUACAAAAAUGCUGCGAAAUCACUUCGCAACAAAAGGGUGAUUUCGCAACACUUUGCAAAAUGCUUCCUUCAGCUCGGAGUGAUUGGCUUGUAAUGGCUGCAACUUCUUCGUUUCAACUCCGAAUUGCACACCGUUUAAAGCAUUGGAUUGUUGACUUCCUGAGAUUUGAAAUGGUAUAUAGCAUGCAUCAUUUGGACUUCAGAAAGUGCUCCAAAAGUGGCUGCUAUGACUGUCAUCAAGAAUAUGCUUUAUGGCAGAUUCUCUUUGCUUUUUCUCCUUGCAAUCCGGAUUCACUCUUGGAAAAUGACUUCUAAGCUUUGCCCAAGAUUCCUCAUAGCUCUCCUCAGUCUUGACUUGCUUUGGUGAUCAAAAUACUAACAAAAACACCAAAACUUACACAAAGUUAACAAAAUUGCUUUAAAGGAUCCUUAACAUGCCAAUUGAGUUAAAAGGCCUAAACUACUACUCAAAAGUGUUUAAAAGGAUUAAUUAUAGGCUAUCAAAUAGCACUUUUUGAGUAUUAAUCAUACUCCUUGGCCUUAAAGAAUUAAGCCAAAUUUUGGCCUUAUCCUUUAAAGUUAAAGGAAAUAACUUAAGCCUCAUCAAAUCAAUUGAAGCUCCUCCCUCUUGAAAUGUAUUACAAACAUCUUCAAAUUCCUUGAUGUGUGCAUACGGAUUCUCACUUUUCAUCCCAUGGAAAGUUGGUAGAAGUGGAACAAGAUACGGUUUGAUCACUAGCUGCUCUGUAGGGGGCACUAUACAUGAUGGUGCACUCAUACGAGGUGGAUGCAUACGGUCCCUCAUUCAUCUGAAUUCAUUGAGAUUAUCUUGACGACCUUGGUGACUAUGCUGAUCUUCAGGUGUAGCUUCCAUGAUAUUCAAGAUUACUUCCAAUUCUCUUCUUUGAGGUGUAUCACACUUACCAAGCCUACCUCCAAUGUCUCGUAUCCACUUGGGCAUACACAACUAGUAUCUAUCUGCAACUUAAAUAAAAAACAGAGGACAACAAGAGAAACAGGGCUACAACAGCAAAAUUAAACUAGACUAAAUUUUAAAAGAUAAACUUAGAUUAUGAACAAAUAAAGAAAGAAUGAAAAUUAGUAAAGUGAAAGAAACUUUACCAACUUGUGAUGAAAAUCACAAGUGCUGAACAAUGGUAUCACAAUGAACUUGACACUCAUUCCCCGGCAACGGCGCCAUUUGAUUCAUGCCCAAUUGGUGUCUCAGCUGAUUCGUGUCCAGCUGGUGCUCCUUGAUUGAGGGAGUAAUCAACAAAAUUUAUUACCUAUAACACCAUACACUAGGGUAGCAAAGAAAAAGCUACUAUAGUAUAGUGGCUCUAGGGUCGUUCACUGGGAAUGACUAACAAGCAAUCAAUGAUACCAAUUCCAAGUGAAUUGGUCUUGUUUCAUUUCAAGGUUAGCUUAAGAAGUAAAACACAAACUUUGAUUGGUAAAGGUUUAGACUUAAACUAACUAACAUAACAGAAGUUUGGAAUAAUUUAGGAAGAAAAGCAUUCCUUGGAGAUUUAGGUUCACUGGGGUGGUUCCUCAUGCAAAAGACAUAGCUCCGGUCAGAUGGUUCAUUUCCUCGCAUUNNNNNNNNNNNNNNNNNNNNNNNNNNNNNNNNNNNNNNNNNNNNNNNNNNNNNNNNNNNNNNNNNNNNNNNNNNNNNNNNNNNNNNNNNNNNNNNNNNNNCCAGAGGCUCGCAAGGGGUAAACUAGUUCAUUUCCAUGGUUGGAAAUCACUUGCCUUACCAAGUGUUGGCCCAAGUGACUCCAAGGUGUUUUAAGUUAACUAAAAACAUAGAAAUCACUAAAGGAUUUCACUUCCUCUUCAUUAAUAGCUAAAACCACAGAGCUUUGCAUUCUUGCACUUGGAACCUUCCCCGGCAACCUUAGCUCCAAGGAAUUAGAGGUUUAGUUACUCAUUCUCUGGGGAAAACUCCUCAGAGAAUUCAUAACUUAGAAAUAAAAUGAAAAUACAAAGUGAGAAGGUAAGGUAGUAGAAAGAAAAUAGACUUUACUUGCUUACCCAAACGGUUACAGAAGGAACUCCUCUCUGAGAACAGGCUCCCGAGAGGUAUAUAUAUCAACAUAAUAUAAAACUAAUUGUUACAAAAAUAUUUAGUCUUUUUACUAACUUAAAAACUAAGGAAUCAUGUAAUUGGUCGUUUACAAGGAGUAUUUUGGGAUUUAGACAACAAAAAUCUAAUGGAAAAUAUCUCCCAAUGUCGGUAGCAAAUAUCGGGAGGCUUCAGGAGCCAUUUCGCAAGAGAAAAAUGGUGUCUGCGAGAUUUCGCAGACACUCAAGAGGGCUGCGAAAUUAUUUCGCAACACCAAGCUAUCUUCACAGGGCUACGAAGUUGGUUUCCACCUUGAGGUUCCCAGCUUCCUUCUCGCGGCAUAAAUCGUGCAUCGUCAGAAGGAGAAACACCUUACUGUACAAAAAUGCUGCGAAAUCACUUCGCAACAAAAGGGUGAUUUCGCAACACUUUGCAAAAUGCUUCCUUCAGCUCGGAGUGAUUGGCUUGUAAUGGCUGCAACUUCUUCGUUUCAACUCCGAAUUGCACACCGUUUGAAGCAUUGGAUUGUUGACUUCCUAAGCUUUGAAAUGGUAUAUAGCAUGCAUCAUUUGGACUUUAGAAAAUGCUCCAAAAGUGGCUGCUACGACUGUCAUCAAGAAUAGGCUUUAUGGCAGAUUCUCUUUGCUUUUUCUCCUUGCAAUCCGGAUUCACUCUUGGCACAUGACUUCUAAGCUUUGCCCAAGAUUCCUCAUAGCUCUCCUCAGUCUUGACUUGCUUUGGUGAUCAAAAUACUAAUAAAAACACCAAAACUUACACAAAGUGAUUAAAAUUGCUUUAAAGGAUCCUUAACAUGCCAAUUGAGUUAAAAGGCCUAAACUACUACUCAAAAGUGUUUAAAAGGAUUAAUUAUAGGCUAUCAAAUAGCACUUUUUGAGUAGUAAUCAUUCAUGUGACCCAUUGCAAGAGGGAAAAAGAAAUGAAGUUUAGAAGAAAACAUUGGUAGAGAGAUGUUUAAAAUUUCUUAUGCAAGAAAAAGAAAUAUAGUUGAUAAUAAUUUUCAUGAUUAUAGAAAAAAGAAGUUUUCUUAUUGAGAGAAAAAUGUUCAUUACCCUUCAAAUCUUUUCCUCAACUUCUUUUCAAUAAAUAAAUGAUUUUCAUGAAAUAUAAGGUGUAUCUACACCAUUGAGGUCUCUAAAUGAGAACAAACAAACAUUAAGGGUCUAUUUCAUAAUUAUUUUCGAGAACAAGUUUUUAUUCUCCAAAACAAAAAACCCUAAAAAUACAUUCGAUAACAAAAAAAAUAGUGUUUUUCAGAUAAUAUAUUUUAGUUGGUUUUUAUUGUUUUCACUUGUUUUCUUAGAAUAGUUUUAAAAAAUAAUUAUAUAAAUAUGUAAAAUACUUAAAAAUAAAACACUAAGCAUAAAAAUUAUUUUAAAACAUAUUAAAAAAUACUAAAAAUAGGUUAAAAACAUUUUAAGUUUUCAAACAUAUUUUUGUUUUACAAAACAUUAGAGAAUGGUUUUCAAAAACUAUUAUAAAAAAACAGUUUUCAAAAUUGUUUUUGAAAACAGUUAUGAAAUAGAGCCUAAUUACUAACCUCACAAGAGUCUAUGUUCUGAAAAGACUUGGGAGACAUCAUUGCUGGUGUAGUGAGGUAGAGGCAGUCUUUGCGCAACCUCUUUGGAGGGAAUUGAGAAAAGGGAAUGAAUAACGUUCCUUUCGAUGCUUUAAUUUGUUCUUCUUUGGUCAAUCCAUCUCCAACCAGCCAUAUCUUCAAAAUAAAUAAAUAAAAUUAAGUUCACGAUGGAUGAAAAAGUGUAGAGGGUUUAAAAUAGUUGCUAAAUGAUAAAUUGUACCUUUUCAGUAAAACUUUUAGAAAGUAGUAAUUUACUUUCACACUCAACAUUCUUGAGCUUUGUGUUGAGUUGCUCAUACUCAUCCCCAUGUGAUGUGGCUACCUGAGAUUCAUUGUAUGAAAAAUCAAAACCAAGAUUGGGCAUUGUUUCACAAUUCUCAAAGUACCUUUAUAUAAUGCUUGUUAAUUAUACAUACCUGGAUAUCCAUUUGGCAUAAAGCAGAAGCAAUAAAAUAAGCAACCUUGGUGAGGUUGCCUCUGAAGAGUACUUGAGUUGUUCCUUUAGGAAUGCUAUUUAGAACAACAGCAACUGCUAAGCUACUCCCAUCCACCACCUUGAUUUUGAGCUUAGGAUUUCUAUGGAUAUAAAGCUCACCAUAACUAUUAAGCUCAUCACCCUGCAAAGUUUAUAUUUAUUAUUGGACAGUUUUAUUUUAUUUUUUCUAAAAUUCGCAAAAUAAUUCAAAUUUUCAGAAUGUAAAUUUUUUUCAGAAGUCAACUGAAGGCCAUAAAAGCUGUGUGUCCAUGCAAGCAUGAGGUAGAGAUAUGGAACAUGGAGGUAAACUCUUCCAAAUGAUCAAAAAGGAGGUAAAUUGCCUUUUUUUUUUUUUAACUUGCCUGGUUCAAGAGACUUAAACUCAAAACUUUAAUCCCUCUUUUGUCUGCUUUGAGUAUGGCUUCUUCUAUCAAACUAUCGAUGGAUUCAUUUCCCAAUUUCAGGAGAUACUACAAUAAGAAAAUAGAAAAGGAACAAAAAGUAAAUAAUAUACUGAAGUACGAUUAAAUAAAAACAAAAGAAUAACAAGUUAACAAUAAAAUGUUGCUUACUUGUAUCUUGAAUUUUGGUACGACCCACGUUUGGACAUUGACUUUGUUGAAUUGAUUCCUCUCAAGAAUAAACGUACGACCAUAGGUCCAUGUUAACAUUAUAGAACCACAUGUCACUGGCCACAUUGCCCAUACAUACCAUCUGUAUGUGUAAGGUUUGGAGGCUAAGGAGGCGAAUCCUAGCCUCAGAUGAUAGAUGGACUGUGGCGUUACAAGAUGUGUCAAAUGAACUACAUGGAGCAAUUCUUCAGGUCUUAUAAGUGAUUUUUCAUAUAACGCAUCUGAAGAUUUAUCCAUCGUACCAUAGAUGUAAUCAUAGAUGGGCAUGAAAAGUGAGUAAUUGGUCCUG
This 185430-nucleotide long non-coding RNA is filed under the name Vitis vinifera (wine grape). RNAcentral describes it as "long non-coding RNA (VVIN_LNC005039)". Lineage: Eukaryota; Viridiplantae; Streptophyta; Magnoliopsida; Vitales; Vitaceae. The record is from RNAcentral.